This 204594-nucleotide long non-coding RNA is filed under the name Setaria viridis. Lineage: Eukaryota; Viridiplantae; Streptophyta; Magnoliopsida; Poales; Poaceae. The record is from RNAcentral.
UUUUUUUUUUUUUUUUUUUUUUUUUUUUUUUUUUUUUUAUCGCGUAUGCGACGCAUAGUCACCGCGGAGGCGAAGGACUGUCAUAAGAGAUAUUUUGAUGUUAGGAUUCGACCCGUUACGAAAUUUUGUGCCAACGCCGGCCAUAAUUUUCUCUGCGAAGCGGGCACUAGCUGACAGGUGAACUUUGAUUCAUCUCACAAUGUUCGCCGCCGCCUCCGGCCGCAAUCCGCAAGCAACCCAUGUGCCACCGCCGAGCUAGGCUGCCGUAGCCGCCGCCCGCCGAUCCGGCGCGGUGGGGACGCGCGCUCACAUGCGCUGCGCUGCGCGCGGGGCCACACCACACGCGCUCGAACGCGCGAUGGAUCACGGCCCUUGUCGUGCCCGUGUCGCCAUGCAUGAGUGCACGGGCACGAGCGCCCCCUCACUCACUCUCUCACUCUCAUGCCCAUGCCCCCAGCACCUGCGCUGUCGCCAUCGCUAGCGACUCACCACGUUCACGCUCACUCCCUUCGCUCUUCGGACGCCGCGAAUAAGUAGCCGCGCGCACCUCCAGAGUGAGCCGGUCAGUCAGUGUCAGUGCCAUGGCGAGACCACGAACAGAGCUCCUCCGCUUCCUCCUCCUCAUCGUCCUCGCCACCGGCGCCGCUACGGCCGCCGCCACCGCGGUGGACGCGCCGGCGCCCGCGGCAGCUGCAGGGUCGGCGGCCGCUGCAGCACCAUCAGCGUCGGGGUGCCGGCGCGGCGACGUGGUGGUGCGGCAGCGCGCGACGGGUCGGACGGUGGAGGGGAAGCCCGAGUACGCGGUGGAGGUGCGGAACGCGUGCCGGUGCGCGCAGUCCCGGGUGGUGCUCCGCUGCUACGGCCUCAGCAGCGUGGAGGCCGUGGACCCGCGCGCCAUCCGCGCAGUCGACGCCGAGCGCUGCCUGCUCCGCGGCGGCCGCGCCCUGGCGCCCCGCGGCGGCGCCGCCGUGCGCUUCACCUACGCCUGGAUGACUCCGCAGGACUUCCCGCUCGUCAGCGCCCAGCCGCACUGCUAGCGCUUACUGCUUAGUAGCUAGAGCUUGCUGGGCUCGGAGAGUGAGUUUGCUGCUGAUACGAUUCGUCGAGCAAGAGUAGCUGAUGGAUUGAGUUGCUAAGUGUAAUUAUUAAACGAGCUUUAUUAGGUUGGAGUUUUGUUUAGGCUCGGUGUCUUUGGUGUCGUGGCUGGGUUUAAUUUGUACUACUUGUUAACCUUGCGUUUUAUGAUGAUAAUUUUUUGCUCUAUCCCUAUAUGAUAAUUUUGUAAGAGAGGUGGAUUGCAGGCAAAUGAGCAAUUCCGACGCUGGCAGGGAGGCAGGCGACGGACACGCCGCGACACGCGCCACCUUUCAUCAUGUGGCCUGCCCACCACCGCCGUUCAUCAUGUAGCGACACACGUGAGACCUCCAGCUUUUGUCAACUCCAUUAUUUCUCUCUCGGACAGAGAGAGGUGCCGCCGUGGAGCUGCAUGGAGGUUACUUUGCUCGUGGGUCUUGUGGGGUCAAUCGGCCCGAGGAUCGAACGCCUAUGGGCUAUGGCCUAUGCGCGCUUGAGGCUACUGGCCGGCAAUGGCUUUCGGAAGCCCGAAGCUAUCCAGCGCACGAUCUUCUUCGUCUCCUCGGCACCGCUCGCUCCUGUGCGCCGCCGCUCGUCGCGCGCCGGUGAGGAGCUGGGGUCGGAGCGAGGAGGGAAGUUGGAUGGCGGGCUGGAUGGUGGGCGGCAACGACUGGCGGCGAGGUUCGCGGGCCGCUGGGGGUGGUUGAAGCCGGCUGAGUUGACGAUGGUGGUGGUUAAGCCGGCUGAGUUGACGAUAGUGUAGUAUUGGAAAAUUGAGCAUUCGUCGUGAGGUUCAGUAUCGGUUACAUUUUGAUCCGGUACUAAUAUAAGUAUUAGUACCGAGUCUAAUGGUUAGUUCUUGAUGAGGCUCUCGUGAAUCCCUUUAGUAACAUGUGAAAACUUCACCCGGUACUAAAGGUUGCACAUUAGUAUCGGUUGAAGGCUUCAACCGGUACUAAUGUGCCUGAGGGCUUUUAGUACCGGGUGGAGACUUCACCCGGUACUAAAGGUUGCACAUUAGUACCUAGUACUAAUUGGCAACCUUUAGUACCGGGUGAAGCCUCCACCCAGUACUAAUUGGUGGGUGGGGAUCCAAAACUUGAACUUCACUGGAUUGAAGUCCACCGCAUGCGUUCGCUCCUCACCGUCUUAUCCGCUCGUGACUCUCCCUCUCUCCCCUGAACGGCCCUCCUCUCUCCCUUCUCCCUCCACGGCGGCCAGUAGUGCCUGGUCGCUUCUCUUCCACCCAUUUUAGGCGCACCCCUCCCCUCCCCUCACAGCUGUCCCUCCCCUCUCCCCUCCGCGCGUCCCUCACUGCGACGCUGGUUAGGAGCGGCGGCGGGGCGAGGUCAGGCGACAGCACGGCGGUGAGGGAGCGCACAGGCGGAGUGGCGGGUGACGGCGUGGGGAGCUACAGCGGGCAACGGUGCAUGAAGCAGCAACGGGUGAUGGUGCGUGGAGCAGCGGGAUCUGCAGCGCGACGCGAAUCUGCAGGCCGACGUGGUAGGAGAACGUGGAGGCGUGGCGGGGGCAGCGGGAUCUAAGGGGUGGCGGUGCGGCAGGACGAUAGCUGUGGCCUCACCUCUCUCUUUCUCUCUCUUUGGGUGAGGGUGGCUGGCGGCGGGAGGGGGCCAGCGGAGUAUGUCGCGAGGGCGGCGGCGCUGUGGGGGUGGCCGGGUGGGGUCCCUAAAUUAGUACCGGUUGUUUAUACAACCGGUAUUAAAGCCCCCUUUAGUACCGGUUAUUUGACCGAAAUAGCAAUACCGGUUGCACAACUGGUACUAAAGGGAUUUUUGGACCCGGUACUGAGCAGUGGUGAUAGAGGUUAGGUUUAGGAUUUUGAGGUUCCCGGGGCUCUAAUGUCCACAGACGUUAGAAAAAGAAGGUUGCCGGCGGCUAUGGUUCGGCCGGAGGGGGAGGCGAGGCGGCGCACGAGCAUUGUUGAUUGGGCAGGGCUGGAUAACUGGUGGGUGGUGGCCGGCGGCGGGGUCGAGGAAUGCCACUAGGUUAGGAAGGGUGGGGUGUGAGGGUGGCAGCGGUUGGUGGGCGGACAGCGUAGCGGCGCGGCAGCCACCGGCCGGGGUGGUGGAGAGGUGGAGGCGUCUCUCGGGGAAGAAGCAGGGGUUAGUGGGCCGCUAGCAGGCCUAAGCCAUGAUCCUUAUUUGGCUUCUGGCGGUCAGAUAGGAACCCUGCUACUGGCUGCUGGUCCCGAAGGUCCACGCCAACUUCUCUCUUCCCUUCUCACAAGAGCGCGGGCCUUCAACUCCGGGAUCCUCUCCAGCUCCUAUGCUUCUUCCUUAGAGUAUACAACAAUAAUAACGCGGGCCGAAAGAGCAAAAUUGUUGCAACCACGACCACGGUAAGAGGACAAAAUCAGGCCAGGAGUUUGUUAAGCUUAAAUAAUACUCCAUUCUCAAAUUGGAGGCCCCAUUCUCAGAUAUACAAUGUUUACAACAAACCAACUGAACUAACCUAUUUUUGAACUAAUUAGAUUUUUCGUGGAGCCAUAUGUUUAAGAACAGAGAGAGUGUCUUUUUUUAGAAAGAGUGCCAUGACUAUACCCUCUUGAUUGCUUGUAUAAUAUUGGCCUGUAGGAUCAACCGACGAUCGUCAAUCUGCGAUGUAUCAAGAAAACAAGUUUUGGAUACAAUUGACCGAUGCUUCUCUCUUCAGUCCCUUUGACCAUAUGCAAAGACGGCCAUGAUGGCAUGAUAUGUCUUUCUCGGUUUUAUUUCCGAUUUUGAGAAAUAUGUUAGCUACUCCCUUCCGAGUAAUUCCUUGAUGAAUCGUUUGACACGCAUGAUGCACAUAACAUAGCGGUACAAAAGAAAUUUGAAAGAAGAGUUUUAUAUGAUCAUUUAAAAUAGGGAUGAUCACUACUACAAAAACGAUUUGUAGGGAUGCCCCGUUUUUUUCUAAGGGCGGACGAAAUUUCCACCUGCACCUAUGAAACGGGGAUGGUACUGUAGCAUGUGGCCUGCCUCUGAAGAAUCAUUUGCAGGGGCGGGUGAUGGCAUCACCCGCCUCUGGAAACGAUCUUUCCAGGGCUAUGGAAAUAGCCCCCAUUUGCAGGGGCGGGUGACGCUACCACCCGCCCCUGCAAAUGGUUCACCAGGGGUAGGCCACAGGACGUCACGCCCCUGAAAAUGGGUGACAAAACAGCCAGCUGGGCUUCUUCCUCCUCCUGACAGCACAAUCACUGCUCGGGGGAGGUGCUGCCCGAAAAUCGAAAAAAGCAAAAAAGGUGGGGGAAGGUUUUCAACUUUGUUUCCUUGGAGUUGGAGCUUAUAGGAGGUAAGUUGAUGCUAUUUCCUUGUUUUUUUUAAGCCUAUUGCAUAGGUUUUAGGCUCAAAUGGAGUUCCAUAUAGCUCGAGAUAGAUCUAGAUCUCCAUGGUGUUGAUUAGCCAUUUGAGCUCCAUUUACCUCAAACUUUUGAAUGAAGUUAGGUUAUUUAGGUAGGAGAACAAGAUUAUCUAAUCAUUUGUACUCAACUUUGAUGUUUUAGCCUCAUUCAUGAAUGAUCAAUUCCUAGAUAUCCAUGGAGGAGAGAGAAGAAGAUUUGGUUUUUUCUAUAUUGAUCCAUGCAUGAUAUAAUUUCCAUUUUUUCAAGAUUUUGUGGGACAAAACAAGUUGACAUGGAUGAUGAAUAUUUAUUUUUCAUUUUUCCAAGAUUUCUAUAUUUUUAUUUGUUUAUUAGGAAAUACUACAUGUGUGUAAGUGUGUGUGUGUGUAUGGUGUUUUUAUAUGGUGUAAUUUUUUUUGCUGUUUAGAGAGAUGGAUAGGACAUGGAUGUAUCAAGCAUGAGGAACGAACGUCUAUUUCCAUGGAGAACUUAACAAAUUUAUUAAAGGUGCGGAGAAUAAUGUAAUGGUUCAGAAGACAAAGAUGGUAGCUUGUUCGUGCAAAACCUGAAAGAACAUGAGAGUAUUCGGGGAGACAACUACAAUAAGAUCGCAUGUGAUGGUUCAAGGUUUUGUUGAAGACUACAUGAUCUAGACAUAUCAUGGUGAGAAAGAACCCCCUUAGAAUCCGCUCGACAAAAUCAUGGAAGAUGUCAAGUUUGAUAGAAUGUUUGAUGCUUAAGAUUGUUUUGAUGAGGGUGGCGGCGAUGAUGAUGGUGGUGGCUCCGAUGGAGAUGAUAGUGUUGACGAGGGUGGCGAUGGUGGUUGUGGUGACAAUAAUGGUUAUGAUAGUAGUGGCGACGACGAACUUGAUGACAAUGAUUUUCUGAGCCAGUUAUUGCAUCACACCAAAGUGGAACUAUUGGUUGGUAGUGCAAAAGGCAUUAGGAAACUUCAAGACGGUGAAGAAAUCAGUGGAGGAGAAUGUGUACGAACAUUCAAAGAGAUGUCCAAAAUAAUGGACCGUACUUCAUUUCAUACUUGAGUUGUUGAUUAUAAAGGCUAAGCAUGGUUGGUCCAAUGGUACUUUCAAUGAUCUGCUGCGUAUCUUGGCUUGGUUGCUUCCAAAGCAAAAUAGAGUGCUCGCCAACACAUAUCGAGCAAAGAAACUUGUCAGUCCAUUCACAAUGGGUGUGGAAAGAAUUCAUACAUGUCCAAAUCAUUGUAUCUUGUACUACGAGGAUACUUUCAAAGGUUUGGACAAAUGUCCUGUAUGUUCUGCAAGUCGGUACAAAAACAAUUCCAGUUAUUGUGAUGACGACAGGCAAGGUCCAACCGAUGGGAAUAAAAGGAAGAGGAAGGGUGCAAGGAAUAGUGUUGCCACUUUUGAGCUAGAAGACACUACUUUAGGCAUUUCUAAGAAGUAGAGUAGAAUUCCUACCUUGGUCAUGUGGUACCUCUCUGUUGUCGAUCGCCUCAGGCGUUUCUUCUCAAAUCCAAAGAACGCUGAACUGAUGCGAUGGUGGGAUUCAGAUAAGCACAGGAAAGGUGAUGGAAAGCUUCAACAUCUAUCCAAUGCCCGCUAGUGGAAGAAGUUCGAUGAGCGAUAUCCACAAUUUGGAAAUGAUCCAAGAAAUGUUCGAUUUGCACUAAGUACGGAUGUAAUGAAUCUGUUCGGUGAAAGGACCAUCACUCACAGCACAUGAUCAGUGAUCUUGAUGAUGUACAACCUGCCAACAUGGUUGUGCCAAAAGAGAAAGUACCUUUUGAUAUCCAUCCUUAUACAAGGACCAAAGCAUCCUGGCAUCGAUAUAGAUGUUUUUCUUGAGCCUUUGAUACAAGAGAUAAAAACUUUAUGGAAGAAUGAUAUCGACAUCAUUAAUGGUUUUACACUGCAGGAAUUUAAUCUAAGAGCCAUUAUCUUCGUCACCAUCAAUGAUUACCAAGCAUUAUUUGUCUUGUCAGGAUAGGUGAAAGGUAAGACAGGAUGCACGGGGUGCAUUAAUGACACCGUAUGGUCUUUCCUAGAAGGUUCUAGAAAGGUAGUUUACCUUGGGUAUAGACGUUUCUUGGUGGAAGGACACAUGUACCGAAGUAAGAAGGUCUAUAAUUUUUUUGGCGGCAAGCCCGACCUUGAAUCUGCUCCAGAAAAAUGAGAUGGGCACUAUGAUUUCAACAUGAUCAGGACCAUUCAGGUUCCUUAUGGGAAGAUGAUAAAAAAUGAGAAGAAGAGAGAUAGAGAUAAUCCACCUAUCGAUGGCGUGCCAUUCAAGAAGCUAUCGAUCUUCUACAAGUACUUGCUGUAUUGGCCGAACCUUAAAGUCUGCCAUGCCAUCGAUGGUAUGCACCUGAAGAAGAAUAUGUUUGGUAACACAAUUGGUCUCUUCCUAGAGACAUCAGCCAAGACAAAGGAUACCCUGAAGUCACGACAAGACUUAGUAGCCAUUAAGAUAAGACAAGACCUUCACCCCUAUCGAUAAAAGGAAUGGAAGAUAUGAACUACCCCGGCUAGCUACAACUUGACACUAGAUGAGAAGAAGGCAGUGUGCUAGUCGUUACGGGGGAUUAGAGUACCAAGUCGAUUCUCAUCCAACAUCAGAAAACUAGUCUCAAUGAAAGAUCUGUCGCUAUCUGACUACAACUAUCAUGAUUGUCAUGUGAUGCUGACGUUGUUCCUUUCAAUUGCAAUUAGAGCGAUCAAGCUUGUAUAUGUGAAGAUGGUUAUCACUUGAUUGUGUUACUUUUUCAACAAAAUUUCUCAAAAGGUUAUUGAUGAAGAUGAAUUGAAACACCUCAAAGAAUUUAUUGGGGAGACUAUGGUGCAAUUGGAAAUAUGCUUCCCUCCAAGAUUUUUCAAUAUUAUGGAACAUCUCAUGAUUCACAUGGUUGAUCAGAUACGGGCACCUCACAAUAAUGUCAUCUUUAGUCUGUCAACACUUGAGUGUGAUUCGUGCUCAAAUUAAGGGCCGCUCGGAAGAUUGGAUCAUGAGGGAGCACAAGUGUCGUUUGACCGCAUGGUUGAAGCACCUAAAUCUACCAGAUGGGAAAACCAUGGAAGAUCAAACGAUCAAAAGAUUGGCAGUUGGCCCAUCUAGGCAUGUCACGUCAUGGCAAGGUUAUGAUAUUAAUGGAUAUCUAUUUUAUACUACCGCGAAGGAUAAGAAGACUCUAUCUCGGAACAGUGGUGUUUGUCUUGAGGCCUUAGAGGAGAGAACCGGCCAAAAUACCACAUAUUAUGGUGUCAUAGAUGAUAUACGGGAAGUCCAAUAUGGUUCCAAUAUACAGAUCCGUUGGGUCAAACAUCCAAAAGGUGUUGAAGUGGACGGCUAUAGGCUCACAAUUGUUGACCUCAACAAUGUUGGUUACAAAGAUAGCCCUUGGGAACUUGCUCAUAGGUUGCACAGGUUAUGUAUGUUGUUGAUCCUGCAAAAAAGACAAAGUACAUUGCAGUCCCUGGAAAACAAAAAAUCUUAGGAGUUGAUUGUAUCGAAGACGUUGAAGAAUAUAAUCAGUACAAUGAAAUGAACCUCUUCAUAGACCUACCACAGAAGAUGAUGAUUUUUACCUACCGCAGAAGAUGAUGAUUUUAGAAGCAAGUAUAAAGAAAGAUGAAAUGCCUUGGGCACGCAAGGACGGAGAAUUAAGAAUUGUUACCGUGUAAUAUAUAACUAGUUUGAGUCUAUUUAACUCGUGUAAUAUGUAGUUUGAAUUAAUUAUCUCAUGGACUUUAAAUCAAUUAUGUCAUGUAACUGAAUCAAUUACCUAAUACUUUUGAAGUUGGCAUAUAUAUUUUUCAUUUGAGAAGCAUAAUAACUUUUGAAGUUGAAUGUAUGAGUAUAUGUGAAUGUGUUUAGUGGAUGUAUUUUUUGAUUGCAAACUUUUACAAUUUAUCUCGGAUGAAUAUAAACUUUAUAUCAAAAUUGUAGAGCUCAACGAGACAUUAAACUUUAUCGUUGACAACUUUUGCAUUUGAGAUCAUUUAAUAGCUCAAAAAUACAUUUUAGAAGAAAAACAAAAAUGGAGAAACGAUUUCUAGGGGCGGGUGAAUCCAUCCCACCACUGGAAACGAUUUUCAGGAGCGGGUGACUCCAUCACUCGCUCCUAUAAAUCCUUUCUAGAGGUGGGUGGUGGUGCCACCCAUCCCUGCUAAUGGCACCCUAUAUAUGAUAAUGCCUGCAGGGAGUUAGCCAAAUUUUUGGAGAAGCCCGUGGGAUGCCAAUAGGCCGCCAAAAUUUUCCCCCUCCCUCCCCCGGACUGGUGCCACUCCCCUCCCCCACGGGCUCCGGAACCGUCGGGCCACAGCGUCGCCUUUCCCAUCGUGGCGCCUCCCCGCGCCACCUCUCCACCGCCGGACCGUGCAACAUGGGGCGCGCCUCCUUCCCUCCUCUCCACCGCUGCGGGGUCGGGUAGCCUCCUCCUCGAGUGCCGCCGCCUUCCAGCUGAGCCGCCUCCUUGCCCGGCCGCCUCCUCAUCCCUGCCGGCCUCGGGCAGCCUCCUCCCCAAGCACCACCUCCCCACUGGGCCACCGCCUACCUGCCACGGGUAAAUUUCUUCAAUUAUUAUGUAAACCAACAAUUGUAAAUUUCUUCCAUUAUUUUGGACAAUCAUUGAAGUUAAUUUUUGGAAAAAUCUAUCUUGUCUAAAUUAUCAUUGCAGUUGAUGUUUGUGGAAUUAUCUAUCUUAUUACAAUUUUAUUUUGAUAUUUUUGGCUAACUAUGGCAAGUGGAAGUGGCAGCGGCGGCUGUGGAGGUGGCCGCCGUGGUGGUGGCAGAUCAGUUCCCAACAUAGUAAUAUCCUUUCCUUCUUUUAAUUAAUUUUUUUAAUACACAUGAAUAAAUUCUAAAUUUACUUACAUACAAUGUAGCUUAUCAACCCUAUUACAAUGGGUUAAAGAUGUUGUCGAAGUUAUAAGUGGUACUUCUCUUGUAAUGCAAACCGAAGGUGUCGGUGAACCUCAUUUUAAAAGAGUACAUAUCACUUUACAAGUACCUAUUUGAGAUACAGAUUUCACCUUGAUGUCAACAGGAGAGGCCAUCCCGAUGGUUUCAAUUGCCGCAUGGGGUCAAAUAGCACCAACGGGUAACUUUUGAGAGGACCGUCAUAGAGACCUGCCUAGAGCAGCUUAAGGAUCAUGGGUACUUUGUGCCAAACUUGUCAUAUUUUUUAAUAAAGUAGCUUGAGGAGGGAGAAGACAAUGUGAUUGUGACUACUAAGAGACUUUAUCGACUUAAUCAACAUGACAUGGUAUGGAACAUUCUUUUAUCAUUCUUAACUUUAGUUAUGUUACAUCUUUUAACUUUCAUCGUGUUAUUAUCAUCUUUUAGGAUAUAUUUGGUACUACCAUUGCGGCAACGAGCUUUCAUACGAUUCUGGAUCAAGUCUUGGAUGUGUUUGAUUUGACUUACAUGGGUGGAAACUCGAUAUUCACCAGAGAUUGGAAGUUCCAGGCCCAGCUCACUUUCUAUAGGCCACAUCAAUUAACAUCUCCAUUGUUCGAGAUUUAUAGUAGUGUAUGUGACCAUCCAUAUGAAGCGAAAGAGAGUGCACUCAUCCGUGCUCUAACUUAUUUUGAUGAAGUUCUAGGCUGGAUGAUUGGAGACCUUAACUAUGUUCCAUAUCUAAGCAUAUCUAAGGAAGCGAGCUAGAUUAGUACGAAAUAUGUAACAUGUAUGGUUGUACGCCUACCCUUUUCUUAUGGAUUUAAACUUGUUCCCUCUACGACCUUUUAAGUAUUGAUGUACGAACUUGCACUAUUAUCAGGAGCAGACUACUUGCUCCCGCAAACAGCUAUUUGUAGCUGCGAAAGCUAGGAGCGGGUGGCGCGUCCGCCCUACAAAUGUCAUUUCAACCGUCCCUAGAAAUCAUUUUUUAUAGUGGGUGAACUUAUUUUAUAUAAUUGAGAAUUAUCUUUCUUACUUCCUGUCCCCACAUGACAUCUUAAAAUUGACUCCCUUUUUGUCUUCAUAUGAUUAGGAAAUAAAGAUAUGACAAUCAAUUCUAUCACCACGUUUAUUUCAAAAAAAAUCCAUCACCACGCAUCCAAUUCGAUAAGUGUGCUAGUCCAUGAAGUGCACGCGGAGCUUGCAGAGGUGACAUGUCAUGCGCUCUAUGGGCAAUCUCCCAGCCCAAGUAACAGAUAGUUUCUUUAAUUAGUUUGUUAGCCAUAUAGGUACUACACAUACAGAUUACAUUCACAAUAGUUAGUUUUUUUUUCAAAAUAAAUUAUCAUCCAAUCCCUUUUCUUUUCUCAACUUUUCUCUCUAUCCCCGCCCUUCUUUCCUUGGUUCUCAGGUAUUCAUGGUUUUUUCAUGAGAAAUUAUUUCUUCUACCUCCUCCUUAAUUCUCUUGCCGCCUUAGCAAAUUGUUUACAUGACAUUAGGAUUGUUUGCAUGAGAAAUCAGCUGUUAGUGACCGUGGAGCAUUAAUGGGGUUUGUUAAAGUGCUUGUGAAAAAAAAGAGUGAAGAAAAUCAACUUUGGAGCUGAUGGCUCCAUCAGCUUGCCUAUAUUCAAGUGCAGCAAGAUCACCCCUAUCAGUUCGGCUCAAUAGUAAACUGCCUUGUAAUUGACUUAUCACAGCGAUAAGUCGUCCCCUCAGUCUACUUCUACAGCACUACUGAUAUAUAUAUUAUGUCUUCUACAUCUUCAAGGAUCCUUAUGAGGCUACUUUACUAUAAUAAUGUUGAUCUCCGAGGGUAAUGGAGCCAUGUGCUCUGUUUGAUUAUUGUUUCUUGACUUGUUCUCACUCUAGUUACAACUAAACAUCAUUCUGGGUUUAAUUUCCUGGAUAACAAGUCUUUUUAUGUUUUGUAGAUCAGACAGCUGAAAAUGAUAAAGGCAAUAGUAUUACCUAGCUUGAAAAAAUAUUGUUUCAUAGUAUUACUUAACGCGUUUAGCAAAACAUUAAAAUAGAAAUUUAAAUUUAAAUUUGCGUUCUGGGGUGUGUUAGUGUUGUUGAUAUGUGAAAUAGUGCUCUUGCUGACUUUGAAGGAGUUAGUCAAUUGAAAGUCAAGCCUUUUGGAAGGUAGCAUUCGAUCUUCUAGUCAGUUCUCCAAUAUGAUGUCUAUACUGCAGAUCCUCUAGUACAAAAAUGAUGUAAUAUAAUACACGUGGAUCUAAGUCGUCCUAACCGGUAAUCGAUGUCCACGGCCAAAUCCCUAGCUAGUCAGACUAGUCUAAGAAGAAGAUUUGCUGAUCUGCUGUGUCACAUGCCAUUCCAGCCAACCGAUAUUAUGCAGGAGUCUACGGCAAGUUCUCUAGACUAUCACGGCGCUUAUUCAUCCUUGAUCCGGCACACAUGCAGCAGUUUUUAAGGGUGCCACAUGGCCAGGAGGGAUCUGAAACCCUUGCAAAUUGUGGAUUCAAGAAGAUUCUUGUUUGCAGUGCAUGAUCCUACGACCUUUUUGCAUUCCAAGCGACAGUGCUGAGGAUCAGUGUAUAAUAUCCAGCUGUUUCUAGUAGCGAGGGAAAUCUUAACGACAGCUUGAGUACACAUUGGUAAUUAGUGAAGAGAGGUCAAAAUCAAUUCUCUACGAGACCUAAUUCUAUGAGAGAAGUGAUUCUGUGAAUAAAUAAUUUUCUUUGAUUCUCUAGUAUAAACUCUUAAAAUUAGGAUGGAGAAUCUCUUCACAGAAUCAGAAGAAGCAACUUUUUUCAGCUCCCAACCUCUUAGUUCAUUUUAGAGAAUCACUUCUCUCUUAAAAACUGUUUGGCAGAGCUCCUGCUGGAUUCAACAGGGAAUCAGCUCUGGGAGCUCUGUCAAACACAGUUUUCACUGCUGGGGAAAGCCCUAUCAGUACCGGUUGGGAACCUCCUUUAGUACCGGUUUACUACUAGUUCGGUACUAAAGGGGACCCUUUAGUACCGGUUGAAAUAACCGGUACUAAAGGGUAUUAAAAAAUUAAAAAAAAGAAAUCCCCGCCCGGGCCCUCCCCUGGCCUCCCCCAAUGCCACCCUCCGCCCUCCCCCCGGCCUCGCAUCCCGCCAGCGAGCUCGGAUCCCGCCGCCCCCGGCCCACAUCUCGCCGCCACCGCCACCACUGCAUCCCGCCGCCACCACCACCGCCACCCCCGCAUCCCGCAGUUGCCGCUCCAUCCGCCAGAUCCCGCCGCUCCAUCUGCUGGAUCCCAUCGCCACCGCUCCAUCCGCUGGGUCACAUCACCGCAUCCCGCUGCCCCCGACCUCGCAUCCUACCGGCCGCUUUGUGCCUCAAUGGCUACCGUCGCAGCGCCUCGCCCCGCCGCUGCUCCUCGUCUCAAGCACGAGGUGACGGGCGAGCAGAGGGGGAGGAGACGGGAGGCUGGGGAGGGAGGGAGGAGGCCGGUAGAGGAGGAAGGAGGGACUCCUGGAGGGAGGGAGCUAAGGGAGGGCGAGGGAGACGGAGGGAGGUUGAGAGGAUAAGGCCAGCUAGCGGAUGGAGAGGAAGGCGGAGGGAGGGUGAGAGGAUAAUGCCAGCUAGUGCCUCGAGGGAAGGGAGGGGGCUGGUGCAAAUUAAAGUCCCCGCGUGUAGAUGGAGGGAGGCGGAGGAAACCCUUUAGUACCGGGUGGAGACUCCACCGGGUACUAAAGGUGACCCUUUAGUAUUGGGUAGAGCCUCCACCCGGUACUAAAGGCCCUCAGCACAUUAGUACCGGGUGGAGCCUCCUCUCAGUAAUAAUGGUCACCUUUAGUACCGGGUGGAGCCUCCUCUCAGUAAUAAUGGUCACCUUUAGUACCGGGUGGAGCCUCCACUCGGUACUAAAGGGGUUAGGGGGGCUCCUCGAGGACUAUCCGUUAGGCUCGAUACUAAUGCUCAUAUUAGUACUGGGUCAAAAUGGAACCGGUACUGAGCCUCGAAACGAAUGCUCAGUUUUCCAAUAGUGUUUAGUGGUUGAAGCUUGGUUCUAAAAUUAAUUAUCAAGGCAUCACCUCUGGUCGACUUUGAAAUGCUAGCCUAGCACCCUCACUACCAAUGGCGAUAAGAUGCGUGCGACAUCUCCACUUUUCAUACCCUUCCAUCCAACCAAAUUAAACCUUAGGCAAAGGGAGGUGCUGUCUCCUGUGUGGUGGUUGCAUGAACAAAUGCAGUGGCAACCAAUGAUGUGGCAUCAAGAUCCGCAUGGGCUGCCAGCUGAGAUCUGCGUUGCAGAGCUAGCUGCGGUGUAGGUGAUGACUGCCGAUCUCGCAGGAUUGCCACUGCCUACGCUGCUGGCGUCAUCUCUAUUUCUCACGCUGCAGGUUUGUCGCUUGUGGCACAUAUGUUUCCGAUGACAUGUCCUCCUUAGAGGCAGCGUCCCUUUGGAGUUCCUGCUCCACGCUGCUAAGUCCCCGGCUGUCAGCUCCUUGUGCAUGUCCACUGUCGUUGUGGAGUUAUUAAGAGGCUGCCACUCGCCUAUACCACUCUGAAUUCGAUGGAUGGUAUUAAAGGUCCUAGGCUCCUAGCAACUCUUGCUUGUGUGGUUUUAUCAGCCAUAUGCACAUAUGGUUUAACUUGUGAUUCUUGGUGCCACUGUUUCCAUUCUUCUCAAUCAAGCUUUGUGCGUUGGUGAUCGUCAGUGCUGUAUAUCAAGCUUUGUGCAGCGCCGGUUGUUUCAUCAGACGGUGCGGACUACAAUGGUGCAUCAUCAGAUGAUGUUGAUAUGUGUGCAUUUCGUGAUUCCAUUGCAAAAUCCUUGAUGGAAAAUAGAGGGUAGAUGCAAAAUGGAUGGUGCACGACUCACUUUGUAUGUAAUAGCAUAAAGUUGGUAUUUUGUAUAGGCUUAAAAAAAAAAGCUACUCAUGCUUGGGAUAUGCUUUUGUGUAAGCUCGAUGAAAGAAUGGAAAUACUGUAUGAUUAUAUAGAUUAAAUUUACUAUUUAGUUAAUUUAUUAGUAGGAAAUAUCAAAUAAAACAAAUGAAAUUGUAUUAACCAAGCUCUUCGGGCCAUUCAUUACAAUUUACCAGGCAUUCAUUAUACAGAGGGUAUUUCAGACAUUCCACUCUCCAGCUCAACAGCCAGCUAUCCAAAAGCUAGGUUGCCAAACAGACUAGCUUAUCAAACUAGAGAUUCUCAAGUGAGCUUCUUGGACAAGCUGCUUUUGGGAAAAGCUCCAGCUACCCCAAACGGGGCCGAGUCAGAAGGUUUUUGUAUCAAGUGAAAUAUGAUUGACGUAAUUAUACGUGCAUGUGUGCCAAUUGCAACAAUAAUGCACCUACAUUUCAGCACUCACCUCGUCAGACACUCAACAGGUACUUUAGUACUGACAACGGUACUUGCCACUUGGUAAGUUUGAAAUGUAAAACCGGCGGCGGCCUUCGUAUGCAUUUUAAUACUGCAGGGCCAAAUAUGAAACAAAUUUGUCCUGGCUUGAAGACCACGAAAUUCGAAGCUAUGCCACGAGAGUCGCGAGACCUGUUUUUCUUACCGCGCACUGCCCGGGUACCUAGUUCACACAUAUAAAGUGUGCCCUUGCUUCUUGCCCUAGCUUCUUCAGACUUCCAGUGCGUGCCCUUGCCCGGCCGGCAGCAAAUGGAGAAGCUCCGCUGGAGCAGGAGCUCGUCGUCCCCGCGGAACCAGGCGGAGAGGAAGGGCUUCCUGGCCAAGACCGUGGAGCGGUGCCGCCGGUCCCUCAGCCGGCGGCGUUCACCGGCGGCGCCGCCGGGGUGCUUCGCGGUGCUGGUCGGCCCGGAGAGGGAGCGGUUCGUGGUGCGCGCCGAGCGCGCCAACCACCCGCUGUUCAGGGCGCUGCUGGACGAAGCGGAGGCCGAGUAUGGGUUCCCGCACCCUGCGGCCGGGCCGCUGGUGCUGCCGUGCAGCGCCGAGGAGUUCCGGCGGGUCAUGUCGGAGGUGGAGCGCGAGGAGGACGGGGAGAAGGAAGACGUUGCACGCGGCGCGUCCGUUGCUGCCUCGUCCCCGGCGUGGAGGUUCUUCUCCGGAGGAGGUGACCAUGCAGGUUAUGUGAAGAUGAGCCCAGAGCCCGACACGUACGGGCCACUUUGCGAGCUAGCAAUGUAACCAAUUGACUAUUUUGCUCGAGUAGGAUAACCAUGGAUCGUUUCACUUCUAUACUCUAGUUCUCUUUGUCUGUUCGAGGAGUGGGUCAUAUCCUUCACCACAUCAUUUCUCACAGCAAAUUAAGCAGAUGCAAAUGCAAACCUAUAAGGAAAAUAGUCCUAGGCCAUAAUAUGAUUUUGGUGAUUAAUGAUAACAUAUUCAUCGGGACUAAUGUAUUGGCAAAAUAUACUUUUAUAGAUAUUUUAUAGGUCCAAGGAUGAAUUACAAAACUAUCAAAAUGAGAAGAAAAAGAAAAGACUUGGAAGAAUUCUACGGCAUCCAAAUGAUAGUAAAAAAUCCAGAGAUAGUCUUCUUCUAAGGCUUACAAAUGAUGAUAAUGAAGCUGGGACAAAGACACGUGAAGAUUUGAAGCGAAUCCUGCUGAAAAUAUGCACCGAUCCAUACUCUGGUACUAGUAACCGUCACCGACAUAUUCGGUGAUCACGGGCAGGGCCAAGGUACGUGCGUGCACUGUUACCAUCGAUUCAUACUCUGGUAACAGUAACCGUCACCGAAUCAGUCAGUGAUCACAGGCAGGGCCAAGUAGGCGCGUGCACUGUUACCACCGAUUCAUACUCUGGUAACAGUAACCAUCACCGAAUCAGUCGGUGAUCGUCAGCUCAGCUCAGCAUUGGCUCAAAAUCAGCUUUGAAAGGUUUGGAGUAUAAUUUGAGCCUCACCAAUUCAUACGGUGGCUACAGUAAUCAUGGCAGCGAAUGAGUCGGUGAUACGCAAAAAGUUACAACGGCUAUGUAACGGCUAGUUCUUGGAGUUGGGGCUAUAUAUACCCCAUUGCCUGGCUAUUUGAGGUGUCUUAGAGUUUGGAUAAGCUAUAGGCUUGGUUCUCACAUACACACAAGUGCUCUAUCCACCAAAGCACAAAAGAGAAGGUUAAGGCAAUUAGCAUAAGGCUAAGGUCUUGAUUAGUGCUAGUUUAGGUAUUUUAGCACAUUGUUUUGGGGAUUAGCCUAGAGUUAGGCGAGGUUUGCACACUUCCUUUGUAUCGGUGCUUGCGCGCACCAAGAGUUGUAAAUCCGGGGCUCGUAAGUCUUGUGAGACCCUCCAACCGUAUUUGUGGAGUGGCCACCGGUGCUUGUGAGAGGGAGGAGAGGCUCUCGACAUUUUGCCGAAGCUCUACCAAGUGAAGAGCGGCAAAGAGCAUCCGGGAGAGGUUAGGCAGAGACCCAUUUGCACGUGGGGAAGGCCCGCCGGCUAUUCUACGGAGUUACUUGACCGGAGAGUUUAUGCCCUUGCGCGGGUAUUCCCUUUGAGAGGGGCUCCAACAACGAGGACUAGUGGAAAGCUUUGCUUUCCAAUACCUCGGUAAAAAUCACUGUGUCGUCACGCUGGGAGUUUGUCUUCUCUACCUCAUUUACCUUCCGCAUUUCUAAUUGCACUUUACAUUCUGUGUUUACCUUUCCUAGAAUUUCUAUGUGUAGUUUAUAUGAUUGAAACCUAAGGUGCAAAACUCUUUUGCGGUAGAGAUAGCAACACAUAGAAAAAUCUAGUGCACAUCUAAAUAAAGAUUGAAAUAGAUUUUUUAUAUGUACUUGGAGCCUUAGUUUUUAGAACAUCCAAUUCAGCCACCCUCUAAGGGUGUCACGGUCCCUUCAAUUGGUAUCAGAGCCGGUGGCUCAUAUUUAGACCCUUUGCUUCACCGCCAUUGAGCAAAAUAACAUUCGAAGAGAUUAUGAGUGAUCUCGGUAGGCCUCCACACUUUGACGGCACUAAUUUCCCCUAUUGGCAUGUUCGCAUGUCAUGUUUUCUAAAGGCGAAAGGUUUAGGUGUUUGGAGAGUGACGAAACAUGGAAUGAAUCCCAUAGCUCAGCCGAACAGCCCCACCAAGGCCGAUGAAAAAGAGUUGCAUCUCAAUGCUAUUGCUCGGAAUUCAAUUUUUGAAUCUGUUAGCAUUGAGGUCUUUAAUAGAGUCUAUAAGCUUGAAAGUGCACAUAAAAUAUGGACCACGCUCAUAGAACUCCACAACGGCACGAGUGACGUUAAGGAGCAAAAGUAUAGCUUGAUCAAAGAGGCCUUUGAUUCUUUUCAAAUGUUGCCUGAUGAAUUAGCUAAUUACAUGUACUCACUCUUAAAUGUUAUUGUCAAUGAGCUAAAUGCAAUAGGUUUGACCAAGCUAUCCAAUGCGGACAUCUCAAGAAAGAUCAUCCAUGUUCUUCCCAAGGACAAGUACGCCGCCAUCGUCACCUACUUCCAUUGCUUCGAAGACAUUAACAACUUGAAGCCAACCAAGCUCUUGAACCAGAUUAUUGCUCAUGAGCUAUCCAUGAAGAUUACCAAAAGCCAUUCUCCCUUGAGUAAAGAUGUUGGCACAUCAAGCAAAGAAGAGAAGGAGAAGGAAGAGAAAAAUGAAGAUAAGCAAGAAUCUUCCACAUCAAGCAAAAAGGCUCAAAAGCAAGAAUCAAGUUCAAGCUCAAGCUCAAGUGAAGCUUCAAGUUCAAGUGAAAAAGAAGAAGAAAAUGAUGAUGAGGUGGAAGAUGAAGAGGAUGAUCAAGCAAGUAGUAGCAACUCCUCCAACGAUGAAGAAAUCAAGCAACUUGUGAAAGGAGUAAACAUGCUAUUCAAGAAGCUCAAUUCCAAAGGUGUCCCUACAGAACAAUUGGUUCGCUACAACCUAAGAAAAAAUAAGAAUGAAUGUUUUGGUUGUGGUGAGGAGGAACACUACAUUGAGUAUUGUCCGUUGAUGGAGAAAAUAUACAAGCAAAGAAAGAAAGAAAGAAAAGAAAGGAAGAAGGAGAAGAAGGCAAGCAAGAAGAAGGCCUUCACAAGCAUUGCAAAUAGUAGGUUUGAUAUGACAAGCUCAAGUGAUGAAGAAACCCACCGCAAGCCACGUGCCUUCUUAUCAUCAUCAAGCUCAUUGCACAUUUGCCUUAUGGCAAAAGGUAAGCAUGAUAGCGAUGUAAGUGAUGAUGACUCCUCUCCUUCAAUUAAUGAGCUUGUGGAUCUUGUUCGAAAUCAAGAGGUAGCAAUAACAAAUCUUUUUAAUAAAAAUAAGGAACUCAAAGAAAAAUUGGCUAGCUCAUCAUCCAAUUAUAAAGAAUUGACCGAAAGGUUUGAUGAUGUCAUUGAUCAAAAUGGUGAGCUAACUAAGAAAAUUGAGGUCCUUGAACAAGCUAAAACUACCUCUAACAAGGCAUCCACAUCCUUUCAAAAUAAAUCAAAAAAGGAUGCCUCUACUUCUUGCACUGAUUUAAAUGUUAAAUCUUGCUUACCAUGUUGCAAUGAGACUUGUGCCAAGAAUGUUGUUGUAGUAACAUGAUGAGCUCAAGUAAGAAGUGGAAAGGCUCAUGAAGGACUUGACAAGGCUCAAGGGCAAGGAGAAGGCUAAUGAGAGCAAGAAAUAACCUUCUCAAGAUAACCAUCCCAAGAUGGUGAAAAAGCUUGAGAAGGGUGUAACCGUUACUUGCUACUCAUACCACCAAGAAGGCCACAAGUCCUAUGAGUGCAAGAACAAGAAGAAGGGGGAGCAAAAGAAGAAAGUCAACUCCAACAAAGCCUUACUUGAAGGUUGACAAGAAGAAGAGGACACCCUACCUCCUCAAGAAGAAAGAUGACAAGGUGGUGGCUCACUUGACCAACAAGCAAGGCAAGGGGUGGAACCAACCUAUUUGGGUUCCCAAAGAAAUCAUCACUACCAUGAAGGGCUCCAAGAAGGUUUGGGUUCCAAAGGCGACUUAGAGUCCGCGAGACUCAGGAGGAUUUGGAGACUUGGCCACAAGAGAAGAGCAUUUCAUGCAAGUUUCAAGUUAAUCAAGAUUUGAAGCAAGUUGCAAAUCAUUGACAAAUCCUAUGCCCAAAUCCUCCAAAGGUAACUAGGUAACUAGAUAUCCUUUCAUGCUCUUUCAAUUAGCAUCUAGUUCCUAUGAUUGUCUAGGAUUGCAUGAGAAAAAAAAUUCCUUUGCAUUACCUAGUGUGCAAUUUCAUAUGGUAGGUUGUUUGUGCUUCUCUCUAACCCAUGAGCAAUCUACAUGGUUUAUUAGUUGUAGGAAAAUGGCACUAGUGCUUAUUUCAUAUCUUUUGUGCCAAGUCCAAGUUAUAGGAUAACUUCCCAAUGUUGUUAUUGACUAGUGCAUGUCUCUCACAAGUAAUUCAAAUGUUUGUAUGCAUAUAAUUAAGGGGAGCUAUCUUAUGGUUUGUGAUUUUGAGACUAACAUUGUUUGCAAGCUUAUCAUGUAUGUAGUCUCAUAUUGAAAGAAAUCAAUCCCCGGAGAUAUGCAAGCUUUAACCUUCAAAUGGUGCUCAAAUGUUCACUUGGUAUCUUUGUCUAUAUUGAUAUCAUGCAUUUCAAUUCAUAUAAAGCUAUCUCCAUGCAUAAUAUAUAUUAAACAACUCCUCUUAUCUUAAUUGACUAGUUGUGCAUAUGGUUUGACAUCCACUAUAUGUAUGCACACACUUAGGGGGAUCUUAGUCUAUGUUAUGUGAGUUUCAUGUUCAUGAUCUUAUUUGCCUUCCACACUCAAAAGAUCAUGAUCUAUGAAACUCUCCCUUCUGCUUUUAAUGUCUUCUUUUUUUGGUGUUUAAUUCCAAAGGGGGAGAAUUUUAGCGACCAAAGCAAGUAGACCUUGAAGGGGGAGCCGCCCUUAAGGAGGAGCAUGAAAGAAAGCAAGAACCGCAAGUGUAGGGGAGAUUGUAUAUUUCAAGUUUGGGGGGAGAUUGCAAGAAUUUGGUCUAAGAAAGGGAGAAAAGUGGCAUUGGAAUAAGGGAAGCCUUAUGACCACAUAAGGGGGAUUCCAAAUUAGUUUUCAAAUUGGUAAGAGCAAGGUAUGGUUUACUUCAAUUCGAUAUUCAUUGCAUAUUUCAAUUUGCAUAUGACUCUUGCUCUUGCAUUGCAUCCAAGCAAGUAGUUGUACUUAAUUUCUAUAUUAUCUCUUGCUUCGAUUAUGUUGUCAUCAAUCACCAAAAAGGGGGAGAUUGUAAGGAAAAUGACCCUAGGCCAUAAUGAUUUUGGUGAUUAAUGACAACAUAAUUAUUGGGACUAAUGUGUUUGCAAGAUGUAGGUAUUUUAUAGGUCCAAGGAUGAAUUACAAAACCAUCAAAAUGAGAACAAAAAGAAAAGACAUAGAAGAAUUCUACGACAUCCAAAUGAUAGUAAAAAAUCCAAAGAUAGUCUUAUUCUAAGGCUUACAAAUGAUGGUAAUGAAGCUGGGACAAAGACACGCGCAGAUUUGAAGCAAAUCAUGCUAAAAAUAUGCACCGACACAUUCCACCGACUCAUACUCUGGUAACGAUAACUAUCACCGAAUCAGUCGGUGACUAGUAAUCAUCACCGAAUCAUUCGGUGACCAUAGGUGGGGCCAAGGUAGGUGCGUGCACUGUUACCACCGAUUCAUACUCUGGUAACAGUAACCAAUACCAAAUCAGUCGGUGACCACAGACAGGGCAAAGUAGGCGCGUGCACUUUUACCACCGAUUCAUACUGUGGUAACAGUAACCAUCACUGAAUCAGUCGGUGAUCGUCGGCUCAGUCCAGCAUCGGCUCAAAAUCGGCUCUGGAAGGUUUGGAGUAUAAUUUGGGCCUCACCAAUUCAUACGGUGGCUACAAUAACCAUAGCAGCGAAUGAGUCGGUGAUACGCAGAAAGUUACAACAGCUAUGUAACGACUAGUUCUUGGAGUUGGGACUAUAUAUACCCCAUUGCCCGACUAUUUGAGGUGGCUUAGAGCUUGGAGAUAGCGGCUUGGUUCUCACAUACACACAAGUGCUCUAUCCACCAAAGCGCUAAAGAGAAGAUUAAGUCAAUUAGCAUAAGGCUUAGAUCUUGAUUAGUGCUAGUUUAGGCCUUUUAGCGCAUUGCUUUAGGGAUUAGCCUAGAGUUAGGCGAGGUUUGCACAUCUCCUUUGUAUUGGUACUUGCGCGCACCAAGAGUUGUAAAUCCGGUGCUUGUGAGAGGGAGAAGAGGCCAUUGGCGUUUUGCUGAAGCUCUACCAAGUGAAGGGCAGCAAGGAACAUCCGGGAGAGGCUAGGUGGAGACCCACUUGCACGUGGGGAAGGUCCGUCAGCUAUCCUACGAAAUUACUUGACCGGGAAGUUUAUGCCCUUGCGUGGGCAUUUCCUUUUAGAGGGGCUCCAACAACGAGGACUAGGGGAAAGCUUUAUUUUCCGAUACCUGGUAAAAAUCGCCGAGUCGCCACGCCAGAACUUUGCCUUCUCUACCUCAUUUACCUUCCGCAUUUCUUAUUGCACUUUACAUUCACCAUUUACCUUUCCUAGAAUUACCAUGUGUAGUUUAUAUGAUUGGAACCUAGGGUGCAAAACUCUUUUGCAGUAGAGAUAGCAACACACAUAAAAAUCUAGUGCACAUCUAGAUAGAAAUUGAAAUAAGUUUUUAUAUAUGCUUGGAGCCUUAGUUUUUAAAACACAUGGUUCACCUACCCUCUCUAAAGAUGUCACGGUCCCUUCAUAAGCAAUUGAGUCAUCCCAUAAAAUCCAUAAGAUGAUCCAGCUCGUGAGCGUCGUCCAUCAAACGUUAACUGAGUCCUUGUUUUUAUUGGACUUUAUAUAUAUAUAUAUAUAUAUAUAUAUAUAUAUGAACUUUCGAGAUUUUAUGUUUUUCAUAUUUUUUUAUUAAUGGGGAUCACGAUGAUUUUUUUUUCUUCAUCAUAGAGGCAUGGCGGAGUUGAUGAGCCGAGGCCCAACAAGAGAAGUCGAAUAAAUAUUCGAGUUUUUGAAAUGUGUUAUUCAUAAAAGAACCCCAAUGGCAUUUUCUACCCCGAAUGAACAUCCAACCAUAAUAUAUCCUAUAUCAGUUUCAUUUUUAUUUAGAAAUUAAUUAUUGAUGCAAUUAAAAGGGUUACUAUCAAAGUAAAUAUUUAAAAAAUAGAAAUAUUUUAUGAACUAUUCACAUCCUAAAAUAAAAAAAAAUUUGGGUGUGACUUUUUUCUCUUCUUUUCAAAUUAAACUUAAUUUGAUUAAUGUUUAUUUAAUUUGUUUAUAACUAAAACCUUAUAUCUCGGGUUUUCAUAAUUAAAUGUUAAUUUGACUAAUAUGAAUAUAAAUGUAUUUUUAAUUAUAUUUGGUUAGUUCAACCCGAAUCAUAAAGUUAUACGCUUAGAUGCUUUUACGUGCUGCUUUUAAAAUCAAAUGUUUAAUUUGCUUAAAAUUGUACUUAGCUAUUUAUAAGUAAAAUUGGAUUAAGCUUUACAUCGAGUCUUUUCAUAUGUAAAUAUGACUUGAUUAAUUCCAACUAAGGGUAUUUCUCUGAAAUAUCUUUACAUUAUUUUUUCAACUAAAAUAAAUGAAGCAUGUAGCUCCUAUCUUUUCUUUUACAAAUCCAAACCUCUCGAUAGCUGUACCUUUUCAACCUUAGUUCCUUGCGUUCGUGUGAUCCUAGAAUCGAGCCCUAUCCUUUAGUACACUCUUUUUAAAUCUUUUCUUUUGAUUGGUGUAUUGUUUUUAGUUGUACUUGUUUGUUUGCUUGUAUGUUUGAUUGGCUUCGAGUAGAAGGAUUGUUGUUCGAAAGCUUUGAAGAUUAAGAGCUUCAAGAGAGCAAGAGCUGAAGAGCAAUAAGAGUAACUUUUCAUUGGAGAAAGGCAAGUAUCACUAACCAUCCUUCUAUCUAUACUUAUUUACAAGAAUAUCUUACAUUAAUUGGAACAUGGAGCGACCACCUAGGAAAACAGUACAACCAUAAGACCAACAAGCUCUAGUCUUGGCUAAUUAAUCAGAGACUCUAGUUUGUGAUAGUCUUACCAAAAAGCUAAGAGGGGCUCAUAGGUUGUGCGAUGGCUUGUCCAGCCAAGGGGCGUACGCACCACUUGGGGGAGGGUUCAUCCCUUAUGAGGAAACAUUAGCGGGUUAUCACUUAUUAGGGAAUCUUUAUAAAAGCCUUGUAGCGUCCCUAUGCAGUCACACCUUGGUAGUGUGAUAAGUGGCUACUUUUGCACAGCAUGGUUGGGUCUAAAGUUCUCUUGAACUUUUACGCGACUUAUGGUGGAAGUGUACAACCUCCGCAGAGUGUAAAACUAUUAUAAUAGCCCUGCUCACGAUCAAGAGCAGCCUGGACCCUCAUAUGAUAAUUGAACUUAAAUAUGGACUUAAAUCGUUAUUCUGAUUAUUUCUUGUAGCCUUACUGAGUACCAACCACAAAUAUACUCAUCCUUGCUUUUUGCUGCUCAGAAGAAGGUGUAUGAAGUUUUCUGAAGAUGAUGCUGUGUUCUAGGCGUACGCAACCCCCGGUCGAUUGCAUGUGAAGUUUGGAGCGUCCGUUUCCAGGAUUAAGCAUAAAUCUCUGAUAUACUCUCUUGUUCUUUACGUGAUAAUAUUGCUGUUAUUCACUUAUGAUGUCACUAUAUGUAUGAAACUAGGUCCUGGUAUACAUAUAGGUAGCACUUGAUUUUGUUUUAAAACCAGGUGUGACAGGUUGUUAUUCUGAUCUUUGGACUUGAACAUUUAUAAACAUGCCAGCAUAAUCUGGACAAGUCAAAAUGUCAUCUUAAACUUCAUACUCCAUAUGAAGUGACAAUAAAAUUAAUAACAUAUGAACUAACCUUUCUUGAAUUGUCACCUCAUUUUGUGCUCUACCCUUAAUACGGGUUAAACAUUCAACAAACAUGUUUAUGUUUUCUUGAAUAGCAGACCAGCGGUGUAUGAGGGAACUUUCGAGUACAAUCUAAGUAAUUCGUGUAUAUGCUUGGAAUUAAAAUCAAGUAAUUCGUGGCAAAAAGUUAUCCUCUUUUUGCUAUGGUGUAUUUAUCUUCUUGAGCGUGCUGCAACUAGUAAGUAUUAACUUUGACGAGCCUGGCACGACCAUGCAUGACCAUCACUGGCCAGUGGUCACAAACAACAAUUGACGGGUAGUGCUAGUGCCAAGUGCCAGCGCAUGCGCCCUCACCAAAUCCCUUGUCUCCGUGCUGUUGCAGUUCCUCACAUCUUCGCAUAGUAUGUCCGUAGUAUGCGUUUGGGCAGUGCAUUGGCUGGCAAGAAUAUAAUGUACUCCUACAAAGUUAGUCUAGUCUUGACUCUUUUUUUAACAAAGGUUAGCUAACCAAUUUCCUAAAAGAAAAGGGUUUGAAAGCAAUAGGCCAUGAGCCGCCAGAUAGUGCCAGUGUCGGUGCAUGUCGCCAGAUAAGAGCAAAUAAACCGAUGAUCAGCAGGGUCAUGGAAACUUGGGCAGGAAGAAAUUGCCCACUAACCAAACUCAUGCUCUUUUGUCAUAGAAAAAAUAGCACAAAUACAAGUGGGAGCAUUAUUUUUAAAAUUUGCACUUGACUUACCACCAUUUGGUCCUCCUCCGGUCUCUAUUUAUACCCCACCCAUGCCAGAGAGAGCCUCCCUUUGUCUCUCUCCCUUUGGCAACUUAACGCCAUGGACAGAGGGAGCCUGGGCUUACUUGUUCCCACAAGGACGCACGAGAGGCUCCACCACGGUGGCUUGCUCCACAACUCGUCCAGUAAGCCUCAAAUCAUAUAUCCCUGCACCAGCAAGCAAACUUCUCUUAUUAGUAUCCGUAGAGAUGCUUCCUCGAGUCGGCCUAGCAUCCUCAUUAAGUCUUCCCAAAAUAUAAGACAUUCUAUGGUUUCUAUAGUCACGUUAAUUUGAUUAUUUUGUUUUUUGUCACUUGCCUUUCAUAAAUAAAUAAAUAUAAACAAGUUUUUUCACAAACCCGUACCAAUAUUAAUUAGAGAGGAACUCCGCACAAAGUUAUCUUUAUCUUUUCUACCGACGUGUUACACCCAAAUUCAUGGCUAACAAAGACUGAACAAUAAAACAGGUUUUUUUAGGAUAAAGGCUAUAUAUCCAAACAACCCCUAUGUUGAUGAAAUAUAUCUCCAACCAGCAGCUGAUGAAAUAAACCUGAGUAAGAAUUGAAUAGUAAAAAUAUUUCCUUUUCUUCUUGAAAAGCUCUGCAAGUUACAAGAAAAAACAAGAUCAGUUUGAAAAUCGUUGGAACAGCAGCAUGUCAAAAUUUCAAUCCUUAUACGUAUUUGAUUGCUUCUUUUUCUUGAGCACUGAUGACAUGAACGGUAGUUACUAACUCCUAUGUAAUACUUGCAAGAGAGAAAUACAAAUUAGUAAACUAAUUCUGCCUUUUUUUGUUUUUGACAAACAAAUUUUGGAAUGCAAUAAUGCAGAUCCCACUAUGUUGCAAUAUUUGCGAGAAUGGCCAGAGCUAUAUUCACCUAGCUUCUGGAUGGGUGCUUUUACAUUGAUGCAACUGAUAUUCAUCAUAAGUAUGUCCAGUCAAUAUCUGAUCAACCAAAUAAGUUGGUGCAGACAGAGAUUGAAGAUUGCAGCUCCUGAUGAGCAUUCAUAUCAGGACCAAAAGAAUACAGUCAUAAAGCAGGGUGUAUCAUAUCAAGCAAGCAAAGCAUGCUGCCUGCUUAUGUUAGCAGUUCAUAUUCUGCGGGUAUUCUUAUUGCAGUUCAAUGAAAGACUAAGUAAUUGCAUGUAUCCAUCUUGUGUGCUAAGUGAAGGCUUGCAGGUGUUAUCCUUCAUAAUAUUGUCAAUAGCAGUAUCCAAUUUUCAGGAAACAAAAUCUACUAAACUACCAUUGAUAGUUCGAUCAUGGUGGAUAUUAAACUUUCUGCAAUCAAUUACCAUGGUGGUAUUUGAUCUCAGAUCAAUUUUAUCGGAUCAUGAACACAUAGGAUACAAAAAAUGGACCAAUCUGUUCAAUCUUGGUGUUUGCACUUAUCUGUUUGCAGUUUCAGCCAGAGGAACAACAGGGAUCAGGAUAACUUUCACAGAUAGCAGCAUAACAGAGCCACUUUUGACCCCAUCUGUAGGACAGCAGAUGGAAGCUGAAAGGACAUGUCUAUAUGGAAGGGCAGGUAUUCUACAAUUUAUCACAUUCUCUUGGAUGAAUCCUAUCAUUGCUAUUGGAUACAGGAAAACUCUAGAUCAGAAUGAUGUGCCAGAUCUUGAUGGGAAAGACUCUGCCGAGUUCCUCUCUGAUUCGUUUAAGAAAAUCAUAAAUGAUGUUGAACACAGGCAUGGUAUAACUACUUCAUCAAUAUAUACAGCAAUGUUCUUAUUUGUUAGACGGAAAGCAAUGAUCAAUGCAGCACUUGCUGUGCUAAAUGCCAGCGCAUCCUAUGUUGGACCAUCAUUGAUUAACGACUUGGUGAAGUUCCUUGCAGGAGACAGGCAAUAUGGACACAAAAGAGGUUACCUUCUUGCUUUAGCUCUUCUAAGUGCUAAAGUUAUACAAGCAAUAGCAGAUAGUCAGUGGCGGUUUGGAGCUCAACAGCUCGGGAUGCGGUUGCAAGCUGCUUUGAUAUCUCACGUCUAUCAAAAGGGACUCCAGUUAUCCUUCAGUUCGAGGCAGAAGCACACCAGCGGAGAGAUCAUAAACUACAUGGAUGCAGAUAUACAAAGGAUAUCUGAUUUUUUAUGGUACACAAACUACAUAUGGAUGCUACCCAUUGAGCUCUUUCUAGCUGUUUGUGUUCUCUAUCAAAACCUAGGGGCUGGGGCCUGGGCUGGUUUAGCAGCAACACUGGCAGUAAUGGUUUGCAAUAUUCCGCUAACCAGCAUGCAAAAAAAGUUGCAAGCCAAGAUCAUGGCUGCUAAAGACGAGAGAAUGAAGGCAACAACAGAAGUUCUUAGAAGCAUGAAAAUACUGAAACUUCAAGCAUGGGAUAUGCAGUACCUUCAAAAGAUAGAGGCUUCACGAAGUGAGGAGUACAAGUGGUUAUGGAGAUCUCAGAGGUUGUCAGCUUUGACAACACUUGUGUUUUGGGGGGCACCUGCAUUUAUAUCCUCUGUAACAUUUGGCUCAUGCAUAUUGAUGGGGAUUCCUCUAACUGCUGGUAGUGUUUUGUCUGCCCUUGCAACAUUCCGGAUGCUACAAAAUCCAAUCUUCAGACUUCCUGACUUGCUUUCAGUGUUUGCUCGAGGUAAAGUUUCAGCAGAUAGAGUAGCAAAGUACCUACAGGAAGAAGAACUGAAAUGUGAUGCAGUUACACAAGUGCCAAGAAGUGACACAUGCUAUGCUGUGGAGAUUUAUCAAGGAACAUUCAGCUGGGAACUUGAGACCACUUCUCCAACUCUCCCAGAUGUACAGUUAAGAGUAAAGAGAGGGAUGAAAGUAGCUAUCUGUGGAAUGGUCGGCUCUGGAAAAUCCAGUCUAUUGUCAUGCAUACUUGGGGAGAUGCCAAAGCGAAACGGGACUGUCAGGGUGAGCGGGAGCAAAGCAUAUGUUCCUCAAACUGCCUGGAUCCUGUCCGGGAAUAUCAGGGACAACAUUUUAUUCGGAAAUCCAUAUGACAAGGAAAAGUAUGAAAGGAUAGUACAAGCUUGUGCACUGACUAAAGAUAUUGAAAUGUUUGCAAAUGGAGAUUUGACUGAGAUUGGUGAAAGAGGAAUAAACAUGAGCGGUGGCCAGAAGCAGCGGAUUCAGAUUGCAAGGUCAAUGUAUGAGGAUGCUGAUAUUUACCUCUUUGAUGAUCCUUUUAGUGCAGUAGAUGCUCACACUGGAAGUCAGAUUUUUAAGGUAGGUUUUGUAGUUCCAAGAAACGCACAAAUAUAGUACUAACCAUCUAGGACUUUUAGGACAGUAGUCGGCAGAUAUUCUAAGCAAUAAAUAAUUGGAUCAUGCAGGAUUGUGUAAUGGGAAUUCCUAAAGACAAAACAGUACUGUACGUGACCCACCAAGUUGAAUUUCUUCCAGCUGCAGAUCUUAUACUGGUAGGUGCCUAAAAUAGCUUUUUGUUUAACUAAUCAUGUCCAAAGGAGAUGCCAAGCAACUAACCAUGUGGAUGAAAGUUAACAGGUGAUGCAGGGCGGAAAGAUUGUGCAGGAAGGGAAAUUUGAUGAGCUCCUUCAAAAGAAUAUAGGAUUCGAAGCUAUAGUAGGAGCCCAUAGCCAGGCACUUGAAUCUGUCAUGAAUGCUGAGAGCUCCAGCAGAAUAUCCUCAGAUAAUCAGAAAUCAGCAGAUACAGAGGAUGAUUUAGAUGCAGAAAACAAAACAGAUGAUCAGCUUCAGGGCAUAACAAAACAAGAGUCAGCACGCGAUGUCUCACACGACACCAAUGACAAGGGAAGGUUAACACAAGAUGAGGAGAGAGAAAAGGGAGGCAUUGGCAAGAAAGUUUAUUGGGUGUACCUGAGGACAGUUCAUGGUGGUGCCUUAGUUCCAAUAAUAAUCGCUGCACAGCUAUUAUUCCAAAUAUUUCAGGUAGCAAGCAACUAUUGGAUGGCAUGGGCAUCCCCUCCAUCAUCUGCAACCAACCCAACCAUUGGAUUAGGCCUCCUUUUCUCUGUGUAUAUAACACUAUCUAUGGGAAGUGCACUAUGUAUCUUUGCCCGCUCCAUGCUCACAUCAUUAAUCGGUCUGCUAACAUCAGAAAAGCUCUUCAAGAACAUGAUCCACUGCAUCCUGCGUGCCCCAAUGUCUUUCUUUGACUCCACACCUACUGGGAGAAUUUUGAACAGGGUUGGUUUUAUGAAAAUUUUAUACUGCAUCACAUGCCCUAACAGUACUAAAGUACGAAACUAAUGUGUGUUUUUCAUGUAACAGGCCUCCAGUGACCAACGUGCUCUAGAUAUGGACAUAGCAAACAAGCUUAGUUGGUCCAUGCUUUCAGUCAUACAAAUCCUGGGGACCAUUGGUGUUAUGUCACAGGUUGCAUGGCCAGUUUUCGCCAUCUUCAUUCCAGUGAUGGUUGUCUCUGUCCUUUAUCAAGUACGAACUCUUAGACAAGAACUUCAGAUCUUGCUUACAACUUUGGUGUUCUCUUUACCAUUAUGCAUAUGGUUACUAUUGCAAUCAAUAAAUUAAAGGAAGCUUAAAUACCAGUUUUCUGAAUCCAUAUACUUUGUAUAAUGUGCAGCGCUACCAAAUACCAGCAGCAAGAGAGCUGGCUCGUUUGAAUAAAAUUCAAAGGGCUCCAAUCCUACACCAUUUUGCAGAAUCACUAUUAGGAGCAUCAAGUAUUAGAGCAUAUGGACAGAAAGAUCGUUUCAUAAAAGCAAACCUUGGUCUUUUUGACAGUCACUUCAGACCAUGGUUCUAUAACUUCGCUUCCAUGGAGUGGCUUUCUCUCAGGCUAGCCAUGCUAUCCACUCUUGUCUUUGCGGUUUGUUUGAUUCUGCUAGUCAGCCUUCCUGAAGGUUUAUUGAACCCAAGUAAGAUGUAUAUGCAAAGCCCUUGGUGAUUACAGAAGCCUCAAUAUGUCUUAUGUUUAGUGAUUUUCAAACUAAUAUAAUUACACAUGCAGGCAUUGCUGGACUUGCAGUGACUUAUGCAUUGAACCUCAACUAUCAGUUGACGUCUAUGAUUUGGAACAUUACCAGCACAGAGAACAAAAUGAUAUCAGUAGAAAGAAUAUUACAGUACUCAAGGAUACCUAGUGAGGCUCCUCUAUUAGUUGACUACUGCCGCCCACCAACUAGCUGGCCGCAAAAUGGAACUAUCAGUAUAAGAUGCUUGGAGGUAUGUGAAAAAGAAUCAUGAGUUAUGACCUAACAUGAGUGCAAACAUAAUUUUAUUUCACCAAUGAUUUUAAAAAUCUUUUGCUGAGUUGGUAAAAAAAAUUAAUUUAUUCAUUAACGUUGAAGUUAAAUAAUCAUAUGCACAAAAUAACAGCAAGCUGUCAGAAAAAUUCAUCUCACGAAAGCGCUCGGUUUAUAAUAAUUAUAUAAAUAAUCACGUAGCUCUUACUUUUUAUUUUCUACAUAAUAAAUUAAACAUGUACUAUGUAUUUUAUCUCAAUAUAUGCAUUAGCUCAAAUGGAGCCAUCUAAUGUGACUUUUUGCUUUUACUGUUUUACAGGUUCGAUAUGCAGAGCAUCUCCCAUCUAUUUUGAGAAGCAUAUCAUGUACAAUUCCAGGAGGGAAGAAAGUGGGGAUUGUAGGACGUACUGGCAGUGGAAAGUCAACUUUUAUCCAAGCCCUUUUCCGGAUCGUUGAACCACGGGAAGGCACAAUUAAAAUCGACAAUGUUGACAUCUGCAAAAUAGGGCUGCAUGAUUUACGUGGCAGACUUAGCAUCAUUCCACAAGAUCCAACCAUGUUUGAGGGAACCGUAAGAGGGAAUCUUGAUCCACUAAAUGAGUACUCUGAUCAACGUGUGUGGGAGGUAACUUAAUCAGCUACAAAUACCAUCAUGAUAAAGAAAACCUUAAUUACCAUUUGAAAUAGGGAUAAGUCAUAAAUUAACAUGUUUCCCUCACACUGCAUGUUUGAUACUACCACCAAACUUUAAAUGACUGAAGCCAGAAUGGGGGAAUGGAUGUAAUUGUUAUAGUAUAAGUGCACCAACUGUACAUUGCAAUUAGUAACACAAUACAAUUCCUAAAGAUUUUCUGGUAACUCAUAACCAACCCGAUCGAAAUUCAUAAUCUAUUGACAUAAAAGUGCACAGAAAAGGGAAAGUACCACUCAAAAGAAAAUGAUGACUAGAGGGAGUGGAGACAGCCACCUGAUCAGAAUAUUGGUUUGCUUAUUUUGUUCAGGUAUUGGACAAAUGCCAGCUUGGCGAUAUAGUUCGGCAAAACCCAAAGAAGCUGGAUUCAACAGGUAAUGCACUAUUUCAGGUCUAGUGGCCAAUGUGAAAACGUAGUGUUCAUGGGUAGGUGGUACUGUAGUAGUUACCGUAGUCUUGUAGGUAAGGAUAUCUUCAAUGAGACUAUAACCAAACGGGAUACCCCCUGCAGUUUUCGAGAAUGGAGAAAACUGGAGCGUGGGCCAGAGGCAGCUGUUUUGCCUUGGUAGGGUUCUGCUAAAGAGAAGCAACAUCCUCGUACUUGAUGAGGCAACUGCUUCAGUUGACUCCUCCACUGAUGCAGUUAUCCAAGAAACCGUCCGCCAAGAGUUUCGGGAUUGCACAGUGCUUACAGUGGCACACAGAAUCCACACGGUUGUUGACAGCGAUCUCAUCCUCGUCUUCAGUGAAGGUAUAAGGCCCGGGUUCAAUGAACAAACAGCAGUCCGCUGCAUGUUAUUGGAGGACCUAGCUGCAGUGAUACUAAAAUCCAUACUGUUUUAUGAUGAGCAGGGAGGAUCGUGGAAUACGACACUCCGUCGAAAUUGCUGAAGAACGAGAACUCUGAGUUCUCCAGGCUCGUCAAGGAGUACUCGAGGCGAUCCCACUGCUCCAGCGGCAGAGGAAACAACUGUAACAGGGGCAACUAGCACAGCAUGAAGACAGGGAUUGAAGUGAACUUCAAAAUCAAUCGUAGUGGCCUAGUGGGUGGCAUAGCACUAGCUCCUAGCUAGACUCAGUUAUUCUGUUGCUGAUGGGAUCAAACGUCCUGUAUAAGAAAAAUAAACGAUAAGAAGCACAUAUUCUGCGUAAAUGUGUGCACGCGAAUGGUGACAGUAGGACGUUUUGCCUUUUUCAACUGUAAUACUUGAUCGGGGCCUUACACAUCGCAGUGCGUCCGGUCAGGCAUUCCAUCGAGCAGGCGACGGGCAUAUGGCAGUGCGCUCGAGACCGGCGCCAACUUAACGGCGCUAUCCCUAGCCUACCGGCUAUUGGAGAAGGAGGAGGUGGGAAAAACGGGCAGGCGGGUCGUCGGUGUCAUCGCCGGAGCGGGGUUCGGGGCGGAGGAAGGGGGGCGAUGGGUGGCGGCCGUCGGCUGAAAGGUUGGGGAGGGCGGGAAGCACAGCAGAGCCGCAGAGAUGGUUCGUGUCGGCUUGGCUUGCGUUAGGAUAUGGAGCUGGCUCGGCUCAAAAAACAAGCUAAACUACCUCAAACACGGCAAAUCGUGCUUAGAGCAGUCAGUGUGUUCUAAAAGUUAUUUUUCGUUUUUCUCUUUUCUCUUUGAGUAUCCAUCGGCGCACCGCAAGACGCAAUGCUAGAUGAAAAAACUCGGCAUCGAUGACUCUAGUUUUCUUGAUGCAUAACUACUCCAAUAGCAGGCUGCUGCUCCCUGUCAGUGAGAAGGAAACUAUAAUGGGAGAAGAAAACAAAGCAUCGUUAGUUGUCGGUGUUAAAAUCCGGCAACCUACCAAGAAGAAUACCCAAGGUAGAGUCUUGGUUGGUAGGUGUCGCCGAAAUCAGAAACUCGAUGGUAUACGUAGGCACGCGAUUUAGACAAGUCGGACCGCUAGAUCGCGUAAUACCUACGUCCUGUGUGUUAUUUGCUUGUAUUCAAUUGAACUUUCUAGAGAGGUCCCUGCCUGUCCUUAUAUAUUGGUGGAGCAGGAUUAAGGAUCGGUUAUUUUACAGGAAUACCAGUCGGAUUCGACCAGAGAGUCCUACUCUAACUGCUAUGAGUAGUUUCCGAGUCCUCGACUAGUCCCUGUCCUCCACGUAGACUACGUCGUCCUGCACCAUAGUCUCCAUAUCUGACACGUCUCGGUGCACAACCCUAUAUAUGGGUCUGUCCAAAUCUUCUGAUGGGCUUGUGGAUGUAUGUACGACAAGCCUCGAGUACAUUUUAGUCAAAUGCAGCAGUCCCGAGUACCUUUACAGGCUUCAUCGACUAGUUUUUGAUGCUCUUCUAAGUACUCUGUCAAAGUUGAGCCUUCAAGUAACUCGAGUACUGCCAUGCGGCUAGAAUGUGCUCAAGCCUCAUCCGACGCUAUGUUGAAUAUCUGUCCUUGAAUUUAUAUAUGGAAGUGCGAUGAAAAUUGCACUUCAUAUGGAGUAGCCCCCGAGCCUUAGGUUGAAUCGAAGAAUCAGGCUGAGGGUCAAUCUGCAUUCGCAUUGUCUUCACUUUAAACUCCAGAGAAAAAACUUUUUAGCCGACGGGCACGUGGCACACAGCCCCCGAGCUGUUACCCGAUUAGUUUAAGGAGGUAUAAGGGUCAACCACCAGUCAUUGUGACCGUCGCCAACAGUAACUUUAUCUUUUGUGGUAACUUCGGAAACUGACGGCCAUAUGCAAAUUUUGCUACUAGUGGCGAAAACAUUAGGCCAUUACCUCCGUUUACUCCGCCUCUGUUAUAAAUAGACGGGAGAAAUUACCCCUCCUGUUUACUUUGCUAUUUGCAUCUACUAUUUGCCUUUGCUGAAAACCUUCCCCCCUAGCGCCACCACAAUCCAAUCUUAGAUCGCCAAUGCCACCUCCCCCUGUCGAGCUCCCGAGCAUAUGCGCGUGAAGAGGCUUGCAACAAUCAGGAUGGGGAGGAAAGCUGCUGGUGCCAAGGGUGCUGAGGGUUCCAAGAAGGGAUCCAAAAAUGGGAAAGAGUCACAGCUGCCUCCGCCCAAGUACGAAAAGACGAACCAGAUCGCGCUGCCGAAUCAGGCCUUGUCUUGGAAGAGGUCCACCCUAAAGGAGGAGGAGAUCCAGGCCCUGUUGACGGCGAAGCUACUGAAGGAUCAAGCAGUCGUAGGCUGGCAGUGUGCCUAUGGUAAUGCGUGGCCAUUUGGGAUGCACCCCGACGGGACAGUAACUUUUGCGCACUUGUUGAGCGGGGUUUUGCUAUCCGCUCAUCUGAUUUUCUUCAGGGUCUUCUGGAUUACUACAAGCUUCAAUUAGUCCACCUCAACCCAAAUGACAUCCUCCACAUCUCUAUCUUCGUGCAUUUGUGUGAAGGUUUCUUGGGGAUUCAGCCCCACUUCCAGUUGUUCCGCAAGAUAUUCGAGGUGAAGCCGCAUCCAAGAAUGGAGCACACUGAAGUAGUCAGAGGUGCCGGAAUUCAGAUCCGGGAGAAGAGUAGUAGUCUGUAUUUGGACUACCAAACAAUUAAGUCACACUCCGGGUGGAAGGAGAGGUGGUUCUACAUUGAAGACCACGAAUCAAAGCUGCCAAAGGUGACUGGUCACUGCCCGGAGUGGAACAAUAGGUGGAUUGAUGAGCCAACGUUCGGGAGCAGUCUCCAGGUACCCGAGCUUUUAGCCAAGAUUGCCCAUCUGAACAAGCAAGGACUGACAGGCAUCGGAGUGGCCUUCAGUUUCCUGAAGAGGCGAGUACAACCCCUGCAACUCCGGCACAUAUGGGGUUACGAGUACUCAGGCCUUGAUGAUCCGUCAAGGAUGUCACCUGAGGAUAUCUCCACCGAUGAAGUGAUGGCAAGGCUGAAACACAUGUUCAAGAACGUCGAUGAGAUCUCCCAAAUAGUCUUGGCAUUUAACUCCUCCAACCCACCAAGAGCAGUAUGUACCCAUGGCUGUAGCCCCCGAGUACCUAUUCGUUGUUGAUCUUCUGUUCCGACUGGUCUCCCUUUAUGCAGGAGGAUAUACUCGUGUUCUUUUCACCCCCUCCUCCACCCGGUGCUGAUGAUGUUGAAAGUGUGCCGCGGGUUUGUGGGUGGAAUAUGGCUAUAUUGGGGGCCACCCAAGAGGAGGAGGAGGAAGAAAAAACUGAGUCCCUCAGCAGCUCAGACACUGAUGCCGCUGAGGAUUUUGUUAUGCAGUACCAUGCCUCGGACGAGGGAGGGGCAUCCUUUGGCUCAUCAAAGCGUCUUGCGGAAGAUGAGCUUGAGGCCAAUUUGGCCCCACUGCUGAGGAAGAGAUGAAUAGUUGCCAAGACGCGCACUUCGAGGAGUCUUCGCAUCGUCGAGCACGCGCCUCCACCGGUAAUAACCUUAAAGGAAGGGUAGAACCCUGAGGUGCGAGUAUGAUUCUAUAUGCAUGUUGAUCUCAUGGAUACUAAGGAUGGCAACGGGGCAUGUUCGGAUCGGGUGGAGUGCCGAGGCACCCAAAACCGAAACCCGAACCUAAAACCCGAAUUCGACCUGAAAACCGAUUUGGGUGAAAAUCCAUCCCUGAAACCGAAAUCCGCGGGUACCCGAAACCUGAUGGAUUAACCAAAACUCGAACAUGAAUAGUACAAUAUAGUAUAACGGUCUUAAACAAUACAGUAACAGUAUAGUACAGCAACAAUUUCACUAACAAUUUCAGCAACAGUACAGCAACAAUACCAGGCGCAGUACAGUAACAAUACAGGUCUUAAACACCAAGUUCAGGGACAAUACAACAACAAUUUCAUGGACAAGUUCACAGCAACAAUUUCACUGAAAUUACAAGUUCAUGGACAAGUUCAGAGAUCACAACAACAAUUUUACUUGAAUUACUAAAAUGUUGAACGCAAUGUAAAUUCACAAGUUGAAAAUAGAAGCAAACAACAAUACCAUUUCUUCAUCUUUUUUGUCAAGACAAGUCAUCAAAACACCAACAAAAGUGGACUGAGAACCUGCAUUGAUAUAGUAUUCACAAAUUAGUUUUAUUGCUUAUCUGGAAUGAAGAACACAUACUUAUAGAAAUUGCACUUACUGACUUACCCAACAUGUCGGCAUGAGACCAUGCUUGCAUGCACAUAAGGGCUUGUAUCAUUGAUGGUGCAAGCCUACUACGAUGUGGACUAAUUAUUCUCCCACCUGUACUAAAGACUGACUCGGAUGCCACUAUUGUCACAAGAAUAGCAAGGACAUCAUGUGCAAUUUUUCGUAAUGUUGGGUAUUUCAGCCCUGCAUGUUGCCACCACUAGAUGAUAUCCAGCUCUUGUGUCCUAGGCAGCAAUGGCUCUUCCAAGUACAAAUCUAACUAUGUAUGCACAUAAGUGGAGGUCACAACUAGCUGCUUGGACAUGUAAUCAUCAAAAGUGUCCAUCCAAUCCUCAUCAUCCAUCUGAAUAGGAGCAUUAGGUCUAGUUUGAGCACCAUCUGUUGUGGCAACAUCCUCCAUAGCACCUUGGUAAUCCAAAACCAGAUUGCACAACAAGUCUUUCACUUUGUUGACAGCUUCCAUAGCUAAACUUUCUAACCCAUGAAUUUUGAGAAAAAGAGCAUUCAACAGUUACAAUUUAAACCUAGGAUCUAGGAUAGCAACAAUAACCAUCAAACCAUGCACAUCUGACCAAUACUUGUUGAAUUUUUCUUUCAUUUUAAUAGACAUUUCUUCUAACUUAGGAGCAUCAUGGCUUUGCCAUUUCCUAAUUGCAAAAAAAAUGUUGCAUAUUUUGGGGAAAAAAAGGUUGGCUAUAACAUAUCUAGUGCCUGACAGUAGCUCAGUUACAUCAUAGAACAUCUUUAACCUGUCACAAAGAUCUAUAGCAAACUUCCAAUCAUCUUCAGAUGGAACACAUGGAGCACGAGAAGCAAGGCGCUCAAAAACAUCUUGGUAAAGUAGUGCAGUGCUAAGCAUAAUAUAAGUUGAGUUCCAUCUAGUUUUACAAUCAAGAGCAAUUCUUUUUUCAUAUUUUCCUUUCAUUUGUGCUGCCAUUUUCUCAAACUUAUCAUGUCUUUUAGGAGCGGCCAACCAGUAUGCAACACUAUCACGCACUUUAUCAAUUCCAUUCUCCAUGACACUCAUUCCAUUUUUCACAAUCAAAUUUAAAUAAGAAAACUUUUUAGCUUCCAAUCUUCAUCUAGAAAAUGGGCUAUAACUGCCAUGUAACCUUUCCUCUGGUGGUCCACGAGUCCGUAGUAACAGCAACAUGAGAACUCAAUUUCUUGAUAUAAUUCACCAUAGAUUGCUUCUGCACUUGAUACAUAUCCAAGAUAUCCUUCCUAAUUGUGUUUCUAGACACUACCUUGAAUGCUGGCUGCAAUGCAGCACAAAAAUUGCGAAAUCCAAUAUGGUCCACCAUGGAAAUAGGAUACUCAUGGACAAUAAUCAUUAAAGCAAGUUAUUUCCUAGCGACAUCUUGAUCGAACACAUACUUCUCUAUUGUGACUGUGCCAUCUUGUGGGUUUGCAGAUAAUUUAAGAGUUGAGUGCGUUAAACCUUUUCUAGUAGCUUUGUCUUGACAUACAACAAUAUGAUUCUUCAAGUGAGUUGUACCAUUUCUUAUCUCCCCACCUAAAUGGUUUUUUACACCAUUUACAUUUUGCUUUCCAAACCCCACUUACAUUAAUCAAAUCAAAGUCUUCCCAUACUUCAGAUCUUACCUUUCUCUUAGUACCAAUAGGAACAUCAUCUUCUACCUCUACCACAUCAGUAUUACCUUCAGUUGCAGAAUCAGUUGUCGGUGCUGCUAAAUUGGAUGGCGGUGUUACUGAAUUGGCUGCAAGAUAUCGACGAGUUUGAGGAUGAGAACCCACAGAUUGAGAUUCUGCAGCAACUUGAGAUCCACUCGAAGCACUAGGAGCUAACGUUGCUCACUUCCUGCUGUGAUCUAAAAAAGUUUUCGGUAGCAAGACAUCAGUUCAAGACAUCAGUUGAACUAUUGAUUAUAUCACUAAGAGGACAACAAAAAAGCAUAAUAGUUAAAUUCUAACAUAGACCAAUUCCUGAAUAUUUAGAAUUGAGAAUAUUAGGUUACAGCUAGCAUUGGAAGGCAGACUAAAGAAAUAACAUACAAGAAAAUUGAUAAUUCAAACGGAGCUAACAUUGGAAGACAGACAAUAGAAUCAUGGGCUCAACUUAAACUGGAACUACACAAUCUCUGCAGGUAGAAGUUUGCCACCAAAACACUGCAAAAACCCUUUUACACAAUCUGUGCAGGCAGAAGUCGCGGGAUGGUGCACGGUGGCGGGGCGCAGCCGGCAGUGGAUCCGGCGGCGGGACGGCGUACAGAGGCGGGGCGCGGCCAGCAGUGGAUCCGAUGGCGGGACGCGUACGCACAGGCGGCGGGAUGUGUGUGGGAGAGGUGAGGUCGCGCAAGACUGCCGAUGGCAACGAGCGACAGCGGCGGGGUAGGGGACUGGGGGUGCGGCGUGCUGGACUGCGGGAGGUGUCGGGUGUGGCACUGCGGUCGUGGCACCGUGCGCCCAUGCGGGGUGCCUAGACGCCUGGGUGGUGUAUCUUGCCGUUAUAUACCUAGGGUUCCUAAUGGGCCUUUAGUGGGCCGAAUUGUUUUGGGUACCCGAUGGAGCUCCGCGGUUAUUUUAAAAACCCACACCAAACCCGCAGUAUUUCGGGUAUCCAAACUUGAAAAACCAUGGGCGAAAACCAGGAACCAAAACCAAAACCCACGGACCCGAAACCCAUGGAUAUCUGCCCCGAAACCGAACCGCUGCCAUCCUUAAUGGCUACUAAUCAAGCCUUUGUUGUAUUUGCAGGUAGUCGACAAUGUAGUUGAGGCAACGGAGGUGGCUGUUGGUGCCGUCCCGUUAGAAGUUCCAGCCCCCGGGGAGGUCGUUGAAGUCAGUGCUAAUAAAGAACCCCCCGCUGUUGAAGUUAACCGUGCCGGUACUGAAGUACCCGCGUAGGAAGAAGACAGGACUACCCUAGCUGGCAGUAAGCACCUCCACGUGCCUCGCCAGGAGAGUUCACCCCUACUGUCCAGCCGCUACGCUUGGUGGGGAACCCGUCACUAAAGCUGCGGUGAUCCAUAAGGUAAGCAUUUUGUUGUUGUAUGAGUACUAAUUCUAGGUUGAGUACUUGGUUGUCUUCCGUCGCUGACGCUAAGUGUUGUGCAAGACGUCUUCUAUCCUGGGCCUUGGGUCAUCGGGUUCAAGGUCAACAAUCGAUGAUGCUAGUCGCUCGGUUGAAGAUGCACCUCCCACACCUACUAUAGCCCUAACGGAGAGAGAUUUAGCUCUGACGGUCGAGACAGGUGCCGCAUCACUUGUCGCCGUGUUGAUGCAUGACAUAAUCAACUCGAUGGCUGACAUUGCAGUGCCAGCCCCCGAGCCUGCUGUACCUGGGGCUCUUCCCAUGGCUAGUCUUGUGGAGAGUCCACCCCCGCCUGUGAUCGUGGAAGUUAUCCCCCUCAACGCUGCUACUCCCGAAGCCCCUGAGCUUGAAGCCGCCAGAGCUCUUGAAGCCGUGGCUGCUACUGUCGGGAUGACUUCCGAAGCUGGCACGUCAUCUGGCUGUGAGAUGGUUCUUGUGCCCAGCGUGAGGAUCGAGUUGAGCAUUGGGAUUUAGGUGCUGCCUGAGGAGGUCCAGCUGAUUGACGAUCCUCUGCUAGAUGCGCAAAUGAUGGCCACCAUGCUCGAGAUGAACCGACGCGUCGCGUCUUACAUUAAGGUAAGUUUGAAUUUUUGCCUUAUGCUUCACUUCUGAAUGUCUGCAAUAUGUACUUCGUGCGGUACCCGAGUAGUGAUUUGUGGAUAACAGGAUUUGAUCAACCGCUCUCGCCGGAAGUCCUAGUUGCUGCAGGACUAUGGUGAGACCGUACAAUGUGCUGAGGUAUUGGAGAAAGAGCUGGCUAAAGAGUGACAGCAAAACUCCCAGCUCGUCAUGAAACUUGACAGAUCGGUGGCGACUUUCCAAGCGCAGGUGCAAGACUUAGAAAAGGAGAAAGAGCGCCUUGUUGCCCGGAAUAAGUCAUUGAGCCAGAAGCUUGAAGGUGAGUACUCAUCUUUUUGUUGUGUCCGUCUAUUGAUAGCCUGUAGUCUUUUUGACUAAUUUUUGGUCUCUGUUGUGCAGAGUAUAAGAAUCAGGAAUCCCAGUUGAAGGCUACCAUAACUAAUUGGCAGAAUGCCUACUAUCGGACCAUUGAUCAACAUGAGAGGCUGGGGCAGCAGGUGUACGAGCUGGAGCGCGACUUGGAGAAAGAGAGGAAGAUGCACCAAGAUGGUGAAGUUGAAUUGAUCAAUGUCAUGACGACCAUCCAGGCGCAACAAGUCGAGCUUGGGGCCUGUAAGCUGGAGUUGCAAAGCUAUCUGCGGUAGCCCGACCCUUGGCUGAUAUGGUGGAGCCUCCGGUUGAUGGCGUGGAUCCUUGUCCACUGGUGGAGAUACUCCGAGAUGCACCAGGGAAGAUCACAGGCUACGUCUAAGGGAUGGCGAAGUCCGUCUCAAAACAGUUGCUGACCUUCAUAAAGUCCUACCUGACGCUGACUUGUCUCCUAUCGCGGAGGGGAUAGUGGGAGACUGCACGGACGAAGUCUUCCAGCAAUAUCUGCAAGAGAUGGAUCCAUUAUCGAGGAAAUUGCCAAGCAUCUGGACCUACAAUGAACUCCUUACCUUUUGGGAUAGGAAGAACACUUAGUUUUGUAAUGGGAUAAAUGUGUAGAUAACUCUAAGUCUAAAUGCAAUUUGUUGCUAUCGACUUGUCAUCUGUCGUGUUUAGUGCUUCUCACACUUGGUCCUAAUUUUGCUCAUAUGACCGAGGUGAGUGUCUGUGCACAAGGCUACUAUUGUGAGCCUCUUCGGAAGCAAAUUGUUGGAUACUCGGGUACUCGAGCUAUCCAGUAGUGGUCAUCGGCUAGUUUCUCCAGGAUUCUGUUGACUAGGGCUUGUUUCCUCGACUCCCCUGAGUAGAGUAUUUGCAUGAUUGCUGCUUUGUCAGGAGGGCCACAUGGGAGUACUGCUCGCCCGUGUCCAGUUGACAAAGACGAGCAACAUGUGAACACUGGUCGUCAGAGUCCUGACGGUAAGGAUAGGCGUCACAUGAACACUGUAUGGGUGUGAUGUGCAUAGGGAGCUCUACCGUGCAUUCACGAGAGCAUACUGUAGCACUCUGGACGGUAGUCGGCUGCCUUGGCUUUAAAUAGAGUUGCAUCUGCAUCUAGAGUGUUCAUGGCUCAAGUUAUAGCACAGGUUGGCUUGAGGUUUUUGUUGUUCAUCAGGGGUAGCUUCCACCAUAUUUUCUAAUGCUAGAAGAAUUCUUGUGAAGAAUACACAGGUGCUCCUUCCCUCUACAGUCUCUUUGGCCUAGCCUGGAGGCUAUAAUGCUAGAAGAAUCCUCAUGAGGAAGGUGCAUCGUGUGCCCCGGGCUUUGUCCAGGAUACCGCUAAGAAUGGACUAGAGUGUAGCUUCCUUGAACGCAGGUUUCUUGUGUUCACUCAUUUUUCUUCUUCCACGUUGAAGCUGCUUGUCCUGAGGUUAGGGUAGUCCCGAGACUGGUCACACACACUUUGUGAUAUUGUAAAAGCCUGGGACUUCUGUUGUAACCUUAAUGAAAGCACGUAUGCCUUAUUGAUGAGAUGUUGCUAUCUUGUUUCUUUGGCUUGUUUUGUUGCUGUACCUUGGGAAUCUGGAGCUGCGAAACUCGUUAGUAUGAGCCACAUUAAGAUAGAUUUGUAGUAAAUAAGUAGUCGAUCAGGUAGUUUGUGGACUCCUAGACGACUUGAUGGCUCUUGCGUUGCUAGUUCGCUAAGCGAACUGCCUGGGUGAGUUGAAUAACUCAUGUAGACUUAUAAUUAAAAGUCAUACUGGGGCGUUGUGGCCCAAGGAGCUCAAUGGCUCAUUAGGAUGCUGCUGACCCACUUUUGCAAGCCGCAAUAAGGGAGAGAAUAAGUAGUCGAAUUUCACCGAAGAUAACUGCAUUAUUAUGCUAAAAACUUAUAACGGUGGCCAGUGGCCUAUUUACAAUGCUGUGUAGUCUUCUAACUACGGAUAGAAUCGACAGAGAUGCUCGAUGUUCCAUGAGUUGUUGACAUUUUUGCCAAAAAGGUGUUGUAGCCUAGGCUUGUGACCUUGGAUACGAUGUACGACCCUUCCCAUGGUGAAUUAAGCUUGUGCAACCCCUUAGUGUCUUGGAUACGCUUAAGGAACAUGUCGCCUAUGCUGAAAGAACGUUCUUUGAUGUUGCGAUCAUGAUAGCGGUGAAGACCCUCGAGGUACCUUGCAGACUAGACGAGUGCUGCACAUCGGGAUUCUUCUAGGCUGUCAAGAUCUAGAUGCCUUGUCUCCUUUGUUGCCCCUUCAUCGUAUUGCUCAACUGUUGGGGAUUUCCACAUAACGUCAACAGGAAGGAUAGCUUCCGAUCCAUAGACCAGGAAGUAGUGCGACUGCCUCGUAGGUUUGCACGACUGAGUAUGUAGCCCCCAGAGGAUGUUGGGUAGUUCUUUGAGCCACUUGCCUCCUUUGGUGUUACCAAUAUCGUGCAAUCUUUUCUUCAAGGCUUCCAGUAGCAUCCCGUUGGCGCGCUCAACCUGACCAUUGGCCCACGGGUGAGCAAUAGAGACGUAUCGAACAUUGAUGUCACUAUUUUCACAAUACUCCUAGAACUCGUGGUUGUUGAAAUUGGAACCCAAAUAUGUGAUUAUCCGAUUGGGGAAUCCAUAGCAAUGGAUGAUCUCAUCGAGGAAGUUGAGUACUCUAUCUGCCUUGGGGCAGGUUGCUGGCUUGACCUCAAUCCACUUGGUGAACUUGUCGAUGGCUACCAAUACUCGGUUGAAUCCUUCGAACACUGUAGGAAGUGGACUGAUCAUAUCAAGCCCCUAGCAUGCGAAGGUUCAUAUUGGCGGUAUGGUGAUAAGCUUGUAUGUAGGGGCAUGGUGCUACUUGGCAAAGAAUUGGCAACCUUAGCACCGGCAAACUAGUUCCUCAGUGUCCGCUAGGGUGGUGGGCCAGUAGAACGCUGCUCUAAAAGCCUUCCCCACAAUUGUGCGUGAGGAGGCGUGGUUACCGCAAAUGCCCUUGUGUAUCUCCUCCAAUAUAUCAUUGCGGUCAUGACGUGUGACGCACUUCAUGAGUACUCAUGAAGACGCGCCUCUUCUGUAUUGCUCUACCCUUAAUAUGGGUUAAACAUUCAACAAACAUGUUUAUGUUUUCUUGAAUAGCAUACCAGUGGUGUAUGAGGGAACUUCGAGUACAAUCUACGUAAUUCGUGUAUAUGCUUGGAAUUAAAUCAAGUAAUUCAUGGCAAAAAGUUAUCCUCUUUUUGCUGUGGUGUAUUUAUCUUCUUGAGCGUGCUGCAACUUUUUUUUUUGAACGAGCCAGCAGGAGAGCUGCUGCUAUAUUAAAAAAGCGGAGGAAUGCCCGACGGGUGAAGUACAAAAGUUCUAUACAUACUGCACACACACAUCCCAAAGCAAAAGGGAAAAUGAGAGAGUGUAAAAAAAUUCGAUACUACAGAUCCCUCACCACAUUAAUGAAGGACUCUAGGUGCUUAGCACCUGCCACAAUCCAUAUAGCCCCCUGGUCUUUGAUCUUAUUUACCGUCGGAUGUAUCGUCUGCUCCUUGUUUUUAAAAAUCCUGGCGUUCCUUUCAUUCCAAAUUUCCCAUAGGACGAGAAUAAUUAAGCUUCGCAGCCCUUUCCUGUUGGCCACCUGAGCGGACGCCAAAGCUGUCCACCAACUAUGCAGAGGCUCAUGUCCAUCCCAGUGGCCUGGGUCAAUAUAAGCGCAUCGUGUCCAUGCACCCAUCUUUGCCCAUAUUGUCUUUGUAAAAGAGCACUCUCUGAAAAGAUGAAGACCAGUCUCUUGAGUUAUGUUACAAAGUGUGCAUUGCAGCCGGUUAGGCCAUCCCCAUCUCUCCAGGCGAUCCGCUGUCCAUAUUCUGUCUUGUACGGCUAGCCAGCUAAAAAACUUACACUUCGGCGGCACCCACAUUUUCCAAAUGAUGGUGUCGAAGUUAGUUGUCAUUGAUCCUAAGAAUUGAGCUUGGUAGGUAGAUUGCGAAUUAUAAUGUCCAUCCAUCGUAAUUUUCCAUACGAUGGUGUCCGGCUGAUCCGGGCGUAGCUGUAUCCGAUUGACUGCAACCCAUAGACGGUGGUACUCUACAAAAUGUGUCACAGAGAAGCCGCGGUGUAGUAGGUUUAAGUCUCGUAUCCAAACAUCAUCGAUCAUAGCAUCGUGCAGGGUCCUAUUCUUCGUCCUAGAGAUAUUGAACAAAUUCGGGGCCAUGUCUCUCGGCGUCUAUCCCUGUGCCCAACUGCUAUGCCAGAAGGAUGCUUUCUUGCCAUCCCCAAUUGUGAUCGUGGUUGCCGCGGCAAAAAGUUUGUGGUCUACUUGUGAGCAAGGAAUAUCCCGUUGGUCUGAGAGCGGACCCUCAUUCAUCCAGUCGUGCCAAAGCCACCGUAGAUGCAACGCUCGAGCGAAUUUUGCUAGGUGUAGGAUCCCUAAGCCGCCUCCUUUCCUCGGCCUUGCUGAUCGCACCCAGUUUACUUUGCAUUUACCGCUCAUGAUGUGUUCAGUUCCCACCCAUAAGAACUGUUUUCUCUUUUCAUCAAUGCUUUUCAUAAUUUCUUUAGGCGCCUUCAAGGCCGUCAAUAUGUACACCGGUUGAGAAGUCAGCACGGCCUUGAUGAGCGUGAGUCUGCCGGCCACAGUCAUGUUCCUUCCAUUCCAACUGGUAAGUUUCCCAAUAACUUUGUCCACUAGAGGUUGGAAGUCAACAGUCCUUAGGCAUUGUGUGGACAAUGGAAGGCCUAGAUACUUGAUAGGGAAUAAUGUGCGCUUGGUAGGUAGGUUAUGCGGAACUUCAUUGAGUUGUACUCCCUCACAGCGGAUAGGGACGGCCGUUGAUUUGUGGAAGUUUGUUUUGAGCCCUGUUACUUCACCAAAUCCAUCCAGGAUGUUGACCAGUGCAUCUAUUUCCUCCUUCCUCGGUGCUAUAAAAUCAUCACGUCAUCAAUAUACAUUGAUAUAUGGCAUGAUGGUGUCCGGCCACGUAGUUUGGUAAGAACUCCCAACUCAGUUGCCAGCUCCAAAAUCCUUUGAAGUGGAUCAAUCGCUAUGACGAAGAGUAGCGGAGACAAAGGAUCACCUUGAUGUAGUCCCCUACCCUGCGUGAUAGGUUGGUUAGGACCCCAUUUAGAAAGACGCGGGUGGAGGAAGUGGAGAGAAUCGCCACGAUCCAGUCACACCAGCGUGUCGAGAAGCCUAGGUGUUGUAGAAGCGAGAGGAGAUAGUCCCACCUAAUGGAGUCAAAGGCUUUCGCAAUGUCCAGCUUGAUGAAAAUGGCAGGCACUCUCCCUCUGUGAUACCACCUCGCUGUGCUACGCACCAUCAUGAAGUUGUCAUGUAUACUGUGUUUCUUGAUGAAAGCACUCUAGCAUUUAGAGACGAUGGAGUUCAUGUGCAGUUGCAGCCUAAUCGCCAAUGCCUUAGUGAUGAUUUUGAUGAAAGAAUGAAUGAGGCUUAUGGGCCUAAAAUCCUGGAUGCAAUCUGCUCCCUCUUUUUUGGUAAAAGGAUAAUAUUAGCCGUGUUGAUUAGCUGGAGGUUGUUGCAGCGGAGGGCGUAGAACGCAUUUACCGCUGCCAUCACAUCGUUCUUGAUGAUAUCCCAACAUGAUUUAGGAAGAGUCCUGUGAAUCCAUCAGGCCCUGGUGCUUUAUCACUCUGCAUGUUUUGAAUGGCAUAUUUGAUUUCAUCUUCGGAGAAGGCCAAGUCUAGGGAAGCUAGGUUGUGCUGGUUCAGUCCCAGGAGAUCCCAAUUAAAAUCCCGACGUCGGGGUUGAGGGCAUUGCAUUGUUGCUUUGAAAAAAAUUUGAAUCUCAUUUGCUUUUUCUUCGUGUGUACAUGCCCAUCCACUCCCCCUCCUAAGUUUCUGGAUGUAAUUUUUACAUCGCCUAGAGUUGGCCCAUCGGUGGAAAAAACGUGUGUUGGCGUCACCUAGCCUGAGGUUUGUUAUUCGGCUUGCUUGCUUCCUACAUGCCCGUUCAAUAACCGCAAGUCCCAUGACCCUUAAUUUGAGGCGGUUGCACAGUGGCUGCUCUGCAUCCGUAAGAGGUCGGUGCUCUUGCGUAGUGUCGAACCGUAGAAUGACUUCUAGAGCCAUAUUCAUUAUCAUCUUCGUGUCUGGUAUGAAGCUACUGCUCCAUUCUCUUAAUUAGGCGCGCAUAUGUUGUAAUUUGUGAUACAGCCUGUGGAAUGGCUCAACGUGCGGCGAUUGGACGCUCCAUGCUCGGCCUACAGUGUCUUUAAAACCUGGGAGCAUUGUCCAAAAGUUUUCAAACUUGAAGGAUUUGGGGCGUCUGGAGCCACCUUGGUUUGAUAGCAAGAGUGGGCAAUGGUCGGAUAACGACAUUGACAGGGCAUGCAGCACGUGCUUAUUGAAGGCCUGUUCCCAUUCGUCAUUGGCAAAAACCCUAUCCAGCUUGACAAGGGUCAGGUUGCGUCGUUCAUUACUCCAGGUGUACCUUCUAUUUUGGAGAUGUAUCUCGCAUAAGUCACAAUCAUCGAGCGCCCGUUUGAAUGAGUUCAUAAGUCUUGGGUUGAUCUUGUUGUUGUUUCUGUCAGACACUUUAUAUAUCAGAUUGAAGUCUCCUAGUACCAGCCAUUGGGAACCGGCGCUAGGUUUUUGUUGCCGAAUUUCUGUUAGGAAGUUUGUUGUCCUGGUAGAACCAGUAGGGCCGUAGACUGCUGUCAAAGUGAAUUCGUUCAUCGCUUGUUGCGCUGUCACUCUUGCUGUGAUGUGGUACUCUCCUACAACAACGUCGUUUAUCAUGACAUGAUUACUGUUCCACAGUAGCAGGAUGCCUCCUCUUGUGCCGCUCGGCCCCCUGCUGGUUUGUAGGUGAAUCUGUCAAGUCUAUGCCCUCCUAGGUACGCGGCCGUGAAAAGAUCAAUCUCGCUAAGCUUUGUUUCUUGUAAACAUGCAACGUGGCAUAGAGUGUCAACAAGUGUCUCCCGGACCGUGUCACGCCUGGCUCUGUGGUUAAGCCCUCUAACAUUCCAGCAUAAUAUCUCAAUGUUCAUUUGCAACUUUUGUAGUCUCCAGUAUUGCAGGAUAGUGGUUGAAGAAUGAUGAUCCCCAAUGCAUUAAGAUCUGAAUUUGGUCCAUGUAAAACAGUGUGCCGGCAAUGAUAGUUUCUCUGUACUUUGUAAGCCCUCCAGGAACAAGGUCUGAUAUGAGCUUAGCAAAACUAACAUCGCCAAUUUUGCUUACAUAAUUCUUGUCCAGCAAGAUGUUUCCAGGCUUUAGGUCACGAAGGACGAUAGGCUCUGGUCUGCAAGAAAGCAAACCCACAAGAUACCUCAAACAUAAUUUGGAAUCGCAGAAGCCAAUGGAGUGGAUGCCCUUUAUUGUUGACCAAUUGGUCUUCUAGACUCCCAUUCUUAUCUGAAAUUAACAGAAGCAUUACAGGAGGCGCAGCAGGUACAUAAGGCUGAUAUAAUAGUUGCAUAUCGUCGACUGGACUGUGAUUGAAGCGCAGGAGCAUAAUAGAACCAGGUAUUACAGAAGCAGGUACAGAAGCCUGAUAUAACAGUAGCACAUCAUCAACUCGACUGUGAUUGAAACGCAGGAGCAAAAUCGACAGAGGCAUUACAGAAGCACAGGAUGAAUGUAAACAAAGGUCGAUGUAAGCAUAAUUGAUGGCCCAACUCAGGUGUCUGGUUCUAGGAUUACAACCAAAUUGAGAAGAUGCAUAUGCUGAAGGUGAACACACAAUGAUGCAAACAUAGCUGCUAGCCCAUGUCAUCUGUCCGGCUUUAGGCUUACAAACAAAUUGGAAAGACGCAUUGAACAUCUGGAGAUUGUGGAUGGUUUUUGCCCUGGAAAGUAACUGAUACACUACACUUAACAUUGGUGGCUUGUGAACUCUCGGUGCUGCUGGAGACGCAGAUCAGUUGGCCUGUUGGAUGGUUGCUGCCUGGGCAGGCAUUGCCUGGACAGCUUCUGGCUGGCGUGAGGCUUCUUCCUGGAAAUCUUCAAUGGCUUCACCGGCCACCGCCGCCAUGGCUUCAUCAAGCUGCUCGGCCACUGGGUCGUCGAGGUUGAAGAUGGCUGUCAGCGCUGCAAUGAUGUCCUGCGCCACCGGCCCCUAGAACAUGGACAGAAAUUCUUGCAGUGUAACCUCGAUGUGCUGCAUCUCAUCAGUUAGCAGACCAAGCUUUUUGCAUAGAUUAUGUUGUGCCCGUUGCAUCGCCGGCAUGGGUCUGCGGGUAGCUACCUUGCGCUGCGGCGUACCGUGGACAUGUCGAAGAUGCGUCGCGGUCGGCGGGUUUUGUUCGUCCCCUCCUUGAGCUGCUGGUUCUGCUCGUCCCUGUGUUCCUCCACUGGAGGUUCAUGGAGCACUUGCGCCGGCGUGGUGAAGAAUGUGUUGAUGACGUUGGUGCUGCGUGGGCUGCUGCGUUGCAGCGCCGUUGUGGUGGAGAAGGUGCUGGCGAGGUUGUUGCUGCUAGGACUGUUGCGCUCAGGAGUUCUCUGCCCUGCAGUCGGCUGAAGGUUGAAGUCACUGUCAUGCUCACUGCUGGCGUGAAACAGACCUGCCUCGCCAUCGGUGUUGUUGGUUGGCUGCAUCUGUGCAUCAUGAAGGCGAAUAGGGGAUGCAAGUUGAAAUGGUGAAACAGAAACAUUGUUAAAACACGGUGAGUCUGGUUGCUGGCCAUGGCCUUCCAGCUGAGCCUGUAGCUUCUGUAGAGCCGCAUCCACCUCUUGUACAGAGACGGCGUUGACGUUGACUCCCCCCUCCUUCUGGACGUCCUCCAGGAUGCGUGCGAACACAUGAGGCACCUUGACCAUGGACAGGUCAUUAUUGGCUUCCGUAUGUCCGCGCGCUUCGGACCAGGCUUCAAUUCCUUCAUGUGGUACGCCAACCUUGUCCACCAGGGUGGCCGCUUUGCUGCCAUGGUCGAGGGAGAUGGUGUUCAGGUGUAGCUCUUCCCUGUCCUCCCCUUCCUAAAACAUGCACAGAAAAUUCUUGGCGGCCUCCGCCAUUGUGGAGGCGCGGUUGGAGAACAGAAAUUUGUAACUCGAUGGACUUCCUGUCGCGCAGGGGGGCAAAGGAUAACGGCGGCGGUGGCGUGGCGUUGUCGCAGUUGGAGACGCCGUGGUGCUGACGCCCCCUAUUCCUGCUGCUGCCACCCCACGUCCUGCUCCUAGGCGAGCAUUCAUGCUCACGGUAGGAGUCGUUGCCCAGGUGUUUGCGCGUGUCGUGGCCGCGGUGAGCGCGGUCACCGCGCCCAUGGUGUUCCUGGUCAUCGUCGUCGUCCUUCCUCCGGCGCCACACGUUCCACCUGGUGUUGUGGUGGUCAUUGUUGUGGCUUCUUUGAUGACAGCCACAGUCCUCUCUGUCCUAGCGCCGUUCCUCCUCCCCCGCCACGCUGCUUCGGCCAAGUCGAGGUUGGUCCGGGCGUGGUGGCGAGCGUGUCCUUGCUUCACGUUCCAUCGCCCUGCGUGGUGCCAUCUCCCCGUCGAUGCAGUCGAGAUGCCAGGGAGGAAGCCGGUGGACUGCGGGCGUGCACGACGUCCUGUCGUCGAGGUUGACCGAGGAGAGGGUGUAGUCUUGGAUCUCCUCUAGGUGCAGGAUGACGCAAUGCUUGACGCCGCGCUGCCACUGGUCGGGUGGCGCCUUGGACACCAUCACAGACUCCAACCUGGCAUCCCGCGCGCGGCCGGUAAACUUGAGCCACACGCACUUGGGGAUAGAGCUUAGGUUCGCCGUCCAGGCCCACAGGUUUAUGGUCUUCGUCUCCUCUAGGUGGUCGAGGUUGGUGUCGAUGGCCUCCAGUGCGCAGGUGUUGCCGAUGAUGCGCUCCGCGAUAUCUGCCCUCCAGGCAUGCAUAGGCACGCCAUCGAGAAAGAGCCUGACUCUGACGAGGAGAGUUGCUCCUUCUGCAUCCCGGAGGCUCCUCCACUUGGUGAAGAGGACCUCGAUGCCGGCACCCAUUGCCUUGCCCCUCUGAAGCGCCUCGGAGCAGUGGCUGCUGUGCUUGCUUCAGGGAAGUGACGUGAAACAGUUACCUCGCUGUGGCGCAGCUUGAAGUCUUCUCUGAUGGCCCUCUCGACGUCCCGUGGUUCAACUGGCUCCCGGCCGUGGACCGCCAGGUGACCGCCGCCGUGGAGUCCUAGUCCUGCAGAUCGGCGUCGAUGUCGUCGGUGGACUGAACGAGGCAGUCCACCUGCUCUAGCUUGGUUGCAGGGUCUCUGAGUCUGGACAUGUUGGUCGUGGAGGUGGGCGUCGGCGGUGGAGGAAGUGGAGAUGAAGCCCGGGCGCGGUGCGCUGCUUGGUGUCGAGCAGGAGCAGGUGGAGCUCUGUUGCCGCUUGUGCUUGGUCAAUGGGGAGGUGGAGCUCUGUUGCCGCGUGGUGGUGCUUGGUGGCGAGCAGGAGGCGGGCUGUAGUUGUUGUGGCGGUUGUUGGAGCAGGAUCUUGCACGGUGGCUGAAGCGGUGGCAGACGAAGCAAAGGUCGGGGUCCUAACAAGAUGCGGCGCGGUGGUCGAGGGCCAAGUAGAUGAAGCAGCGCCCUUCUUGCAUGGAAGGCGCGUAGACUUGGUGAAGCUAGAUGCUGUUGCCGGGUGCUGGGAGCGUGGCGUGAAAGGGGUCGGUCGUGUUGAGGCGAGAUGGCCGGCGAGUUGAAAGCGCCCCCCUCUGCCACCAGUAAGGUUGCCUGACGGGCAUCCAACCAUCUUGAGCAGAGAAUGCGCGCCGGUCAACUCAGGCGCGGCUCCAGAGGUGGCCAGACAGUGAGUGGUUGAAGAGGGGAAACCGCGGCUGUUGGAGUAACUGCGGGCAGCUUCAGUAAUGGCGGCCUGCCGGUCUUGAGGUUGCUACACGAUUUGAAAUGACCUUGGCGAAUCUUGCACCGUGGAUCCUCUGACCACUUGCACGAAGGAGCGGCAGAACAGUGGGGAGAAGCCCUGCUGCGCCUCCGGUGUGUCCUGCACAAAGGGGCUUACCUGGGAUGCAACACCGGCAAUGGAUUUGUGGGUAGGGGAUCUUGGAGGGGCGGAUGUGCUCAGAUCUGGUUGAGAUUUGGAUUUGGUAUUUGAUUUGGUGGGGGGAAACGGGGAGGGCCAAGCAGCCGCGGAGGUCCUGGGAGCAGCGUGCUGCAACUAGUAAGGCCCUGUUUGGCAUGGCUCCAACUCCGGGUGGAGCUGCUCCACUCCAGAACUCCAAAUGGAGCCAGCUCCGCUCCAAAACUCCAGAACUAAAAUGGGAUGUUUGGCUAGAUGGGUGCUCUUAGCUCCAAAAAAGAUCGAUUUCAGUGUGGAUUGCCAUUGUUGCCCCCCAAUUAAGACCCCAUUUGUCAUCCUUUCUAUCCCAUCUUCUUCUUCCCCUUUCAAUCUAUAUUUUACAUCCAUCCAUCCCCUUUCAAUAUCCCAACAUAUGCUGUAAAUGAAUGGAUGAACAUGGUCAGGAGGAGUGAAACUCAAAAGACUUUUGCAAAUGUUUCCCUUGGUCUGUCAAAAUCUUCCACUUUCAAUAUGCCAAUGGGCGGCAGGGUGAGCGGCGGGCUGGGCGGCGGGGCUGGGCGGCGAGCGGUGGGACAGGCGGUAGGCUGGGCGGCGGGGCUGGGCAGCGAGCGGCGGGACAGGCGGCGGGGCUGGGCAGCGGGCGGCGGGGUGGGCGGCGGCGGGCGGCGGGCGGCGAUGGGCGACGGGCGGCGACGGGCGGCGACGCGGGGCGGCAACGGGCGAUGGGCGGCGGGCGGCAACGGGCAACGGGCGGCGGGCGGCAACGGGCGGCGACGGGCGACGGGCGCGACACGGGGCGGCGACGGGCGGCGGGCGGCGACGGGCAACGGGCGGCGGGCGGCGACGGGCAACGGGCGGCGACGGCGACGGGCGCUGGGCGGGCGACUGGCCUUGACGAUGAGGAACAAUAGAAUAGAACGAAACGUUUUUUUUUUCAUAACCAGUGGCAUUGGUGGGUAAUUAUCCACCAACUCCACGAGGAGGUUCAAAAGAGAGGUUUCUGGAGCAGCAAAAGAGGUGCUCCAAAACUCCACCUCCAUUUGCACUACAGCUCCAUGGAGUUGGCAACUCCAUGGAGUUUUGGAGUUGGGAUGUUUGGCUGAAUUUUUUGAUGGAGUUGCUGGAGUUUAAGAGUGGGGCCAUACCAAACAGGACCUAAGUAUUAAAUUUGACGAGCCUGGCACGACCAUGCAUGACCAUCACUGGCCAGUGGUCACAAACAACAAUUGACGGGUAGUGCCAAGUGCCAGCGCAUGCGCCCUCACCAAAUCCCUUGUCUCCGUGCUCUUGCAGUUGCAGCGCCUGCAGUUUAUAACGUGGGAACGAACAUUCCUCACAUCUUCGCAUAGUAUGUCCGUAGUAUGCGUUUGGGCAGUGCCUUGGCUGGCAAAAAUAUAAUGUACUCCUACAAAGUUAGUCUAGUCUUGACUCUUUUUUUAACAAAGGUUAGCUAACCAAUUUCCUAAAAGAAAAGGGUUUGAAAGCAAUAGGCCAUUAGCCGCCAGAUAGUGCCAGUGUCGGUGCAUGUCGCCGUCGUCGGCACGAGCAGGUAUCAGAGAAAAUAAACCGAUGAUCAGCAGGGUCAUGGAAACUUGGGCAGGAAGAAAGUCCUCCUCCGGUCUCUAAGUGGGAGCAUUUAUUUUUAAAAUUUGCACUUGACUUGCCACCAAUUGGUCCUCCUCCGGUCUCUAUUUAUACUCCACCCAUGCCAGAGAGAGCCUCCCUUUGUCUCUCUCCCUUUGGCAACUUAACGCCAUGGACAGAGGGAGCCUGGGCUUACUUGUUCCCACGAGGACGCACGAGAGGCUCCACCACGGUGGCUUGCUCCACAACUCGUCCAGUAAGCCUCAAAUCAUAUAUCCCUGCACCAGCAAGCAAACUUCUCUUAUUAGUAUCCGUAGAGAUGCUUCCUCGAGUCGGCCUAGCAUCCUCAUUUAAGUCUUCCCAAAAUAUAAGACAUUCUAUGGUUUCUAUAGUCACGUUUGAUUAUUUUGUUUUUUGUCACUUGCCUUUCAUAAUAAACAAAUAAAUAUAAACAAGUUUUUUCACAAACCCGUACCAACUUUGUUAGCAAAAGCAGUUAACACGGUUUAUUAAUUAGAGAGGAACUCCGCACAAAGUUAUCUUUAUCUUUUCUACCGACGUGUUACACCCAAAUUCAUGGCUAACAAAGACUGAACAAUAAAACAGGUUUUUUUAGGAUAAAGGCUAUAUAUCCAAACAACCCCUAGUUCAUGAUCAGAGCACUGCCGAGAAGUUUUAAAUAUAUCCCCAACCAGCAGCUGAUGAAAUAAACCUGAGAAAGAAUUGAAUAGUAAAAAUAUUUCCUUUUCUUCUUGAAAAGCUCUGCAAGUUACAAGAAAAAACAAGAUCAGUUUGAAAAUCGUUGGAACAACAGCAUGUCAAAAUUUCAAUCCUUAAAUGUAGUUGAUUGCUUCUUUUUCUUGAGCACUGAUGACAUGAACAGUAGUUACUAACUCCUAUGUAAUACUUGCAAGAGAGAAAUACAAAUUAGUAAACUAAUUCUGCCUUUUUUUGUUUUUGACAAACAAAUUUUGGAAUGCUAUAAUGCAGAUCCCACUAUGUUGCAAUAUUUGCGAGAAUGGCCAGAGCUAUAUUCACCUAGCUUCUGGAUGGGUGCUUUUACAUUGAUGCAACUGAUAUUCAUCAUAAGUAUGUCCAGUCAAUAUCUGCUCAACCAAAUAAGUUGGUGCAGACAGAGAUUGAAGAUUGCAGCUCCUGAUGAGCAUUCAUAUCAGGACCAAAAGAAUACAGUCAUAAAGCAGGGUGUAUCAUAUCAAGCAAGCAAAGCAUGCUGCCUGCUUAUGUUAGCAGUUCAUAUUCUGCGGGUAUUCUUAUUGCAGUUCAAUGAAAGACUAAGUAAUUGCAUGUAUCCAUCUUGUGUGCUAAGUGAAGGCUUGCAGGUGUUAUCCUUCAUAAUAUUGUCAAUAGCAGUAUUCAAUUUUCAGAAAACAAAAUCUACUAAACUACCAUUGAUAGUUCGAUCAUGGUGGAUAUUAAACUUUCUGCAAUCAAUUACCAUGGUGGUAUUUGAUCUCAGAUCAAUUUUAUCGGAUCAUGAACACAUAGGAUACAAAAAAUGGACCAAUCUGUUCAAUCUUGGUGUUUGCACUUAUCUGUUUGCAGUUUCAGCCAGAGGAACAACAGGGAUCAGGAUAACUUUCACAGAUAGCAGCAUAACAGAGCCACUUUUGACCCCAUCUGUAGGACAGCAGAUGGAAGCUGAAAGGACAUGUCUAUAUGGAAGGGCAGGUAUUCUACAACUUAUCACAUUCUCCUGGAUGAAUCCUAUCAUUGCUACUGGAUACAGGAAAACUCUAGAUCAGAAUGAUGUGCCAGAUCUUGAUGGGAAAGACUCUACCGAGUUCCUCUCUGAUUCGUUUAAGAAAAUCAUAAAUGAUGUUGAACACAGGCAUGGUAUAGGUACUUCAUCAAUAUAUACAGCAAUGUUCUUAUUUGUUAGACGGAAAGCAAUGAUCAAUGCAGCACUUGCUGUGCUAAGUGCCAGCGCAUCCUAUGUUGGACCAUCAUUGAUUAACGACUUGGUGAAGUUCCUUGCAGGAGACAGGCAAUAUGGACACAAAAGAGGUUACCUUCUUGCUUUAGCUCUUCUAAGUGCUAAAGUUGUAGAAGCAAUAGCAGAGAGUCAGUGGUGGUUUGGAGCUCAACACCUCGGGAUGCGGCUGCGAGCUGCUUUGAUAUCUCACGUCUAUCAAAAGGGACUCCAGUUAUCCUUCAGUUCGAGGCAGAAGCACAACAGCGGAGAGAUCAUAAACUACAUGGAUGUAGAUAUACAAAGGAUAUCUGAUUUUUUAUGGUACACAAACUACAUAUGGAUGCUACCCAUUGAGCUCUUUCUAGCUGUCUAUGUUCUCUAUCAAAAUCUAGGGGCUGGGGCCUGGGCUGGUUUAGCAGCAACACUGGCAGUAAUGGCUUGCAAUAUUCCGCUAACCAGCAUGCAAAAAAAGUUGCAAGCCAAGAUCAUGGCUGCUAAAGACGAGAGAAUGAAGGCAACAACAGAAGUUCUUAGAAGCAUGAAAAUACUGAAACUUCAAGCAUGGGAUAUGCAGUACCUUCAAAAGAUAGAGGCUUUGCGAAGCGAGGAGUACAAGUGGUUAUGGAGAUCUCAGAGGUUGUCAGCUUUGACAACACUUGUGUUUUGGGGGGCACCUGCGUUUAUAUCCUCUGUAACAUUUGGCUCAUGCAUAUUGAUGGGGAUUCCUCUAACUGCUGGUAGUGUUUUGUCUGCCCUUGCAACAUUCCGGAUGCUACAAGAUCCCAUCUUCACACUUCCUGACUUGCUUUCAGCGUUUGCUCAAGGUAAAGUUUCAGCAGAUAGAGUAGCAAAGUACCUACAGGAAGAAGAACUGAAAUGUGAUGCAGUUACACAAGUGCCAAGAAGUGACACAUGCUAUGCUGUGGAGAUUUAUCAAGGAACAUUCAGCUGGGAACUUGAGACCACUUCUCCAACUCUCACAGAUGUAGAGUUAAGAGUAAAGAGAGGGAUGAAAGUAGCUAUCUGUGGAAUGGUCGGCUCUGGAAAAUCCAGUCUAUUGUCAUGCAUACUUGGGGAGAUGCCAAAGCGAAACGGGACUGUCAGAGUGAGCGGGAGCAAAGCAUAUGUUCCUCAAACUGCCUGGAUCCUGUCUGGGAAUAUCAGGGACAACAUUCUAUUCGGAAAUCCAUAUGACAAAGAAAAGUAUGAAAGGAUAGUACAAGCUUGUGCACUGACUAAAGAUAUUGAAAUGUUUGCAAAUGGAGAUUUGACUGAGAUUGGUGAAAGAGGAAUAAACAUGAGCGGUGGCCAGAAGCAGCGGAUUCAGAUUGCAAGGUCGAUGUAUGAGGAUGCUGAUAUUUACCUCUUUGAUGAUCCUUUUAGUGCAGUAGAUGCUCACACUGGAAGUCAGAUUUUUAAGGUAGGUUUUGUAGUUCCAAGAAACGCACAAAUAUAGUACUAACCAUUUAGGACUUUUAGGACAGUAGUCGGCACAUAUUCUAAGCAAUAAAUAAUUGGAUCAUGCAGGAUUGUGUAAUGGGAAUUCUUAAAGACAAAACAGUACUGUAUGUGACCCACCAAGUUGAAUUUCUUCCAGCUGCAGAUCUUAUACUGGUAGGUGCCUAAAAUAGCUUUUUGUUUAACUAAUCAUGUCCAAAGGAGAUGCCAAGCAACUAACCAUGUGGAUGAAAGUAAACAGGUGAUGCAGGGCGGAAAGAUUGUGCAGGAAGGGAAAUUUGAUGAGCUCCUUCAAAGAAAUAUAGGAUUCGAAGCUAUAGUAGGAGCCCAUAGCCAGGCUCUUGAAUCUGUCAUGAAUGCUGAGAGCUCCAGCAGAAUAUCCUCAGAUAAUCAGAAAUCAGCAGAUACAGAGGAUGAUUUAGAUGCAGAAAACAAUACAGAUGAUCAGCUUCAGGGCAUAACAAAACAAGAGUCAGCACACGAUGUCUCACACAACACCAAUGACAAGGGAAGGUUAACACAAGAUGAGGAGAGAGAAAAGGGAGGCAUUGGCAAGAAAGUUUAUUGGGUGUACCUGAGGACAGUUCAUGGUGGUGCCUUAGUUCCAAUAAUAAUCGCUGCACAGCUAUUAUUCCAAAUAUUUCAGGUAGCAAGCAACUAUUGGAUGGCAUGGGCAUCCCCUCCAUCAUCUGCAACCAACCCAACCAUUGGAUUAGGCCUCCUUUUCUCUGUGUAUAUAACACUAUCUAUGGGAAGUGCACUAUGUAUCUUUGCCCGCUCCAUGCUCACAUCACUAAUCGGUCUGCUAACAUCAGAAAAGCUCUUCAAGAACAUGAUCCACUGCAUCCUGCGUGCCCCAAUGUCUUUCUUUGACUCCACACCUACUGGGAGAAUUUUGAACAGGGUUGGUUUUAUGAAAAUUUUAUACUGCAUCACAUGCCCCCACAGUACUAAAGUACGAAACUAAUGUGUGUUUUUCAUGUAACAGGCCUCCAAUGACCAAAGUGCUCUAGAUAUGGACAUAGCAAACAAGCUUAGCCGGUCCAUGCUUUCAGUCAUACAAAUCCUGGGGACCAUUGGUGUUAUGUCACAGGUUGCAUGGCCAGUUUUCGCAAUCUUCAUUCCAGUGAUCGUUGUCUCUGUCCUUUAUCAAGUACGAACUCUUAAACAAGAACUUCAGAUCUUGCUUACAACUUUAGUGUUCUCUUUACCAUUAUGCAUAUGGUUACUAUUGCAAUCCAUAAAUUCGAGGAAGCUUAAAUAGCAGUUUUCUGAAUCCAUAUACUUUGUAUAAUGUGCAGCGCUAUCAAAUACCAGCAGCAAGAGAGCUGGCUCGUUUGUAUAAAAUUCAAAGGGCUCCAAUCCUACACCAUUUUGCAGAAUCACUUUCAGGAGCAUCAAGUAUUAGAGCAUAUGGACAGAAAGAUCGUUUCAUAAAAGCAAACCUUGGUCUUUUUGACAAUCACUCCAGACCAUGGUUCCAUAACUUCGCUUCCAUGGAGUGGCUUUCUCUCAGGCUAGCCAUGCUAUCCACUCUUGUCUUUGCGGUUUGUUUGAUUCUGCUAGUCAGCCUUCCUGAAGGUUUAUUGAACCCAAGUAAGAUGUAUAUGCAAAGCCCUUGGUGAUUACAGAAGCCUCAAUAUGUCUUAUGUUUAGUGAUUUUCAAACUAAUAUAAUUACACAUGCAGGCAUUGCUGGACUUGCAGUAACUUAUGCAUUGAACCUCAACUAUCAGUUGACGUCUAUGAUUUGGAACAUUACCAGAAUAGAGAACAAAAUGAUAUCAGUAGAAAGAAUAUUGCAGUACUCAAGGAUACCUAGUGAGGCUCCUCUAUUAGUUGACUACUGCCGCCCACCAAGUAGCUGGCCGCAAAAUGGAACUAUCAGUAUAAGAUGCUUGGAGGUAUGUGAAAAAGAAUCAUGAGUUAUGACCUAACAUGAGUGCAAACAUAAUUUUAUUUCACCAAUGAUUUUAAAAAUCUAUUGCUGAGUUGGUAAAAAAAUUAAUUUAUUCAUUAACGUUGAAGUUAAAUAACCAUAUGCACAAAAUUAAAAGCAAGCUGUCAGAAAAAUUCAUCUCACAAAAGCGCUUAGUUUAUAAUAAUUAUAUAAAUAAUCACGUAGCUCUUACUUUUUAUUUUCUACACAAUAAAUGAAACAUGUACUAUGUAUUUUAUCUCAAUAUAUGCAUUAGCUCAAAUGGAGCCAUCUAAUGUGACUUUUUGCUUUUACUGUUUUACAGGUUCGAUAUGCAGAGCAUCUCCCAUCUAUUUUGAGAAGCAUAUCAUGUACAAUUCCAGGAGGGAAGAAAGUGGGGAUUGUAGGACGUACUGGUAGUGGAAAGUCAACUUUUAUCCAAGCCCUUUUCCGGAUCGUUGAACCACGGGAAGGCACAAUUAAAAUCGACAAUGUUGACAUCUGCAAAAUCGGGCUGCAUGAUUUACGUGGCAGACUUAGCAUCAUUCCACAAGAUCCAACCAUGUUUGAGGGAACCGUAAGAGGGAAUCUUGAUCCACUAAAUGAGUACUCUGAUCAACGUGUGUGGGAGGUAACUUAAUCAGCUACAAAUACCAUCAUGAUAAAGAAAACCUUAAUUACCAUGUGAAAUAGGGAUAAGUGAUAAAUUAAGAUGUUUCCCUCACACUGCAUGUUUGAUAUUACCACCAAACUUUAAAUGACUGAAGCCAGAAUGGGGGAAUGGAUGUAAUUGUUAUAGUAUAAGUGCACCGACUGUACAUUGCAAUUAGUAACACAAUACAAUUCCUAAAGAUUUUCUGGUAACUCAUAACCAACCCGAUCGAAAUUCAUAAUCUAUUGACAUAAAAGUGAACAGAAAAGGCAAAGUACCACUCAAAAGAAAAUGAUGACUAGAGGGAGAGGAGACAGCCACCUGAUCAGAAUAUUGGUUUCCUUAUUUCGUUCAGGUAUUGGACAAAUGCCAGCUUGGCAAUAUAGUUCGGCAAACCCCAAAGAAGCUGGAUUCAACAGGUAAUGCACUAUUUCAGGUCUAGUGGCUAAUGUGAAAACUUAGUGUUCAUGGGUAGGUGGUACUGUAGUAGUUACCAUAGUCUUGUAGGUAAGGAUAUCUUCAAUGAGACUAUAACCAAACGGGAUACCCCCUGCAGUUGUCGAGAAUGGGGAAAACUGGAGCGUGGGCCAGAGGCAGCUGUUUUGCCUUGGUAGGGUUCUGCUAAAGAGAAGCAACAUCCUCGUACUUGAUGAGGCAACUGCUUCAGUUGACUCCUCCACUGAUGCAGUUAUCCAAGAAACCAUCCGCCAAGAGUUUUGGGAUUGCACAGUGCUUACAGUGGCACACAGAAUCCACACGGUUGUUGACAGCGAUCUCAUCCUCGUCUUCAGUGAAGGUAUAAGGCCCGGCUUCAAUGAACAAACAGCAGUCCGCUGCAUGUUAUUGGAGGACCUAGCUGCAGUGAUACUAAAAUCCAUACUGUUUCAUGAUGAGCAGGGAGGAUCGUGGAAUACGACACUCCGUCGAAAUUGCUGAAGAACGAGAACUCUGAGUUCUCCAGGCUCGUCAAGGAGUACUCGAGGCGAUCCCACUGCUCCGGCGGCAGAGGAAACAACUGAAACAGGGGCAACCAGCACAGCAUGAAGCCAGGGAUUGAAGUGAACUUCAAAAUCAAUCGUAGUGGCCUAGUGGGUGGCAUAGCACUAGCUCCUAGCUAGACUCAGUUAUUCUGUUGCUGAUGGGAGCAAACGUCCUGUAUAAGAAAAAUAAACGAUAAGAAGCACAUAUUCCGCGUAAAUGUGUGCACGAGAAUGGUGACUGUAGGACGUUUUGCCUUUUUUCAACUGUAAUACUUGAUCGGGGCCUUACACGUCGCAGUGCGUCCGGUCAGGCAUUCCAUCGAGCAGGCGACGGGCACAUGGCAGUGCGCUCGAGGCCGGCGCCAACUUAACGGCGCUAUCCCUCGCCUACCGGCUAUUGGAGAAGGAGGAGGUGGGGGGAAACGGCCAGGCGGGUCGUCGGUGUCAUCGCCGGAGCGGGGGUGGGGGCGGAGGAAGGGGGGCGAUGGGUGGCGGCCGUCGGCUGAAAGGUUGGGGAGGGCGGGAGGCACAGCAGAGCCGCAGAGAUGAUUCGUAUCGGCUUGGCUCGCGUUAGGAUAUGGAGCUGGCUCGGCUCGAAAAACAAGCUAAACUACAUCAAACACGGCAAAUCGUGCUUAGAGCAGCCACAGUGUGUUCUAAAAGUUAUUUUUCGUUUUUCUCUUUUCUCUUUGAGUAUCGAUUGGCACACUGCAAGACGCCUAUGUUUUUGUGGCCCUGGUGCAAAACAUAAAGUGGGGUCUAUAUUUAUAAAAUGCAAAAAACUAAAGUGCACGUAGAGUAAUAUCAUAAGUAUUUGUACAAAACGAUUAAAUGAUGAAUCUUACUUACUGAUAACUUCUUAGCUUCCAUUAAAAAUCAUCAUUCGUCUAGUAUUUUUCGAAAUAAAAUCUUCAAUUAUAUCUUCAUACAUAAUCUUCUCUAGAAGAUCAUUUUCAAGCGCAAUUGUCGCCAAUCCAUUUAGCCUUUCUUGUUUUCAUAGUACUGUGCAUGUAGGUCUUUAGCAACUUCAAUUUGGAAAAGCUUCGUUCUGCGGAUGCAACUGUUACAGGAAUAGUUAACAAAAUUCUAUAUGCAACAAGGGCAUUAGGAAAACAGCCCAUCCGUUUCACAAACUUCAGAAUAUCAAGAGGGCCCAUGUCUUCCUUUGGAAUGAAAUCUUGGAGGAACUUUAACUCCACAUGUAAUUCUUUACCAUCAAUAUCAGAAUGGUCACCACUCUUAAGUGCAGCCUCAAGAUGAGCACAAGAAGACAACAGACUCUUGUCAUCUAAGGAGCAUAAUUUCUUUGAAGUAAACAAAAAACUAAAAGUUUUUUCGUAUCCCUGGUAUUGUUCGAAUCUAUUUGUAAGUGAAGCAAUAGCUUGAUCAACAAUGGAUAGAAAAUAAUUGAUUCUAAUUAACUCCUCUGUAGAUUGUGAAAAUAGAUUCAUCUUCAGGUGCCUCAUCAAAUUGCCGUUUCCUUUUGAUUUUACGCUUGGUACGGAAUGUUGGUUCAACAUCCAUCUCACGUGCAAUUUCUUUUGCAGAUUCUAAUGUAUUUGGAAAACCAGUUUCUCUAUACUUAGUGAAGAAUGAAAUCAACCCCUGCACUUUCUCAAUAGCAAUAUCAAUAAGCAUAUCCUUUGCUUGUAAUUGUUUACUGACCAAAUUAAUAGUAGAUAAUACUUCAUACCAGAUAACUAUUGCCACUAUAAAUUCAAAGUCACCAAGCUCAUUGGUCGCCAAGGAUUUAGCUUCACUACAUAUUGUUGCAUCAUUAUCAGUAUCUGACACUUCCAGUAAAGCUUCUCGUAUAUCCUGCAUUUGGAACCUUAUAGCCUUAACACUGUCAACACGACUCUCCCAACGAGUUGCUGACAAUGGCUUGAGAGUGAAUCCUGAUAUGUUAUCUUUUAAAAUUUGCCAUCUCUUAGUGGACUUACCAAAUAUUGUAUAGAUACGUUGUAUGAUUCCAAAAAAAUCUUUUGCUUUACCGCAACUCUUUACCAUAUCACAUAGUGCUAAAUUAAUACUAUGAUAGCCACAAGCAGAAUAAAAGGCUCGAGGAUUGAUCUCCAAAACUUUCUUUUGUACCCCUAUAUUUUUUCCUUUCAUAUUUGAUCCAUUGUCGUAUCCUUGUCCUCUCACAUUGUCUAUAUCAAGGUCAAGAUUCUUCAAUUCAUUUUGUAAAACAUCAAAUAACCCUUGGCCUGUAGUAUCAUUAAUAUCCAGAAAACCUAAGAAUGAUUCCUCAAUGCAAAUAGAAUCUGAAGAUGUGUCAACAUAUCUUAUGAUCAAAGACAUUUGUUCUUGGUGGCUUAUAUCAGGGGUACAAUCAAGGAUAACUGAGAAAUAUUUUGAUUCCUUUAUUUUUCUAAUUAUUUCAGACCUGAUAGAAGCAGCAAGCAAAUCUAUUACCUCAUUCUGGAUGCCAUGACCGAGGUAAUGUGUAUGGAUAUCAUCAUUUGUUAUGCAUUGAACAUGCUCCUGCAUAACCGGAUCAAAUUCAGCCAUCAUUUCAACCAUGCCUAGAAAAUUGCCAUUGCUGUCCUGAUACAACUUGCUAUUGGUGCCACGAAAUGCUAAGUUAUGCUUUGCAAGGAAUUUUGCAAUCAAAAUAAUUCUGAACAAAACCUUCCUCCAAUGUUCCUUUUCCUUCUCAAUUUCUCUAUGAGCAACUUUAUCAAUAGUUUGGUUGUUAUCAAAUCUGAGACGCAUGUCAUACCAAGAAGCCAUAUUUGUAAUAUGAUCAGCACUAGUUUCAUGAUCUUUAAGUCGAGUGCCAACAUGUAACCAAUCACUCAGACCUUCAUUUGCUAGCUGACUCCUUAAAUGCCCCUUUCUUAAUAACUUGCAACAAAAACAGAAUACUCUAUCAAGCUAUUUGGAAUAUACCAGCCAUUCUCUAUCACAAGUUUUCCCAUUUGAUAAAAUUCUAGUAUAUAAUGCUGCAGAAAACCUCCUUGAUAACCUAUCUUUAGGACCUUUCUGAAUAGACAAGUCCCUUUUAGGACCCUUUUGGACCAAAAUAUCAACCUGUUUUUGAUCUAGUCCAUCCCAAUAUCUUGGAUCAAAUAUGUUAGGCUGAAAAGGAACCCUCAAAUCAUUGUCACUUUCAAUACUAGCUGAUCCAUCAAGGGUAGCAUCAACACUAUCCGCAUUAUUGGGAUUAACUUGCACUGAUUCAGUUCCUAAAGUGUGAGCUUCAACGUUGUCUGUGUUAUCACCGUGAUUUCCAUCACUAUGUGCCUCAGGAGUUUCAUCUUGUGCACUAGUUUGACAGUUCUUAACAACAAAUCUAUCAAGAGCACCCUUUUGAGUCCGAGCAAAUUGUUCAAGCCUGUGUUUCUUCUUGCGCUUUUCAUUACCUGACUCAUAUUUAAUAUUUCUAGAAGACAUGAUAUGAUGAUAAAUAAAUAGGAUUCCCUGUUUCAUGAAUUACAAAUCAACAAAGCUAAAUUAACAUUUAACAAAUCAUUGACCCAAUUGCACACAAAUCAUAGAGCCGGUCACCUAGCAUUACAUUACCUGGCGGUAGCUUUUGCCUUUUGUAGUUCUGUUGUGCCGUUGUGGAGAAGACCUACCGUCAGAUGGUCAGAGGCAGGUGGAGUCGCUGCAUGCAGACUUGAUUGCGGCAGCGCAAUUUCGCAUGCAGCUCGGCGACUCGGCGAGAUUGCGGCGACCGGCGGCGCUCUCGCGAUUAGAUUUAGAAAUUAGAAUAAUCGGCAGGCGGCAGCGGCAGGCCAGGCCUGCUAGGCUGCUAAUCAGUAUCGGAUGAUUCGGAUCGAACGGUCCUGGUCCGGCAACACGGCAACAGAUUCUCCAAUCUCUAGGGCCCAGGCUAAAAACACAAAAAGUUGCAUGCAGCCAUGCAGGCAUGGUCACAAACUCGCAUGCAGGCAGGAAUAGAGGCCACCAGAGAGAGAUUGACAGGUCACGUACUCACGUACACAUGGGGGCCCCAAAAUUUUGGAGGCCUGGUGCGAUCGGCCCACUUGCCAUGCAUGAUGUACGGGCCUGCAAGACGCGAUGCUAGACGGAAAAACUCGGCAUCGAUAACUCUAGUUUUCUCGAUUCUCCAUAACUAUCUCAAUAGCACGUCGUUGCUUCUUUAGUCACAUAUUGUCAGUAAAAAGAAAGAAAUUGUUAUAAUGAGAGAGAAAAAUAAAACAUCAUUGAUGAUUUAAUAUUUGCAAACAUCGUCACUUCCAGCACGUUGUGGACCUCUAGCUGCCCUUAUACGAAGAUAUUAUACGAAGGAAACACACCAUAGGCUCGUUAGGCUCGCAAGUGGCUCGUACGCCACAUGCCGACUCAUAACUAACGAGCCGACUAGUCACGUACGAGUCAGCUCGCGAGUUUUGAACUUUUGGUCCACCCCUAACCGGCCGAUUCCUUACCAGGCCCGCUGGGCCCUGAAACUUCUCGGCCCGUGAACUCCUCCGGUGGCGAACACGAACACGUGCUGCGGGGUGCUGCAGUGCCGAGCUGGCAGCAGCCAAAGCCACUCGUCGGCUCCGAUGAUGGCUUCAUCGUCAGCAGCGGCUGCUCCGUUCCGGUUCCUACCCCCCCUCGCCACCACCGCCUCCUGCACCCUCCUCUCCAACUCCUCCCGAACCCCAACGACAAGGAGACGGCUACUCCUCUCCACCACCAUUGCCGCCGCCAUGGCAACUUCUUCACCGAGCGACGGCUCGGCCUCUUCUUCCUGCAAGGUCGUGGACUCCCACCUCCACGUCUGGGCCUCGCCACAGCAGGUGAGAAAGCGGGCGACGCGCGCAAGCCAGUUUCGGCCUCCAGAACGGGGUGUUGGGUAAUUCUUCGCGGUGGUUGUGACCUGUGACUCUGUCCGCGCGCAGGCCAAUGAGGGGUACUCGUACUUCCCCGGCCAGGAGCCCACACUCCGGGGCGACGCUGACUUCUUGCUCGAGGUAAGUUAAGAGGAAUUUAGGCCUGGUUUGGUUCACGCUGUUUAUUUUUAAGCACCCGUCUCAUCGAUGUUUAGAUACUAAUUAGAAGUAUUAAACGUAGACUAUUUACAAAACCCACUACAUAAGGGGAGGCUAAACGGCGAGACGAAUCUAUUAAGCCUAAUUAGUCCAUAAUUUGACAAUGUGUUGCUACAGUAAAUAUUUGUUAAUGAUGGAUUAAUUAAGCUUAAUUAGGCUUAAUAGAUUCGUCUCGCCGUUUAGCCUCCACUUAUGUAAUAGGUUUUGUAAAUAGUCUAUGUUUAAUACUCCUAAUUAGUAUCUAAACAUUCGAUGUGACACGUGCUAAAAAUAAGCAAACGGAACCAAACAGCCCCUUAGAAAUGCCGCAUCUCAUGUGCCCUUGCAGUUGCAGUUACCUUGACCGUUGUAGCCUAUAAUUUGUUUCAGAACCUACGAUUUGGGGAUGAAUUGUGCCCGUACUAGUGAUAGAUUAGUGGGUAAACAUCUAUUGUGCAUCGUGUCCAUGUGAAAUUCUACAGAAUUGGCACCAGGAAACUGUGCCAAAAAAUGAAGCUAUUCCUUAAAUUCUCAGCAUACAUGGAAAAAAAUCAGCUGGUGGGUUCUUUGUUUAGUCUAUGUUUCUGAACAUGUGGUGGCCUAUCGACCUAAUUGCAGUCUUAACGGUAUUUCCUCCUCUAUCCCGUUGUUAUAUCAGUUGAAUCAAAUGAUUCAAGAUUGCUCUUGAAAAUGUAAGUUUGAGUCUGCAUUUUGUGUUAUUUGGUCUAACUAACCCACUAUUACUUGUCCUUUAGGCUAGCUUGUUGAGACACAUAAUACAUGAUGCGUGUGGAAGUGCUGAUUAGUGAACUGGUUUGAAAAUUUUCCUCUUUAUGUAGUGCAUGGAUGAAGCUGGAGUGGAUGGGGCUCUCAUUGUCCAACCUGUUAAUCAUAUGUUUGAUCAUUCGUUGGUAACUAGGUAAUUAAGCCUUUUCUUGAGUCUACCUAUUCCAACCUGAAACCACCUGAAUUAGUCAUAUCAGUAAGACCAUGGUAUUUCAUUUUUUCUGUAGUGUGUUGAAGAAAUACCCAUCCAAAUUCAUUGGUUGCUGCCUUGCGAAUCCUGCAGAUGAUGGUAGUGGGAUUAAACAGCUCGAACAUCUGAUUGUACAAGUAAACCUCUUGGAACUUUCUUGAACGCAAAAGGAAUUAUUUAAUCUAGCAUUUUCUAAUAUACUACCCCUUCGUUCUCACCAGGAAAAAUAUCGUGCUGUCCGGUUCAACCCAAACUUAUGGCCAUCAGGUCAAAAGGUUUGCAAAUGAGAGACUGAACAUCACUUUCCCUCUACCUCUUAAUUUUGAUUUAUGAUCAAAGUGGCCUGAAAACACAAAAUGUCUCAAAUAAACAGAUGACUAAUGAGGUCGGAAGGUCAUUGUUUGCUAAGGCUGGAGAACUGGGAGCGCCAGUGGGAAUAUUGGUGAUGAAGGUAAAAAAUGCAUUCCUCUAUUAGAUGUAUGUGCAGUUACUAUUGGACUUUGGGAUUCCGACAGCAAGAAUGACGUAGCAAUACGUUCCCAUCGUAAAAAGGAGAAGAAGGGCUCACAUUCAAACAAAGAUUCAUAUAUUCUAUAUUGUCAGGUUGUGCCAUUCUAGAGCCUGAAGCUUUGAGGAAACUAAUAGUCCAGAAAAAUGCGAGUUUUCAGCCCUGUUAAUUACACAAGUCACUUGUUACAUGAGCUUAUGAAAUCCUGUCUGCAUCUUCUUUGCAAAAUAAAAUUGUAUGAAUAGGCUCCUUGAAUAUAAAGUAACAGGGACUUAAUUACCCUCUUUGUUACAAAGUCAAAAUUAUAUAAUUAUUCUUUGUUGUUCUUGUGUAUGCAGGGAAUUGGUCUAUAUAUUCAGGAAAUAGAGGAGCUGUGUAGGGAUUAUCCUGAAACUACUGUUAUUCUUGAUCAUAUGGCUUUCUGCAAGCCACCAACGUAAACUUGUGUUUUUGCUUGUUUAUAGUCUGCGUGAAUGUAGUCAUAUGAAGCUAUAGCCUGUAGUAGCUUAUAUUGCAUUGCAAUACAGGAAUGACGAAGAAGAGAAGGCAUUCUCAUCAUUUCUAAACUUAUCCAGAUUCCCACAGGUAAUCUCCAAAACCUCUUUAUUUUGUCCAUUGGCAGAUCAAUGUGGUCAUGGAGAGAAAAAAUAGUUUUUAUUGUGCAAAUGAGCCUUUUUAGUACCAGCUGACAUUAGCACCCUCAGAUUUUGUUGUCAGAGAUCUGGGGGCAGUAACACUAUUCUGUGAGGGGCGAUACCUAACCUGAUUUAUUGUCAAGUAAUGGCGUCAUGAAUAAAGUGCCAGAUUGUAGUAGAAGCUGUGCAGUUAAUUCCAUUCCUUCUGCUUCUGUAACAUUAUACUUGCUUUAAUGCCAUGAUGCAUUACUUCAACAGGUUUAUGUCAAAUACAGUGCUCUUUUCCGCAUCUCAAGAGAAGCAUAUCCAUAUGAGGACACUGCUCAGCUUCUUUCCCAUGUGAUAUCUAUCUAUGGAGCCAAACGAAUAAUGUGGGGAAGGUGAAUUUGCAUACCCACUGAUAGUUUCAAUUGGUCAUAGACUAAAACAGUGCCUAUGAGAAACCACUCUCAGUUAACUGAUAGCAUGCUCUGAAGUGUUGGAUCAGCAAAUUUGUCGAAAACACAAGCGUUGAGUUACCACAGAAACCCCAGCAGCAAUUACAUACUCCUAACUGAAAGGGAAAAAAAUCUGCUAUGGAAUACAGAAAUCAUAUAAUCCCUUUAUCCUCUGGAAAUACACACUUCCAUAGAUUGAUUAUGCCCUGAACUUGUAUGCAGUGACUUCCCUUAUGUUGUUCCUGAAUGUGGCUACAAAGGAGCAAAGGAUGCAGUCUCUCAUGUUGCGGGCAAGGUAUCUGUUUCACCAUCAGAUUUGGAAUGGAUCCUGGGAAAAACAGUGAGCCAGCUAUUCCAAGGUGCAUGGGUUGCUCCAUGAGGGAGCUGUCAUGAUCAGUGUAUUGUAGUGUUUUUUAGUUGUUGCUGCUUGUGUUGUUAGUUUUGUGGUUUGUUGUCGUCAUUACUUGACCCUUGCUUGACCCCUUGGGGUCUUGUUGCACUAUUGUUUGUCUAGGAUGGGUUUGAUCUUCUUAAUAUAAUUGGCAGCUCUCCUGUCCGGUUCGCUUAAAAAAAAGAUGGUGUAGUGUAGUGUUGCUGGUAGGAGCUAAAUCAAGACUUUGUCUUAUUUUCGAAUGUUCAAAUGUAUAUAGUGUUUUAAUUUGAUACGAAUAUACAUAUAAAGCAUUUCUAUGUUCAGAUUUCUAUCACCAACAACAACCAAAUUUUAUUGUCUUCUCAAGAAGACUCCUGUUUUUCGGCAAGAAAAAUUUCUUCAUUUAUCCAAUUCCGACUUGAUCGUGUAACUCAAACAUGUGAAGAUGAACUAAAGGUGCAAAGACCAAAUUGUCGUCAGUGUAUUACAACCAAAAUGUUUUCUUUUAUGACAAUGGGAAUUCAGAUUCAGUUAGAAAUGUUGAGGAUAGCAUUAUUACCAGCUCGUUGACUCACGGGAGAAUUAAGUCUCGAGCAAAUUACAACUUAUAUAUCAUUUUAAUUUAUUUAAAUCAUACUCCCUCCAUCCCAAAUUAUAGAUCGUUUUUGAAUUUUCUAGAUACAUAUCUUUUACUAUGCACCUACAUAUAAUUAUGUCUAGAUACAUGACAAAACAUACGUAUCUAGACAAGCUAAAACGAUCUACAAUUUGAAACGGAAGGAGUAACAAUUAUACGAUAUCAUUGGCUUAGAACACCCAAAAUGGAAUAGCCAAAUAAUACAAGGAAUAAAACUAGAAUUGAGUUGUAGCCAGAGAAUAACCCGCCAUCAUUGAUAUCCCUGCUACACUGUAUCUAUCAUUUUGUUGUACUGCUAUAGCUAAAAAUAAUCCAUAUUUGUGCAUGCACAUGGUUUAGACAGUCAAAUAAUACGCACCAAGGUACGUACAAUAACUUAUUUCUGUGCUCAUACCAUCAUCCUUUUUUCUUUAGAAAAACAACGCACGGCAACCCUCUAUGGUAAAAUAUUUCGAUGUCUCCUUUGAAAUGCGUUAUCUCAAAACUUAAAGAGGGGGGAAACAUAAGAUUCAAGUUGGUUGUGAACUGCGAUACUAUAUGAAUAGAAAUUUUCCAACUGAGUGCUUGGAUGCAAUAUAGGAUAAACGCAUGAAUUUAAGGAGAUAGACAUAAAUGGAAGUAAUUUCUAAGAGGUUGGGCCCAUAUAUAUUUUCUCCAAAUUCCUAUGAAUGGAACAAUUCCUUGUGAACUUUUUUUUUGAUUUUAGGAUAUCUAACUUCCGAAGAGAUACCAACAUUCAAAUAUAGCAUAAGAUCUGUGUUUAUAUUUUGCUAUAGAAUGAGCCUAUACUGAUUGCAAUUUUCCAGAAUCUUGUGCAUUUCAUCGGCAUCAUCACAUUUGCAACAAUAACAUACCCAUCCGCAUAUAUUUAUAAACCAUAUGUGUUUUUGCAACACGAAAAAAUCCUAAAACCCAUGGUUAACCUUAAUUUUUUAAUCAUUUUCUCUUUAUUUUUUGUUGUUUUCUUGACUUAAUAUGUAAUUACUAUAAAUGUACAAGUCUAUAACAAAAGUAAUAUUAGUACAUAUGUUUUACCGCUUGAACCACUCGGAUUUGUAGCAUGCUAAAAAAGAUAGUAACACCAGUGGUAGUAAUGAACGGUUUCUUAGCAAGUUAACAUGGUUUCCUUAAGGAAUAACAGUCCAUAUGGCACCUAGCAACAAUGUAUAGUUUUAUUCAUUGAGGAAAUCACAGCAAGAAAUAGUAUGUAUGAUUUAUUAGCUGUAGUAAUCAAUGGUUUCUUGGUGCCGUAAGGACCCUUCAGCAACGGUUUAUACGGCGCCUCGUCUAAUUAUACCGUGUACUUUAUAAACUACACGUGCUUUCUGCAAUAUGAAAUAAAAUCUUAAAAUACGGGCAAGGACACCCCUACAGUUUUUCUAGUGCUGUUUCCUCGUGAAAUUAAUGAUUAUCUAGAUUUGCAAGGCACCACGAGAAAUACAGUUGCCCGAGCAAUAGCAGUCCAUAAGUUCUGUUACUCGUAUAUAUAAAAACAAUAAAAUAAAACAGCAGGCUCAUUUGCAACGUGACACCGAUCAUCGGAGGAUUAUACAUACUCCACAUCUAAGCAAAUAUAAUAAGCAUCACAAAUUCUCAAAGACCGAAAAAAAGGGGAAGAGAGUAGAGAGGGUAGCGAGCGAGAACGGGAGGAGACGGAGGGACGACCCCUAGACCCCACUGACCAGCGUCACGGAAUCUUCCUCGGAGACCAAAGCCCUACUACUACUACAGCAGCCGCGACAGCCGCAACCGCCGCAACCGCGGCCACGACCCGCCAUGCAGCAGCAGCCGCCGCAGCGGGGGGCCCCGCCGACGCAGGGCUUCGUCGGCGCCGGAAUGCCGCCGCCGCAGGGAGACGGGGGCCUCGCCUCGGCGGCGGCGGCGGCGGUGGCGCAGGCCAAGGCGGAGGAGGCGGCGCGGGCGCGCGCGGCAGAGCAGAUGGCGCUCGAGGACGCGUGGAAGGCCCUGAACCCGGACUUCCGGACGCCCUUCGCCUCCGUCGAGGACGCCGUCAGCAGGUGCGUGCGCGCGCGCGCCCGAUCGAUUGAUCUUCCUCGCCGCCGCGACGAACCUGCUGCUUCGUCGCGCGUGGUCGGCGCCGUUACCACGCGGUUUAGCGCGCCUUGCUGGCUUCCUCUCGUGUUCUAGGGAUCUCGUUUUUCCCUUUCGUUAGAUGCACGGUUCUUUCUGCUUCGAUCUUUCGUCGAACAUCUCAUAUGUGUUGAGGCUUAAGGGUUUUUGGGAUUAGUUCAUCGUCAUGGUGAACCCGGUUGAUUCCACGUAUGGCUUGUGGUUUUCUCUCUAAGAUUUGGUGCGGCGAAUUUGAUUUUCACGUGGUACUGCUUGAUUUGGGGAAAAAGUUAUAUGCAGAGGGAUAUUAGCGACCUCCUAAGAAAUCUGUCAAGGAACAAAACUAAACUCUGAAAUGGUAUGAGAAUAAUCAAAGUGAAGAAUUUUCUGGAUCUGGGGAUCAAUAUACCUAUGAUAAAUAGGGAACUAACCUGACCAAGAAUUGUGAAUUCCACGUUGAUGAUUUCUGACAGAAUAUCUGAAAUACGGUUGGUUCUUAACUGACAAAGUUGUUGAGGGAGAUCCCUAGAUUAAAAACCUGCAAUUAUAACUGAAUAAUAUUGUUACCUAUCAGAACAUCAGCUAUCUUUUGAUGAUUAAUUUUGUUAACCACAUAUUACCUGGCACGCGUUAUUUCUGAAUCCGAUAUUUAUUGAAUAGAACUACUGUUGUCAAGUUAUUAUAAUCUGACAAAAACAGCUCAUCCCUUUGUUUCUAAAUUCACAGUUCCGUACAUCUAUACGCGAGAAUGUCAUCUGUUAAAUGCAUUGUAGUACUGUAUGAUUGAUCUUUCUUGAAUAGAGACUCUCUACUUAUUCUUGGAGGGAUUGCAUGUUUGCACACCAGUCUGGAAACUCAUGCUAUCUGGCAUGAAAAUGGGUUGUAGGUUCUAGGUGACUGGGAUAGUAGGAUUAACAUGUAUAUGUGCUAGAUGCAACCUGAAAAGAUCUAGUUAUUGCAAUCUUAAUGAGACCUCACAUUACACCUGCUGAAAAGAGAACAGUGAGGAUAGCAACAUGCAUAUUCUGCCAUUUAGUUCAUAUAUAUGUUUUUGAGACUAAGUAUACGAAGAAUUAUUCAUACUUUACCAAUAUUGGUGUCCUGUUCUCGCUAGUUGGAAUUUGGAAAAUUGUUGGCAUGACUAACAAUCUUCUUCACCUCAUGGCCAGGCUUCUGCCGUAUCACGUCUUCGCGGACUACGAAGAGGACGACGGCGUCAUUGACGCCACCGUUGGCGGCGGCGGCGGCAGCGUCGCCACCGCGAUAGAGAAUUCAAGCGCGCAGAAAUGGGAGGACGACAUGGGCGCCGAGGUGGACGGUUUCCUCGAGCACUUCGAGAAGCAGGUGCUGACCUUCAACGUCAUGAACCGGGAGCGCGCGGCGGGCUUCCACCGCGCCGAGGAGCAGCUCAUUCUGGAGAAGGCGCUGUACGAUGACGAGCGCCGGCAGAUGGAUCGCGUCCGCGCGGCACUCGUGCAGCACCAGCAGCAGCUGGAGCAUCAGCGGGAGCAGCAGGAGGCCGCCUUGCGCGCGCGAAUGGCGGCGCUCGCGCAGGCGCAGGCCUCGGGGGCGUGGCCGGCGGUGCAACCAGCCGCCGCCUCGUGGCAGGCGCUGGCUGCCGCGGCGCGCGGCGAAGGGGGCUCCCGCGGGCAGGCGCAGGCACCGGCCUUGACGAUGAUGCAGCAGCAGCAGCAGCCGUCGGAAACGAUGAUGACGGCCGGCGCCUGGCAGGCGCUCGCGGCGGCGGCGUCGCACGGCGAGGGAGGCUCCAGCGGGCAGGCACUGAUACAGGCUGUCAUGAUGCAGCACGUGCAGCGGCAGCGGCAGCAGGAGGAGAUGAUGGCGGCGGCGUCGCGCGGUGAGGGCGUUCCCGCCGGCCAGCUGGCGCUCCCGCCGGCCGCGCUGAUGCAGCUGAUGCAGCAACAGCACCAGCAGCGGCAGCAGGGGGAGAUGAUGGCGGCGGUGGCGUCCCGCGGCGAGGGCGUUCCCGGCGUGCAGGCGCUCCCGCCGGCGACGGUGAUGCAGCUGAUGCAGCACCAGCAACAGCAGCGGCAGCAGGAGGAGAUGAUGGCGGUGGCGGCAUCGCGCGGCGAGAUGGGCCCCGGCGAGCAGGCGCUGGCAUCGGCCACGGUGAUACGUCAGCUGCAGCUGAUGCAGCAACAGCAGCAGCAGCAGGAAAUGAUGGCGGCGGCCGCUGGGUGGCAGCUGGGCGGGCGGCAGAUGACGUACGCGGCGGCGCGCGGUGACGGCAGCUCGAGCUCGCAGGUGCUUCAGCAGUCAGGGCAGGGGCAGGUCAGCAGCGGCGCGGCCUCCAGGAUGGCGCUGCCAUGGCAUGGGAGCGCGGAGGGAAGGGAGCAGUAGUGUUUGCCAGGGCUUUACGAUUCCUGCGAGAAAACCAAUCGUGCGGCUUGCGUCUCUGUUGGAUGAGUAUGUCAUUGUUGUAGUGUUCAUGUCAACUAAGCUCAUUUACAAAAAGCGGCCAAAUUUGACCGUUUAAAAUUCAAUACCUGCCAUUGUGUCAUUGUAGCAGCUUAUUACAGUAAGUAUAUUAAGUCGUGAAUUUCAAUAACAAAGUGCUACAAGCCGAUAAGAAAUGUUAGGUUAAAUCCAUUUCUAUUAAGACAAACGGAAGGAUAUGGCAUAGUUCAAAAUGUUUCGAGAAGCAAUCGAUCAGUUUCAUAUUGACUCUUUGCCCAACAGGAUACCUCAACUCUGAAACAAACCUUGACAAGGUAGAGCAGCAACAAGGUCUACUACACCCAGAAUAGCGUGUGUGUAUCUUGUACAUCAUAUUGAACAUUUUGUAGGGUAAAACACGACAACCACUGCAAACUAUUUCCCUAUCCGCAUGGCAGAGGGACCGACUCUUUGUACCUAGGUUACAAUUACAACAGUAGCUUACAACAUAUUGGCAUCGUCUUUCGCCAUUGCCACCCAUUGACAGAGCAUGACACCAGACUUCUUCGAUCUUUGAGCUCAUAGUCUCUCUGAAGGACUUUAGGUGGACAUACAAAUUAUUGUUGGUCUCGUGGACGCAUAAUAGUUUCAUAGUAUUGUACAGGAGCAGCGAGUAGUUUUGGGCAACUUGUUGGCCUUCUUAUCUGUCAGAAGAGAGUAACAGAGAUAACAACAUUCAGGAUAUGAGAUUAACAUGAACUGCCAACUUACAAAGUUUUGACAAUUCAGCUUAACCCAUCAACUGCAUAAGACAAAGUAAUGAAGAGUAUCCAAACUUCCAGAAUUAGUGCUGCAGUGUUCAUUCUGUUUUGAGAAUUACUCAGUUUUCAACGUCGGAUAUGCUGACAUGCAAUUCCUCCACUUGCAGAGCAAUUAGUUUGAGGAAUGGGAUUAUCCUAGCAACAGCCCAUUGGUUAUCUUUUGUUCUCUUUUUAUUUCACUUUAAAAAUGGAAUCAGCUGGUUUCUCACCCCUAUCCCUCAAUCCUCAUAAGUCAUAAGAACAAGGCUAGUGAAAAAGAAUGACAAAUUGGGUCAUCCAACAAAAAACAUGGGACUACGAGGUGUCCAAGAAAUAAACAUCCGAUCAUCAAGGAAUAGUCUACUUUACACAUCUGAACUUUGCAAAAAUGUCCAUGACAUCGAGUAUUUUAAACCCUCAAACUAAGAAAAGCGGGUCAACUUACACCCAAAGAUGGUUUUGGGAGCCAUGCUUUCGAAUUUUCCUUACUAGUAUAAGUUAACAGGAGGGAAACGAUGAGAAGACACAUAAUGGAGAAAUAGAAGACAGAAAACUAGAAGAGAAAGAGAUCAACCAUGUGGACGUAAACAACCCUGAGUUGGAUGCCCAUCUAAGAAGUAUAAUGUACAAAGCCUGAAAAAGUUACUCCAAUAGGAGCCAACUCAAUGAAAUUGAUUUAGACCACUGGAUGGCCUGUGGAAACAAACUGGCUAUUUUGGCUAAGCCUACAUUCAUACUUUUGAACCCCAGCUCCAAAGAGUCGAUGCAAUGAAGAAGCCAGUAGCUAGUACACGUAGUUACCAAAUAAGGCUAGCUGUGAACCAUAACCAGCUCAUUAUUUGAAUAAAAGGGUGUGAACAGUCAGUUUACAAGAGGUCAAAUGUCCAUUGCGUUCCUAUUUUUUCUUCUCUCUUUUUUUUCUUUUAUUUCUAUUUCUUUUCCAUACUAUUUUAUCCUCUCUUUUUUUCUUUUUUCUCUCCCACUUCUUUUCCUCUUUUUUUUUCCCUCACUUAUCUGGUGCUUGCUUGCCCCUUAUCCAUUCGUUUCCUUCCUGCCACAUAUUAUCUCCUUGUCAAAGCCUAACUUUGCACAACUAACUCUAGGGAAAGUGGGGCUGCCAGAAAAAAAGUGUGGAGAACAAAAAGGUAGCCACACUUGUGGCAAAGUUUGGUACGAAAAUGAGUCUAUAACACGUGGGGCAAGGGGCUAAGAAUGUUUGUAAGCCACAGUUUGUGGCGGAAACCAAACACAUGCUUAAGAAUCUGUGGUGCGACAAACGUGUGGCGCGGCAAGAUGUGGCUAGCAACCAAACAGGCUUGAUUGAGAACUUGGCCAGAAAAUCGAGAUAUUAUGGCUUAGCAGCACAAGUUGGGGGAACAGCUUCUUGAAAAUUGACUCAGUAAGCCCUGCAUUUAAUCUCAAAUCAUAGAACAGAUUGUAGCUUCUCUAUCUCCCUACGAGUAGCAAAUUUGUAUAAUUCUCAGCUCAACACUUUCUACAUUUCUGAAACAAAGUACUCUUAUAGAAACCAAAAGAACACACUUCUGAAAAUAUAGAUCCAACAAAAAUGAAGGCAGCAUGAUAAAGCGUGAACCUUAGAAAGGAAAAGAAAACAAAUCAUAAGUAAAAUAAAGCAAUAGAGGCAACCAAAAAAAUACUGAAACUAUAAUUAGCAGAACUGGAAUUUUACGCAUCUUGAUACAAUGAUACUUAUAACAAAGCUACCAGUCUAUAGAGUUGGAUGAGAGAGGUCAAAUUCAAUAAGUAACCAUUUCAUUAAGUGUGAAAACUUGCAACUCACCUGGUUUUGAUUUGGCUGAUGAUGGUUGAACAACAACGUGCAUUGUGAUAGCACUACUGGGAAGAUCACCAAAAGGUGCUCUGCACUGUGCAACACUCUUAUCAUUUUCUAGAAUUUUGCCUCCGCUUAUCAGUUUCACAUCAUUAGCAGUCUUUGGGCUAACUGAUUUAUCUGCAACAAAAAGUUACAUUAGAAAUAUUAUAUGGGCAGGGCAAAUGUGUGAGUGAUUGUUUAACAAACCCAGAACUGAACUGAUAACUGAUAAAUGCAGCAUACAUAGAUGUAAGGCAAUUUACUGCAUCAAACUAACUCCACAAAUUAACGGAGAAACAGAACAGCUAAAACUGCUCAUGCAACUAGUUUCUGCAGUAAUACUUUUGAUGAAGCAGGAACACAUCGUGAGACAUCAUAUAGCCAGCUUGUAGGAAAAUAAACAUUGUAGAACUAAACACCAGCCAAAAAAACACAUCCUAGCUCGCAGAAAAUUUGCCUGAUACAAUCAGCGGAAAAUAUUUAAUUGCAUUACUGAUCUUAAGUAUGCAGUUCAAAAAUAUCCCAUUCUGGGCAAAUUUUCUGUGGAAAAUGAUAUUAUUUCAUUCAAAAUAGUGGAACUGUUGAUUUAACGAUCUAACUCAGUACUAAUCUAUGAUGCAGUUAUACAAGCCUGCAGGAUCAACAAACUUCAACUAAUGAGAAAGACUAGCAAUAAUAUGGCACCAGCAAAAUGAUGGGUAUCUACUUCGAAGUGUAAAUACGUGCGCUCAUUUUCACACCCUCCGGAAUACAAAAGUAAAGUAUAGAGUGUCCUCCCUCCCUCCCAUAAACAAGAUGAUACAUUGAUAUCCAUACGGAAGCUGUUGUCAAUGGGAGCUACAAGUGCUCAGUUAAAAAACCAUGAGCUUCUCUAUAUGUUUAUUCUACUGGGCUCUCUGUUGGCUACUUUAAAGUGUUGAUCAUGUUACCACUGUGGGCUACUUUGUCAAGAAACUUGAGACUGCUCCUGAGCCAGCAGCAUAGCAACAUGGAAUUGUACACCUAUGUGUAAAGACCCCCCUGGAUCUUGGAGCAACUUGAGGCCACUCAAGGUUCUGAUGAAAUCUCAUCAGUUCUUUAAAAGCAAUCAUGGCCAGGUGUCAAAUAGACAAAUACCCUACUGAACCAUAAACUUAUCUACAAAGGAUGUAAUAAUAUUUCAGUUUGAAAAUAAAAAAACUCUACUAUUACUGUUUGAACCGAAGCCAGCAUAUGGGCUUGACAUUUCUUCAGAUAUGUUCUGGCAUACCAUAAUAAGGAAUAAAUACCGGAAUAGUUAAUGCUAGAUUUACAGGGUACAAAGCAACUGGUUCAAGCUCAAAUCUUCUAUUCGUCAACUAUGCUUCGAGGCAGAGAACUUUUGUCAGGGAAUGGAUCUUAUUGCUGCGACAUAUUCAGUUCUUUAUUACAGUGCCUCUGUCUGCUUUGCGUUCAAUACUUCCAAUUCAACCGAGUCUAGAAUCUUAACAAAAGAAGCACUUGCUAAUAAUGGAGGCGCCCCAUCCUUUUUCCCAAAUCGGACACCAAACCGUGAAGGCACCGAACAAGGAAAUCUGAAGCUCGCCCCCCCCCCCACCCCACCCCACCCCACCCCUUCAAAGCCCUCCGUUCCUAUCUCCUCGCGACACGCACGGACUAAAAAUAGCAACUGAAGAUAUACAAACUUAGCAGUAUGGAUCACAGGGCUUGACACCACGGCGGUAGCCGGCUCAUCCCGCCUCGUAGGAGUUCCAGAGCUCAAGAGAACGGGAAUCUUUAAGGACCUUUGGGCCAGUCGGCGACGACGCGUUCCUUGAGCGCGGCGACGGUGGUAGCAGCGGCGUUGCAGCGGACGGGGCCGAUGUCGGAGCCGUCGAAGAGCCGGAACUUGACCUCCACCUCCUCCGCCUCCCCUUCCCGCUCCCGCUCCUCCAUCUCUUCCGCCCCCACCUUGGCCCCCUCCUUCUCCGCCAUUUUCUCGGCCCCUCCCACCAAGAGCCGGGACGCCUCCGGGACCCAACCGGAGCCCUGCGGAUCCCGGCCGCUCACAGCGAGAGCUCCGGAGGCCGGCGCGACUGGGGGGCGGGGAGGGGCCCGGGUGCUCGGGCUAGGGUUUGGUGUGGGAGCGCGAGGGGAGGGGAGGCAGGAGAGGGAGAGGAGCAGGGGAAGCAAGAAGGCGAGCUAGGCAGGUUAGGCGAGAAAAAAUUCUCUUCCUUUGUCACUGGAAACGCGGGAGGGUUUUUAUUGUAAGCGAAGGACUGGACUAGAGUAUCUACGUUGUGCGAGUUAAAUUGGUUUAUCUCCACAGAAUAUUCAGUGCUCCUUUAUUCUCAUGUAUAUGAAAUUGAAGAGAGCAAAUAGCAUGUCUUACUCAGCUUUAAGAGAAAGUUCUCUUUCUCCUCUCACUUGAGAAGUUUUAUUACUGGGUUGUGGCUUUUAAUCUUUUGCCAUGUGUUAGAUUCCUGUUUGUCUUGAGAGCUUAUGGUAAUUUUAUUAGUGUCAUGUAUGUUGUUUCUUUGGUCUUCCAUAGUAGAGGAAAAGAGGAUCAUGUAAAUAUGUCUAUGCCUACCUCAGUGGAAUUGAAAAUUUUCUAUCAUUUCAUAGUAUAAAGUAUGAGUUAUGGGUUCGGUUGGUGGAUUAAUUGAUGCUAUUUCUAUGCUUUCCUUUUAUGCAUGUAUCCGUUUCUAAUGAAAUUUAAUUAUUAUGUUAAAAAAGGUGAAAUUAAAGAAAAAAAUUGGCUAACUAUGCAUCCAUCCUAGUAGUCACUCUUUAUCUUGUAUUUUAGCAAUCAAAAUAAAUGCUCAAUUCUUGUCGGUUUCUUUGACUCUCCCUUCAAAAGUUCAAACCAUAUGGGAUUUUCCUUGGUGCGCAUAACAAACCUUUGCAUAUAAAUCCUACUCCCUCCGUUCCAAAUUAUAGGUCAUUUUAUAAUUUCUAUGUUCAUGAUUUUUACUAUGCACCUAUAUAUAUUAUGUCUAGAUAUAUAGGAAAAGCAAUGAAUUUAGAAGUGCCAAAACGACCUAUAAUUUAGGAUGGAGGGAGCACAUUAAAAUUAGUAUCAAGAGUGUUGGAUGAUGAGGAGACAUCAAACAACAUCAUUGUCAACGGUGGAGGUCUAUCUUUCUCUCACUAGAUUGAAGAGAGUUCAAGUUUCUCUUUGGUUAUCCAUAGAGCUAAGACACGGGUAAAAGCAGUCUUUUUAUGAUUGGGUGCAACGAUAUACAUUUGCUUUGCACAUUCCUUUUCCCGUACAUGCUCUCUCUCUCUUGGCACCACACUAGAAACUACUACUCCUAAUUUGUUUUUUUAAAUAUUGCCUGUUAAUUUAAUUUACGCUUUUACUUAAAAUAGUAAUUAAUGCACAUGUUAUGCUAUAUCAUGUGCAAAAUGCUGGAUUUUUUUUGAUAGGGUGCAAAUGUUGGAUUUAAAUAGUCUUCUUUAAUAAAAAUUCACGGCAGGAGCCUCCCGUAAUAUGAUCCAAGAUCACUUCUUUCGACGGCAGGAGUUUUGGGCUGGGCUGCCACAGACACUAAAGUCUAAAGGCCAUUAACAUGCAGCUCUUUCUCGGGAAGCAGGUUGGGCCGGCAGAAUAAUUGGAUUGGAUCCACACAACACGGUCCCUUUCUUCCCUUUUGACGCUUACUGAUCGAUCAGUUGACCAAUCAUGAUCUGGCCUAUCCGAUCCGUUGAUAAUCAAGAGUUGUUCAAUUCAGAAGCUAGCCCGGUUGGUCAUGAAUGACUUUUUCCUUCUUAUUUAAUCUGGCUAAAAAAUUCUCAGAAAUCUUCAAAUUUAGGGGUAGAAGGAGACUCUGUCUCUUGGUAAUUAGUGCAUUCCUCUCCUUUGUAUUUCGACCACGCCUACAUCUCUUUUCCACUCUUUGCCACAAAUCGUGCAUGAGUGCAUCACAAGGGAUUUUUAUAUAGCACAAACCGUCCAUGAUGAAUCACUUAUCUAAAAAAGUAGGUCUAGUUCAACUGGUUGAGAUAUGAGGUGUAGUUGUACACUCCAACCAUCCAAGUUUAAGUAUUGUUUAACUCGAAUUUAUGUGCCUAUCUUACACUUAAUAAUGGAAAACCACGUACCUACCUAGUUCAUGCUACUCCCUCCGUUUUAAAUUAUAGGUCGUUUUACUUUUUCUAAAUUUACAAAAUUUUCUAUGUGCAUAGCAAAAGCUAUGAAACUUAAAAAGUUACAAUUUAAGGCGGAGGGAGCAGUUUUUAAGCAUGGGAUAGGUCGAGAAAGCAUUUGUUAGGCUUUGUUUUCUAUAAAUCAAUUAUCCCAAAAUGGUUACGUUAGUGUGGAGGCGUAUUGUUAGAUAGCUUACGAGCUAUUAUAAACCCCAUUAUCAUUGACACCUAAACGAAUGCCGUUCAAGGGCCGUAUGUGACAACAACUCUGAACCGCGCGCCUGUGACGAUGAGGCUGUCCAAGGCAGUGCGCUAGCUGCAGCUCUUUUCUUUCCUUUGGUACUAGCAUGUACGGAGUACGUAGCUAGCGCUAUAGCUUUAUAGACAAUGAUUAAUGGGUCGGAGCAAAAGCCCCCAUUGUAAAUCCUUGUAGUGAGGCAAUCGCCCCGUAUCCCCGAUCACAUUGUACCUUUUGUAGGCCAAAUCCAAGAUUUAGCUCCUGCCACUCAAAAGUUUAAAACCUCACUAGCUAGGAGAAGCUGCCGUCCCUUUAAUUUGUCCCUGCCCUUGCCGGAGAGGAGAGGAGAGAGAGCAAAGCCUGUUCUUUUUGUCCCCAAAUUAAAGAUCAGGAGCUUCCUUGCUACACUACUCUGCUCUCAAGCAAACCAUGCAUGGUUACGCAAGGAGUACAGCUAGCCAGGGCGCAGGCGCAGCAUGGUGUGGUGGGCCCCACUGGACAUAGAGCGGUGAUGACGUGAUGUCAUGAGACAGAAGGGGCCACAAGGGCAUGCAUGCAUGGUCAAGGUGGCGCCGGGUAACGAGGGACCGAACCGGCGGCGGUUCGACUGAACCAGAGCCUCCACUGAUCCGGUUCACUUAAAAGCUGUCCAUGCAAUUGGACCGGUAACAACCGGUUGAACCGGCGGACCGGGUGCUUUUUUCUCCUCGCUUCACCUGCCAGCGGCCAAUCCUUUUUCACUAGUGGGCCAAACACACAUGAUGUUCGGAUGCUAAUUAGAAGGAUUAAAUAUGAGCUAAUUAUAAAAUUAAUUGUACAAAUGGAGUCUAAUUGGCGAGACAAAUCUAUAAAGACUAAUUAAUCCAUCAUUAGUAAAUGGUUACUGUAGCACCACAUUAUCAAAUCAUAGACUAAUUAGGUUUAAUAGAUUCGUCUCGCGAAUUAGACUCCAUCUAUGCAAUUACUAAUUAAUAUCCAACAUCCGAUAUCACAGGUGUUGUUUAGCACCCAUCCUCAGGUUGCAGGCAUCCAGCAGACCAGCACACGCAACAGAGAAAUCAAUCCACCAUUUCUUUAUCUCUUCCCGUUCCACGAGGCCAGCUAGACGCCGGCAACCAGGACUCUUGGUCUUUGGGCUUGGAGCAGCAGCAGCUGCUUCUGCCGCCGCCGCCCUUCCGCGAGGGAGCGCCAGAACGGCUUCUGAGUUCUGACUACAUGCGCUGACGGACGCAGGAGGCUAGCUCUGCCGCAGCAAGCUUUCCCAAAUCCAACACGGGGUGCGGCGGCGCUGCGGUGGACGACGAGUGCGGCGGCGCUACGGUGGACGACCGACGACGAGCGCGGCGGCGGCGCGGCAGGCGGAGCGAGCGGUGAGCAGCGCGCGUCUUAGUAGGGGCAGCAGAGGCUGCUGUGGCCGGGAGGGAGAUGGCUUGGCCGCUUGGGUUUGCCCGAUGCGUGCGCCAGGCGGCCGUCGCUGGGAGCUCGGAUCCACCAAGGCGUGCGGCGGCGUUGCAGUGAACUGCGAGUGGGUCGACGACACAUGAAUGAAAUUCUUGCAUUGACUAUCAGUCAAUUGUAAAUGAAAUUCUUGAAUGAGCUAUAACCUGAUUGCAUACUGUGAUUGAAAUUACAAGCGAUUCCACUGAAAGAUUAUUAUGGAGUUAUAAAUCCUCAAGAUCGCGUGCAUCUCAAUUUCAAGCAAAAGCUUACACCCUAAGUAAAACUUUUGAAUGGUUGUGUCAUGACUCAUGGGUUUACUAAUUAUUUUCUGAAUCUAAUUUUAUAUAUGAACAAUUAUAUAUGCACCGGUUCAUAGUAUCUGCAGCCGUUUGAUUUAACGGUUCAAAGCUAUUGAACCGGCGGUUCAACCGAUUUCUAAUGGUUGGACCAAUGAACUAUUGAACCGACGACCUCACCGGUUCGAUGACCGGUCCGGUCCUAAUAACUAUGUUGCUGGGCCAUCAUGCCUAGCUCUGUACACAUGUCACUUUGUACACCGUGUGUGUGUUUUGAUUUGGUCCUCACAAACGACCAUCAUGCUCAAUUGCUCAUAUCAUAUGAUUAUCCAGCCUAGCCGUUGUUUAGACUUUGCACUGUUUGUUACUAGUCUCGAAUCUUGUCCCCAGUUGAAGGUCCAGAGGAAAUAAGCAAUAUAUAAGGUUUUCUUCUUUACACUACGUCAGAAAUGAUUUGUGGUGGCACAGGCAAAUUAGCAUGCUGGUGGGCGUGAUUGGCAUCCGCUAGCACAAAGAUUCGUCGGGCUAGCGGGGGAGCGCCCACCCGCACAGAUGGCCCCAUAUGUGCUGGCGGUGUGCUUACGUGGCUCGCCAGCACAGAGACCACUGUGCUGGUGGGCGCUUAUGUCACUCGCCAGCGCAUAUUUGUGCCUGCCGGCGCAAAUGUGGCGCGGGAAAUGAAAAUUCGCAUCAAACGAGCGGGCGAGCCAAAAGCACUGCCUCUCUCCUUUUUAUCUGCGUGCUCUCUCUCCUAUCCUCACGUCUCUUUCUCCUCUCUCUUUCUCUCCCCCCCCCUAUCCCUUUCAUUCCUCCUGUGCGGGCGAGCGCGAGCGGCGACCAAGGGCGCGCAGCCGGUGCGGGCGAGCGGCGGGGUGCGGAGGGUGGCGGAGGGCGCGGGAGCAGCGGGCGUCGGACGAGCUUUUGUGCUGGCGGGUGGCUAACGUCGCCCACCAACACAGAGCGGUCUGUGCUGGCUCAAAGUUGCUGGCGGGUGCUCGGCCCGCCAGCACAGAGCCCAUUUACCCGCUAGCCAAAAUCUUUUGUGCCCUAGUGUUACUUGCAAGUUGCAACUGCACAUUUCAAAGAGCUGCCCAAUUCCUAUAAAUUUAACACAUGCGUGGCUGAUGGAAACCAACGUAUUUCACUUGACCCUAACCCUGAUUGGUGCCAAAUUGCCAACAACGAUCUGUAGGACAAGUAGCUAGGUUCUUCCCUGCUCUGUGCUCUCAUAGUCUCAUGAGAUUUUGGAAGUUUCAAAAGGGGUUUUAAUUACUUGAAACUAUUGAAUCUUCCAACCGUGAUGAUUCUCUCAUUUAGACUUCGAUUUUUUUUUGAUGAAACAGGAGAGGAUGAUCCCCUGCUGGAUAUAUAUUAAUAGAAAAGAACAACAGCAGUUGCAGAGGUAUAAAUCAGGAAACAAAGAAGGAAAGAAAGAAAAUCAGAAAGAUUACAAUGAGUGCUCUAGCCAUUCUAACACUGGUUGCUUCCAAGCCUCUUUUACUCACAGAACAACUUGAGUAAAAACAAUCUUAAACCGCAUCUUAGCAUCUUGAACUGAUGGAGUAAUACCUCUGAAAAUCCAGUCAUUUCAGACUUUGAUUUGGACAACCCAUAUAUGUCUAUUUUGAUUGUUUCGAUGAGGACUAUCCAAUACUGAACUCCAAUGUGCAAUUUGGCUUUAUUGUCCUCUUGGUCCAAAUAGUUAUUUGCAUCCAUUCCUCCAACUUGCCUUGGGCCAACUUUAAGAGUAAGGAAUAGGAAUUUCAUAUUUUCAUACAUGAAUGGCGAAAAUUAUUCUUACCACACCUUCAAAUUUUGGAUCUCUCCAAAUUAUACGGUGGAUCUAUAUAUCCCAAGAUGUUGUAGCAUAGCCUAGCCUCCUCGAUCAUGGGCACAAGGCACUCCCUCUUUCCCCGCAAUACCAUUGAGUAACCCAUCUAUUCCUUAUCAGCCGUUAACCCGUUAAUGGGUCUACAUCUCCUACAAGCCAACCACCAUUCCAUUUGUAAGAUGGCAUUGUGUCCUGAACUCGCGGUCAUGAUAUAUAUAUAUAUGCUGCCACUCAAUUCCCUCUUGUUCAGUACUAGCUCUAAUUCAUGAAUAGAAAUAUACCCUAGUGAACUCAAAGCAUUUAUUUAGUAUACAAACGAUUUGUCUAGGCACCAUAUCCCUCUCCAAUUCUACAAGUAGAUUACAUUAAAGCCCGCUAAUAGAAAUGGGCCGAGGCAUGCGCAGGUGGGGUGGAGGGUUGUCUAUUUCUACAACCAGACCACAUAAGGAACUGCCAAUAGAAAUCGAUUUCCACAGGAGAUUCUUAUGUGGUCCACCUGUAGAAAUCUUUUUUUCCACAAAGUAACAAAAGGAUCGCGUGAAGUUUGAGGUCCUGUGCUUGAAUCCUAAAAGGUGCGUGCGAUCGAAAAAUCGGACGCACUCAUAGGAGAAUCGCUACUAGAAAAAAAUGGAUUUGUAUGGAUAUUUCUUAAGAGAACCAUUAGUAGAAAUUAUUUGGUUGAGUAUAUUUUUUUACCUUCGGUGGGAUUAUUUGCGGAUGGCUAAACGCCACUGGAAAUGGGUGUAUCAGCCCUCCGACCUGUCAUCACUGCGCCCAACGAUCGAGAGAUAAGUCACUCAUUUGUAUGUUAUAUUCUUUGUGGUACCCUUUAUUUUAGCAAUUCCUCAGGACAAUAGGCUAGGGUCAUAUACAUGCAUGGUUGCAACUUGCAAGAAGGUGCAAAGCUCUGCGGUUUGGUUACUAGUUCAAACUUUAAAUCCCAAUGCAAGCACUGAGCCUGUUUACCAAUCUCCAAGCACCUUGAAUAUCUAGCCACAUGAUCGUAUCUCCCACUCCCAGCAUCAGCAUGGACCAUGGAGUAGUAGCUCGAAAAGGAGAGAGAAAGAGAGGAACGCGCGUGGACCAAAGCCGGCAAGCCGCAGUGAGCACGGGAGAAAAGACCGGCGGAGACCGAAGCUGUGCGCCUGCGGCCGACCUGCAGGACCACCGGCCGGAAAUAGGUCAGCAGUCAAGGCGCAUCGCGUCAGCCUCGGGACGCGGCGUCCUCCCUCCUCCGCGCGCCACCCUCUCUACAACGGCCGGCCGGCCGGCAGCGGCGUGCAUGGCUCGGCCCAGCUUUUUCUCCCCCUCUUGCUUCUAGCUUUUCCCCUCGGCGUACGUCCGCCCUCCGCCUUUCCUCGGGCCGCCGGCCGUCGCAGGCGCGAUCACGUACGUACACUGCUGCUGUCGAUCGCUUUAGCCUAGUGGCCGCCGGGCUUUCGUCUCUCUCUCGAUCUCUCGAGCUUUCUUUGCAUGCCCGCGGCAGCACGGAGCAGAAGAGGAGACCAGCAGACAAGGGCACCCCUGCUGACAACCCGGCCUCGUGCUUCCUGCUACGUACUAUACCGCCACUAAACUACUGCUCCUGUUCCUACGGCUAUGGGCGCGCUGUACGUACGUACUGAGACAUUGUUUUUCCUUUUAGUAAUCAUCAUAUGGUCGAUCAGUUUGCUCAACGACAGUUGCUUAUUUAAUUUUGUGGUCGAUCACGAGCUCUCUGGAGCACAUGUAUGAUGUGCACAUGCAAUACUCUAGCUUAUACUAACCCCAGCCCAGUACAUCCUCCUCACAUGCAUGCAACGAUGGAUGGACAUGGAUCGACAGCAUUGCGUGGAGGCCAACCCCAAGUGGCCGGCCCUAGCUAGCACUUACCUCACUUACCAAUUAUGUCCAGUGAUGGCCGUGGGAAAAAAGCCAUAUGUAUCAUUGCACGCUGCCAGUUCCACCACACAAAGACCAUGCAGACCUGCAUGCAAAUGCAAAUAAAACACAACUCCAGUACGAAAACGCCCUUUCAUCAAAAUCCAAACUUAAAAAGAGAAGAGAUCCAGAAGCAAACCAAUGCAAAUCAAAGCACGUACGGAAAGAAAAACGCACGAAACAAGAGAUCGUGAGAUCAGCUGGAUACGCUUGCUGGUUGCUGCCACCACCCCUCGUGAAAAUUCUGAAAAGAUAUCACGCACGCACGAUCUCCAUGGCCGGGCACCUGCAUGCGUCCAUGCAAAUAAAAAGAGACCAACGCAACAAGUCUCGCAUGCGUACGUGUACGGCGCUGCACGCGCGCUUUUUAACCGUGCGCGCGCGCGCCAACUUUCCAAGCCUUUAUUACUUGCUGCUUGCCCAUCACCUGUAGAGACCCAGCCCAACCCCGGCCGGCCGGCGGCGUCGAUCCGACGGCCGCCUGCCGGCGAGGCGCCGCCUCGAGAUCCGGAGCCACCCCAACCUGACCCCAAGCAAAGUGGCACACACGCUUUCACAAAAGGUUGGAGGAGAGCUGGUUAAGUGGUUUAAUAACACUUGGUUAGUUACUUGAUCAUCAUGUCUUUGCAGUACUUGACGACCAUUAUUUUUUGUAAACUAAUAAAGCCGUGAGGUGGUAGCUAGCAUGUGGGUGAAUCCUUGCUCGGAACUUUCGUGAUAUCGCUGGCAUGCAGCAUGCAAAGCAAACUUGGUAAUUUGGUCGUACGUACAUAUACUGUGCUGCUGCCUUGAGGAACAUGCAAUGCAUGCAAACUCCAAAGCGUAUCAUCGCAGUCAAAAUAUUUUUACCGACAAGGCCAUUCGUCGCCAUGAUCUCGCCGACACAGCAGCCUGCCGCCGAGCUAAGCUCAUGAGUAACUACUUCAGGCCUGUUUGGUUCGUGCACUGAAGUUUAGUCCCUAUUACAUUUAAUGUUUAGAUACUAAUUAAGAAGAAUAUAAACAUAUGCUAAUUACAAACCAAUUGCAUAGAUGAAGGUUAAUUCGCAAGACGAAUCUAUUAAGCCUAAUUAGUCUAUGAUUUGACCAUGUGAUGCUACAAUAAAUAUGUGCUAAUCAUAGAUUAAUCAGACUUAAUAGAUUCGGACCUAUUCGCUUCAGCUUAUUCAGCCGGCUUAUCAGCCACUGAACAGUAUUUUUCUCUCACAACAAAUCAGCCGUUUCAGCUUUUCAGUCAGCUUAUAAGUUCAGCCGAACAGACCCUUCAUCUUUUGAAUUAGCCGCAGGUUUUGCAAUUAGUUUUAUAAUUAGUUAUAUUUCUAAUUAGUAGGUGACCCGAACUAAAGGCAGUGGAUCCAACGACAGUUUGUGGCAGUUGGAUAAAGGUGGCGGUGGCAGUAGUACUACCACACACACGACAGCUUUGCAUAAAGAAUACCGUACGUCAGCUACAGUGCCCAACUAAUUCUCCCUCCCUCUCUCAUCUGGUACCAUAUGCACUUCUAAACAAAGAAUUCGAGUCACAUGUGCAUACUAAAAGAGUUCCUGGUAUUAUAUUUUCUAAAUAAUAUUGCAGAAAUGUUUGUUUCUCUACAGGUCGGUCGAUGAAUGAGCCCAAUUAACACACAUUUACCGGCAUACAGAACGAAGCUUUAAAACGACCGUUUGCACAAAACCAAGCGAAAAGCUGGUGCUGAGACGACAUUUCUCUGUGGAAGCAAAAGCCGGUCUUUGCUCCCACCAUCGAUCAAAUCCUUGGACAAUUUUUCAGUAAUGCUUCUCCUUUGCAGUACUGACGAUAAAGAUAAAAGGUCUAGCUGCUCGCCCAGCAGAAGAAGCAUGCACUGUCGGCCUGCCCUGGGAGACAAAGGAAACAUCACCGUGAUGUAAUGCACUAGCUCGAGGCGUGUGUUCAUCCACCGAUGCAUCUGUAUCCAAAGCUACUAGCCUAGGCUCACUUGUUUCAGAUAUCUGUCUCGAAACCUAGCGACAUAUGGACAUGUAACUGUUUAAGUAUCCCUAGACGAUCUUGGACCUAAUUAAUUCCUCAGCUGUCUGAAAUUUUGAGUUCUUUCUGCCGAUUUUGUGAAGAUGCACGUAAUACACUUGCCUCUAAUGCUCCAUUUCUUUUUAUAAUAAGGCGCGCGUGCGUCAACAUUCAAACCUCACAAUCUUCACCAACAACUACCUUACAAGUUAAAUCCAGCUUUAAAGCUACUUGCCGCCAGAAAUUUACCGGGACGCCCCUGACCCCGCUCCUCUAUAUAUAGGCGCACCUCCUCUCACCUCUAGCCUGCCAGCCCUAAAGCAAAGAGCCAAAGACACACUCGACCUUGCUCUCGCAAAUUGCACACCGGCCGCUUAGCUACUAGCAUAGCUAGCUAGCCAUUUGAUCUCAGCAGCCAUAGCAUAGGAAGCACCGGCGGCAACGAACAGAGAGCGACAAUGCAGUACGGCGCGGCGGCGGCGGAGCAGGCGUGGUACAUGCCGGUGGUGGCGCCGGCGGCGGCCGCGGAGACGGCGGCGGAGCGCGUGGAGCGGCUGGCGUCGGAGAGCGCGGUGGUGGUGUUCAGCGUGAGCACCUGCUGCAUGUGCCACGCCGUGAAGCGGCUCUUCUGCGGCAUGGGCGUGCACCCGGCGGUGCACGAGCUGGACCUCGACCCGCGGGGACGCGAGCUGGAGCGCGCCCUCGCCUGCCUCCUCGGCGCCGCCGCCGGGCCCGGGGCGGCGCCGGUCGUGCCCGUCGUGUUCAUCGGCGGCAGGCUGGUCGGCGCCAUGGACCGCGUCAUGGCCGCGCACAUCAACGGCUCCCUCGUGCCGCUGCUCAAGGAGGCCGGCGCGCUCUGGCUCUGAGCUCGCCGCCGGCGCGCGCGGCGCCAUUAUUGCUAGCCGCUGCUCGGAGCUAGUUAUUGUAGGGCAGAUUAAAGUAAUACAUCAUCCACAGUUCAGUAGUGAGUGAAUCGAUCAUAGAGUGAGUGAGUGCGUGCUUGUGUGCUUGUGUGUGUGAUCAGAGAGAGGUCAGUGAUUUUUUUACUGAUGCUGCCUGCCUCCGUCUUGUGUGAGUGUGAGUGAGUGUGGUAGAGCUGGCACGUGCUUGCAUGCUCGCACGUACACGGGUGUGUGAGCAAUGCUUGCUGGAUUGCUGCUGCUUGGUGCAAGAAGAGAUCUAGCUACCUAUUUAGUGUUAUCAUCUCUUCUAUCAACCUUAUUAAUCAGUUUGGCUUGCCUUAUUUUUCACUGAUCCCUCUUGUGUUUUACUGUACUUGCAUUUAGAGGAGAGCUAGUCAUGGACAAUCGACUUGUGUGUCAUGAAAUUCGGGUUUUAAUUAGUUGCCACUUGACAUGCAUAUAUGAUCACUGGUUUGCAUUCUAAUAAAAUGUGAAAAAUGCUAAUAUCAACAGCGUGUAUAGUUAUUAUCUACUCAAAUUGUAGCAUUUUACUGCUGGUUAUUGUUUGUUUAAAAGGAUGUCAAAGAAAAGGAGGAGUAAUAUAAUAGCAAGUGGGAUUCGCGCUCUCGUCCUCGGUCCUAGUCGGUGCUUGCUCGGUGUAGUUUUUUGGGAGCUCCUUUUCGCGGCUGGCAGGCAGGCAGCAUGCACGCUCGUCUUUUUUGCAUGAGACGGCUAGCAUCUCGUGUGUGCCAUCUUUAUGCUUUCUCCGAGAUAUAGCUUUUCACUGUGUGCUUCGCCUGUGUCUCCUCUGUGCUUUCUUCAUGGCAGCAGCUAGCUACGUACCUCAUGCAUGGCCAUUGAUCUUGUGCGUUUGUUUGUUAAAAAAAAACUCUAUCUGUUCUAAAAUAGAAGACUUGUUCUAAGUCAAAGUUCUACAACUUCGUUCAGGUUUGUAAAAAAAAAUGCAUUCAUAAAUUAGUCCCAUUUAAUCUAUCUAUCUAUCUAUCUAUCUAUCUAUCUAUCUAUAUCUAUAUAUAUAUAUAUAUAUAUAUAUAUAUAUAGUAUCUUUUUGGGUAUCAUAGAUAUUAAUAUAACUUUUAUAUACUUAAUCAAAUCAGAUAGAUUCGACUUGUUCCAAGAUUAGAAUAUAUUACAUUGCGUACAUUUUGAAACAGAGAAGGUAAUGUUUACACGGUUCUCCCACGGUCCCACCUCAGGGCUCGCUUGUUUGGGUUUGCGAAGAAUCGUUACUGUACAAGUACAGGCACGAGUGAUUUACUGCACCGGUUAUAUUUAACUGUGCCUUUAAGGCGCGGCUAAUGUGUAGUACCAAGGUCAUGACCGGUGCACAAUUUCGUUGCGUAGUUACUACAACUAAGAGUUUCAUGUCAUCUAAGGAUAUUUGAGUUGAUGAAUGAAACAAAGUCUUCCGAGUCCAAUGCAAAAUUUCAUUUCACAGUUUUAUAGAUUGGCUAUAUCAUAUAAGUGUUGUAUCUAAACGACCAAUGAGCGUUGACAAAACAUGAAAUGGAGUUUGGAAACAGUGAGCACCUAUAUUUCAUUUUGAUGAAAAUGCUUCAAUAUCUCCCUCUGUAUAAAUGUUGCGCCAUGUCACCAUAUAAGUUGUUGACGUGGCAUCUCAGUUAAUUGGAAUGAAAUCUCCAUGAUGCUCCUACCAAGAAUGGCCUCUGCCGUGAGGAAACAAGCCGGUAGAAAAUGAUAAGUUGGCACAGUUGAUGAAGCACAACUUAAAAGGAAGCUGCGGACAUGUAACGACGGCAUCGACAAAAAAACACAGGCAAGAUGCCAAGAUCGUACUCGGCUAGAUGAGAGUAAAAUGCGACAAAUUACCAAAUAUAAUGGGAUGCCGGUAGCGGUAGGGCCUUGUUGUGUGGAAUGAGCAAAAGCACCAGGUGUGGGCCGGUAUGGGCCUCCUGCUAGGCCCUGCGCGCUGGGCGGGUAAGUCGUUUGAUCUGGUAGCAGGUAACAAUGGUUGGGCCAGCUUCUAUUUCCUCUCUACGGUUACCGCCGUACGACGUAUGGGCCGCAAUCUUUGGACCCGGCAAGCCCAGAUUCCCUCUGGGCUCCCAAAACUGCGUCUUCCCUUUUUGGCAAUAAUAGUUCUCUGCUCUUUCUUUGUCCGAGAGGCUCUGGGCCAUGUGCUGGUAGAUCCCUGUCUUUAUGCUUCUCCCUGAUGCCCCGGAGCACAAGUCAGGCAGAGGUCCUUUCCUCAAAGCAGAAAGUAACCAGCACGUGCUCAACGAAUUGCGAACAACAGAAGGUUGCAUCGUCAAAUUUUCCUUAAAUAGAGAUAAUGCUAGCUCUUGCAACAACUUGUUGGGGGUAAUCCAACAUGUGUUAAAAUACAAGUUCAAUGCCCAUCUUUUCUCAUCGGCUAAUGUACCGGCCUAAAUUUUCGAGAGGAUUCGUGCAUCGUAGCCAUCCAUGGGGACAAAUAUGGCAAUCUGUCCUUGCGGAUAACGUAGAGAGAUGCUGGAAUAUAUGCUCCCUUUCCGCUGCAACUUGCAGGUACCAUUUAGAAAGUGGUAAGCUGCACGUUGGCUAGCGCAACUGAAAAUCCAUGCUACAGAUCUUCUGCAAGAAGCUAGCGCAACUGAAAAUUGAUUCUGAAUUAGAAGAAAAAACUGAAGGUAAAAAUGGCAAUCGCCAAGACUGGUCCCAGAUGAGAUGAUAUCCCUGUCUCAUGUUGCGUUUGCGUGCACAGUGCCACGAAUAUCACGUGGACCCGCCGCAGCUUUGGAAGGCUCCUGGCUUUCUUUCUUUCUGGUCAGGCGAAUGGUCAUUGGUCCAUACACAUCUACAUCCAAAUCCUUCCGGCAUAAGCAUCCACCUUUAAUUUGUUCUCUUUUAGUACUGCUUCUUCUUUUUUUUUGAAAUAUAAAUCUCUUUUACUACUUGACAAGGGUGAUAAAAAAGCACAGCAUUUUUAAGCAAAGGUGUUUUUGGCACAGUACGAAUCAUCACUAGCCCCGACUCUAUGUCGAAGUGAUUUGCUUAUUUAUUUGUUUUGUUUGCGUGAUCGCGUCGUGCUCCUCUCAAGAGAGAGGGGGAAAAAAAAGUCAAGCCCGUGCCUGUGAGUGCGACGGAGUGGCCCCUUGGACAUGAUUAGCAGGAGUUUACGUUUGAGUUCCAUUCACCUUGGUUUUCUAGAUGAUUGUGAAAUAUGCAGUGAUUUUAAAAGGAGUUAAACCUCGCUUAUUGGUAACAAAAAUUAUCAUCAGUGGCCCCUUCAGACAUGAUCAGCAGGAGGAGUUUACUUUUAAGGUCCCUUCAGCUGUGUGUUUGUGUGUUUCCAGAUGAUUGUGAAGUGUGACCCUUCCCAGCCAUCCUACCAUACCUGGUUCAACUAACCCAACGAAGCAUUUUUAAUGUUUUGCAAGGUAUCCAUAACCAUGGGGACCCUGUUUACAAAUUGCGACAUAUGAAUUUUUAAAAGUCGGGGGAAAUACGAACAACUUCGUGUUAAAUCAUCCCCCCCCCCCCACACACACACGUUGAAAACUGAGGGCUCAUUUGGAAUGCAGGAAAGAAAAAAUAUGGGAAUAUGAAAAACAUAGGAAUACUAUAGGAAUGUAGAUACAAAACAUAGGAUUGAAAAAUGUAGGAAUUUUGAUGGAAUGGAAAUUUGGAUAUGUCACAGGAAAAACAUAGGAAUCCUAAAGGAUCUUUAGCCAUGAUGAAAUUGUUGUUUUCCACUAAUUGAUCAGACAUGGUUAAAUAUUUCUUCUACAAGUAGUACACACCAACAAUUGGGCUGCACACAGAAGGACAACAAUUAACAAGUAGCUGAAGCAUUGAGUUUCUCGUUCUUCGCAUAGGUCUGAGUGGAUGUUAGAAAUCUUUUGGAAUCAGCAUGCAAAGGAGUAAAUUCGUAUGGAACACUAUUCACAUUUCCUGCAAAUCAAAUGAUAGGAUAGGAAGAAUUCCUCUGUGAACAGUAUUCCUUCAAAAUUCCUUCAAAAAACCUGCAAUCCAAAGGACCCCUGAAUUGCUGGACACGCAUGCGAGAUUGGAAAGGGCGACGAGCAGAGGCCACGGAGGAUCUAAUUUUGGAAGGCGACUUGACCUUGACUCACACGGAGCAACGGCCUGCUGUCAGCCUGUCAUUCUUUACGAGCUUAAUCGGCUGCUUAUAAUCAGUAGAGUAAUCAGAUCAGUCAACCGGUCAAAUUAAAUUAAUAAUCGGCGUAAAAUCAGCAACGCACUAGUACGUGUGAACGAGCCGACAUCUGACUUGGACGUGGCUGCUCCGUUUGCAAGUUGCCAAUAAUCAGCAACUUGCUCCCGACAACCAUCAAGUGCCAGUACUUUAUUUACUGGCCGGAUCAUUAUCUUAAUUCCCGAAAGAUUAUUCACCGCUGGGAAAAAUAAUUACUCGCAAUAGUGAUACUUUCACCGGGUAAAAAAGUUGUAGUUUUCACGGCGGGCGCACGGAGCACGUGCACGCGGGAUAAACUAUCUGGCGGAGAUAUUUUUUUUGGGGGUGGUGGGGGGGCGCAACCGAGAUCACACGAUAAUCCCCCGGAAUUUCUCCCAAAAUGACAGUGAAGUCGCUCCUAACCUCCCGUUCCCGUCCUACGCUUUCCCGUUCCCGUCCUACCAACCCCCCACGGACCCCAGAGGGAGGCGGGCCGGCAGCCUCCCUGCUAUAAGCAACAGCCAAGAGCAGCAGGCAGCGGCAGCAGCCGCCCAAGGCGAGCGAAGGAAGCCAGCCGACGCCACCGCCCCCCGCUCCCUCUCCGUUCCUCCCCCUCCCCGUCCCCCCUCGCUCGCCUCCCCGAUCCGCGCCGCCUCGCCGGCCACCUCCGCCCCGCCGACCCGGACCCAGCGGCUGGUCGGUGCGGGAAUGCGGGUCCCCCGCGCGGCGCCGCGGGGGAGCGACUGAUUCAUUGGUUGAUUCGGCGGUGGUCCCCGCGAUGGGUUGCUUCCCGUGCUUCGGCUCGGGGCGGGAGGACGACGAGCUCGGGUACUACGGCGGCAAUGGCGGUGCCGCCGGGUGGGCGGCCGCGGCCGCGUCCUCGUCCGCUGCGGCUGCGGCUGCUGCUGCUGUCGGGGGCGGCGCGGAGGCGGCCGUGGCGGCUCCACCGCGCGCCGAGAGGUCCCCCACAGGUGCGUGCUGCGUUCGCGCGUCUCCCUCCCUCUCCCUCUCCCUCUUGGAUCGGUCGCUGGGUUUGUUGGUGGGAUCGGGGAAUCGGAUCCGUGCGAGGGGCUUGAUGCUCGGGUUAGUCUCCUCGUGUUUGUGGUGGUUGAGUCAGUCGCUCGGUUGUUGGUGCGAACGGACCGGGCCGAUCCUUGUGGGUGUGGAUGUGAUUGCGGGAAAUGACAGGAGCGAUGUGCGAUGCAGCGUAUCCUUGGGAUCUUUCGGUAUUCGAAGGGGAGAAGGGUACCGACUUGUAUUGCCGAAUUCAGAAACUCUACCUCAUGAUAACCCGUUGAUUAGAAGCAGGGCUAUUGUUUUUUUUUAAGUGAUGAUUGGUAUACUGGCUUUGCUUGCGUAUGACCGUGUCUUUGGUAUACUGGCAAUGCAUAUGUGCAGGGUCCAACAAGUCGAAGGCCAAGGGCAAUGGCUCGAAGAAGGAGCUCGCGGUUCUCAAGGACGCCAACGGCAAUGUCAUCUCUGCGCAGACCUUCACCUUCCGCCAGCUUGCGGCCGCGACGAAGAACUUCAGGGAUGAAUGCUUCAUUGGGGAGGGAGGCUUUGGGCGCGUCUACAAGGGCCGCCUCGACGGCACGGGCCAGGUGAUGUGCGCUUUGUCGGCAAAGCAGGCUUUCGACUUUUCUUGUUUCUUGCUGUUGGGCUAGUACAAAAGUGGCUCGGCUGUACCAAUGGCACCAUUGAUUUGUCUAGGACAUUCAAGAAAAAGCAGUGUUUGCACAUGAGUGGUGGAUGCCCACUGGCACGGAAAAAUCCAUGUUCACUUGUAGCUGAUCCAACUUAUACUUGGUUGAUAAUUGAGGGCAGUGUGCACUGUUCUGUAGGUCCCCUUUUAAUUUCACUAGAUGAAUGAUAUGAAACAAACAAACAAAGAAGUGAUCCAUGUCAUUUGAUUUGUAUGCAACUACUUGAAGCCCUGAUAUUUGGUAUAAGGCACGGCAUUUGUAUUUUGCUGAAAUGCUGAUGCAUCUGUUACAGGUUGUUGCUAUCAAACAGCUCAAUAGGGAUGGUAAUCAAGGAAACAAAGAAUUUCUAGUGGAAGUUCUCAUGCUCAGUUUGCUUCAUCAUCAAAACCUUGUCAAUUUGGUUGGUUAUUGUGCCGAUGGAGAUCAACGCCUUCUCGUGUAUGAGUACAUGCCACUUGGAUCAUUGGAAGACCAUCUGCAUGGUAAGACUGUUCUGUAUAUUUGUCUCUGCAUAUUAGUUCCUGUUAAGUUUCCUGUUGAUGUUUAUUUGCUGGUACUGUGGCACUCAGUGCAUGAUAGUACUUGUUUUUCACAUGCUUGCCAGAGUACAUGCUGUCAAUCUGCCAUGCUGUCUGCCCCCAUCUAGCUGCCAAUGCGUUUCAUUUUGUCCAUGUGCAUUAACGCAUAUUUCCAUGAUUUGGAGACACUUUUCUCUCCCAUGUCCUUUUGUCCCGCAGCAGUACAUAUGUGCACAGUAACCAAUGGGUUUUUCCAAUAGUCAAUCAUGGUUCUGCCUUUCUACUUUCUCAGCAUUGCCUACUUAAAGUAUGAUGGACUUUUUCAUAAUUGCAUCUGAUUCUGGGCACAGUACAAUUAAGUGUAGUUUACACCAAGCAUUCGACAUAUGACUUUACUUUACUACACUGGGGAAAUCUCUAUACAGAGUAAUAAAACAGCUACGUCUAUUUUUGUGUGGAAUUUAUGUACAGAUUUUGAGUUGAAACUCACUUAUAUGAUUAUACUAUUGGUGGCACAUCCUUAUUGUUCAUGUGACUGAAAAUGUGUGUUAUAAAAUGAUCUUUGCAUAGGUUCAUUUUUUGUUGCUAAGAUAUAGCCUAUUUGAUUUCUCCACUUUUUAAUUCCUUGGAAUGGAAUACAAAUGCUGUAAUGUAACAAUUAUGCUAUAAUUAAUUAUUCGAAUAAAAGGAUCAUGUAUUUACUGCAUCGACAAACAUAAUGUGCCUUUUGUGACAUAUGAAUAAUCCAUUUCAUAUCAGUGAUUGGAACCUAGCAAAGAAAUAGACUGCUGACACAAGUAGUAUCCCAAUUUAAUAUUUCUCCUGAACUUGCUAUGCUCUGGCAAUUUAUUCCUGCAAAAGGCAUUUGAACUAUAUCAUGUGACAUAGUAUAGUGAUACAACUGUGCACUUGGAACAUUUUCUUUGCAGCAUUUUAGCAUUUUUGUUAUCUCUUUGUGGGUCAAUAUUGGGAACAGGAACCAAUAAUCUUCCAAUGUUUUAAGUAUUAUAUGAGUACAAAUCUGCAGUUUGUAGAAAAUCUGCUGAGAAUUCAUUCAUAUUAUAAGCAUCCUUUUAACUUUACUCCAAUUAAGUAAGUUUGAAUGUCUAGCAAUACUAUGAGCAGUGGCAUAUUUUCCAUUUCUGAAUUAAAUUAGCACAUAAUGCAGAUCUCCCUCCUGGCAAGGAGGCCUUGGACUGGAACACUAGGAUGAAAAUUGCUGCAGGUGCUGCUAAAGGGCUUGAGUACCUCCAUGACAAGGCAGACCCACCAGUUAUAUACAGGGACUUUAAGUCAUCAAAUAUUCUAUUGGGAGAGGGUUUCCAUGCAAAGCUGUCCGACUUUGGUCUUGCUAAGUUGGGUCCUGUUGGUGAUAAGUCUCACGUCUCAACACGUGUUAUGGGAACAUAUGGUUAUUGUGCACCAGAGUAUGCUAUGACAGGACAACUUACAGUUAAGUCAGAUGUUUAUAGCUUUGGAGUUGUCUUGCUUGAGUUGAUUACUGGCCGGAAGGCCAUUGACAGCACCAGACCAGCCGCAGAGCAAAACCUUGUGUCAUGGGUAAGUUUGUUCAAUUUGUUCAUUAAUCAUUUGUCGAAUAUUUUGGCUGGGGUAUCCAGUAUCUGAAUGUCAAGCUAUUGGGUAACCCGUAUUUUGUUUGUUGAUAUUGAUAUCUGAAUGUCUUCUAAGCAUUUGAUUGGCUAAUGGAUAUCUAAUUUUGAUGGGAAACUGGGAUUGAAUCUAGGGGGUUACAAUAAUAGUUAGUUGGUUUGUAUGUUUAGGCAGAAAUUAUGAUAGUUCUGACUUAAGUAAUGCUCUUCAUUGAUGUAUUGAAGUGUUGGAUCUGAUUGUGAUAGAAAUUAUGUCAAAUUCUAGAAGUGCACUAUGAAGUCUUCUUUAGUUUUUUUUAACAAAUUGUACACAUACAUGAUGCAAUGUCCAUGCUAGGUUACUUAGCUAAAUAACAAUUAUAUAGUACAUCUAGGAAGAAAAUGAUCAUUUGGUAUCAUUCUACAAUGAUCAAUGGUUAUCUUCCAUAUGCUUAUUUGGAUUAACUAAUUGCAUUCAGUGGAGUUAACUCUUUGUUUAUUGGCAGGCACGACCUCUUUUCAAUGACAGACGGAAGCUCCCAAAGAUGGCUGACCCAGGGCUGGAGGGGCGAUUCCCUACGCGCGGACUUUACCAGGCGCUUGCGGUGGCAUCAAUGUGCAUCCAGUCUGAGGCUGCGUCCCGCCCACUCAUUGCCGAUGUUGUGACUGCUUUAUCCUACCUUGCAAACCAGAUUUAUGAUCCUAACACAGCCAGCACCUCCAAGAAGGGCGGCGGCGACCAGAGGAGCAGGGUCAGCGACAGCGGAAGGGCGCUUUCCAGGAACGACGACACAGGCAGCUCUGGCCAUAGGUCGCCAAGCAAGGACCUGGACGACUCUCCCAGGGAGCGGCAUGCCACAGGGACUGCGCACAAGGGUGAAAGAGAGAGGAUGGUGGCCGAGGCGAAGAUGUGGGGCGAGAACUGGCGGGAGAAGCAGCGCGCUGCUCAGGGUAGCCUGGAUUCUCCGACCGGAGGUGGGUAACUUGGGUCACCAAGGUGCUGUUUUGCCUGUGCGUGUUCUGUCACAGACUGUUUUUUCCUUUGUGCGGUGGGGGAUGACGAAGACCGUUCGGUUUCCGGUGUUGUUAGCUGUACAUUCGUAGGGGGUAAAACAAAACAAAAAUGUGGAGGAGAUGAGAAAGCGAGGGGGGAAAGCAAUGGGUGCUUUGCUCUGGAUGUGGUCGAGUCGUGCCUGUAAAUUCUCGGAAAAUUUUGCAACGGUGAAGGACAAGUCUGAAUCUGAACCUCAUUCUGUCGUUUGCGUACGGUGGUUUUUGUUACUGUCGGCAAAGUUUUGGUCGGCGCUGUCCGCUCCGAUCAAAGUGGGGCAGCUUCUUCGCAUCACUUUGAUCCUGAAGUGCCUGUUGACAGCGAUAUGUGGAACAGCGCUGGAAAUUCGAUCGGAAAAGUUAGGGUUUUCUUUUUUUUGAGAGAGAAUUUGUGGGCUGAGUCUAAUUUACCCCUCAUCUAUUUAUUUUGUCCGCUUUAACCCCUAAAUAAAAUUUAGACUUACUUUACUCCCCGAAUUAUUUCAUUUGAUACAAUCUACCUUCUAAUUAGAUUUUUUUCUUUGCGUACAAGUUGAAUUUUAAUUUUAGAUUUUCUCAGUUGACUUAUAACAUAAUGCUCUCGUAAGAAAAAUAUAUUCGAAUUUUUUCAUAAUUACUUUUCGUACAGUUUUAUAUAUUUAAGAUCAAUUUCCUAUUAAAUAUUCCUAACUUAUGAAAAUAAUCAUGAAAAAUUUAUAGUAUAAUUUUUUAAAAUAUUAUGCUUCGUAUCCGCUCACAAAAUUUGAACUCAAAAUUCAACUCGUACAGAGAGAAAUAAAAAAGAAAAAUCUAAUUAGAGUAGAGAUUGAACAAAUGAAAUAGUUCAGGGAAUAAAGUGAGCUAAGAUUUUAUUUAGGCGGUUAAACUGAUAAAGUAGACAGGCGAGGAAGUAAAAAUGGACUUUUCCUUCUAUUAUGGGAUGCCUGGAUGGCUCCUGUUAUCAUCAUCAUGCUUACUCCUAUAAAACUUGUUUUGUGAUUCGCAGAAGUUGUUUUAGGGUUUUUUUUUUUAUAAUCGCAAACACUAGAAUUCAUGCGAUAAUCAUGUGAGAUUCCUGCACAAUGCAACUUACAAAAGGCAAACACGCUACCAGUAUGGUUAGCUGAACAGAAUGGUUAGCUGAACAGAAUGAGUGCCGAUACAUCGUACCGUGGUUUUUACCUCAUUAGAGUAGUGGGUCAAUUUUCUUACCCAUAGGUUUGUUAAUGGGACAAAUCUCUACUCGUUGGGUUUAUGAGCAUGGGUUUGUUCCCAUAGUAUCCAAACCUAAACCCGUGAACAUUUUAUUUUGUGAACGUACAAUGAACGUGAUGUCUUCCCCUUUACUUCCUAAUUUGUGGAAUGGUGAAUGUGUUCAUGGUGGGUGAGGGUGUUGCUUGCUUGCUAUUAUAGUGAUUACUUGUGUUAUGUAUGUGGUGGAUUUGUGACUUAGUGCGAUAUUGUGGUCACUUGAUUAUACAACUUGUAUUUUAUUCUCUCUAUUAGUAGUUUUUUAGAGAACCAUGAACUUGUUGCUCAUCAUAUAAAUAUAUGGAUUAUGAACUCGUUGCUCGUUAUAAUAACUUGUUGAUUAUGAGAAGAAGUAGGUGAAACCCAUGGGCAACCCGUGGGUAUCUGCUAACCCGAUGGGCACGGGUUUGGGCAAAAUUUUAAACCUGGGUAUGGAUUGCUUAGUGAGUUUAGAUAUUUUCCAUAGGCAUGGAUUUGGGGUGGCAAAACUCAACGAGUUUGUGCCCGUUGCGAUCUCUAAUCACAGCGACGGCCGCAAGUGGACAUCCCUCUGCUGAACACUCGCCACGUGUUCAAAUCCGGCCAGUCUGUCCUCGCGCGAGCUCCGCACACCACGGGAGGGGAAAGGUGGGGAGGGUUGUUGCCGGAGGUUUCGGGCUGCCCGCCGGCGUGCCGUGAGAGCGGAGCGCCGACGGCGGCCGGUUGCAGUGCAGGCUCCUAGAUAUGGAGAUGGUGGUGAGACCGAUCCUCUUACUGCACAAACUGUCGUUGCCCGGCCUAAGCACGCCGUGGUAUCGAUCUUAGAUUUUCGCAUCUACUUGUUCAGAGGAAGCGAGAGCUGGCGAUCCUGUUGCAAUGGGGGUUUGCCGGGUUGGGAUUCGCACGGAUAUGAGGUGGGUUAGGGUUCGGGUAGCAACGGAUUCACUUGCUGGAAGCUGGAUAUAUCGAGGAACCACCACAUUUGGGAGGGAGGGUUUCAGCCUCUCAGGGUUUAGACCUAGGCUUCGUGUCGCGAUAAACUAGCCACUGGGGAUUCAGUAGUAUCGCUCUGGAAGAAGAAGGGCAUGAGUUCUGGGGAGGUGCCAGAUCAGAGGAGUGCCGAGCGCGGCCAUUUUAGAGUUGCCUGUCACUGACUGACCACUGUGCCUGACGGACAGUGAGAAAAUCACCAGACUGGAUCACUAGAUGUUCGAGCACAACGCACCUGGUUUUUCUGAUCACAGACCACUGUGUUUAGUCUGUGCAAAUUUCUUCCAAGUCAGAUCAUGACUAGGUUGAUUCUGUCCUUUAUUCUUCAACAGAAACACAACCAUUUCAGCUUAGUCACUGGGCAUUGGGCAGUGGGUUAUCUGGUAAGGAAGGAAUCUCCAGUAUUUUCAUAGACGAUUUGCCAAAAUGACGGAAGAAGGUUUAACACAGUUCACACCCAAUGAGGGUGUGAUUGCUGACACUCAUCAUGAUGUAAAGCAAGCAACCAGUUUCGUUUCACCUUUUCUAUUUGACCUGACAACAAAGCAUAACAAGUAGUAACGAGACAGUUGCAGGCUGUUAUACCUGUAUGAGAAUUUCAUUUCUCUGAUGUUCAAACCCCUUCUAGUCUUAAAUAUAUUUUCGUGUUGUGCAGCAGCUCCACUCAAAUGCAGGCGUACAAACUUGUAUUCCUUCUACGCAUGUUCCAUGCCUUGGUGGUAUUGCGGACGAUUACGAAACACGGUGUUCAGUAAAGAGUGUCCACGAAGUCAUAUCCCAAUUCGACUCAGCGAAGCGGGAGCUGGUGAAGUCUAUUGGGUUUGGUGGUCUUUUGCAAUUUCCUGCGCUUACAGAGAUCAACAGGAACUUGGCUGUUUGGCUACUAAGAAAAGUAGAUGUGAAUUCACAGAGUAUUGUGAUUGAAAACAGUCGCAUCUUUACUUUCAGCAAGGAGGACGUUAAACUAGCGUUUGGGAUUCCUGCAGAUAGAAUCUGGUUGCCCAGGUAGCCAGGUCGCAUAUGUGCGUUCUUGCCUUAAUUUGAUUGGCAAGGAUUCCAGGUGUGAGAAAGCAGCACAGGAGGUUCUGCAGAGACAGUACUACACUGCAAUGCAUGCAGAAGAAAAGGCCUCUUUUAAAGUGGCAUUUGUUUUUUUUUUUUUUUUGUGAUGGCAACGCUGUUUGCUCCUCCUUCCAAGCAUGACCACUCCAGAACUGAUUUUUGGGCAGCCCUAGGGAGGCCAAAUGAGAUUGGAUCCUAUGACUGGAGCUCAUACGUGAUAGGUCAUCUGCUAUUUGCUGCUGCGAAAUUGCAGAGUGAUCUUACGAAGAAUAUCCACUCGCCUUUAAUCACUGGAUGCAUCUUGUUCUUACAGGUGAGGUUGCAGGGAUAUAUGCAAUUCUAUUCACCAUGCUGUGUUCUUUCAUUAAGUAUUUAAGUCCUUAUGCUGCUGUUGUUUAGCAGGUACUUUAUCUUGGCAGUAUUGACCUUGGUGUCCUCAACAUGCCACACAAUAGCUUUCCAAGAUCUCAAUGGUUCACUCCUGAACGCAUAAGAGCAAUGCUUGCUGGUUGCUGCAGAUACAGUUCACAACCUUAGAGGCAUGGUCAACAUUGAGUUUGGUGCUUCGACUGUGAGCUUGCUUGCACUUGUUUCUAUAAUUCCAAUGAAGCGCCUACAUGAAGUUUCAUAGUUGACCUUAGAAAUUAUUUGCAGCCAAGGCCUUCAGCUGAAGUAUGCUACACGUGGGCGAAAAUGAGUGGGAGAGCCCAGCAACACUCCACCACAACGAGAUUGUUUGAUGCAGCCAUGCAUUGGGUAUCAGUUUUGAAUAUAAGUGAAGAGGUAAGUACUAGAUACUUUUUUGAAUUCACUGGUCAUAAUUAAUGAUCAUCCGCUGUAUUAAUCAUGGCCAUAUGCUAAUGUCACAGGCCGCAAUAUCCAUUUUCUUUGCAAUGAUGCAAAGCCGGGAAAUAAUAAAUGAUAAAAUUGACGAGUUGGAAGUUAUUCUUUUCGACGUUAUUUGUGUCAUUGUGAAGAGCUACCAAAAUGGCUUCAGGUACUGCUCGCCAAUUGGAGGCAUGAAGCGUGCAUUGGUUGGAGCUGAAAUAGCGUCGAAUUUGCGUACGUCUCUUUCUAUAUACCUUUUUCUCUCUUACACACUGGUUGUAUCAAUACUUGCAUGGAUGCACAAUACCGCUGACUCUGCUGAUGCUAUUGCUGGUGGAAUUUUGUGCAUCCUUUUUACCAUGUUUGCACCUACUAUGGAGUUUCAUGUGCCAGUGUCCUACAUGGUUGCCUGUCCUUGCCAAUGUGUUCUGGACAUUCAUCAUUAUUCAUUUGUUACCAGAUCCAAGCUCCAGGAUGGAGCGCCCCACAUUUUCACGGUACCUUCAAAUGCAGAAUCCAGAUGGAAAGGAUACAACUUUUCCUGAUGCCUGCCCAUCCCUGAAAACUUCCCAAUCUAGAGCUACAAUGAAAGUACCAAUGCCAGGUCCAUCAGACCAGCAGGUCUUCCCCUUGGCAGUGAUGUUAGCUCGGCAUUCCACCCAAUCCAUGACCUGCAGAUCGACAAUUCUCCACGAGAGCUCACACUACCAGUAGCACAAGAAGCUACCUGGGAAGCGUGCUCACCCUCCCAGACUCAGCAGAAUUCUUCAGUGCACAAAAAAUGUUUGCCUGCUUUUGUCAACAACGUUACGUCCAAAUCUUAUCUUUGGUCAAUGCAGUCCAAAUCAAAAGCCAGAGUCCAAUCUCUUGCGUGCGAAUUCCAGGAAACGGAUUCUCCAGUCAUGAAGAUAAAAGUUUGUAAAUACCACUCGCCACCAACCCCAUGGCAACUCGGACACAAGGAAGAACCCACUCAGAACUCUGCAUUGGAAUUGUACCAGUGGAUGACCACUCUGCAGCCUCGUCCAGCCAUAACCGCGAACUAUAAAACUGACCAUUCAUAUUUUUCUUGUUCUCCUCAACUGCAAAACCCAGUACUGAAAUAUAUUUCUUUUGCAGGCCUUGGUUGAUGCAUUUCAAGCCAAAGUUUAUUGAACUGGCCCCAGAUGAUAUUCAUGAACAGAUAACAGCACAGGCUGAAUUUGACGUCGAAAUUUCAUGGAUAUCUGUAUCCGGCGUAUUAAACAGAUGGAUGGCGCGCUGUAUGGCGCACACGUUGAAUCUCGUUGGCGCCAUCUAAUGGAAUCUGACUUCAUGGUGCGGAUGAAAUGCAUUUUCCCAACUGUUCUUUACUUGCCCUUCUUGCUGGGCGGAGUCUUACACAAUCUCCUUCAGUUCGCAAGCAAUUCAUGGGGGACCACCUGACAUAUGCCGUUCCCAGUUGUAGAUGUGUAUGCAUUUUCCUCCCAUACUUGUUUGCACCUGCUGGUUCCCUUUGAAACAUAUGACCCUUUAUUGUGAGCGGAAUUGGUUUUCUUACUACUUCAGUGCAAUGUGCAGUCUGUUCAGUUUGGCCUUUAUCUCUGAAUGCUUUCCCUGCCUUUUGUUACAGAUAUUCUUCCCGGCUAUAGUUAAUCAGAGGUGGUUUUGCUAUGUAUGGGACCUUGGUGAGAAUGAGGUUAUGGUAUACGAUCCAUCGAUGCUGGGAGAUAUGUGAUCAAGAAGCUAGGAGAAGCCAUGGGAGAAUGUGCUAAAUUUUUCUUUGACGGUUGGACGCAAUCUUGGUCCGAUCGGAAGCUUUUCAUAUGUACAAGCAAUCGGUUAGAGACCCACCUCAUAAGUACGUCCCUGGUACAGUUCUGCAGAUGCUUUAAUGGAUCCAGCAUCACCCCCAAGCUGACAGUGGUGAGACUAAAACGCAAACACUUCUGUAUUAUGCUGUAAUAUAGUUUAGGACCAUACCAUAUCAUCUGUAUUAGCUUAGGAGCAGGAAUACCCUGACAAUGCUGAUGUUUCCGCAACUAAGUGCUCCGGUUUUAAGAAUGGUAGUUGGACGGCUAUUUGUUGCUCAAUCUGUGUACAAAACUUAGUUUUUUACGCCAGCAACACUCUCCAGUCGUUUUGGAGAAAACAGAGUUUUGUCAACUUCUAUGAUUCGCUAGAUGUGAAACUGGUACUCGAUCAUAAGCUACCACACUAGUUACUUUCCUGAUAGCCUCAUAGUACGUGCUAUAAAUACUCAGAGUAUGAUGGUGUUAGUUCAAAAAAGAAGAAGAAUCAUCCUCAGUGAAUGCGAAGGACUGAAGAGGUUUUUGUGUUUUGAUAAAAGAAGAGUCCGUGAAUGGACCCUACAACUGCAAAAAGGGACUUCCUAAACAGAACACAGGAACAGUCAGUUAAUAACCAGACUUCCAAGUAAAGAAAUGAGCAGGAAAACAGAUACCAUCACAAAAUCUAAUUCAAGUUCUAGAGCGCCUAUUAUUCUUUGAGUCUUGGACAAGGGCUCAAAGGGUGGUGUAAUGAGCGUAAAACUGAAUUCGUUGAACGGAGCAGAUUGAGUUCAGUCUCCACAGAGAUUUAAAAUCUAUGCAUGAGUAGCUCUAUGCAUUUUGUAUAAAAGAAACCUGCCCGUAUUUAUUUCAUUAUCAUCAUUACCAUUACUAUUCCAUGCUAAACCAUGUUUACUUUGCUUGGUCGACGACUAGAGCCCAAUAACCCGUGCUGCAUAAGCAGAGGACAUGAAGUUGAGGCAGUUCCCAACAGCAAAAGAAGAGUAUACCUGAAAUCGGUCAGCUUUCCAUUAUAAUUUAGAAGUGUAAGAAUAUAUAAGCAGAGCAGGAUCCCAUACAACUUAUACCUAUUCUCAACGUGUGAAAUUUGUUUAGGCCCCGUUACGAUCCCUUCAAUAAUUGGAAUCUAUUUAAUGGAGUAUGCUAUUUAUCUUGGAAUGUAGCAUUCCACAACUUUCCAAAGUUUAGAUAUAAGUCUAUCUUAAAUUCAUAGGGUGGGAGAUGGAAAUUGAUUCCAUAGAUCCUCAUGCUAUGUUUCUAAUGUGCAACUUAUAUCACGCUCUCCGACUCGCUUCCCUAUAAUAGAAGUGCAGCAUAUCAGUAUCUCUCCCAUAUGGCCAACAAUAAUAUACUAUAUUAGCUUAAUUAAUUUGUGUCUAAAUUGUGAUUAUUAGAAUGGAAUUCAAUUACAAGGAUCGGGGCCUUAGUGAUUUCUUUGGGAGCAGUAUGCCUCGGUUGCUAUUUGUUUCUAAAAGCUUCUUUAAAAAUUUAUCUGCAAAAAUCAAAUAUUUUUAAGUGUUUGUGACUUGGAGUAUUCUGACAUGAACACACAAAUGGAACAUUCAAUGUCAUGAGUGAACCCAAAUGCCUCGGAAACGGGAUGUAACAAUACCCGGUGGGAGAUAAGGAAGUCGAUGUGAAACGGAUGCGAAUUGCCAUUUCUGAGAAUUCAAACCCACGCACUUCGGUGAUAUGGUCGUGCACUUAAUUUCGAAGAAUCCCUAGCAUAUGGUGGUGCACUGAUGCUUUGUCUCUGCACAACAAACUGUUAAAUAAAGGUUGAAAAAUCUUAGGGAAAAAAAGUCAACUGAUGGCUUAUUCAAAAUAGCGGCACGGUCCGUGGCUGGGUGAGAUGAUAUGAGACAUGAGAGAGAGACUCUCCUUCGAGUGCCAAAUUUUGCCAACCUUUUUAAUCUUCCACCUGGCCGUGGCCGCGCGCGAAUCCGUUCGACCGAACUGCCGGAUUAGUACCUGUACCGGCCCAGAUAUCUUGGGAGCAGUUGCAGCUAUUGAUCGAAGUGUGUGGCACUCGACGGAGAGCAUGCGUGUGUAGCUGUGCACGUUCCCCGUAUCAUUUCUUUUGGAGCGGCGUGCAGUGGUGGGCAACGACGAUCGAUCUUGAAGCGCCACGGCACGCCAAUCGCCGGACCUCCCGUGUGCCUGCCGCCGCGUCGAUCGCUAGGUCACGAAGGAUAUCCAUUUCUGUACGGUUCUGGAACAUCGGAAGAUAAAGAGGAAAAAUUGGAGCAAGAAGGGAUCUUCCUCGGAAGCAAGUAGCUGAAGCUGACGCGACCCGCGACCACCCGGCGGCACGGCAGCAGCCGCCGCGAGGCUGGACCUUUGGACCGGAUGGAAGCAGUGCUUCGCUUCGCUGUCUGUCCUAGGUCUUGUUUUAGUUGAUAAAGUUUGGAGGUGCCAAAUUGCUGUUACAGCACUGUAACACACUGUAGCGUUUCGUUUGUAUUUGUGAAUUAUUGUUCAAACAUUAACUAAUUAGGCUCAAAAGAUUCAUUCGCAAAGUACAAUAAAACUGUGCAAUUAGUUUUUAAUUUCGUCUACAUUUAGUACUCCAUGCAUGUACCGUAAGUUUGAUGUGAUGAGAAAUCUUCUUUUUACAUAGUGUUAAAGUUGGAAGACCUAACCUGAAUCGCCGUCGAUUUCUUCCUCGUUUUCCCCGCGCUUCUUCUCGGUUUCUCGCACGCAAACCACCCCACCCACCUGACCCUCAACAGAGAGCGAGAGGCUGUGUGUAUAUAAAUAGCGUCCUCUCCCUGGCCUCCACAAAUUAGCAGCAAAAAAGCCGCGCGCAUUCCAGGUGUGAUUUGGCCGUUAUCUAGCAAGCACUAACCCUUCUCCUCACCGGCCGGUCGGUCGCCUCGUCUGACUAGGGUCAGCCAGCCACGCACCGCCGCCAGCCGCCCGGCGACGUAGCGUCCCCUUCACCUGGACGACGAUGGCUCAGCGCAAGGCCGCGCGCGCUGCCGCCGACGCCGCCGUCCCGCCCGCCAUGCCGGAGCCGGACAUCGCCGCGGAGCUCCACGCCCUAGUGGCCUCCUCCACCUUCCCCGCGCCGUGCAUCGGAGGUGCCGCGGCGGCGGAGGCGGCGGCGAGGGACGACGCCGGGCGGAGGCGGCCGCCGCUCGUGGUGAUCGGGCACCGCGGGAAGGGGAUGAACGCGCUGGCGUCGCCGGACCCGCGGGUGCGCGGCGACGUCAGGGAGAACACGCUCCGCUCCCUCAACGACGCCGCCGCCAGCCACCCCACCGUCGCCUACGUCGAGUUCGACGUCCAGGUGCGCGACGCAACCAUUACAUUCUUUUCCCCACGGCGUUUCGCUCGCCGCGGCCGCCGUCGUCCGCCGUUGACCAAGCCGGUUCUUAGACGAGGGUGGAUUUGACUUCUCCGUGGACAGUCGGGGGCGGUGGGCCCCGGUGGCCUCCUUGAGAGCUGACACGUGUGUGUGUGGGUGGGUGGCAUGCUGGCGGGCCGGGAGGGACCGGAACAGGGAGAGCUCGUGGCGUCGGUCCAGAAACAUCGGUCCAGUUCUCGAGUUCUCGAGCUCCUCCCGGAUCUCGGGGAGAAAACUUGAACGAAAGAUUUCUAAACAACAGACAAAUUCAUUGAUCCGAUCAAUCUACACAAAAAUCGCAUCUUACAUUGAUAAAAUUUCAAAGCAAACACAGUAAAAUUAGUAACUUGUUAUCUUGGUAUUUCUGCCUCUGCAGCUCAGAAUGAAACACGCUAGAAUUCUGUAUUAUCGAUGCAAGAGAUAUUUGAUUUGUAUAAUAUCGAACUUAUUGUAAUCGCAAAGUUCUAUCUCCUUAGCACUGCCUCCUUUAUAUCAAAACACGCUGGAAUGGGUAGCUAACCGUGACCGUGAUUUUUGCAGGUCACCAAGGAUGGCUGCCCGGUCAUCUUCCACGACAACUUCAUCUACACCCAAGAAAAUGUAAGCAUAUCCCAGAAUUCCAAUGUUACAUGUUACUACUUACCAUAAACCAUUUUGUUCUCUCACGUUGCACAUCGUAUCAUGCACCACAAACUGUGAUCAAUACUCGAAUUUCAGGGCGAGAUCUCAGGGAGGCGCGUCACCGAGCUUCACCUCGACGAGUUCCUCUCCUACGGGCCCCAGAGGAACCAGGAGAAGGUAUGCACCGUGAACAGCCACGAGCCUUUCAAAAUCCUAAACGACCGCGUUGCCAGAUUCAGUAAUGUUCGAGCUCACCUCCGUGUUGCCUUGCCGAAUUGUUCUUGCAGGCUGGGAAGCCGCUGCUCCGGAAGCUCAAGGACGGGAGGAUCCUCAAGUGGGACGUGCAGAAAGAAGACGCGCUCUGCACGCUGCGGGAGGCGUUCGAGGGCGUCGACCGCCGCGUCGGGUUCAACGUCGAGCUCAAGUUCGACGACGACCUCGCGUACACGGAGGAGGCCCUCACCGGUGUCCUGCAAGCCGUCCUCAAGGCACGUUGCUAUGAGCAAGAACCGAUGCUAGCUUCCUUGUGCAACAUCUCUGAAUACACUUACUGACCGCUCUGCUACGGCUUCUGUUCAUCAGGUUGUCUUCGAGCACGCCGACGGCAGGCCCGUCAUCUUCUCCAGCUUCAAGCCCGACGCCGCGCUGCUCAUCCGGAAGCUGCAAGACAAGUACCCUGUAAGUGCCAUUGCUGACACGGCCAUGGUUGAGCUUGAGCACAUAAAGUUUUCGGACCGUGAACAGUGACUGGUGGCUGAACCUGUUCGAAAUUGUUGCGACGCGACUCGAUCGAUCAGGUGUACUUCCUGACGAACGGAGGGACGCAGAUCUACGCGGACCCGAGGCGGAACUCGCUGGAGGAGGCCGUCAGGCUGUGCGUCGACGGUAGCCUACAGGGGAUCGUGUCGGAGGUCCGGGCGAUACUCCGGCAGCCGGCGGCGGCGGCCAAGAUCAAGGAGGCCGGGCUGUCGCUCAUGACCUACGGCCAGCUCAAGUGAGUGACACUUAAAUCCACUGAACACUUUACGUGGCUACCUGCGACGCUGACGGCCAUCAGGAACUGAACGUGUCAUCGUCGUGUUUUUGUUUCUUGCAGCAACGUGCCGGAGGUGGUGUUCGUGCAGCACCUGCUGGGGGUGGACGGCGUCAUCGUCGACCUGGUGCGGGAGAUCGCCGAGGCCGUGUCAGCGUUCUCGGCCGCCGCGCGGGAGCCGAGCCCCGAAAGCUGCGGGGAGGUUGAGAGGCUAGAGACGGCGGCGGCGGGGACGCCGAGCUUCUCCCCGCGGGAGAUGUCCUUCCUGCUCAGGCUCAUCCCCGAGCUGGUGCAGUAGCGUGUUUCUAGCCUAAUCCAGGUUUGACUCGCUAUAGAGUAGUCGUUGACUCUGCAUGUAACUCGCGUCAGCCCCAAAGGGGCAGAGGAUCAGGCAUGUAAUUUCCGAAUUGUAUAGAAUUUUGACAAAACGAACAUGUACUUACAAUGUUCCGGCGACCUUCUCUGUGCUCUCGUGAGUCCUCUGUUUAUCGUACAUCCCCAUGAGAUCGAAGUCGGAAUCUUGGGAUUGAAGUUUUCAUCGACAAGUAUAUUGUGUGGCUUAAGAUCUCUAUGAAUGAUCCCCUUGUCGUGGAGAAACCGGAGGCCACGAGCGACCCCCAAGAUGAUGUUGAACCAUGUAGCCCACUCUAGCUUUGGGGACUGAAGAGACGCUGAAAUUGUAUCCGAACCAGAAUUUGUUACUACUCUCAGGAUUAUUUGACGUUCUAUCCCAAAACCACCUUUGUUAUUUGAACUGACACCUCCAAUCGGAACGUCAUCUAUAACCGACCGAAGAGAGUACCUUUUUAGCUCGGAUAUUUCUAACAAAAUCCUCUCUUAUUUAACCAUUAGCAGACAACUAAGCUCAACUUUGUACCAGAAUUUCUCAACACGGAGGAGGUGCAAAAAGUCAUGUUUUCCCACGAACUGCUGUACUAUUCCUUUUUUUCCAUUUUCUUUUUGGUUAUAUAUAGGACCGAAAUAGUGCUAGACUUUUUAAUAGGGUAGAAUUAGUUUCUAUUUAUAUCAUUAGGAUUGCUUGACAUCCAAUCCACUAUCAGCCAUGAGACUCAAAAUAGAUAAACCUAAUAUUUGUAGUAUACUAGUCCAUCAACCCGUGCUCCCGCACAGGCUAAUAUUUUUAAAAUCUAUUGUAUUUGAAAAUUAUUUAGAAAUUAAACUCCUAGCUAAUAAUCAAAAUUGUUUACCUAUUACUCUCUUAUUUUUCAAUACUUCAACCUAAUACUUAUAUAGAUAUGUACCUAUCUUUGUCCAGUUGUGAUUGAUUUUUAAUUAAUAAUUACUCUAUGCACCUUUUCAUCCAUAUUCAUACUUUUUCCAUUUUGUAUCACACCUCCAAUCCUCCAUACAUUAUGUUUAGCAUACAAAUCAAUAUUUUUCAUCAAUUCCUCACAUACAUGUAUAAAUGGUCUAAAUGGUGGCACUCAUCAUGUGUAUAUACUUUAACUUAAUAUUUUUAUAUUAACAAUGACAUAAAUAGUUAAUUUAGAAUCAUAUAUUAGUUUACUUUUUGACAUUUUUGUACGAUGCACAUGAAGAUAAUUAGAUUAAGAUUUAGGUGUUUACUUUAGGUUAUUUGUAAUAACGACAUACGUGGGUAACAUAGAUAAAAUUUUAGAAUAACAUUUUAAGUUAUGCUUUAUAAUGAUGUGUAUUAGUAGAUUGAAUGAAGAUUAUGGGGUUAAUUUAGUUUAUUUUUUAAAUAGCUGAGCUCAGUAAUUUAAAUAUAGGUUUAGAGCUUAUUUUUGAAUAUUUUCACAAUGACGGUGGUGGGUAACUUUUUAGAAAAUAUAAUAGAUCAAUGGCUAUGAUUAUUAGAGUUUACAGGAUUGGUGUUUGAUGUUUUUAAUUUUUAUAAGAAUUUGUUUCUUUUUUCUAGCUUGUCUUGUGGGAACUAAUGUGGAGUCUCCAAUGGAAAAAAAUAGAACUAAUGUGGAGUCUCCAAUGGAAAAAAAAGAGACUAUAUUGCUACAAAACUAUUACCAUAAGCUACCUCUCGUUUGUUAAAUAUUAGAACACAAUACUUAUGUAGAUAUAUACUUAAUAUAUUUAUCCAAUUGUGAUAGAUUUUAGUUAGUAAUUACUCUAUAAUAUUUUCAUCCACAUUUAUAAUCUUUAACUUUUUACAUCGCAGGUAUGCGCUUGAAUUUGUUUAAUGAACCCUAAGUUUGAGAUAAAAUUUUAGCAUAGAAAUCUAUAUUCUCAUCAUUUUAUAUCCUAAUAAAUAGUGACACACAUCAUGUGUAUAUACCUUAAUUAUUAUAUCGUAUACCAAUAGUGUAAGAUAUAGAUGAUUUAGAAUCAUAUAUUGCUGUAUAUUUUUAAUUAAGGUUAUUUGAUUCAAACGUAGGGUUACCUUAUGUUAUUUUUAAUAAUAGCAUUGUGGGUAAUAUAGAUGCAAAUUUAAGGGGUUACUAAAAGUUUUUAAAGUAAUAGUGGUAGGCAAUUCAGUUGUAAAUUAGGGGGUUAUUUUAAAUAUUGUUUAUAAUGGCAUAAGUGGAUAAUUUUAAUGAAGAUUAGGGGGUUACUUUAGUUUAUUUUGUAUAAUGGCAGAGGUGGGUAAUUUAUAUAUAGAUUUAGGGGAUUACUUUAGGCUCUUUUUCUAGAGUGUCCACUUAGAAAUCCUAGGUGGCUUCACCUAGAGGCUUCAAAAGAAGCCUCCAAUUAGUAAUAGUAAGAUUCAUCUUCUCACAUGGUAUAGAGUUGUUGUUGUUCGUUAGCCGUUGCCUCCACAGCUUCCACCGCCCCUACAUGUGAGAUGAUCCCAUUUCUCUUUCGGGCUUGCAACUCGUAGUCCUAGGGUCCACGUUAACGUUAAUGAGUUAAGAGUUUUCCUUGGUCACUCGUAGUCUAGGCCGCCCUCUCCCCUCUGCUGCGCUCCAGUUGAACAUGGUCACCAGAGCCCUUCCGGGGCUGGGACCUGGGAGGUUGGUGCGGCUCGUCGUGUCCCGUUCCCUGGGACGUGCGCGCCGAAGGUGUCGCGCCAGACUGAUCGGAGGCGUUUAUGGAUGCCACCGCCGCAGCAACACGAUCCCUACGUCUCCUCCUCUCGGGGGGCUGCUAUAUAUACAACGUGUGAAAGCUGGUUAAGGUUCGUGGUUUUAAAGCCCACCUAAAUAGAGAUCUGAAUUUAGCAUUUCAAAAGAUAGGUUUCAACAUUUUCUCAAUAAUAGAUCAACAUCUAAAUUACCUAUAUUUGUCAAUAUUUCUUUGAAGAAAAAGCUAAAGUGAUGCCUAAAUUAUUUAAAUAUGCGAUUAUAUAAAAAGAAUAUAUAUCUCAAAGUACUCCGUACACACGUGUCUAAAUUUUUGACUUAUUAUUAUUAAUAUUGCGUAGUGUCAGUAACCACGCAGACUAUGUGUACACGUAUGCACCAGGUGUUGAGUAUUUAUUUUAAUACUAAACAUAUAGCUGAAGCUAAGUGUAUCACAACCGGAUAAGGAUUAUAGUGUGAUCAUCAUCCGUCUGUAUUUUGUAAGUCAUAUUUCGUUUCAUUACAACAGCACAUUUAUGUAAUGAAAAAGAAUAUUCAUAAUAAAGUAUUUUCGAGUACGAAUCUAGUGACAUCAACUUUCUAUCACAAAAAAUAUAUAUUAAUAUAGAAUAACUAUAUAUUGGCCAAAGGCAUGUCCUAACAAAAUGAAAUAUAAGCCUAUAUGGUGCUUAGAAUAUGGACAGAUGAGAGACAACAAAGAUAGGCAAUUUUGAUUAGCAUGAACUUCUAACACUAAUCUCUCUUAAAAUUAUUACCCCUCCCCCUCCCUUCCGUUGAACCUUAAAAAUUUUUUGCCCGCCUAAGAGCAAGGGUUACGACUUACGAAUCGGUAAUAACCAAUGUAAUAACCGUAGUUUUAUGCUGUAUGACCAUAUGUGUUACGUCAGUGAACUCAAAAGUCUUCUCCUUAAGUAUUCAUAUUUUAUAUAGCACAGGUCUUGCAUCUCAUAAUUUGGACCAAAAACCAAACACCAGUAAGUUCGUCUCUUAUGCCUGACUUCAAGCCAUUCACGUACCGGUCUGAUCUGGCUCCAUAGGCGAGCACCGGUAGGCGGUAGCUCUACCUACACCCAAGGCACAACGACAGCCGGACCGGGCCAGACGCCGCCGGCGUACGGACGAUGUACCCUGGAACUGGAAGAGAUGGCUCCUGCAGCACCUCCGUCCUGUUGUCACUGCUCAGCAUGGCAAUGACUUGCCCCCAUGGUCGGCCGCCUUGGCAGGUCGGUCCUACUGCACGCAGAGGAGCACGAUGUGCACUACCCUCAGCAUGUGCCGCGCCGCGUGCUCCUGCCCGUUGACGCCCAGCUUCCUGUCCAUGACGUCGACCGCUCGAUUCUCCUUCCGGUGCUGCCACACCUUCUCACAUAGUAAUCAGCAAACUCUUGCAGAAUCAUGAGGAGAUAGCAUAAACCCCCCCCCCCCCCCCCCCCCCCGCCCCCCCCCCCCCACACACACGAUCACUACCAAAAUCCCCAACUUCAUUGGGGCAUAUUUCAUAACACAAUACUAUGUUAGUGUGAAAUUCGCGAAUUUUUUUAUUACCAAACUAAAAUGAUUAAAUAUUUAUCUAAUAAUUAUCUUGAAUACGGCCACAAAUCCACUGCUCCCUAUCCUGUUACUAUUUAAGAAAUGACUUGUUGCAGCCUUAAGAACUUUGUAGUCAUAGAGUUGGCAACUCGUUCUUUCUCCAUCCUUGUCCUCUUCUUUCGUGCUCCAUCGCUCCUCUCCUUGGUCAUACAUGUUCUCCCCUCUUAUGCCAUCUACAUGAUUCGUGAAAUAAAAAAUAAGGCACAGAAAUAGUGAUACAAAGGGAGAAAUCGAGUGAUUUCCUAUCAUUUGCUAGAAUAGGAUCUUGUGACACUUAUGAUGGAUCCUGGAAAAUUAUUAACAUGGAAAGAAUUGAGACCAGGUGGGGCCGGAUGUACCAUCCCAAUUUUCCUAAGCAUUUAAAAUAUGGACCCCAAAAACUUUUUCUAAAAUUUAUAUAGCAAUUCAAGCCAUAGAGCCUUGCAUUUGAAUUAUUGCAUCACAAAUAGUUUUCCAUAAUCAAAUAUGCAUUUGUUUGAGCUAACUACUCCAUCUACUCCAAAAUAUUCCACCUUAACAUUCCUUCCAAGCCCUUACACCAAAACCAAUUCAAAUUUGAACAUAUUUCAAAUUUGAACUUAAAACACCUUACCAACUAAAAGGAAAAACCAUUUAAACCUACUUGGGCUGAUAACCUCAGAACCGGCCCCUUCCCCUUUCCAGCCUGGCCUACCUCCUCUUUCUCCCGCACAUGGCCCAAACCAACUGCCUCGGCCUGCCACUUCGCUUAGCCCAGCCCUGCCACACGAUGAUGUCAUCCUGAUGUCAUCAUCCCCAACCUCCAUCCAUCCCCCCUUCCCUUCUCCUCGCCCGCCCACGACAUCACGCCAGCCGUGUGCCGUACCCGGCCCUCCAGCCACUCUCACUGUUCCCUGGCGAGCGCGCCGCCAUCGCUCAUACUCCUAUCGUCGCCGCACCUAUCAGAACCCUUCCCCCCGCUCAAGAACCCAACCGCCCCUAUUCAUUUCCCCGCGCUCCAGAGCGUGGCCACCGGCGAGCUCCCCCUGAUCUCCUCCAUCCCAGCCUGAUUCAUCUCCCCGGUGAGCGCGCCACACGUGCCAGCACCAAGCGUGUCCACAACCGCGCUCCUUCCCGCCAGCAUCCUCUCUCCCGGCCCUAUCCACCCCCGCCACUAAUGCCACGCGCCGCCGCACCAUUGGCGGCCGGCCGGCCCGGAUAAGCUUGGCCAAGGCCGUCCGAGCCCCCAAUCCUCUUCGUUGGGCUAUAAAUAGCCCUUCCGACACUCCUUACCCCCCCUCUCCACCACUCUCCACCACUCUCCUUCGUCGGAAUAGGAUCCUGCCGCACCUCCUCCACCCGCCACCAUGCUCUAUCUCCUAGAGCCGGGUUGGGUCGAAGUCGAGGAGCCCCGCGCAGUGGUAGCCACCUCCCUCACCCGUAUCGAAGCGCCGCUCCCGCUGGCCGCUCGUCGCUAAACCACCGCCGCCGCUCAAUCCCAUUGCCCGCAGCUCGCCGCCAGCCAAAUUCUGGAUGUCACGCUGCCCGCGUGAGCUUCCAAAAAGUCCCAGGUACAACCGCUAUGCUGCCCGUGCUGCUAUAUGUCCUCCUCGCCUUCUCCAGCCAUAUCCCCGCUCGGCCGUUGCGCCGUCGGGAUUCCGGCGAGCCGCCGGCGUUGCUCCGGUCUACCACCGGCCACCCUAAGUCCUCCACUGCACGCGUCGAGCCACCUCGAGCCUUCCCAUGCCCUUAGCACCCCCAAACCCCCUCUAGACCUCACUCCCCUCGCAUCCGUGCUGCCGUGCAACUCCGACAAGCUCCAAGCUUGCCGUCGGUCACCACUCAUUGACCACACUGUCCUCCACCGGUCCGCCAUGGCCUCCUCUAGCCCCUGGCCACUUCCUGCCCUGGCCCAAGCCUUCCCUCGUCCGGCACAGCCUGCCGGCGAGCUGUCCUGCCACACGCGACGGUCCGGUGACCCCAACUGGGUGGCGCUGCUCCCCUUCCCAUCCCUGCACCGCAUCUACAUACACUGCAUGCACGCACUCUCCCUCAGCCCAUCACGUGGACCGCCAGCCCACAGCACAGUCCGGCCACGCUAGCCCCCACACGGCCCCCUCGCCACAUCAUGCCAGGACCGCCUAUCUCUCUCUCCUCCCCCCAUCCGCUUUGUUAGCUACAGCCACCCGAAUAAACAUACACCAAUUCUCACCUAGCCAUGUUAGAAAUUCCCAAAAAUUAUCAAAAAUUCACCAAAAUAUAUUAGAACCCAUUUUAAACCCAACCAUACCUUGUUUGUCCAAAUCUCACAUCCAUAACCCCUAUAACUAAACCCUCCUUUCAUUAAUGAAGAACCCCAUAUUUCAUGUGGCCAAAAAUAGGAAACCAUCCCGAAAAGCUAUGGAAAAAUCCUAGAAAAUUCUAGGAAAUUACUCAAGCCUCCUAAACCCCAAUUAUCCUCCUGUAACCCAUGUUUGAUGUAUUGCUAUAAUUGUUUGCUUGGUUGCUUACGUAUAACUACGAUAAUAUAGAAAACGACGACACCAAAAACGCAUUUGACGAUCCAGACUACGAAGAAGAAGCUCGAUCCAGACUUCGAGGAAGGAAAGUCCCACAAAUCAUCAUCAUCUUUUAUCCCAAGCUUUAUUAAUAAAAUAAACCAAGAUAAUAAUUUUUUUAUAAGCUUUGUAUAUUUUCCUUUAUUUCGUUGCUUAGCUCGUCCUAAUAAUUUUGAGCCCUCCUUGAUAUCAUGAACCCCAUAUACACUAGGUCAUAUCAUGACUCACAAAUUCUAAGGAGGAGUGAGAGUACUUUAAAAAUGGCAUAAAAUAACUUAAGUAAGUCUAGCAGCCAAUUAAGGCUGGAUCCGCAAGUAAGAGGAUAGCCUCGGUAGAGGAUCCUAUCCUAAAUAAGCUUACUCUAGUCAUAUGAGGACCGGAUCAUGGGAAAGUCUUUCUAGUGAAUAGUACAGCCGCACGUGCCAAAAAGGUACAGCCUUCGGGAGUGACUAAACAUGUGAGGCCUUGAUUCACACCCCACUACAGAAUCUAAUAAACUUUCCCAAGAGGCCACUGUGGGCAACAGAUAGACUGGAGCAAGACCUUCGCAAUCCUAGGUCUGUUCAGCACGGGUCUCGAGUUGAGGUCUGUAGAACCUGUUGACAUUGUAUGUCAAGUUAUGAUGCAUCUUUUCCCGGGACAGAGUCCACGAGUGGACAUAGUGUGACCCCUAUUUAGACCCCAGCCAUAUCUAUGGACGGAGUUAGGGAAUGUUGUCUAGGAAUAGAUACUGGUGGGUACGGGUCUCGUAGGUCAGUACCGCCUAUGAUCAAGGUACAGGCUGAUCGAACGUGUGGGUAAAGUGUACACCUCUACGCAGAGUUAUAAAAACUUUUCGAAUAGCCGAGGCUCACGGUUAAGAGCUCACAUAGUUAAAGCUCCCAUUGAUUAGUCAUAGAGUGAGAUUCAGGCUUGUCUUGGGAUGUGUCUAGAAAUAAGGCAAAAGCUGGCUCGGGUAAUCCCUAACGGAUCCCGAUGCUCUUAAAACUUAGGGACCGGUAGGGAGCUAGUUUUUCCUCCAGGACCAACAACUUAUAAAUAUUUGCAUUUCAUUCUCUUCAAUUUAUAACCAUAUACAUUGUGCAUGCAACUAGCUUUCGGGCAAACUAGCAGCUAUUCCUUGAAAUCCUGCAUGAAAUAAUACAACAAUUGUGGGAUUUGCUGAGUACCCAUUAUAUGAUGCUUACCCUUGAUUCUCCUUCCUUUCUUUCUUCAGAGGAAGAAGUUGCUAGUGAGGAAGACGAGGAUCUUCCCUAGGAGCCAAGCCGCUUGCAGGCUUGGGAUUGUUAUGUAGGACUCCGCUGUAUAAUUAAGGUUGAGGCUACGGCCCUAUCAUUGUAAUAUUCUUUCUCUUUUUCAACCUUAUGUAAAUUAUCAAUAAAAGUUGUACGAAGUAUGGAUGUGAUACUUCUCGUGUGAAGUGUCCGUAUCAUCUACUGAUCCAGGGAAUGAUAUGAAUGACAUUCGGGGUCCCUUUUUAGGGGCAGCCCCCAUACCGGGUUUGUUGGAUGACCGUAUGUUGUUGCUUUGGUGGUUGCUCCGUUCGUGUCAUUUGAGGACUGUACCGUUGUGGCACACUGAUCGAGGUUGAACAGUAUUAACCACAUGCCGGGAGUAGAACGUAGUCGAAACCGAUAAACCUACGUACAUUCGUGCGCUAGUAGAUUGAGCUUGAUAUCAUCAUUCGUAUGAUCAUGGUGUUUUUAGCGUAGGAGCCAAGCUCAAACUUGAUGUGAAUGAUAAGCCAUUAACACACUGUUUGGUUGGUGGCGAUGCACCGUAGAGAAGUACUUUAUGUUUUGCACCGUACUACGUGUCAUGGGUGCUGUAUCUCUCAAUUUAAUGCUCUCACUACCGUUCAACUAAAGAGAUCGUACCUCUUUAUAAAAAAAAUCGUACCUCAUUUUUUAGCCCCUUUGGAAUAAAGGAUUGGCGGAGGAAUUCUGUAGGAUUUAGUUCCUAUAGAAAUUUUUUAUAUGUAUCCUUUUGGAACAAAGGAUUGGACAUCCAAGAAUCCUACAAAAUUCCUAUGGAAUGCCUCAAUCCAUAGGAAAUUUUGAAGAAAAUCUAAUAUGAGAUCCCAUCUUUUGAAAAUUUUCCUUUGUCUCUCCUCAUAUUCCUAUAUUUUUCCGAUGUUAUAUCCAAAUGCUCCCUUUAAAAGUCUCCAGCGUGCUAAAUUCCUAUAGGAUUGUAAUCCUACAUUUUUCCUAUUCCAACGUUUUGAGAAUCCAAAGGAGGCCUUGACUAUAAACACCAUCAACGUUGUAAAAAAAUGUCAUCAACUCGGUACAUGAAAUUAUUUCCCAAUCCAGUCAAAACGAAGAGAGAAUUGUCAUUAGUCAAAGAGGUUGAACGAUCGUGGCAGCUACAAAAGAAAAAAAAUAGACCAAAAGCAGACACCUGGCAUCGACGGGAAGUCGGGAAGGAAGUCGCCACCAAGAGAAACAAAAAGUAACGGAAGGGAGAGGGCGCCGCCCCCCACUGGCAGGUGGGUCAGGAGCGGCCCGGAGAAGCCGAAGCGACCAGAGGGGGCGUCCCGCGCCUGGGCCCCCCAUUCCGCUUCCAGAUCUCAUUAUUGCACGCGGCCACCCCCCUUUCGCAAGUCAGAGAAGCGAGGAGGAGGCGAGAGAUUUGCAUCCCGAGGGAGAAUAGAAAGGGACCCAACCCAAAUCAAAUCCCUGGUGCCCCCUUCCUUCCCCCACACGCCGCCGUCGCCGCCGCCGCCGUGAGGACUCCGGCGAAUGGCGUCCCGCAUCGCCUCGGGCCUCCUCCGCCGCCGCGCCGGCGCCGUAAUGCCCCUUUCCCUCCCUCCCUCCCUCUCUCCUCCCUCGUGCGCGUGGUCUCCCUUGGCGGCUAGCUCCUGUUCCCCAUUCUGGUUCGGGAGAAGCCGAUGGAUUUAGGGUUCGCGCGGUGGUCCGAUGCGGCGUCCCCCGUCCGAUGGGUGUGCUCUUCGCCUUCGGAUUUGCGUCCAGGCGUCCUGGAUGGGGUCGUGGUUGGUUUUGCAGGGGCAUCUGGUGGCGUCGAAGCUGAUGCUUCUGGGUCUCCCCGAGCCUGCAGGUGGGCGGCGUGGGGCGCUGAUGGUUGAGGGACGUCAGCUGUGCGUCCUAGGCUUUUACCCAUGAUUUGAUUAGGACGGACCUGGGACCUGGGGGUGAUGAUUUGGGGCGCGCCACACGGAUUAGGGUUGUAAACGUGCUUCUCUGCUGUUUCUGGCCAUUCCAGUGUUAACCUUGCCAUUAACUGUUCUGUAUAGCUCAGGGAUCUUUUAGUGGCCAAGGGAUAUGAUGUACGGGCAACAAAUGGAUGCAGAGUAAGCGUGAAGCUUGUAAUUUCCCCAUCUUGUGAGGUUUCGUGCUCUCUGUGGGGGUAUCAUACAUCUAAAGGAGUCUAGUGAAUUGAUUUCCUUGCUACCAUCUCUUUGGUUUAGGUCACCAAAACAAUCUGAGAAGAGAAUAAUGGGCGUUGAAUUGUUGUGCUAUGGUAUUUUCCUUUGUCUAGCUGUUUCCUGCAAAGAGAACCCGUUCUGCGCUGUGUAGAACAAUCUAUUUAGUGUACAACUGAAAGUACCAUUAAUUAAGGAGUAGGUUCAUGGUAUUUCUGAUUAUUCUUGGUUCAUUGUUCCAUGCUAACUUUUUUCUGGAUAUUUUUGGACCAUAUUUAUUAAGUAGAUUGUCUUGAUGAAAAUUUUGUGCUCUGCACUUGAGACCAAGAAUGCGUUCAUUUUUAUAUACCACUAUAAGUUACUUUUUAGCUGAGAUUUUUUGGCGUGCGUUUGAGAAGACCUAGAUCCUCAGUUGCACUGGUCUCAGUGUUGAUAACCUUAUGUGAUCAUGCGGUAUGUGACCUUGUGUGUGAUAUGUAUCAAUCUAAGAAUAGGGUUUUAUGCAUAAUAGUGUGUAAAAUUGUGGCAUACAUGCUAAUCAAGAAACUGAUAAAGCUCACAGUUCACCAUUUGAGACCCAGAUAUGUCUUGUUAAUGGAAAAGGAGUCAAACACACGUAGAUUAAUCGAACAUCUUAGACCUACUGCUUCAAAUAUGAAGGUUUUUGGAGAUUAUUUUAUCAACCAAUGCUAUUCCUUAUUGCUGUUGAACUGAUAGGUGUUGCCUAUAAAUAAAACUAAGAAGCUUGUAUGGUAGCCCAAGUUCAUUUUCCCCAAAAAACCUUCUUCCAUCAUAAGAAACGAUAGUUUGAUGGUUAAUGGAGUAGGAGUGGGAGUGGGAUUUGCUGAUAGGGGGUGACUAUAUCCUAAAGCUUUAUGUUAUUGCAGACCCUAUAUUUUGUAAAUAAGAAAUAGAACAUGCCAUCUGAGUCAGCUGUAAAGUAUGGCAGCUGCUUCAGCAUUUGUGGCCAUCAUUUAUAGCAAUGUUAAGUUGAAUUGGUGCCUUUAUUAACAACCUUCAGGGCAUUCCUUUAUACAAGCUUGAAAAGUGUCACAAUUGAGAUUGAUCCACCAUGCCAAUCCUAUCUAAGUUACUAUACUGAUUUACAAUUCAUUCUGAAGUAGUGUAUCAAAUUUUCUUAGUUAUGGUUUUAUUAUUUUUAUGCCAUUUUACACUUUCACAUUGUAGUAGUGCUGAUGCACAGAUAAUAUAUGCUUGGAUGUAUUACUCCUUUACAGCUAAUUUCUCUCUUUCUCACUGAUCUGACUUACUUGCAGAACCUAGGCCUCCUAAGGAGUUAUACACAUGUCAGAAACUACAGCAGUCAACUUUCAGGUAAUUAGUUUGACUGGCCCUGUUUUUAGUGUUCAAAUCUUAACUAUUGACUAUAAUGUCUGUUUUCUCCAGCUUUGAUUCCAGCUACGUCCCAGUGCUCGAAGCUAACGAGGUAAUUAUUAGACUGUUAUGAAUAUGAAUGUCUUCAUCAUUGACCUCACAUUAAGUUUUCUUACAUUUUUUACUUUCAUACAAUAAUUUUAUUCUUGUGAUUGAAUCUUUUUAGAAGACGUUAUUACAUGCCGAAUGCCUCUCCGUACCAAGUUUGGAGUAGGUCAUUUGCUUCAGAUAAUGGUAAACCACAAUAGCCUGUUGAGGUAAAUAGUGUUCUAUAAAUGCAUUCCACAUUAUGUGCUUAUCAAGUCUUGCUUUUCUUUCUACAGAAGACAAGGUUGAGGCUGUUGUGCCCUUCAUGGGUGAAUCUGUAACUGAUGGAACUCUUGCUAACUUCUUGAAGAGUAUGCUCUCUCCCCCUCCCUCCCUCUUAGGUUGUUCUAUAUUCUGUCGCUAACACUUCUUUGAAACAGAACCUGGUGACAGAGUCGAGGCCGAUGAGCCCAUAGCACAGAUUGAAACUGAUAAGGUAUUGGUGCCUUCUGUUUGAAUAUUUGUAGAAACACCAUAUUUGCGAAUGGUCAUAGAAAGACUGUUUUCCUUUCUGUUUCAGGUUACUAUAGAUGUUGCAAGUCCUGAAGCUGGUGUUAUUGAAAAGGUGAAUAUCUGUGAUCCUUUCUGGCUUCCAGUCUGCUUUCUUGGCCAUACUUUACCUGUACUGGAGCUGUGGCUUUAUGCAGAGAUCAAAGAUACAUACUUGAAUUGAAUACCAUGAGUAUCUAUUAAUGUUUCAGAUCAGUGGUUAUAUCUACUAAUGUUACAGAUCAGCAGCUACUCCCAUACUAAUUGUUGCUAUUUCUGACUGAUGUUGUGUUCCAGUUCAUUGCUAGUGAAGGUGAUACAGUUACUCCAGGCACCAAAAUUGCAAUCAUAUCAAAGUCUGCUCAAUCUGCUGAAACACAUGUUGCUCCAUCUGAGGAAGCAACUCCAAAAGAAUCUUCUCCACCAAAAGUUGAAGAAAAACCAAAAGUAGAGGAGAAAGCGCCAAAAGUAGAACCACCAAAGACACAAGCACCUAAGCCUGCUGCACCAUCAAAAACGUCCCCUUCAGAACCACAGCUCCCUCCAAAAGAACGAGAGCGGCGGGUAAGGCCUAUAUUAUCCAAUGACAGCUGCAGAUUUUUUUCAAGGGACAUGCAAUAUUUUACCAUGUUGUUGCAGGUGCCAAUGCCAAGGCUCAGGAAGCGUAUUGCAAACCGUUUGAAGGAUUCUCAGAACACCUUUGCAAUGCUGACCACAUUUAAUGAAGUUGACAUGUAAGUGUUAGUUUAGUUUGGUCCUAUUCUUAUAUAAUAACAAUACUUCACGUAACCAUAACAGUAGGUUCUAUCUCAUCGUUUUAUUUGUGCCUUCUCCUGUUAUCAUCCUAAUUGUUAAAAGAUGUGGCUAGUAUCCAAGCAAUAAAGAAUCUAGUUUGUUGGAGUAUGUUUCACUAUAUGAUUGCUGCUCCACUUUGAAGGGGUCCUAAUACUUGCUAAAGCACCCUGGAAAUUAAGAACAUAUGCUAACUUAUGAAAAGAUUGCGUCAUAUGAUUAUUGAAUAUGUAUGAAUGCUCAUAGAAAGUUAUUUCGUUGAGGUGCACUGACCAAAAUAAUCUCAUCAUUUGUUGUGCAAAACUGCAAAUAAUUCUUAUAUCAAUAUAUGUGGUUUAUCAUCUUUGUUUUCUUACAUGUGGACUUAAACAUUACUUUCUGCUUGCCAUUAUCAUUUCUUGAAGUCCGGAUAGUUGUGUUUAUCUAUCACUAAAUCUUAUGAUUAAUGCAGGACCAAUUUGAUGAAGCUUCGUUCUGAUUAUAAAGAUGAGUUCGUCACAAAGCAUGGUGUCAAAUUGGGUCUCAUGUCCUGCUUUGUCAAGGUACCUGCCAGUCUUGUGUGUUGCAACCUCUUGCAUGAUACACUUACAUCGUUGUGUUAAUUUCAUUUAUUUUUGCAGGCUGCUGUUUCUGCACUUCAAAACCAGCCCAUUGUCAAUGCUGUCAUUGAUGGUGAUGACAUCAUAUACAGGGACUAUGUUGAUGUCAGUGUUGCUGUUGGCACUUCCAAGGUACCAUCAUAUAGCAGAUAAUUGUCACUCUGAUGACUGUUUCCUUCUUUCGUAUCUCAUUGUGAUGUAAAUCUUUUUCAGGGCCUUGUGGUGCCUGUUAUCCGGGAUGCUGAUACGAUGAACUUUGCUGACAUUGAGAAAGGGAUAAACAACCUCGCAAAGAAGGCAAAUGAGGGGGCACUGUCAAUUGAUGACAUGGCAGGAGGAACAUUCACCAUCUCCAAUGGUGGUGUUUAUGGAAGCCUUAUCAGCACACCUAUCAUCAACCCCCCACAGGUAACUUGCUCUCCAGUCAUGUAAAACACAUUCUGUAGCAGGCUCUGUCCAUUCAUUUUAUACGCCAUCUAAAAUGAAAUGCAGUCAGCAAUUCUUGGGAUGCAUUCCAUUGUGCAACGCCCUGUGGUUGUGAACGGCGACAUCCUCGCAAGGCCGAUGAUGUACCUCGCCCUGACAUACGACCACAGGCUGAUUGAUGGCAGAGAGGCUGUCUUCUUCCUGCGCCGCAUCAAGGACGUGGUCGAGGAUCCCAGGAGGUUGCUGCUUGACAUAUAAGUUCACGCCCUGGCACUGCCCCGCCAACUGUUUUGUGCUUAUCUGGAAAUAAUACCAUGCAAAUUUUUUGACUGAUGAAAACUAGUUGCUUCCUCCGAAAGGCAGAAUCUGAGCUGAGGAUAUGGUGAGGUUUUUCCUAUAAUUGUAGAAGAGAGCACCAAACUCAACGCUGAGGUCAUGUUCACUUUUCCUAUCGAAGAUGUUCCAUUUCGGGAUGUAGUUCCCCGAACACUCGUUUGUUUACCAUGCAAAAGCAAUAGGGGCUACUGCAUUUUUGGGGUUUACAUUCUCGCCUUUGUCUGCAACUCGAGAGUCUCGGUUGUAUUACCGGUACUGCUUGUAAGUAGGGGUGGUAAAAGUUUCUCAAAUUUAGCUUAGCAAAGGAUUGAGAUCAAUAAGGGUCAGAUCAUAAUAAUAUAAUAUGAUUUUGAUCUAAAAAUAGAUAAGGUUAAGUUGGAUUGUGAAGGAGGUAGGAGGAUCCUGAUUCAUUACCACCCCUACCUGCUGCAGCGCUGAUAAGUCUUGCUCCAAUCGUUCUUGCUGUAUCUGCUGAAUACUUUAAUGAAAACUCGUCAAGAAAUACGGUAUGAAAUACGAUAUGGGGUAUGACCCGCUGCAUUCGUUAGACCGACAGUACAAGGGUUAGGCGUGCAGCACAAAUUCCUCCGUUCCAUUGAUAUUAUAGUUGAUGGUCUAUUUUUUAAAGGCUAGUCAAAGCAAAAGAAAUUUGACUUGGGCCAAUUUCAAAACGUUUUACGUUUAAAACAGAUAGAAGGCAGUUGCAUGUCCAUAGGUUUCAAUCUUUUUGACGGCGAAUAAACAUUCGAAACCGCCACAACACCAACGAUAAGAAUCUUCCUUUUCUUUUCAAUAUUUUUCCCUUUUUCUGGGGUGUGGAGGAUCCGUUUCCAGCUAAUUUAAAUAUGAAUUCAGAGAAAAAAAAUGAAAUCACACGGGUUAUAAAAGAUAGACUUAACACGAAAGAUGACAAGUAAACACAAAAUUUGCAUUGAAUGGGUCAGUUACGUAUGCCCUAUCAGUUUGGUAUGCACAACAGAAGUUUUGGGGAUGAGAGCCUAGAUGGGGUUACGAGUUUGGUGUUCAGUGAGCUCACAAGUCAUAACAGAAUCCACACAGAGCUGCUUUCAGCAAGGAGCUACAAUCUACAGAACUAGCAUAACAUUAACUGCUUUCAGCAUAAUGCUACUCCAUACUGAGGUGCACAGAUGAUCUAGCACACCUCAUUUUUUUUCUCGUGGAGAAUGAGAAGAUUUGGCAGUGAUUCCCAAUGUCGGUAAAAGGCCCAGUGUACAUUUGAAUUCUUUUUCUUAACCAUCCGCUUUCCCUUUUAUGGGUCUUACCCAUGCUGCCCCAAAAUUCAUACCAAGGUCUUCAAAAGAUCUUCCAAUAACUUGAAAUGUGCAGGGGAAUUUGGCUAGGUGCAGAUUUAUGUAACAACCAAGCCACCAAAUCCAAGCUUCUGAACACCAACUCGUCCGACCACCAUCAACCUGUGGAAAAAAAAACACAUUAGCAUGCCAAUUGUUUUAGAAAAAAAAGGGGGAAACAAUUAAAAAGACAAGAAAAAAAACAGAAAAAACUAAAGAAGAGACAGGGGCUUAUUAGGAUAUGUAAACACGCAAACAAUAGCAGCUUGAGCGGAUUGCACAGACUACAAGUCUUGUGCCAAUGUGCCAUGUAUGAAACAACAAAAGAAUUGUAAAAAGGCAACAAAAAGUAUCAAGUAUCGUGCAUACAAAAAAAAAGGUUGCAUCCAGACUUCUGUAAUCUGUUGUCUUGGUUGGACCACAUGCAGUGAGACAGGCGUUCAUUGGGGACACUCAGUCACCAAGAUGAGUGCGAACAUGCAUAAUGCCCCUUGCCAACCUGUCAGCAGCUGAGGUGUCUCACUGCUUGUGAACUAAAAUAAAGACACUCAAAGAUCCCCCAACUGUGUGGGGGUAAGACAAGGAGAUAGCGGGAGUUGGAUGGAACCAGGUUUUAUGUGAGAGCCUUGCACACUAGUAGUUCUUUGAUACAUCACAGCGGACUUGUUGUGUAGGCAAAUGUGUCUCUAAAAUCAAUUUUGGCAGCUGACUAAGCUCACAGAUGAUCCUAUCAUGGAUCGUGCACAUAAAGAUAUAUAAACAAUAAAAUAAUGUAUUGCAUUAUGCAUCGGGGGUAACAUGUUUGAAUACACCAGCAGGAGGAAUAGUCUGCAAUAACUCAGGAAUAUAUUUUAUGAAACAGCUUGCAGUACAAUAGGGAGGCAAAAGAAAGGGCAACAGGACAGAAGAUAAAUGUGUAAAAACACACAAAAAAAUGUAAAAGGCAAUCAGCAGCCAAUAUCAUGUGUGUUAAUGCAAAUAGAAGUCUAGGCUAAGGCAGAAUGCAUGAUUUUGAUCCAGUUGCUUCAGAGAAUUUAAAACUGUGUACUAACCAUUGGUGUGCUUAAAUAACUGAGCCCCAUUCUAGACAACUAUAGAAGAUGCAUACAACAGUGCUGAAUAAGGGAAGAACAUGCAGACUUUGUGUAUUUUUUAACAUGGAAAACUUGAAUGAAUGACAAGGUAUUGGAAACUGGACAAGCUAAGCAUAGUGCUUUAUGAAGCAUGUUAUGUCCCCUCUGGCAAGAUUAACAUAUCAAUCAUUAUAUUCGGACUUCUGAACCAAUAAAGGUAAUAUAAGGCUACUGGAAUUAAUUAUAAAGAACAGGAAACAACUACCAUCUCAACUGCAUAUAAUUUAAUAUCAUAGCAUUCCUUGUUAUACUAUGAAAAUAUCAGACAACCUAUCUGCAAUAAGCAGCCCUACCUAUUGAGCUCCCCUUAUACAAGGGGGUCACUUGGGGUGGGUCGGUGGUUAAAUUUCAAAUUACUCUAGUUGCUGUGCUACUGAUGGCCUCCAUGCAUAUGCAGGCUGGGCACUGGAGGGAACAAGCCAGAUGAGAUCAUGUUUGAAACACUGCAUACUACCAAGAGGGUGGUACUGCUACACACAAAAUUACGGCAUACUUUGCCAGCAUCAGUGAUUUCCUUUUCACAUGAACUAUUUGGCAGGUAGACAAGUGGAAAAAAAACAAUCCUGAAAUCAUGCAUGUAACAAAGUGCCGAUGACCUAGAACAUACUCCCUCCAAUAAAAAAAAAGAAUUCUGGAAUGAGCGAGCGUAGACAAUUUUUUUUUAACUUUGGUAUCGAUCUCUUAAUGAAUAUAUUUUGAUUGGACUUACAAAAAGAAAUUAACUCGCUGAAACAUAAUUCAUGACAUAUACUUUUACCAUUUUGUUCAAAUAUAUUGCGUAUGUUAGUAAAGAAAUUGUAUUUUGGGGUCAUGCCUAUGUUAAAAAACAACACAUUGUGUAAUUGGCAACAAAUUCAAAUGUAACCAUUUCAAGAACCGUAUGAUAAUUCAUAAUCAGUGCAACAUACCUCAUUGUGGAAGGGCAGAAUCUGAGAUAACAUCCCUUGUUGAACCAUGUUCAGGAGGACACUCAUCAUUUGACGAUAGAGAGGAACUAGAACCUGAAGCUUUGGAAAUUCCAACUGGAGAAGUCUUUGCACUUUCGGCAGUCGAAAUGGAUUUAUUAUGAGGAAUGGCUGCCGUACAAGAUGCGGCAGUAGAUGAGAUUUUCCCAACAGGGCUGGAGGCCCUGAUAGGAAUUGAAGUAUUCUGAGGUCUAGAAUGGUUAUUUGAGCCAGGAGAUGCCGUUAACCACAUAAACCGUAGAGUAUGCCCUUUACAAGAUUUACCACCAAUAAAUGCUUUCUCAGCUGAUUGCCGUGUUGUGUAAGUCACACAUGCUGAACAACUCAGAGAUGGUUUUAAGGUUGCAUCAUGGUUAUGGGCUUCAGUAUGUUCCAGGACAACAGAUGAAAGCUCCCCAAAUGAUGAGAAAUGGUCUGCCAAGAUAGAUUCCUGUAAAUAAAAAUAGUUAAAGGCAUCAGAAAUAAACUGAACAGCCUGUAAUCAAACACAUCAACACAAAAUGCAGCAUGAGAAUAUCAACACAGUUUUUUUUGCCAAAAGGGAAAGGUGAGUUCUUUUAUGAAAAAAAAAGAGAACUUGUUGCCAUCAGUUGCACAGAUGGAUGACUGAUUUUCCUCGAAUCUUGCCACUAAAUAUAGAUACAAGACUGUUUCUUAAAUUAAUUUUGCGAUGGCAAGGAUGCCAAAAAUUCAGCUAAAGAGUGCAAAUAGUAUGCGCUAAGAUAUCCACAAAAGUUCAUGCAUAUGCUUAUCUUCGAUUUUGACUGAAAAAUGUUGAGCUCCACAGAUAAAAUUAUCUCAAAAUGGCACCAUAUCAUUUAUCGAUCUCAGAAUAGCACGUGGUUGGAUGCUGAACUUACAUUUGCAAUUUCAGACGGCAAAGGUGGAAGAAUUCUGAAUGAUGUGGUUCGAUUGUCAAGCUUAAACCUAUUCUGUGGAGGUACUAACAGAGUAGUCUGCUUCGUAACCACUGCUGAUUUCUGUGUGGAUAUCUCAGCAGAUUUUUGAGAGCAUGAAGCCAACUCUCCAGAGCUUUGCUUUUCCAAUGAUCCAGCAACUUCCUGUGAUCCUUCAGCCCUGGCGCUCAUGGACCUUGCAUCUUUUACUUUUGAUGCAUCAUUUGAAGCAACUUCUUUUCCACUGGCCUCGGCAUGCUUAACUGAAUUAGCUGAACCUUUCUGCAAUAUAGUUGUUCACUUAUUAGAAAUCAGCAGCAGAAACAGCUAAAAAGUGCAACUAAUAGGAAAAUUUUUAGUAUAAACACUCAGCCUGUUCCUACUAAAGAAAAGUCUAUUCACCUAACAACAAAAAAUCACAGUACACAAUAAAAUUUAAGCCACUUUAGGGAAAGAAAAGUAAGUACUUGUUUUGCAAGUUUCUCUAACUGGCGGCGGAACUCAUCACGCUUCUGAGCUAAGAUCUCCUGUUUUUUGCGAAGUUCUUCCAGUAGUUCUAGACUUUCAUGCCUUUUUGGAGCAUUGGGUAUUGGUUUUAUACUGCUUGUCGAUAGCGUUUUAGAACCUGUACCAGAACUCAAUGGUUCAGCAGAAGAUCCAGAACUGGGCCUUGGAGCUAAUUGAACAUUUUCCUUGACUCUGUUGGGAUAAGAUGGUUGAGGGGCAGAAUUGGCCAGCAUAGUAGACGAUUGGGAAGACUUUGCAGGGAUUCUACCCUCUCCCUCAUCAGGAAUCCUAUCUCUGUUGGCCCACCAUAGCCUUAUAAAGCGGUUGCCCAUAACAGCAUCCGGAGCUUUCAGGGCAGCUUCUGCUUCUUCUCUUUUUGAGAACUGGACAAAAGCUUUUUCACUGUUAGAUGGGAUAUAAAUAUCUAUUACUUGACCAAACUUCUGAAAAUGCGAGAGAAGGGCCUCCCAUCUGUUGUUUUCUUGGGGAAUUCCAUGUACAUAAAGUGUACGGGAUGCUUUGUGAGCAGCUCGAUUACUUUGCCGGCCCACGUCUCCAUAUAUUCUCGAAUUGGACUGACCAUUAGUAUCCUUAGCAGCAGCAGACUUUGAUUGGGUCGUGCUGGGAGCCAUCUCAUCAUAAUCACUUUUUUGGUUUCCGGUGGUACUUGUUGAUGUAAUUUUAGCUGUGUUACUAGUCCCUGAUUUUCUCUUUGAUGCUAUCCGCCCCCAAACAGAAGACUUCAAACCCUGCGAACCAUCAGUAGCAAAAACCUGGUUUGAAUGCUCCUGCCCCAUUUCAUAGCCUGAGGAUUCAGGAUUCCACAUUCCAGCAUCAGUAUGUACAAAACCAGCACAUGAAGCUUCUGGGUGUUCAUUGUUCCAUAGAGGCUGAUCAGGAUCAUAUACAUCAGCAUCAGCAACAGCUGAAGUGGUGCUUCCAUUUAGCUUUACUGCGUCGCUUGCAACACCAGAUUUGACCUCUUUUGCAGGAACACUUUUACUGACCGAACCAGUACCUCCCUCAUUUUGGAUUCCCAGUCCUUGAGUAUUUGGAACAGAUACUGGAAGAUUGAAUUGCGAGAGACUCUGCAAAGUGAUAAAGAGAUUAUAUCAAAUUCAAUGUCUUUACCGCAGGACAAAAGAUUAUCUAGUAGUACUUGACCAGAGGAACUUUGCCACCCAUAACAGUUUAAUCUUUUAUAUUAAAAAAACAACUCAAGCAAAAUAACAACCAGAAGGUAAAAUGCUACAGCGAAGAAAAAGGUCCAAGGCAUGCCAAAGUUAAUUGUGGUAUGAUAUAAAAUUCAACAGGAUUUCUCAGUUCGGAUUUUGGAUAGGGGUAUUGUUAGUAUGAUCACAAGAUUCACAGCUCAGAUUAGUGAUAACUGAUAUAACAUAGUUCAGGGUGUGCCUUUCAAGGCUACAGUUAUGUUGGCACAACAUAGCCAUGGCACUGUGACUCAAAAUAUGUAUACAUACAUACAUACAUACAUACAUACAUACAUACAUACAUACAUACAUACAUACAUACAUACAUACAUACAUACAUAUAUAUAUAUAUACAGGAAUUAAUCUGGAUCCAUUAAAUAUGUAAAUCUCACAAGAAUAUCCCUACGAAGUUAUGAUGGAACACAUCAGAUAAGCAAAAGAAUACAGGAUAGUAUGCAGAUGAUUAUGAAGAGUGUGAAAUAGAUAUACCUGCAUAUCAUCAACAACAAUUCUAUUAACACCAUGCUCCAUGGGGCACAUAUCCCCUCUCAGGCAAAAUCCACGUUCCUCAAAGUCUCUACAGCGUUGACGAGGCAGGCCAAGAUCAAUCAAAGGAGAUACUGCAGGCUGAAUAGGACCUUGCAUCCCAAGUGGGUGGAUUGGAUCCAAAAUUCCAUGAGGCAUUCCAGGCAUAAAUCCAUAUGGACCACUUGGCAAUGCAGCGCCCAUAAAUAAGCUAGGGUGUGCAGGUGGUCCUUGUGGAGCCAUCUGGGAUGCAAAAUCCAUCAUAUCAAGGGUGUUAAAUCUUGGGUCAUGCUGAGUCCAGGGUGCACCAUUCCGUCCUCUUCCUCGUGGAGGGCGAGCAGCAACAGAAGCUGAUGAAUCGGCUCGGAAGGAUUGGUUCACUCUAGGCGCUCGACUGUGAGCUCCUGCUCCGGGACGCCUCUUGAAUUUUGGCAUAAAAUCCUUCUGUGAUUCGCCUUGAGAACCAGCUCCGCCAAACGGUUGCCCAUUACCAGAAACCCUGCUCCUUUUUUUGAUAGAGAUCCCUGGAUGUUGCUCCUCUGUAUUAUCAUCAGAUUGUGGUCUAGCCUCCCGUCUUCGGUGCUUGUGGUUGCGGUCAUCAUCAUCGUCGUCACUGAUUUCAAAGUCUUCAGUAUCUGUAGCAGCUUCAGAAUUUGUUGAAUUAUUUUCUUCCUUCGGUGAAGGAACUUCUAUCCUGUCAGCAUCCAAUGCUGGAGAUGAUGACUCUUCGAUCAUCUUCAAGGUUACCAAGCUAGCAGCAAACUUUGCAUCUAUAGUGUCUUCAUUGUCUUGAUCAUAUUCAACUCCAAGAAGCGAUUCAGUCCUAUCUCAGUAUAUCACUACAUGAGGCAGAACACAGAAACAACAAUGAGUAAUACAACACGAAGCUGAUGAUAUGAUCAUGGUAACAACAAACUGGAUAGGCCCAGAACAACAGCAAAGUGGGAAGGCCAUAUGUAACUCUUUUCCUGUUAAAACAGGAACUGCACUGAUGGCAGUUUAACUCAGCUUUUCAGACCACACUUUUAUUAGCGGGAUUAUGCGAACAGAAAACACAGUCUACACUUAGGGGUCAAGGUGAAACAUACAUAUCGAGCCUAUUACUCAAUUGUCAUUGUUAAUAGAUACUCUCAUACCACCUCCAGCAACCAAAAGAAAAGUAACGGCGGGGUGGAUGCUGUUAGCUUUCCUAAUUUUGACCAACACCAUGCAUGAUACAUGCAAAUUGUUGGCACAAUGAAAAUGGUAAGUAGGUUUCGACCAAGACAGCAGCAGCAAAAGUAGAUUUAUUUGUUCCAGAUACAGCUGCGUUCUUAUUAGCUGGUACAAAAGUACAUUAAUUUGUUAACAGCAUCUAAUUCUGACUGAUUAGUUAAGCAAUGGCGAAUUUUAAAGUGCUAUCACUACAAGGGAAAGCAACAUGGUGACCUCAUAUAAAAUUUGUGUCCACACAGUGACAUUUCUAUGCAUCUUUGAAACAAAGGACAAGACUAAUACGACUGGAAGCAAUUCACUGAUACCCAUGCUGCCUUAAACAACGAAAAUUUUGUCCUGCUCCCAGAAACAAGGUUAACGCACAAUAUGAUAACUGAAGCAGUAGAACCUAGUACCUAGCUAAAUGCUUGGCACCACUGUAAAUGGGUGAGCCUAAUCUACACUCCCUUCCAAAAUUCUAUCUAGACUAAGCUUCCUCAUCCCUUCCCUCUUCCAAUCCUACCUCACUACCAGCCUUCUGCUAGUGAUCUGCGACAUUGCACGAAAAUCAAACGACCCAAUGACAGGGGACCCAACUGACCAUGAAAACACCGUCAAAGAUUAGUGGCAUUUACAUGCGUGUAUCGGCAUGGAAAGCUACUUUCCCUAAUCAGUGGCUCUAAUAUGAAGCAAUAGAACCCCAUUGAAACAUAAAAACAAAAGCAUCCUGAUUUUAAAAGUCAAAAUUAGCUAGACAUUCACCUUCCUGCACACAGUAUUCCUGGGAGCUCUCAUGCAGUACCAAUUCCAAAAUCUCAAUUCAAUCCAAUCUCAUAUUCUCAUGUUGAUCAGAACAAACAAUAUGCAUAUAAGCUGGCAGCCAUCAUGCGUGGAGUGGUAUUUGUUUGGACUACAAAGCAGUUGCAUGCCAGAGAAACACAAAAACAUAGGGUGAAACAGAGCGCAACAAGUGUGUCCACAAAAUAGUGACAAGCAAAUGUCAGAAAGACUAAAGGACAAUGUAAAAAAUAUGGCACACUAAAAUCAAGCAUCUACCAAUCUGCCUGCUCAGCAGCUCUCGAUCAUUGGAAACAAUAAAAUUAUUUGCAAUCCUAUACUCCUACCAGAGAAAUAAUCUUCACUAUUGACCUCAAAAGUCCACUCCACUCGAAUUUCGCCAAUCAGGCCGCUUGACGGCACCGAAAUGGAGCUCUCCUCGAUCAAGGAACGAUUUUGUGAUACCCACACCCCGUGCGCCCAACGCCCGGACUGCAAUCCGGGCCUCCCACAGCCAAAAAAACCUAAACCAGGAACAAACCGCGAGCCAGCGCCGUGACAGUCGCAUCAGUACACCACGCAAGGCAGCCGGCCGCCUCCCAUCCUGUCCCUGGCUCCUCCGACUCGCCGAUUCAGCAGCAAACCCCAGCGCCGCGCGGGAGGCCGACCGGCCGGCCCGCGGGCAACUGGGUAAGGGAACCGCGGGGCGCAACGGAAUCGGGGGCUUACCAGUUGAAUCGGGAUCGCUGGCCGGGGAAGAGCGGGCGACGGUAGCGAGGCGGGGGGAGGAGGGCGAGCUCGAGGGGAGUCGCCGUCGGGGAGGUGAGGGGAUGAGAUGGUUAAAUGGCGAGGGGCACUUCGGUAAUUCUGUUCUGUCCUGGGCCUGCCGUGUUGUGAAGCUAGGCUAGGGUUCUUGCUUGCUCGUUUUCCUGUCCUCUCUUCUCAGACUCGGCCUGUACUAUGCUGGUCUGCCUGCUGUUGCAUCGACGCCAGCUGAAUUUCAGCUUCAAUUUUUGAUCCACGAGGCUUAAUCCAUUGGCCCAGAAUUAAUCAUUGGGAAGGUGUAACCGGGCAGGUUCUUGUUUGGCACAUGUUGUAUAUUAAUUAAAGGAUAAAAUAGUGCCUCCUUUUAAAUUCUUUCAAAAGAUAGACUUUGAAUUCCUAAAUUGUACUACCUCCGUUCACGAAUAAUUGAUGCUCCCGACCAGAAUUUGCACUCGUAACAGGUGGAAGCUUUUGUUCGGACGUCAUUUAAAAAAAAACGGAGGUAGUAAACUACAUGUAUGUAUGGUUUGUAGCUGACCUGCAUCGUCAACAUUUAUUUCAAUUCUUAGCUUGUUUGAAUUUAAAUAAAAACGGAUGUAGUAAGUACAUGUAUGUAUGGUUUGCGUGAAGAGCACCGACAAAAGUGAGGAAGCCAUUGUCAAAAAUUGGACAAAAGAAAAUGUGUAUGAGUAAUAUACAGUUCCCAAAAUUUUGAGAAAACUACUUACUAUCGUCCAGAUCAAUAUUUUUGCUGCACAUAUGCACAUAGAUUGGUACAAAAUAGAAUUUGGUGCACGGUUUGCAGGGAUUGAAUGAAUUUUGAGCUUAAAAUUUCAUUUGCAUGUCAAUUUUGUCCCAGAACUAGUACUUCUUUAUUUUUUCUCAAAAAUUAUUUAAACUAGUUUUAUUUACAAAGCUAAAACUUUGUGCAUGUGUGCACCAAAUGCUGUAGAUCUCUUGUGACUAAUCAUUAUCUUGAUUAAACGAAACAUGUCUUUAAAAGAAAGUUUUAAUAGAAACUAGAUCAUAUUUUUUAAGGAAAAAGUUCAAAAAACUGGUUCACGAUGCGCCUCUAGGAUUAGAACACAUACUCAACGAUUCGGCCGUGAUUGGAAUUUUAGGCCUGCCAGGCCCAGCCUAUUGGACCUUCUUUUGGGCCAGCACCAAAUCAACUAGCAGCAAUCACACGGUGACACGUUUUAUCGUAGGUUUUACAUCAUAAUUUGAAAAAAUAGGAGUUUUUGUUAUGAAAAGACUUGCGAAACAAGAUCAUUUGGUCACAAGAAAACUAGGAUCAAACAUCCAGUUUCAAAUCUCAAAAAUGUAUGUUAAACGCAUUAUUGCAAAUUGCAAAUAUAUUAAUCUCCACUUCACUAGCAAAAAGUGUGCAAUAAUCAUAAAAAUAUAAUAUUUUAAAAAUCCUUUUAGCUCCACAUCUCAUAAAUAGUAAGUGCUUUUGUUAGUAGGUGUCCCCAACUCGGACCAUGUGGUUUUCAAUAAAGCAGGGCAGAUACAUUUGAUCCAUAAUUAGUUUUCCCCUGAGACACUGACCUAUUUGUGAUUGCCUCCUUUGUUUGAGACCUUGUCUCUGACUCCUUAUUGUUUGCCAUAUUUAUUUUGCAACUCAAAAUUGAAUUGUUGUGCUGAGAAUGAAUGGGCUAUUCUUCCAUCUUGUCAACAGAACCCAGCAAGUAGUCAAUAUCGGGAGUGAUAACAGCACGCUUAUUGAUCUCCCCACGGCGCAGCAAUGCUUUUCUCUAGUGUCCAUUGCUGCAACUUCCUAGACAAACUUGCAAUUCGAGCCAGAAGAAACCUGCACAAUUUGUUCAUUAUGACUUCUUGAGUACUGCAUGGAAAACCUAGAUAGAAAACACAACUACUUUGAAAGGAUCGUGUGAUGCUUAAAGGGGGUGAAUAGGCUCGAUCUUUAAAAUUUGAAAAUUCUUCACAACAGGUGAAAGUUUUUGUUCGGACGUCAUUUAAACAUAAAACGAAGGUAGUAAGUACACGUAUGUAUGGUUUGUAGCUGACCUGCAUCGUCAACAUUUAUUUCAAUUCUUAGUUUGUUUGUCCAGAUGUCAUUUAAAUAAAAACGGAUGUAGUAAGUACAUGCAUGUAUGGUUUGCGUGAAAAGCACCGACAAAAGUGUGGAAGCCAUUGUCAAAAAUUGGACAAAAGAAAAUAUGUAUGAGUAAUAUAUAGUUCCUAAAAUUUUUAGAAAACUAUUUACUAUCAUCCAGAUCAAUAUUUUUGCUGCACAUAUGCACAGAACCACAUAGACCGGCACAAAAUAGUUUUGGUGCACGUUUGCAGGGAUUGAAUGAAUUUUGAGCUUAAAAUUUCACUUCCAUGUCAAUUUAGUUCCAGAACUAGUACUUCUUUAUUUUUUGUUCUCAAAAUUAUUUAAACUAGUUUCAUUUACAAAGCUAAAAAUUUGUGCAUGUGUGCACCAAAUGAUGUAGAUCUCUUGUGACUAAUCAUUAUCUUGAUUAAACGAAACAUGGCUUUAAAACAAAGUUUUAAUAGAAACGGGGUCAUAUUUUUUUAAAGAAAAAGUUCAAAAAACUGGUUCAAGAUGCGCCUCUAGGAUUAGAAUACAUACUCAACGAUUCGGCCGUGAUUGCAAUUUUAGGCCUGCCAGGCCCAGCCUAUUGGGCCUUCUUUUGGGUCAGCACCAAAUCAACUAGCAGCAAUCACACGGUGACACGUUUUAUCGUAGGUUUUACACCAUAAUUUGAAAAAACAAGAGUUUUUGUUAUGAAAAGACUUGCAAAACAAGAUCAUUUGGUCACAAGAAAACUGGGAUCAAACAUCGAGUUUCAAAUCUCAAAAAUGUAACGUGAAACGCAUUAUUGCAAAAUGCAAAUAUAUUAAUCUUCACUUCACUAGCAAAAAGUGUGCAAUAAUCAUAAUAAUAUAAUAUUUAAAAAAUCCUUUUAGCUCCACAUCUCAUAGAUAGUAAGCGCUUUUGUUAGUAGGUGUCCCCAACUCGGACCAUGUGGUUUUCAAUAAAGCAGGGCAGAUAUAUUUGAUCCAUAAUUAGUUUUUCCCCUUAGACACUGACCUAUUUGUGAUUGCCUCCUUUAUUUGAGACCGUGUCUCUGACUCCUUAUUGUUUGCCAUAUUUAUUUUGCAACUCAAAAUUGUUGUGCUGAGACCCCCUCGAGUUUCUGGAAGAGUAAACUCCAUAUUGUUCUAUGUAGAAACAAAACUAAAUAGUCCCUUGCAAUGUGGCAUAUGGUCAUGAUGGCUUUUUACCCAAAAGAAAUGAAUGGGCUAUUCUUCCAUCUUGUCUACAGAACCAAGCAGGUAGUCAAUAUCGGGGGUGAUAACAGCGUGCUUAUUCAUCUCCCCCACCGCGCAGCAAUGCUUUUCUCUGGUGUCCAUUGCUGCAACUUCCUGGACAAACUUGCAAUUUGAGCCAGAAGAAACCUGCACAAUUUGUUCAUUGUAACUUCUUGAGUACUGCAUGAAAAAUCUAGACAGAAAACAGAACUACUUCCAGUUUUGAAACUCACAUCAAAUAGCGUGUCUCCGACUUUCAUCUUCACUUUACCACUCUUAUAUACAAGUAUCUUCCCAAUAUAACCCCCAGGCAGAUCCUUGAGUUUCGAGCCACAAUGUGAUGAUAGCCUCUGUAACAUUCGUAAAAGUCACCAACUUAAAUCACCCGCUAAAAUUUGUUUUCAAAAUCUUUUUACCGUUGAGCUCCCGAAAAUCUAAUUUUCCCGGCGAUUUUGCCGUCUCGGCACCCAAAGCCGACAACCAUCCUUUUUAUCCUCUCCGCAAAUUUCACCACGUGCUGGUCGACAAACCGCCGUGCGUGCUCCGACCGUUCUCCGUAAUCAGCGCCGACUCUCCCUUUCUUUUUCUCUUUUAUUUUUUUCCUUCUCUUUCUUCCUUUCUUCUUCUUCCUUCUUCCUUCUUCUUUCUUCCUCCUCCCUCUUCCUGGCUGGCCGCACGCCUACCUCCCCUGGCCCCCCCAGCGCCUUCUCCUUCUCUAGCGCCCGGCCACCCCGGCCCCUCCUGCCGUGCGCACGACCGAGCCCCCCUCCCCAGCACACACUCGGCCCUGCCGCUCUGGCACACAGAGCGCCGGUGCCGAGCCCCGCCGCUCACCUCCCGGCGUCCCCUACCACCGGCGCCGCACCCCGACGCCGCGCCUGCUUGGUCCCCACCACGCCAGGCACCGCCGCCGGCCCCUACCGCCACCUGCCGCACCACUCGCCGGCCCUGGUCCCCACGACGCCGUCGUUGUUUCCUCCGCCCACCGGUCAUAAAAGGGCCUCAACGCCCGGCCUCCACAUCCCCACCUCCCUUGCCACCAAGCCCUACCUCCCCCUACGCGACACGGUCGCCAGGAGCGCCGUCCCCUCUCCCAUGCGCCGCCGCCUCCCUAUCCACCGACGGCCGCCCCCCUUCCAUCACCGAAUCUCCAAGGUAAGGGGCAAAACGGGUUCCCCUCACCUUCCUCCACCUUCCCCCGCCGUCCAAUCUCACCGCCGGCAAGCCAUGGCCAGCCGGCAGCCGCUGGACCCACCCCUCCCCCAUCUCUCUAUCUCGGUACAGGGGAAGAAGAAGGGGAAAAACACCCCCCAAUUUCGAUCUAACCCUCUGCUUUCUCCUAUUCGCGAAAUAACCCUCCCACCUCUCUCAAAGUCUGUUUCACAGAUCAGCCCUUCCACCUCCUAAAAGUAUUUACAAAUAGAUCCCUGGUUUCUCGUAGUUCAGUCCUAAACCUUAUUUUAAGCCCCUAACACACAGUUAUCUCGUCAUUUCAUGCGCCGAACUUCCUCCGAUUAAUCCCAAAUUCGACCACGGCAUCCUGCAAUAUACCUCCACCAAGUCAUAUCCAAAUCUCAUGAAAAAUACUCAUUCCUUCUAUUUUCCGUACGCGUCCUCUGUUCGAAGCUCAACGGGUAAAACUUUAAUUUUCUUUUAUUUAUUGUGUGCCCGAUUGUGUGUAUCGUAGAUCGCGGUGUACCCGAGGAGGAGCACAAGGAGGAGUUUGACCACGAGCCCGAGCCCGAGGACCAGCACCGUGAGUAAGAACUCCCAGCCAACUACGAGGACGGUAAGUUCAAUCUCACCCUUUGAUGCAUAUUUAUUCCUAGUUUUUCAAACACAACCUAUUGGCCCGUUUUAUAAAAUUGCAUAUUGUUUUACUGCUGAAACACGGUUGGAUAGCCACCCCUUGAUUGGUAUGAAUAUUCCUUGUUUGUCCUAUAAUUAUCUCUAAAUAUGAUUUGCUCUGUUUGGAUGAUAAUUACUGCUAGAAUGCUUAGGACCUUGUUACUCAAUUCAAUCAUAACUACAAUGGUUUAUUUAAUGGAUAAAUGUGUGAGUGUUUUCAAAUGAGAAAAAUGGGUUUUUGGAAAUAAAGGAAAGAAAUGCUUAGAUGAGAUGGAUGGGUGUUUCUUGUGUGAAAUGCCAAUAAGUUGGGUUCGUACCUUUAUGGUUGAGCAAGGUUGGGAGAUAUCCAUCUUGUCACAGUUAAGGACUGAGUUGAUGUGCCAUCUUGCCUAACCCACUAUCGUGCAACCACUCGACCGUUGUGUGGGCGGCGGCUUAGCAUAAAUCCCACUAGCCGGCCUGUUAGCCAUCAGGAGAGCUGGUGAGCAAUGGGAGACUAUGAAGAAGAACUAAAAACUUUGUGAACUUAGAUCCCGAUUAAGAUCUCGUUGGAAGGUCGUUAACCCCUUGGGUGCUUCCGUGUUGGCUAGUCAGUCUUAGCUAUGGUGGGUAAUGGCUUUGAUACGAUCUGCACCGACACUAAGGUGAUCGUGCUGCGGUACCCUACUUGUGGGUAAAGUGUACAACCUCUGCAGAGUUAAAACCUAUCCGGGUAGCCGUGUCCACGGCAUUGGACGAGUUACGGCUUGGACACAUAAUGAGUGUUUGGGUGAUGUAUGGUUUCCAGGGUGUGAGUGGAAUUUUGGAAGGUGUCCGGUAGUUGUGCUGUGAGCUACUGUGGACGGGGAGUCCAGUAGCAUUAAAAAUUGGAUCCUUUGUGUAGGAUCAACCCCUCUUAUUGAUUCUGUUACCAAAGAAAAUGUUUUGUGAAAACCCUUUCGAAAAUGAACCCCUGCAUGUGUUGAAAAACCUAGCUUUAUAGCAAAUAAACCUUAGCCUUAUCCUUGUAUAUCAUGUGCAUAUUCUUGAUUGUAUCCCCCUCCGUGGAUGGGGUUGGACUUGUUGAGUACUUUUGUACUCACCCAUGUUUUGUUGCUUCAGAGGAAGACCUAGACUUCGUCGCCGAGGAUUUCGAGUAGAAGGUCGCUUCCGCACCCAACGCUGCCUGUGGUGUUGGCCUUUGCAGAAUGCUUCCGCUGUCGUGUAGUCUCGAGUGCUGUCUCUUGACAGUAGCUUGGCUCACUGCUGUUGUUUAUUUACUUAUCAUUUUGGCGUGGCUUUCGCGCCCGCUCCCUCGGAAGUUGUAUGGUUUAUGAACCAUCUGUUGAAUAAAUGUGUUAUCAGCCUCCUGGGACUGAUAUUUGUAUCACAUUUAGUCUCCGCUAAUGUGGGGAUGCUUCAGCCUCAUGCCCUAACGUCUCUCCUCGGAAGCUUUAUUAGGCUCAACAAUUGAUUGUGGCUGCACUGGUAAAGGAAGGGAAGACGGCAACUGGAUGAAGAGCAAUUGUGAUUCAUCUGAUCGAUCCUGUCAACACAGGACAUGUGUAAGGGCAGCAAUGGCCACGGCCUGUAAAACUAUAUUAGUUUUAAGCAGUUCAAUGUUGAUUCUUAGUGUACACAAUUGAGCUUGCAAAGUGAUUUUGCUUUAAUAAUUAAUACAUAUAAUAAAAAAACGGUGUUGGAAUCUGCGACGUACCAUUAAUCCAAGCUCUUCCGCUGCGGUUAUAGCAUCUUGAGCUCUGCUUGCAGAAGAUUCUCCAAAUUCUUCCUCAUCAAGAAUUUCUGCAUUAGGAAUGUAGGAAGGGUGUAAAGGUUCAGUUGAAGAAAAAUUCUUGCAAUUUCACUACAAAGACAACAGCAUACCAGGAUUUCCAGAGUAGGGCCUCCUUAAUGGGAGAGUAACAGGAUAAUCAGUAUGGGUAUAGUCUUGUAAUAAAAAAGGAAAUCAAUGGAUAAGGUUAGGAAGCGAUCUGAAUUAGUAAUCUGAUCUUUACUCACCCAUGGCUCUGCAUAUUCUUUUGUUAACUUCUCUUCAUCUUCAUAUGAAAUGGAAACAAAGAUAGUUAUUAAGGUCCAAAUACAGCAAUCUGUAUGUGCAAACAAGCAUUACAUAUAUUCUAUGUUCUUUUAAAAGAGAAAACCAAAAUUUGCAACCCAGCCAGCAGACUAAUCCAAUUUUUCAGAAUUGCGACGCUUAGUGAACGGUUUAGAGUCAUAAGCAAUGAAGAUAAAUAUCUUCCACCAAUACCUUUAGAAUGUUUUGGCAUAGAAAAUGAUCUUGCGUAAGAAGAAUUUCCUUGUCCAAAUGCAACUUGUGUCCGGCUGCUAUGCAAACAGAGCAAUACAUCGUUAGCUAGAUGUGCAUCAGAAAUAAAAUAAAUAAUCCCCACCAAUAUUAAAAAAAUUGUAUAUUUAUAAACACCAACGAGAUACUAGUUUGAUAAUUAUAACAAUUGGAUCUAUCAAUUUAGAAAGAAACUAAUGAUUUUUUUCUGAAUAAACCUUCUCAGUAACAAAUCCUUGGUUACCUUGUACUACAUGCACUAAAUUUUAGUACACUAAUUCAAGACUUGGAAAGAAAGAGUUCGGUGCAUGCACAACACAAUGUAGUAAAAUUUAAGACAAUCCAACGUGAUGCAACAUAUAUCAAUAACCAUUCACAGGAGUAGCUGCGAGCACAUCAGCUUGCAGGGAUAACACUUCUUUUAGAGGUAGGAGUAACAAAUUUACUAGGUGGUGACGAGGUUUAGACUAUAAAGCACGGAAUGAACAUAAAUAAGCAUUCUUACGCCUAUCCUCAGUUUUAACUCUUCUAGAAAAGGGUUCUGUAAUCUGCAAAAUGAAACAAAUUAUUGUAUACAUCAACCAAGCAUCAAGUGAAAAGAUCGCAGAUACAACAAAUGAAGGACCAAAUAUAAUGAUUAGUACAUGUGAUGCCUUAAGUUUCAUCAGAAAUUCCUUAUCGAUGGUUUCAUCCCUGCUAUCCUCAACUGGUUUCCUGUCAAGUUAGAGUAAAUCAAAUUACACAUCACUGAAAUUGCUAAUCUAGCAAAUUUUAAAUGGAAGCUAUCCAAGUUUUAGAAAAGUAACACGGACCAAUCACCUACUUUUUCGGAACAAUUUUGGCAGCUUUCUUCACAGGUACUUUGCGUGCAAAUUAUAGUCCUCCCCUACAUCAAGAAACAACAAUGGUAAGCAAUAAACUGGAAGAAGCUGGCAUUGUGAACAGCCAAGGAAAAGAGAUACUAACCUUUUGAGGAGCACCCAUUUCCUUCUUGACUUUACUCUUGCCGUCCAUAAGAAAAUCAGAAAACCUACAAGAGUGAAGCUGCGAGCUGAUGUGUUACGCUUACAACUUUUCAACAUUGAAGUUGACUACAAUUUGCACAGCAAGUAGAAACUUGAAAUUGCUUCUCAACUUCGAUUGAAGUAUUCUAAACCACAACACACAGUGAAAAAUAUAAUGCCCAUACUCUCAAUCCAUUGACCAAGAUAAACAUACAAUUGUUAGCGGCAGAAAGCUUGCUUCCCUUGAUAAAAACUUCAAAAGAAAAGGGCGUUAGAGGAAGAGAACGAAGCAAAUACUCCUGAUUCUAGCGGCGCCAGAGCCCGAAGGGGCGAUUAGUGCUGAAAUGCCUGGGGCACGAUCAAGAACCCUGCUACCUCCCUUCCCCAUCCGGAUUGAUCUCUUUUCUAAUUCAUGAGCACAGGUGACCUCAAAAAGCAUUUGCUUAUGAACUUAUUAUCAAUUACCCCGCAGUUUCAGUAUCCACGUGAUGAGGAUAGGACAGGAGGGAGUAAAGCAUUCUAGCAGCAAGCAAUCAGUCUGGUGACACAACCACCAAAAUAAAGACACAAGAAUAACUUAAAAGAAGGAUUAAUCCAAGGAAGAACAGGCCUCUGGGUGCCCCGUGCCGCCGGAGAGAAUUACCUGAUGGAAAGGGGCGUGGAGAGAAGAUGGCGAUGCAGCAGCGGCGGCGUUGGCCUGGCCCUGCUUGGCACCACUAUAAAUGGGUGAGCCUAAUCUACACUUCCUUCCAAAAUUCUAUCUAGACUAAGCUUCCUCAUCCCUUCCCUCUUCCAAUCCUACCUCACUACCAGCCUUCUGCUAGUGAUCUGCGACAUUGCACAAAAAUCAAACGACCCAAUGACAGGGGACCCAACUGACCAUGAAAACACCGUCAAAGAUUAGUGGCAUUUACAUGCGUGUAUCGGCAUGGAAAGCUACUUUCCCUAAUCAGUGGCUCUAAUAUGAAGCAAUAGAACCCCAUUGAAACAUAAAAACAAAAGCAUCCUGAUUUUAAAAGUCAAAAUUAGCUAGACAUUCACCUUCCUGCACACAGUAUUCCUGGGAGCUCUCAUGCAGUACCAAUUCCAAAAUCUCAAUUCAAUCCAAUCUCAUAUUCUCAUGUUGAUCGGAACAAACAAUUUGCAUAUAAGCUGGCAGCCAUCAUGCGUGGAGUGGUAUUUGUUUGGACUACAAAGCAGUUGCAUGCCAGAGAAACACAAAAACAUAGAGUGAAACAGAGCGCAACAAGUGUGUCCACAAAAUAGUGACAAGCAAAUGUCAGAAAGACUAAAGGACAACGUAAAAAAUAUGGCACGCUAAAAUCAAGCAUCUACCAAUCUGCCUGCUCAGCAGCUCUCGAUCAUUGGAAACAAUAAAAUUAUUUGCAAUCCUAUACUCCUCUCAGAGAAAUAAUCUUCACUAUUGACCACAAAAGUCCACUUCGCCAAUCAGGCCGCUUGACGGCACCAAAAUGGAGCUCUCCUCGAGUCAAGGAAUGAUUUUGUGAAAAGAUUGCAAAUACAACAAAUGAAGGACCAAAUAUAAUGAUUAGUACCUGUGAUGCCUUAAGUUUCAUAUCAACAAUUCCUUAUCGACGGUUUCAUCCUUGCUAUCCUCAACGGGUUCCCUGUCAAGUUAAAGUAAAUUAAAUUACACAUCACUGAAAUUGUUAAUCUAGCAAAUUUUAAAUCGAAGCUAUCCAAGUUUUAGAAAAGUAACACGGACCAACCACCUACUUUUUUGGAACAAUUUUGGCAGCUUUCUUCACAGGUACUUUGGGUGCAAAUUUUAGUCCUCCCUUACAUCAAGAAACAACAAUGGUAAGCAAUAAACUAGAAGAAGCUGGCAUUGUGAACAGCCUAGGAAAAGAGAUACUAACCUUUCGAGGAGCACCCAUUUCCUUCUUGACUUUACUCUUGUCGUCCAUAACAAAAUCAGAAAACCUACAAGAGUGAAGCUGCGAGCUGAUGUGUUACGCUUACAACUUUUCAACAUUGAAGUUGACUACAAUUUGCACAGCAAGUAGAAACUCGAAAUUGCUUCUCAACUUCGAUUGAAGUAUUCUAAACCAUGACACAGUGAAAAACAUUAAUGCCCAUACUCCCAAUCCAUUGACCAAGAUAAAUAGAAAAUUGUUAGUGGCAGAAAACUUGCUUCCCUUGAUCAAAACUUCAAAAGAAAAGGGCGUCAGAGGAAGAGGACGAAGCAAAUACUCCCGAUUCUAGCAGCGUCCAGAGCCUAAAGGGGUGCUUAGUGCUGAAACGCCUGGGGCACGAUCAAGAACCCUACUACCUCCCUUCCCCAUCCGGAUUGAUCUCUUUUCUAAUUCAUGAGCAUAGGUGACCUCAAAAACCAUUUGCUUAUGACCUUAUUAUCAGUUACCCCACGGUUUCAGUAUCCACAAGAUUAGGAUAGGACAGGAGGGAGUAAAGCAUUCCAGCGGCAAGCAAUCAGUCCGGUGACAUAACCACCAAAACAAAGACACAAGACUGACUUGAAAGAAGGAUUGAUCCAAGGAAGAACAGGCAUCUGGGUGCCCCGUGCCGCCGGAGAGAAUUACCUGAUGGAAAGGGGCGUGGAGAGAAGACGGCGAUGCGGCGGCGACGGCGUUGGCCUGGCCCUGCUUAUCGCGGGGGUGGCAGGCUAAGGGAAAGGCAAAGGUUCCCGUCCUGAGAGUUUUGUCUCGAUUAUUUUUCUUUCCCUGUCUGUGUGUAAGUGUGUUAGCACUGCUUUCUUUUAUAAACCCUUACAAAACCUCCUUGCGCAAAUAGUUGCGGGCUAAAUGAUUUCUCGGACCACUCAUGUGCACCAGGUCGGCGGGUUGAGGAAGAAAGAAGUUGACGGUUGCAGCGAGCUGGGUUGGAUUGAGAGAAGACAGCAGACCAACCGAAGCCCCAAAGCCCACCUUACAUUCAGCAUUGUAACUAUUUUUUAAAAAGAUCUAAAAAAACUCAAAAAAACUAUUUUUAAGCGUUCAUUUAGCAUUACUUUUUGUGAAAAUACUAGUAUAAGUCCCUGUUUGGUUCCUUUAGUCCCUACCCUGUUUGGAUCCAGGGACUAAAGUCCAUUAAUGCAGAUAAACAAAGACGAAAAUACCCCUAAUCAAAGCACAAAACUAAGGAGACCGAGGAGGAGCGAGCAGGCAAACGACGGAACCGAGCCCACGCCACCGCACGCACGCGCAGAGCGCAGGCGCAUCCCACCACCACCACCUCCUCGCCCGAUCUGCCCGCCCGGUCGCUCACCGCACCCUGAUGUCGGCCGCGAGGAUGUUUUCCAGAAGUUGCUCAUUCAUUCGUGUAUCAAAACCAGAUUCCCUUUAUAUUACAAUUUGCCAGUUGUUGCUUUCUUUGGAUCUCAGCAUGGUAAGUCUGCUGGAUUUUUAUCCUUUCAGAUAUUAGGAUGGAUGAACUCACGCAAGCUGUUGAUAAUCUGAAGAAAGAAUGGAACCAAGCGGUUUCACAGCUUGAGGAGAGCAUUGAUGUAAUCAGAUCAUGUGGAAAAACAGGGAAAGGGACAGAGGAAGCAAAUUCUCUUCCAAGAUUGAAUGGUUCUGCACAGGAUGCUCUGCAAUUGCUCAAGUCACUGCAGUUUCGUCUUGAUCUUCUAGCAUAGCAGCUUCCCACUUUUGAAGAAGUGCAGUCUGGCUAAGCAACCUUAGAGUCAUGGGAUGAACAAUACAAGAAGUAAGAUAGUCUUGGAAUCUUUCCUGUUGUUCUCCUUUUUAACCUGCUUCGAUUUCUCACAAUUUUGAUUGUGUUGGCAGGCUGUGUGCUAGCCUGAGGAAUGCUAACUUACAAGCGAAAGAGAACAUCAGGAAAGCUGCUCAAGAGGAGGUGUGUGAUUUUGCCUCAAUUUCAUGAUAUUAAUCUGAUUGAUUUGCUGUCUGAGAACUACAUACUUCUUAGAGCAUCACCAAUGCAAGGGAAUUACAAGUGAAAUGUUACGCCGCAUAAUAAAGAAAUUAUUUUAUGAACCUAUUCUUUAUAUGCAAGUAUAUCUUCUCGUAGGCGUUUAUGGACUCACAUAAGUUCAGAAGCACCAUUGAAUAGUUGCUUUAGUUUUUGCAACUUCUUUUGCAAAAUUGGCAAGAAAACUACCUGUAGGCGCCAUGCACCUUUUUAGAGCAUUGUAGGUGCCCUUAUAACUUAAGGCUAUCAGUUUCUAAUUGUCUUUUCUCUAGAAGGAGCUUCUUCUCGGGGGUGGAGAAGAGUCUACCAUCCGCAGGCGUAAUCUCCAGUAAGUUGAUUUUUAUGAGGUCAUCUUUCCUUUAAGCCAAUAUAUGGGAUAUUUAAGGAAUUUUCAUAAUUUAGUCAGUUACAUGGGUAUCCCUUCCAUCUGAUUUCAUCAAAUCUGGGUCACUUGAAAUUUUAAGAACCGGAUAAGGGCUAUGACUUUUGAAUUCUAGUUUGUUCUUAUUUCAAACUAAGAAUUAUGUGGAAUAAUUUGCUGUGUUAAUGCAUUGCACUAAUGAAUGAAACGCUCUUCUACAUUUGUAGUCCAAGUAACAUCCAGUUUUGUCGUAUAAUGUGAUUUGUGACCUGUUGAAUGGUGCAGGACAAAGACUGGGAUGACAUCUGCUGCUGAAAGUAUCACUGAGAGCCUCCGACGGUCUCGCCAGAUGAUGGUUCAGGUUAGCAUGUCCACGUUUUCAAUUGAUAGCUAUUAUGCUGAUGGCUUAUUGCUCAUUAAUUUGAAGCCAAUUAAUAUAAAUGUUUGCAGGAAGUGGAAAGAAGUGCAAGUACCUUGGCAACAUUUGGUAUGCAUUCUUAUUUAAGCCUUUAGUCUGUUUAGAAUAUCUUAUUUCACAAUUGUUAUCAUUCCAGAAUGAUUGAGUUUUGUUGGUUGGUUUUCUGAAUCUCCUGUACAAUGGCUUGGCCUUAUUGUAAUUUAUUCAUGUGAUGGGUCGGAGAAAAUAAAACUGCUUGGUGGUACACAUGUAGUGUAUUUAUGUUUUAGGUUUGUCAUGUUAUUCUUUGUUACUUUACUAUAGGAUGUUCUUCUGUUAUGGUUGAAAAAUUAUAGCGCGUUCAUGCACUUCAUGGUGUAUGAAUUAAAACAUUUUCCUUUUUGCCUACAUUUUUAGGAUCGUCAUUGUAAGAUUGCAACAUGCAAACCAAUUUAUUAAAUUAUGCAGAUGAAUCAACACGUGUUCUUCGGAAGGCUGAAGGUGAAUAUCAAGGACACCGCUCUUUGCUGUCGCGGACCGUGGUUUGCUCUCCACGAUGCAACGGCAAGAUGUUCCUGUUAGGUAGGUACCCUCUAGCGUAACUGGUCGUAUAGCCUGCAUUCUUGUUUUACGGUCAAGCCAUUUAACAGAAAGACAUAUCUUUAUAUAAUGUGUACACCUACUAGCAGCUCUAGUCACAUUUUGCACAAUGAAUAUCUACAAAUUGAAACACAUCCAUGGCUCCUUUUGUAGAACUGGCAACGAAUGCUAUAACUGACAGUACUCAACUAUCAUUUGUCAGGAUCCUUCGAGCCAGUGCAUUUUUCAUAUUAAACACAGAACAACUUGCUAGGCUGUCUUCAUAGAGAAGUAGGAAAUACAUGAUUCAUUAUAGCUCAUCGGGCGAAAAAAAGAGAAGAAAAAAUACUUGCAAGAAACAUGCUAGCAUUUGAUUUGCAUAUUAUCACAAGUUUGAAACUGAACAAAAGUUGUGUGGAUUUAUAAGUUAUUCAAAAGCCUUUAUAAAAAAAAAGUAGUAUGAGUAACACCAAAGGGCACCAUAAUCAUCAGAUUGUCAUCUAAUAAAUAUUGCUACCUUCCUCUAUGAGCUCUGGGCCUGGUUGAGAUGAUUCCUUAGUCAAUGGUGUAGUCCUGCCAGUUAAAGAUUCAAAGGCACAUAACUUGUGGACUGCUUCAGUAGGCCACAGGUUAUAUUCUUAUGCAACAGGAAGUACCACGAAUGGAUCAAACAACUCAUAUCCUCAAAGUCCUAUUACUUGUACGUUGCAUCUCCAAGACUCUGUACUAUGAAGCAAGGAUGCAUAUUAUCCUUGUUUGAAGGUGGAUUAGUGCAGUAACAUUCCUGACAUAACUAUUUUGUUCCUAAUUCCCAGCGGUUCAGCUGUCAGCCCAAAAUGCUUAGGAAGAAAUUGUUUUGAAGUAUACGUCUGGUACUUCUGUGCUAUACAAUCAGUUCUUUUUAUCCGCUAGACAAUGUCCUUCCUGUCUGGUAACAAUUCCGUGUUUCUGUGUCAAAUGUGCCAUAACCAAAUGGCUAAUAGCUAAUUGCAUCUGUUUCCAGGGUCAUCCUGACAGCCGGCUUUAUCAUUUUCUCCUUGGCGGUUCUCUACGUUGUCUCAAGACGCAUUGGUCUGCUGACGUUGCAAAGGAAACUGGCUGAUGCCAUCAGAUCAGGUUCGUUGUCAGCCGAGGACAUCGUAGCGAAAGCCUAGCAGCAUGGACCUGCCGCAGCUGAUGCUACAGCCCCCACUCCUCCCAUUUACGAUGAAUUGUGACUCGCAUCUGCCCAUGAGUUUUUUUUUAGAGGCAUUUGCCCGUGGUUUCUUAUACAUGUGUACCCAGAUUCCCAGAAGCAAUUGUAAGGCAAUAGUUUCACGAAUAAGCUAUUGUUGAGAUAUAUAUCUACAGUCUGCAGUGAUCUGUGAUCAUCAAAUCAUGCACCGACCUGUUCGAUUGAAAGUCCAUGAUCUCGGCUCAGCUCUGGGCUCAAACGGCCUUUCUUCUUCUUUUUUCUUAUAAGGGGCUCAAAAGGUCUUGGCAUGCGCCCAAUACACUAGUUGUCAGGCACCUAGCAGGAGCGGAGCGGCAUCCCCCAGCCGGCCUCGUCCUUGGAGCGCGGCCAGGCGUUCCAGGUGAGGCAGACGGCGUCGGGCCGUUCAGGUCGGCGGCCGCCGUGGGCGGCAUCGCGGAAGGGUUGGUGGCCGACACCGGGGUGCGGCGAGCGGUGGGGCAGGCAGAUUGGGCGAGGAGGUGGUGGUGGUGGGAUGCGCUUGCGCUCUGCGCGUGCGUGCGGUGGCAUAGGCUCGGUUUCGUUGUUCGUCUGUUCGCUCCUCGGUCUCCUUCGUUUUGUGCUUUCAUUAGAGGUAUUUUCGUCUUUAUUCAUCUGCAUUAAUGGACUUUAGUCCCUGGAUCCAAAUAGGGUAGGGACUAAAGUUUAGUCCAGGAACUAAAGGAACUAAACAAGGGCUUAGUCCUUCUUUUAGUAGCUAUGUUUGGCAGUUUAAGGACUAGAAGAGGCUUGAAAAGGAGGAAAGUCCUAUGGAGCUAAAUAGGCCUUAAUAUUUUCCUGAGGCCGCUGUGUGUACGAUGUCUUUAUUGUGGCAGAUGGAUGCAGGAAGAAGACAAGCGAGGGUGGGUUCUCGGUGCUCGUGUUUGGAUCAACGACCAUGACUCCAUGGGGCGCCAUUCCUUGCUACGUCGGCACCGCUUGUGCCUAUUCAUCCAUACGCUGAAACUUUAUAAUCCUUAGAUGACAAGGAGUAUACAUUUUUAUUUGAAAUUUUAUAACCCUCUUUUUUUUUAGAUGUACUGAAUCUUUUAAGGUUGUAGAACUUCUUUCAUGAGCCCUAGUUAUUUUGGUCGAUUUCAUGUGUCCCAACCUCUAGGUUUUCUGGAACUUUUAGAAGUGGUUGAGUAUUUUUCCCCUAUUUAAAUAAUCUUCCAUACUAAAAUUAGAAAAUUGCUGCCACUAAGCCCUAAACCGCUUUGAUUGGGCUCAGAGACAAAACUAGACAGAAUUCAAAAUUGGGGUACCUAGAAUAAACGUAAAUAAACGUAUUGAAGUUAAGGGUCAAAAUUGGAUAGUCUGAAGAGUCCAUGGACCAAAUUUGAACUUAUUCCGCUAUUGAGAAAAAGUUAGGGUCGAUCUCUCACCUCAUCAUCUUUAGUUCCAACCUAAUUUGGAGUCGUCUAUCAAGGUGAUCUAAUGGCUCACAUUACUCCCCGUGUAACCCUAGCCCCCCUUGUCUUUCUUGUGACCAAUGUUUUAAAUAGCCGGCUAUAGCUUCCGCUAUCUUCGGCUAUAGCUGAUUGAGGAAGGUACCGCUAUUUGCUCCUAUGUACAAUUUAGCCGCUAUAGCUUCAUUUAGCCAACUAUUAGCUAUUUUUGGAGGUUGAACGCUAAAUGCCUUAGCCCGCUAUUUAAACACUGCUUGUGACUCAUCUCCGUUUUAAUAACAUCACUGCCACCUAGCAUCCUUCUGCUCAUUGCUUGCCACCAUUGCCUCCAAUGAGCGUGUGAGGCACCCCCGUGAGCUCAUGCUGUCUCCUACACUCUCAUUAUCUCAUUGUUUUUUAAAGAAGAACUCUAAGAGUCAAUCUCAACCAUGCCUUUUACCUCACCCCCGCCUUCUUCCUCGCCUCUAGUGGUGAUUAGGAGCCACCAUAUUCAUUAUAGCCCAUCAACACACUAACCUGAGUUUAUAGAGCUAGCACAGCGAUAUUGUCGCCCUAGCACCCACCGAGAUGACAUUCCUUCGCCUAAUGAGGCCAACGGUGCUACCCUGCUUCGCUACCCCCAACACUAUGGACACCAUCGACACUCUGCACUAGGGAGCACUUAUUCAUUGCACGUGCUAAGAGGGCUACCCUUGGAUGGGGUGCUCCAAGGCCAAUCUCAGUGCACAAUUUCAUUGUACGGUUACCAAGAUUAGGAACUAGGUAACUGUGCCUGUUGAGUGUCAUGGGGAUGAAACACCUCUCACGUAUGAUGAAACUCUCCCUUCUCUCUGCUCAUAAAGAUCUUGCUAAGUCAGCAAAAUUGCUGACGUGGCAUGGAAUUUAAUGUCUGUAAAACUCUUCAUGAAACUUCCACUGAGAAUAGCCUAACGAGGACUGUGAAGAGUGCCAAGGUGAUUAGGGAAAAUUGAGCCUCCAACCUUUCUUUAUAUUAUGCAAUUUACAAAUCAUCAUUUAAAUUCUUGUAAUUACUUUCCGCAUUUACCUUUCUAUGAUUGUCAUGUUAGGAACCAGGUUACAAAACUCUUUGCCCGUUAGAUAGCUACACAUUGAACCUUAGGCACAUAGAUGAAUUUGACCAAACGUGUAGACCUUAUUCGUUCAAAUUUUUUUGGAUGACUAGCUAAUUUUUUGGACAUCUUGAUCCUUUCGGUAUGGUUCAACGCCACUAGUGUUUAUUCUAUAUUGAGUUUUUUGGUUCUAUGACUAUUGGCUAGGCACACAAUGUAUGCUUUGGAAACAUGGCAAAAUAAAGAUGUUUCCAACCAUGCAUUAACUAAAGCAUGCCAUUAAAAUCGUGAAUUAAGUAAAGCGCUACUAUUAGGGUGGUGUUCACAUCGUGAUUAAUCUAAAAUAUUAACUUAGAAAGUCAUGACAAAAUUAAAAUUGUAUUCUUUUAGAACGGAGAGAGUUUGCAUUGCAACGGUCGUGGCGAUCGGAAACACACGGCAUGGAACGCAAAGUCGGCCGCAGGGCACGCUUCGGCAACAGAAUUGAUCGCCAUCCUGGAAUCGAAGAUGGCGCCGUGCUGUGUGUAGAGUUGUGGCAAUCCGACUGGGCUGGCCUCCUCUUUAAAUCGAUUGCCAAGGCAUACACAUUGCACCAAGACACAUCUCCAUCCCGCCAGAGCCCGAGAGCAUCCGCGCGUCUCACACUCUCGUGCCGAUCGAGAUGGCGGCAGCGGAAGUCGCCCGGUGGAUGACGGCUUCGAGCGACGGCGGUGCGCGAAUAGAUCCCUGGUACUCGUAAGGAAGGAAAAAGACAGACUCCUACUAGGAUUCCUCUAUAAUUCUACUAGGACUUAUACCAUGUAAUCCUUAUAACCGACUAGUAAUCCUGUCCCCUGGAGUAUAUAAAGGAGGGCAAGGGUACCUAGAUAGGGAGCUCAGAACCAUCAUCAAUAGCUAACAAUCACGCUACACAACACCCAAGCGUAGGACGUAAUAUACAACACCCAAAAUAGGAUGUGUGGGUAUUACGCUACUCUGCCGGUCUGAACCUGUAUAAAUCCGUGUCUUGUGUCCUCGCUUUUUACCUUCGUCCAGGUCCGACGAUUCCCCAUCAACCAAUCUACUAUCUCGGGAUACCCCUCGGUAGGUUGCUGGGUAUAAAACACCGACAUCUGGCAUGCCAAGUAGGAGUGAUCCUCGAGAUCAUCGUGCGAGCUUGAAGGACCUCAUCAUGAAGAUCAAUCUACUCGAUAAGAAGCAAGUCGCCGAGUCGGAGCUCUGAGCAGACAAAUCUACGUCGAUACAUAAAUCGAUGCGCUCCAUGUUCCGGUUGAAGACCAAGUCGUGUCCACCGCAGGUUGCUGCAUACAGCUCGUCGAUCAAGGCAGAGUCACGCGCGGAUUGAGAAGAUGUACACGAGCACUGCUACCCCGACGUCCGACCGCAUCAAGUCACCGAUGACUACUUCGACUAUUCUCGACUAGAAAACUAGUCGAGGACGAUCGACUAUUCGUCUCAACUAGAAAAUUAGUCAGAGCAGACUUCACACCAUUGACAACUAGUCGGAAUCGACUCCGACUAGUCGGCUUCAUCGACAAUUGACACAGCUUCGUCGACAACCGUCCACAAAUCAAGCUAAGUCACUUUUUUUUAAUUAUUUUCUGGCUUAUUUUCCGCAUGCAGGGCAACACGCCGACUACUUAUUUGUGUACGCCUCUCAAUGGGAAUUACCCUUCAGAGCUACACUUUGCCAAUUAUUCAUGGGGCAUGUUGACCGACAGCCAUGGGUUUGGUACACCGAAUUACGGAGGCUAUAGCUACAGGUUUUGUGCACUAAGUUCUGGAAGCUCCACCAACAAGUUUGGUACAUCGAAUUUCGGAGGCUACGGCCACGGGUUUGGUACACCAAGUGCUGGAGGCUCGCAGCGGCUACACCCUAAGGAUAGGCACAAAUCCUAUGAAAAUAAAAAUGAAGGUAAUAAAGAAGAAAAAACGUAACCGAAGGAAUAACAAAUAAAAAUAAAGGAAUGGGAACAUAAUAAUGGAAAAGGAUAAAAAAAGAUUUAGUGCUGUUGCUAAAGGAAAAAGGAAAAAGAAAUGGUAAUAAAGAAAGAAAAAGGGAAGGAAAAACGAACGAAAAAUUAAUAAGUUGAAUCACAAGAAAGAAAGAAAGAAAAGAAAAGAAAAGAAAAACGGAAAUGGGCCACAAUUGGGCAAUCACGCUCUUAGGAAAAUCGAAAAUGAAUAAAAAGUGACAUGGGCCGGACCAUCUCGCAUAGCAGGCCCCAUGUAGCUAACGGGUCGAAUUCACUCCUCCACCCCCAUGCGUGAAAAAGGGACAAAAUAUGAAAUGGACCGGGCCGUAUUCAACUCUCGAAGCAAGCCGAAAAUAUUAGCACCUACAGAUAGCUAUCUAUCGCAUAUGCAACAUAUAGCUAUCUCGCCAUCUAUCGCGUUUGGAUCUCCAUGGAGGAGCAGUUCGGCGACGAUGACGCUGACGGCAUAAGGAAGCUCUUCUAGGGGUGGCACCGUUGGUACACUACAAUAAACUAUUUAAUCUGUGACGGAACAAAUUUUUCAGUCGUCAUAAAGCAGUGUUUGUGACGAUUUCAGAUAACGUCAUGUGUUGAGCGUCACAGAUUAAAUUGAUCGAUGUUUCUUCGUAAUCGUCAUAGAUUGACGCAAUUUGUGAUGUUUCUUAACCAUCAUAGAAUAGCCUUGAGCCUGCACAAUCCAACCCAAGCCUAAUGUUAAUGACGAAAAUAAACGUCAUAAAAAUCAUCAUUAGAUUGUAUUGCCAUGUGACGUGGCUGCUGACGUGGACGUUGUACCAAAUAUGGGCUAAAUAUUUUCCAGCCCAGCAGCCCACUUAAUUCGGCCAUUUUAUGGAGCCCAAAAAGAAUCUAGCCCACCAAAAUUGGCCCAUUCCAGCCAUUUUCAGGAUUACUAUUUCAACCCAAAACAAGCCAUAAAGCCCAUAUAAAAAAGCAUUAUCAUUUCAGCCCAACCCAAGAUAUAAAUCAGCACAUGUCAACACAAUAAUGCAUGGGGCAAGCCCAUUUUAACUCCAGACGUAUAUACAAAUAUUAUAAAGAUUCCAAAAAUCAGGAUAGUCAGGAAUAUGACUAGUUACAUUAGUUACUAGACACCACCAGACAUAUAUAGCAUUGAAAUCAGAGGUACAAAUCACACCAACAAGAGGCCACAAUCAUUUCAUCAGGAAUUAAGGUAAGAAAAAGAUUUAUGAAUCAACCAAAACUGUUAGUAUCCUUUGUUGCCUCCAAAUUUCCAAUCGCUUCUAAUAGCUUGCUCCUUGUUGCAUUUGAUCCUGGUCCUGAAAAUAGCAACUUGCAAAUACUUCAGAGGGCAAUAUUUAUGAUGGAAACUACUAAAAUGCUCUAUGUAUAUAGGUAUCAUGAACAUAUUCAUAUAUCAGACUGCAAGUACAAGCAUACACAUAUAUCAUACGGACAAAAGUAUAUGGAUUGCAAACCUUUUCUGCUUUGGGUCCUACGAUGAAUGAAAGGGUGGGUUAAAAAACCAUGGCCACCCCCCCUCAGGAAAUAUUGGCCUUAGGUUACUGAUGGGAUGCUAGCUGCUGGUAUACAUGAAAAAUGUGGUGCAAAGCACGAACAAAAAUACUAUGCUAACACAUAUCCCUUAUAUUUGAAGCUUCUACAGAAGAUGUAUGAUAAAGAGCUGGCAUUAAGUCAUGCAACGCGCUCAAGCUUUGUAUUAUAAUAGGAAAGACUCUCGCCCGUACAGAUUGAACGUAUGGCGCUUGCUUACAAGACAGCUACUGAAAAAGGCUACCUCUUCCAACUGUUGAAUGCCCUAUUCCAUAUGAUAGACUGUCUAUCUUUCCUUGAAAAAACGUAUACUUUUGUUCUAUAAGCAAAUAAAGCAUACUUCUUUUGCGGAUCAAGCAAUCAUCCACCUUGGUGGGUAGCGGAGAAUCAAAUCAAUAUCGGAGUAUUGCUCUAGCUGCUGCUGAAUUAACCUGAAUUCAAUCGUUACUCUCUGAACUAGGCUGUACUUCGUCUUCCCCUCCUACAAUCUGGUGUGAGAACCUUGGCGCUACCUACUUUCUUCAGGCUUGGCGAAGGUGUCCGAUCUAGUAGGUCUCCUCCAACCAAUGAUUACACUACCUUGGUUAUCUGCUUUCUUGUCUUGGAUUGAGCUUUAUCUCUCUUAUUAUAGUUGGGUGGGUGGAAAGAAAGGAUAACAUGCCUGCUUCUACUUGGUGAAGUGUCAGCUGGAACAAUCCAAUCAGUGAAAGAACAUUCUCUCUCACUAACUGGAACCUUAUCCCAAGGGAAUUAGAGGGGUAAAAGGGAGACUUAGAGAUCUAGAGCUGGCUUACAUAAAUGAAUUUGUGGACUCGGACAACCGACCGGAUUCAAGCCCUAGCCCCUCAACUCAGACGGACUUGUGGAAAUCCUCAAAAACUAGUAUUGCUCAACUCACCUAUCUAUAACAUCAUAGAAAUGUUGCAUCCAACCCUGGAACGAGAGGUAAAGAAUAGGCUACCAUAUGAGAUGAGACAACUUUAUUCUUGGCUUUCAUCCCUACCCUUAAGAAAGAUAAGGGAUUGUAUUUCAUACCUGUUAUUUAGAGCUCUGUCGUUCCGACCGGAAAAUGUCACCUUCCAUGUGUAAACUCAAAUUUUCAUAUAUUUUUUUGUUCCUCAUAUACACUUUAAAUUUGGAUGAACCCUUACCUACCCUCCUAUUAACAAGUAUGAAUUUAUGUUGCCAUUUGUUAUGAAAAAUCUAUUUUUUAAAUAACUAAUUAAGACACCCUAGUGAUGUAACUUGAAAAGAAAUUAUCAUAAUUAAACUAAUACAUUUUUCCAUGUAAUGGACAACGUUACCCACAUCACUAGGUAUUGCUUGUCCUUGUGGUAAUUCAUGACGAAUUUUAUAGAAUAUCGCUACGUAGUGGGCCGGUUCAUGACGAUUUUCAUAAAACGUCAUUAAAUUAUGGGCCUGAUAUCCACUUGUACCGAUCCAUAACGAAAAAAUAGCAAUCGUCACGAAGAAUUCGUCAUAGAUUAAAGUGUUUCUUGUAGUGAUGACAAGAAUAAGGGCGCCGGCAGGAGCCAGUGAAGCCAGGACGAGCCGACGAGGGCGGCUUCUGGUGCCACUACAUGGACUCGAGCGCGCGGGGUGUCGCAAACUUUCGUGUGUUCCAUCGUGCACAUUAUUGGCUUAUUGGAAAAAUCAAAAUCAUCCGUCUGCUACAUUUUCUAUUAAUUGCAAUUUUUUGUCACAAGUUGAUAGUAUGAUGUCAUGUGUUAUUAUAUUAGUUAUAAUUAGGUAGAGAUGAAUUAGUGAGUGAUUAUCAUCGGUAGAUACGUAGGUGCACCAAAAUCGAUGAAAAUUUUUGGGGAUGUUUAGGGCGUCUCCAACAAUCCGAGACAGCAAUAGCUCUCCAAAAAAAAUUGUCGGCACAGUAACCCGCAGUUACCUCGGGAACCGUGUGUGAGAGAGGGAGGCACCUCGGGCCGUGAGCGAGGCUAGUGCUCUGCUCCGCGCUAGCCGACUUGUUUUUGCACUGUUCAUCAAUUCAAAAACUCUCUCAGCUAUCUCCACGCUACUCCCGUUGGAGACGUUCUUAUAGGGACCAACAAAACAACGUCAAAGCCCAUGUGACAAUUACAUUGGUCGGUCAAAGGGCACUGAGGAAUAUGGAAACAUAUACAGCUAGUAGGUGUGUAGUGUGUUACAGUGUUUAGAUCAUAAGGAAAUGUAUGCGAGUAUUUGAAACCUCCUCACUUGCAGGUGAGUUUCUGAAACUUUCUGAUUAUAUAUGAUCGAUUUAUCUUGCCAACAUACCAACACACCAACAAAGCUAAAUAAAUACAUAAAAUCAUAAAUAUAUCAAUAUAAAGAACCAAUUGUAAUUAAUGGAUUCAGAAGAAAAACACAUGUUUGAGCAAAAUAAAAUAAGUGUACAAUUUUAUAAAUGAGAACGAAGAGAAUGGACAAAAGUAGUGCCACACCCCGCCAAGAGAUCAGAUAAAGUAGUGCUUAAAUUUGUGGUGCUCAUUCUCCAUCACACUUUACCAUGUUCUUCCUUACCGUAUGUCGUACAUACAUCUAUGGGCCCACCAGAAGGUUUGGAUAAUCUUAAAUAUAGGGUUGGACACUGAGACGUAUUUGAUUGGAGACUAUGGCGCAUGACGGUGUGAUCUACGUGGUAAGAGAAGAACUAGUCGAGGAUUAGGAAAAGUACUCGUAGCAAUCAUAGUAAAUCUCGUCUAGUCGAAUCUGACUAGUAUUCUUGUAAACAACUUAUAUGUAGCCCUGCCUCCGGUAAUAUAAAGCGAGGCAGGAACCCCCUCCAAAGUAAUUCAAUCCAAACAAUACACAGGACGUAAGGUAUUACGUUAUUCAGCAGCCCGAACAUGUCUAAAACACUACCUCGGGUACCUUUCUCAGUAGGAUGCCGGGUCUAAACACCGACACCGUAUGUACAUGCUAUUCCUGUAUGCGUUGCGUUGUUGAGUUUGGCUCUACUUCCAAGUGAUUUGUGCGUGUGUUGUUCUUCCACCCCAUCAGGUCAGAGUAUGUCAUGAUCAUAGCUCGUACGCUGUGUACGUGCAUGCGGAUCAGAUUCGUCCUUCCUUAUCCAAGCUGUGGCUGAGUGCCCGGCCACAAUUUGAGAGCUAGCUAGGAAACGAAACUGGAGGGGAAUAAAUAUAUACGUGUGGAUAUAUAUACCUUUGCAAUAUAUGAUGCGAAACAUGGAGCUGUCCAGUCCAAGUCAGGAACUCCAUUUGAUAACUGGUGCUUAUCAUUAGGAUUUCUCUAGUAAAUUUGGAUUUCAUUUUCCAAGGAGGCGGUGCGUUUGCAAUUAGCACAGUUCCGGAUUUGCAUGCCUCCACCUUGUUGCCAAACCCUAAGGGCUAAGGUCCACAUCUAUGUUGCAGUACACUCCACAGGUGAUGAUCGAUGCUCAUUUACAUGUCUUGGAAAUUUAUAUAUAGCUUUGCAACUAACUAAAUCCACAAGUAUGCAUGUGCAUCUUUGUUGGAAAUCUAGCUAAAAGUGAAAAUGCAAACAUUUUAAUCUGAGUAUGCAUAAAAGCACUAGCACAAAAUGUGCUAAUUAGCUUGUUCUAAUUAGUGUGUUCUAAAUGUCGUAUAUUUAAAAUCAAAAGGACUACUCAUUAAGCAAUAUUACCAAAAAAAGGGUCAAAAGUGAGUCGAAUCAUACUUGUAGGGCCAAGUAUCCAACACAUGUAUUUCUGAACAAUCUGCAAGCAAGCAUACAUAGUAGCUAGGAAACUUGAAUAUUAGCCCUAAUAUGUUAACAUUGCAGCAUUACAUUACGUAUGAAUCAGAAAUUAAGAAUCACUAUAUUGAAUUGCAUGACAUAUACCUGACAAAGCAAAUAAAGCACCAGACUUAUCAUGAGAGUAACAGAGAAGAAGAGGCCUUCCAUGACAGGCAAAAGCCACUCAGGUUAGCCAAGGUGACCGCCCACAGACCCAGCUGAACCGGCUAUGCAACCGGAACUGACAAGGCCAUGUAGGCAAGUCAUCCUUGGCUACCAGAGGCAGGCUCUGGCCCUCAUGCAAGGCCCCUCUUCUUCCUUCCUCGUUCCUCCUACCACUGAUUUUGCAAUGCACUAGUCGCUUUGAUGGCGUGGUAUUUAUAGCAAAAGGGAAUGCAUAGGAUGAACCGGACCUCUCCACUGAUGCCGACUCAAUGCAUAUAGCCUCAUCCCAUCCACAGCUUUCCCAGAUACUAAUCACCAGUCGUUGAUACAAAUCAUUCGUUGGUACUGGCAUAUAUUCAUCUACGGCGGCCGCAGAGGUUGCGGCUUCAGGCCUUGCACAUUUUCAAAAGUGUGAAAGGGCAAUCAGUUGUAGUCUUGUAGAACAACACCAAUAGACCUCCAGCAUUUGCCAUUAUGAGGAAACAAACGUUCCUGCUGGUACAGCCAACCCUCCAUGGCUCCACAUAUCCAGUGAUUCGCGCAAUCCGAGGCAAAUCUCCAUAUUCUCUUUGGAUAGUAUCACUGGAAAGGAAUUCAUCUCCCUGAGUCACUGAUUCUUUUGUGAGGAGUCAGUGUCAUGCACCACUAUUUAAAGUUAUUUUUGUUCCCUCCAAUUUGAGUUUGACCUUAAUUAUUGAUAACACUGCGGUUAGGUUCUCUCACAUGGUGGUGAAUGGUAGGUUUAAGCAUACAAGAAUCACUUCUGACAAGAGGUUACUUUGAAUUAAAAUAAUGUUAUGGCAGCAAUUUCUUGGCUAAUGCAUGAUCACACUGAAAUGCAAUGAGCGUGUCACAGUAAUAAGUAUCAAUUAUGUUAAUUUGUACUCUUCCUGCCAAGAAAGGUUAAUCAGUAUUGCUCUUGUCUUUUUGCUACUCUGAAGAUUUGUGACCAUCCAGUUGUUAGAAUGUACUUCUCACUUCUCUGACCUUUCCCCUCCUUUUAUAAGAGCAUCUUGGCCUUAUCAACUUAGUAAGGGUUAGUUGACUUUCUGAUAACUUUCUGCUCAAUUCACAACUUUUCUACGUGUCAAUCUAUAACAGAAAAUGUCCUAUUCCUGCAAUAGAAAAGGAGACAGAAACCGAUAUCUUUGGAAGGGGAAUCUCCAAACUUUUGGUGAUGGAAUGGUUUAAUUGAAUACUUUGUCUUCGUGCUUACAAAAUAUGGACCCUGUUUCUUCUGAAAAUUUGCAAAAAGUAAAUAAAUAUUGAUUUUUAUAAAUCUACCAUGGGAGAACAACUUUGAAACUACAUCCUAAAAGAAAAAUAAACUGAAAUGGUUGAUAAUUUUGCUGAAUUUUAGUUCAUCUAUACUUCUGUUUACAUGUACAAUGUUCACCAUGGAUGCUAAAAAUUAAUUAGCAGCACCAUUUCAGCCCUGAACUUUCCUUCUUUGAUACAAGGGAUAAUGGUGACCUGGAUCUCAAAACCUUUAUGAUCAUUACCUAUUUUCUUUCCGAAAUGAUGUUAUAGGAACUUGUAUUAGUUUCGAAGCUGUUGGGAAUUGAUAUUAAUAUUCAGCAAGCAGUGUGAUGGUAUGAACUAUGAGCCACUGGAUGUGGACCAUGGGAGCAAUCAAUAAAGCUAAAAUGUUCUUAGAGAGGAAAAUUGAUUGUGGUCUUAAUUAUUUUGUGCAUUGUAAAGCUAAAACAUCAUCCAAAAAAAGAAGGAAAUGGAAGUAGUUUUUUAAAUACGAUUUAACCUGUUUUAGCUAUAGGAGUUUAAUUAAGUUGUUAUUUGAUUAAAAUAACAUUGGGAUAUUUUAGUUGCUUUUAAGAUUUAUGAAAACAUUAAGAUUUGUUUUUUUCAUAGAACUCAUAAUUUAAAUGAUGGCAAAAAAGGAAAACAUUAGUACAGUUAGGUCUAAAACUAGCUUCGUAAAUGUAACGACCCCGCUCAGGAAAACAGCUUAUGCUCACUCUGCAUGGUGAGUGGACCACACCUGCAUUACAACCUGUUUACGCUUUCAUCAUCGCUUUGCGUAAAAGGGUUAACCCAAGGUUGCAAUGCUUCCUGGAGCUAGCUAUUUAAGUUAGUCUCACUCACUCUCCACUUCCCAUUUGGGACUAUUCUUAGAGCUACCAUGCCUCCUGCAUGGUACUCAAUUGUUGGCCCAACAUGCCCAUGGGUGUUACAGUAAAUCUAGUUUAAAAACUCUAGAUCCAAUAAGGCCAAUCUUCGUGGAGGUUUCAUCAAGAGUUUUUAUGACCAUUAAAUAACAUGCUACAUCAGCAAUUUUGCUGACGAGGUAAGGUUAUUAUGAGGAGAGAGGAGAGGGAGUGUCAUCAUAUGUGAGGGAAGUUUCAUCAUCAUAAAACCCAACAGGCACAGUUACCAAGUUCUCAGCCUUGAUACUAUGCAUUGAGACUGACCUAACCAAUAUUAAAUGUAUUGUCCGCUGUUGCACUUUGGCACUAUGCUUGACUGCAGUAAUAAACAUAUCUUAAGUGGCAUAUACUGGUGUAUGGAAAUUGAAAAACGUGUCCUGAGAGCAGGUUGACAUUUUCCACGAACAAUAAAGAACCCUAUGUUCUAGUGGAAUUUCAAAGGUACCCACUUUUUCUAUUUGGACCUCAUGAUAAAAGUUGAAAACAUUCUAGUCCGCAAAAACGGAAAGGGAAACUACUUGAACUAGUAAAGACCCCAAGUACCAACCAGAGAUAACAAAAUCAUAAACUAGUGUGUUGUAUAUGUGUUUCAUAUUGGAAAAAAACUCAAUGAAGAUGCAUUCGGUUAGACAUUUCAAAUGGCCAUGGCUGACACAGAAUAAAAUAGAAGCUUGGAAACACACUCGAGCUUCUAGUGCAACCAAAGCUAAAGAAGCAGCAGAUAUACCAGAAGUGGGAAAUAUCAAGUGAAAACCACUCAUUGGACGGAAUGGUUGAAAGCACAUUUCACAAAAUAUGUGUUGGAGUUUUAAGGAUUCUAUAUAUAUGUAGGAGAGGUGAUAUUAUUCAUCAGGGAUAAUUUUGAGAUAAAUUUUUAUUUCCUCUGUAACAUAUAAAUAUUAAACAGUGAACCUGAUUUUUUUAAAAAAAAAUAAAACUCGAUCCCGGGGAUAGACCAUCCUUGCGGUUAUGCCUUAAGAAGGAAUCUCAACCUUCAAGGGACAAGAAAAGGUCCUGAGGGCCAGCAUUAGCCAAAGGUGGUCUCCCUGGUUGAACAACUGAGGCGCACAAGGGGGUUUUUUGCGGGACCCAAAGGGUUCAAGCCUCGGGUUGGCUGGCACCACAAUUUAGUGCCCAACCACCAAGCUAUCAGCUUGUUGAAUUGGCCAUAAAAAUUUCAUUGUUGUUUACCAAUCUUAUAUCUUACUAAAAAUGUGAGUUUGAUUUUAAAAUUUUGCAUAGUUCUAUAGUAUCACCCCCCCCCCCCCACACACACAAGGGACCUGUUUUAAUGUUUUGAAAUUUCUACACACGACUUGUGAGUGGGUAAUUAAGAAUGGGUGACUUCUACCUGAUAUUUUGCCAACUGGGUGAGGCCACUUCGUUCGACUACUGUUCCAUCAUCAUUCACCGGUGAUUCAGGUCUGAAUCCAACUGGAUGAGAAGGGGCUCCAAAUUGAUCUUCCACAUCUAGACUGAAUUGUAAACACUACUCCCUCUGUCCGGUAAAGAAUGCAACUACGGGUUGCGUGCCAUCAAAAGUAGUUCACGUUUGACCACAUUUCUAGUGAAUACUAUUCAUAUUUAUGACUCCAAAUUAAUUUAUUAUAAAAAUACAUUUCAUAAUUAACAUAAUGGUAUUUAUUUGAUAUCAUAAGUAUUGAUACUUUUUUAUCUAUAAUUGAUCAAAUUUAAGAUACAAAACUAUGACACUGUGCUAGAAUUGCAAUCUUUUCCGGACGGAGGGAGUACAAGAUUCAGCACUUUUGCCAAGAUUUUGCUUUGAGUGGCCAGCGGUGAUAUGUUGUUUUAUCCUCUGCCGUCUGCAAAUGUCAGUCGGCGAUUACUUCUCUGGGAAUCAUCUGCACACUCUCGGCCACUGGAGCAGAUAAAGUAAAUAGUCUAUUUUACUCCCCUCACCUAUCCACUUGUCCGCUUAACCCCUGAACAAAUUUUUGGCUCACUUCACUCCCCGGAACUAUUUUAUUUGUCCAAUCACCCCCUAAUUAGAUUUCUCUUUUUUUUGUUUCUCUAUGUAUGAGUUGAAUUUUGAUUUCAAAUUUUGUGAACGGAUACAAAACAUGAUGCCUUACAUUAAAAAAUUAUACUAAGAAUUUUUAGUAAUUAUUUUCAUAAGUUAGGAAUAUUUAAUAUGAAAUCCAUCUUAGAUAUACAAAACUGUACAAAAAGUAAUCAUAAAAAAAUUCUAAUGUAUUUUUCUAACUAGAGCAUCAUGUGAUAAGUUAACUAACAAAAUCUGAAAUUAAAACUCAACUUAUACAUGAAGAAACAAAAAAGAAAUCUAAUUAGGGGUAGAUUGAACCGAACUGUAAUUAAAACUCAACUUGUACGUGAAGGAAAAAAAAGAAAAAUCUAAUUAGGGGUAGAUUGAACCAAAUGAAAUAGUUUGGGGAGUAAAGUGAGCCUAAAUUUUGAUUAGGGGUUAAGUGGACAAAAUAAUAAGCAAAUCAAUCCCCCUCGGCCACUGAUUGCAAACUCUUGGGAAAAGUGCUGAAUCUUGCAGUGAAAGUUUGUGUAGAUUAUUUCAAAAAGAUAAACUCCAACUGAGGCAAUGUAAUAUUCAACAUGGAAGGAGAAGAAUGAAUCUCGUCCUCUUGCAACUCCUUUUUCUUGAACACAUCCUCUUCCAACUCUUUCAAAUCAGGGAUAAGAAAACAGCUUCUAGUUGUGUGAAGACCACACGAAAUAUCUAGCUACUUAGGAUCUGUUUUUCGCAGCUCCAACCCGAAGAUGCUUGGGAUACCUAACUCCAAAAACCUCCAUUAGAGUUGUUUGGUUGAGCUAUUUUCUUUCCAUUACAGACUAAAAAUAGUGCCUCAAAUGUUCUUGGUUUCAGCAUACAAACUGCAAAUCUGCGGUGGAGCUAGAAGCUCGAGCAGUGCCAAGCGCGGCCUAACUUAUAUUGGAGAAGAAGCAACACGAUGCCUCAAAAUCUUGUACCUGGCAUUACUGCAAAAGGACUACAUGAUCAAAUGCUGUUCGAUGGGAACUUUAUGCAGGUGACCUCUCCAUACGGAACCAGCCAUGUUGCAGAGUUUGUUAGCAGAAUUAGGGUCUUCCUUUCACGAGGAAAGUUUUGCCACUAAAAUCGGUUAUUCACCAUAACAAAGCGCCUCAUAAGCUCAAUAUGAAUCAUCACGCCUUUCAGGUUAAGGAAAUAAUUGAGAAUCCACACGGAUCCUCGAUGGUUGAAGUGUCGAACUAUGGCCACCGUUCUUACUUCACUGAUGCUUGUUUCAAGGGUCAAACUGACAUUUGCCCUCACCCUGGGAUUCAAAUUUCCCCUGAUUGUGACCAAAAUGCCCUCAGUCACAUGCCAUGUCCUAAUUUGCUGAAAGCCCAACUCAAGUAGAAGCCCCGAGUUUGCUGCUUGGAGCCGAAUUGGAAGCAUCCUCAACCAGGAUCGACUACAGUACAUCAGAUGGGAAGAUCAAACGCUACUUAUCAGGUGAACAUUUCUUGAUCUAAUUUUACCUAAACUCGAUAGCUGGCCUUCAUUUGUUAGUGUUGGUAGAUGAAUACACUACAUCCAAGAAAUAGUUCAGACAAGCAUACAAGUAACAAAGGAGAUCACAGGUAAGAAAUAAUCAUGCUAACUUUAUUUACAUCUUUUCUUUAAUGUAAGAAACAAAAACAUUAUAGAGGGAAUCUAUAAUGUACAUUAAUUACAAUCAAAAUUUCCUAAGAUCACAGGUUCGGUCUUGUAAACUCUCACAAGGAUUCUGCAAACAAAGGAGAGAAAAAGUCUGAUAUCAAAUCAGAAACCAUUUUGUUAUAUUUGUGCAAACAAAGGAGAGAGAGAAUCCGAUAUGCAUGAAUAUUGGAAGCUUCUCAUAAAGAGUGAAUUAGAUUCUAUUCAAAUGCUUAUAAAAAUGUUGACAAAUAAUCAGUAGAGUGAAGCCACUGGGAAGCACUGAUAUUUCAAAGAUACAACUGAAAUCUUAUAAGCACUGUGAAAAGUUAAUUCUAUGAUUGUUUUAACUGAUAAAUAAUCUUGGAAUUACUUAAUAUUUUGCAGAUACUGACUCUCUCAGUAAGAGUGGUUGUUUUCUAAAUAAUUACUACAAGCAUUAUUUAUUAGCCAAGAAAACUUAUAGGGUCAUCAAUUCCCCAAUAAAAUAGCACAUUAAGAUACCAAGCCUAUAAUCAAUUACACUUAAAGUCUAAUCAUCAAAACCUUCGUUUCAGGAGAAGUGCGUCAUUAUCAAAUCGGAAGAUUAUAUGAUGGAAUUGUAGACAUGAUCGUGUUUACAGAUAAAAUUGUGAUGAAAACCAAUUAUACGGUCGUAACAACUUACCCUUUGUCCUUCUGUUGUCUACAGUUGUUUCUGCUGUUGAUCUGCGGGAAACAUCUGCCAGUGAUAUAGGUGUUAGUGGGGGUGAGGAUAAUUCACUGCUUUCCCUGCUAUGUCUAGACUCCAACAAUUUAUUCACUGUAAUAAUAGGAGUUCGUUGACUAUUUGAAGGUAUUGAAUAACUGCGAGUCAUGGCAGCAGGCGGCCGUGGAAGUGGUGAUGCUGUAUGUGAUGGUGGUGAGACACGGGUUGGUGCAUUAGGCAUCUGCCGCCUUGAAACCAAAGGACCAGAAUAUCCAACCAAACCAGGACGAAUGGUGCCUACAUUCGCUGGAGGCCUGGGCAGUUCAUGCAGCUCACUUAUUUUGGGAGUUGUUGUUGGGAGAGAAGUGACUCUUGGAGUAACUUUUGGAGGUAAAGAUGACUUCCAACCUGGGCCAUGUGAUUUUGUUGACAAUACACGAGAAGGAUAAUUCAUUGACUGUCUGCGAUCAGUUGCAGAAAACAACGGAUUGCUGGAUCCUGUUUUACUCGGAAUUGGACCAGAAAAGGCUUCCCUCUUCAUUUUCUUAAAAUCUGAAGUAGAGUAGGAAUAAACUAGUGGUGCUGAUAUCCCCUCAUUAUUUGAUGGCAUCUUAAUAGGUCCACUGUACAUGGAACUCGGCUUAAAAUCUUUCACCAGUGGAGAGGAAUGCCACACAUUUACUGCCACAUGAGAUUUUCUUGCAGGUGGAUCUGAAUGAGGUGAUGUGUUGGUGACUACUGAAUCAGGGUUCUUGUCAUCGGCUGGUGUCGGGAGUUUGUAAGAAUGAAAAGUUCUGUUUGGCAGGUUCAGUUUCCGAAACCCCAUAGAUGGAUCAGGCACAUUCUCGGCAAAUAUGGGUGCUGAUUGGGUACCAAUCUCAGGCUUCACAUGAGGAACCACAAAAGCCGCCUUCAUUUCUUCAGCAUUUUCCUGUACAAACAUGUGUUAGCUCAAAGAAUUAUAUGACUCAAGAUGAGGAGCCAUUAUGACAUAAAUGACAGGCAAACUGAUGCAUCAAAUAUCAACAAGGACUCAACCUAGAAGGUACGGAUAUUUAAAUUUCCGGAUAUAGUUAUCACGUGUUAUUUAAGAAAAAAACUCGACCGGUGGGGGAAGAACCGCCCCCACGGCAUUGCAUUAAGAAGGGACCGUAUGACCCCGGUCGAGAAAAUAACCCCCCCCCCCCACCCCAUGCCCAUAUAGGGCCAAACCAAACUUGGGCCGGCGUACACCAUUACCUAGGCCGGCGUAGCGCACCGACUUACAUAGCACGGAUUUCCAUAUUAAUGUGCUCCAUCAGAAAUGGUAUUAUGCCAAAGAACAUUUUCAGUUGACUUCACUAUGCUGAUCUAAUUCUAAUUUUAUUUGACAUUUAGAACAGGGAAGACGCUACCUGAAAGACCUAUGAUAUAGUCGGCACUAAGUGUGACCUUACUGACUGAACUUUAUUUCAACCAAAGUUCAAACGCCCAAAAAUGUAUAUUUCUUAUUUCCCAAAAUGACAUUGGAAGACACAUUAGAGUAAAAUACAACAUAAUGUCAGUCAUUAUUUUGAUAUUCUUACCCUAGAGUAUUCAUGUCACUAUGAACAAGAAUGAUCUCAUUUCUAAAGAAAUAUAUCUACAUCACAUAACUAGCGAGCUGAAGAUUACCUGCGCAUGUUCCUUCAGAGGACUUGGGGAAUUCGUCGGUUGAGUUUGAUCCAACUAUACACAAAUAAAUAAAUGUACCAAAGUUUUAGUACAGUAACAAAAGGAAGAGAUACAACAGACACUUUCAACAACAAACAACAACAAUAAAGCCUUUAAUUCCCAAGCAAGUUGAGGUAGACUAGAGACCACGAACACGUGCAGAAAAAAAUUAAAUAGCUCGCACUUUCAUAUGCUUUAAUUGAAACAUUAAAUUGAAAAACCCAGCUGAGCAAUAUGUUUCAAAAUAGAUACAUAAUCUGAACUGUAGUAUAAAAAGAAACAUUUAGGACGUCAACAGACACGCUUUCAUAAUCAUGUAAUGCCCGAAAGUCAAAAUUUCAAUGCAAUCCAGUGCCAUUAUGUUGGACGCCUAACAAAUAUACCAACACAGCCACUUCAUCCAGAAGGAAAAUCCCAGAGCUAUUGGAUUUGGUACAAGGACUAUUUACGCUCUCAACUUUCCAUCUGGGGAUUCUUGUAGCCACUACUAUAUAUGGGCCACAUAAACCACCACAGAUUGGGGAAGGGUAUUAGGCAUCAGACCCUGCAGUUUCCAACUCACUCCUAGUACUAUAUAUUGAGUCAUUCAGAAAGUGAGUGCCACAAGGCCUCUGCAGUUCUAUUGCUAAUAUCAAUUGGCCCAGGCAACAUAAUGUGGUCUGGGGCACCAGAGAAAGCUGAUAACCAAUUACAUCAUUAGUAGGCACAACUCAAAGAACAUAAUACGGAUCUUCUUCGCAUUGUUUAAAUUGAUGUCCCUUGAGCAACAUUUGAUGCAAUUAUUAGCAAUCUCUCUUCACAGUAUUUUCUUCCUCAUAAAGGAAAAUACUGAGCCAAAUUGUUCUUUGAACUGAAGAAAGCUAACUGACAACAAAGGAUUGAUAACCUAAGUAAUUAUCUACAAGGUGCUCAUAUAGUGAGAUGCUGAAAGUUAUGAUAUAACACGGUAAAACUAGAACAGAAAACAGUCACAGGUUCAAAAUGAAACUUAGCUACAAAAUAUCUUGAAUUGAUCAGUUGGAAAAGAACUUACAUCCAUUGGACUUCUGGAAGCAGGAAGGUCUUUGUCCCUGUCAUUUAUCUCAUAGUCAAAACUUAACUCGCUGCCAUCACUGUGGUUAUCCUGGUAAGAGCUAUAAUCAUCAAUAUCACUAUCAUCAUCCAGUCCACUGAAGUGAUAAUCAAUGUGCUGCUUCUCAGCAACUGCUUUGACAUAAGGCUCUAGAGCCUCUAGAUGCUUCAGUCCUCUCCUGAAAAAACUGAUCUGAAAGUCCAACCAAUGAUAAGAUUGUUGUAAUAUUGCCACUGCAUGUGCAUAAUCAUUAGCUGUAAUGCUAUGAAGACAAGUUAAACUACCUGAGCAGCAUGAUGGCGAGCAGCCUGGGUCAAAAUACUUAGAAAUUGGCCUUGCUUUAGCGACUUCAAGCGAAAUAUAAACAAUGCUGCCUCCUCUUGGUACUCAAGAAAUGAAGUUUGCAGUUGUUCUGUGGAGAAUGAUUCGGAUUUGGAGUGUGUUGAUCUCCCUUUAUCUUUAUAGGCUGCCCGCAUACCUUCAUAUUCCACUCUGAGGGGAAAAACAUUUAGGAGGAAAAGUAAACACUGUAAAAUUAAUAAGAUGACAUGCAAGUAGAUUUGUACCUUUUCUGAUCACAUAGGUCUUUCAUUUCCUGCAUCAAUAGGAAAGAUAGUAAGUCUGUCUGUCUUUUAUUUGGAAAUGAUGAUAAAUGCACUAUGAACAAUAAAUUAGCAAAACCCAAUAUUUGAAGGUGAGAAUUCGCAAUUGAUGAAGUUGAGAGGAGCAUAAUCAAGGAGGCAGAACCUCUACAACUUGUAGCUCCUUCAGAAGUGACUCUGAUGGGUUUGUGAUUGUAUUUAUAAUAUUUGUACGCUACAAAAACAAAGGGAAAAACACUUGUUAGAAUGCCAGCCAAAAUAGAGUCAAAAGCAUAAAUAAUACUUGAAACAGUAUGAUGGAUUUGAAAAUUAUGUUGUUAUACAAUUUUACAAUGGUGUCAAAGGAAUUUACAUAGCUAUCAACAAACUUCUGCAGUUCAAACUGGGCUUUCCCUAGCAUCAUCAGCACUCUACCUGCAGGUAAAACUAAAUCAAUAAAGCAAAGAAGACCAAACACUUUUUUGAAAUAAAGAAGCAGCUCUACAAAACAAACAUAGAAUUUUGUUUUCUAUGUUCACUGAAAGCCAGAAGAAAAGUAGCAUCAACAAACUAUAUUUCCAACGAAGAAUUUGACAAUUCUCCUAGCCACUAACAGGCAUUAGCAUGGAGACUAGGAUGGCAAAGCCAGUAGUGGGGACACAGUGACCCAUUUUAGAACUUGAGGAGGUUAGGUGGACAAAGAAAUAGUCAGGGGGUGGAAAAACACGACAUUUCAGGAUGAUGAAUUGGACACUUUGAGAAAUAGCACGGUUGACCCUACAGCACAAAACUUGAUUUGCUAAACAGCAGCCCCAAGAAUAAUUUCUGACCACAAAGUUUUCAUAUACAUGCCUAUUGAUCCAGAGAAUUACUCACCACUUUCAUCAUCAUCAUAAUUCAAUGCAGCUUUCUCAAGUAAGCAAGUUCCCAUUUCCUCCAUGGCUUCUGCAAACUCUGUAUAAAUGGAUUACAUGUAGCUAUAAGAAUAUUGCUCGAACAAAAUACCUAGCUUUAGAAAUUCGGAUAGUGAAGUUUCAUUCAAAAAGUUAAAACAUCGUACCAUAUACACUAUUUGCCGUUGCAGCUGCAGCUGAAAGCAAGCUAUCAUAACAGUUCCUCAUUUCAUCCAUUUCCUGCAAAAUAUCCGUGUUUAAGUUAGAAAAGGUAGAUUACAAAAUUCUUACAUGCUAGUUGAAGCACAGCCUCAUCGAGGCUUUAUAAUUUUAUAUUAGAGAAGGGUGGUUGUGGCAAAAAGAAUUGGAAUAAAAAAACAAUCCUGUUUUUUUAACUAUCAUUCACAUGGAAGUGACUGGCUUGUGAUUUCAUCCCAAAUUUCAAACAACACAAUGAAUUCUAAUCCAAUUAAUUGGUGACUUGGUGUACAACUCUAAACAUGAAUCAAAUCCUCCACCGGUAGUCCUUUCAAACUUUUAUAAUAUAUGGCUCCAAAACCUUCAAUCUCUUCCUCUAAAUCAGCCUAACGCCCGUAUCCAAACAGCUUUGACCAUGAUUUCUUCGUUAAGAUGCACACAGCAUCAGCAGGGCAGGAACUGUAAACAUUGUCUAUGAGAUGGAAUAUGCUGUGACUGACUGAGGACUCCUGAAUUUCAAAAACAUGUUUCGACACCAAUGUUGAAUAUAAGAAUUCCCAGCAGCCAAUGGCAGGUUAAACAAAGCAUCUGUUCCUCUCAAUAACGACUUUGAAUUGCUGACUGCGAGACCAGUUCUAAUAGCACCAAGCUUCCAGCCGUGGACUUUGACCAGCAAGAAACAAGGCACGAAAACCCAAAUGCUCCUGAACUCUAAUGUCCACAAUAUAACACAUAAAAGCAAUCGAAUCCAUGCAUUUCGCUGAUUACAUACAAAUUACCGAUCAGCAAUUUACUUUUUAGUUCACAUAAACGUUUAAAAAUCCCCCCCAAUGGAAAAGGAAAAGGACAAACUACUACUAACAAAUAAACAAGAAAAAAGUAUCCAUCCCUCCACAGUUCCGUUCAACGGUACUGCGUACCAGAGAGAGGAGCUAAGAUCGUUCGAUUCCAGACAAUCACUGCGACCCAGGAACAACGCCACCACGGUCAACACGGGCCGCGAGAACCCCCCGCGAGAGACGCACGCGGCGGGAAUCGCGAGCCCGCGACGAGGGCGCGCGAUCCGUUUUUGGCGCGCAAUCGCACCCCCAACGUGGCGCCACGGCCGAGGGCAAGGAUCGGGAGAGAGGGAAUCGGGGCGGAGGGCCGAACCUGGGCGGCGUAGACGAGCUCGUCGAGCUUGGCGGGCGGCGGGGCGUGGUCCUUCCGCUCCCUGUGGUGGUGGCCGAAGCCCCGGAACCUGCGCAAUGGCGAUUUCAUCCCGCUCCUCCUCGAAGCCGGACCCCCAGGCCGGAAUCGCGGGCUCCGAUCAGCAGGCAGCACCAGGUGGGUGCGGAAGAGGAAGGCGAGGAUGGCUUUCUUCGUCGCUGCUGCUCUCGGGCUUUGGAAUUUUGGGGACCAAAAAUGGAGCGAGAAUAGUCAGUCGUCGGAGACGGAGAGGGGCAAUAGCGGGAGGGGCGGGUCUUUAUGGCGUGUCCUUUUUUUUUUUGGAGAGAUUCAUUUUUUGUCCAUGUUUGACCAAACGAAACAAGCGUGACCCUUGGCAUAAACUAAGCGAGUUCUGGGACUACGGAGGAACUCCCUCCGUUCCAAAUUUAUACCUUUUUAACUUUUUAGACAUACACUGUAUCUAGAUGUAUAAUAAUAUUUUUGAAUUAAAAAAGCUAAAACGACCUACAAUUUGGAACGGAGGGAGUAGUUUCUUCAAAAUUAUACUCCUUCCGUUCCAAAUUAUUAUUCGUUUUGGUUUUUAUAUUAGUUUUUAUAGAUACAUGGAUUUUGGUAUGCAUAUUAUGUCUAGAUACAUAGUAAAGUUAUGUAUCUAGAAAAACCAAAACGAAUAUUGAUAUGGAAAAAGGAAGCAGUAAACUGCCACUGCCAUUAUCUCCGCUCAAAAUAAAUUAUAUUAGAACGGGUGCAGUCUUGACACAGCAUUAACCAUUUUUGUAUCUAAAGACUUUGCUUAUGUUUAUUGGGAAAAAGAUUUAGAAACUAGAUAUCCACCAUCAAACUCGUUAAUGUUUGAGAGACAUGCCAGCGGUGAUUUUGUGCUCGUGCGUUUUGUUUUUUUUUUUUUUUGCAAAUUGAUCACAUGCGACUUUUUUCACAUUUCAUUCUCAAGUGUAACUUUUAAUUUUAGCAAAUGGAUGGCACUCUCAUGAGUCAUGACCAUUUUGGCAAUAGCAAGCGACGGUUUUGAACAAUUUUAACUAGGCGGUGGCUUUCAUGCAACUAGACAAAAUUGUUGUGGCACUGGCACCUACUGAAGCUACUAUAACACAGCGAAUAUAACUUAAAAUCAGAGAUAGAGCAAAACAAUCCUGCCAUGACAACCAAUUUUUGUAACAUAAGCUUAGAAAAUACCAUCAAAUAUAUGAGCAUUUGGAAUUAUAUUAAUGCCCUUGACAAGUGGGCCAAAAGUGAUCUUGUACUUGCAAUUUGUGCUGGUGCAUUUUUGGCAACUUGGUCCCAUGCAUGCCACCUUUUACACAUUUCCCUUUCAUGUAUAUCUUUCAAUUUUAGCAAAUGGAUGGUGCAUUUUUUUUAACAUUUUUCACUAAGUGGUGGCCUUCAUGAAAUUAUAUUGAAUGUUCAGUGAAAGAUACUUAACACUGGUGACAGUCCUAUCAUGGUACCAGUAUGGUAGUACCCCAAAUUAUUGAAGUUGUGUUUCUUUUUAUCAUCCUUGUAAUGGUAUGUACGUAUUAGGACCCUAGUACCUAACAUACCAAUCUGUCGAUACAUUUUUAGAUGCCAUAAAAAAAACUUACAAGUUAUGUUUUCUUUUCAUUCUCCAAAAUCAUUUUUUAUGUAACUAUUAUCGUAGUUUGUCAGUUUUGUUAUCCAAGUAUUAUCAACGAUGAUUAUGCUGAUUUGCUAUCUUUACACAAGUUUAACCGAUAGGUUUUAGCUAGCAGUCGAAUGCAUCGCGAUAGCUUUUUCUUCACAGGCAACUUCCCCGCGCAUACUCAAGCAACUUCACAAGCUUUUUGUGGUGACCAAACCACUCGCCAUAUAAAAUAUUUUUCAUUGGGAAGUUCGUGUAAGAUCAGUGGAAGCCGGGCCGCACGCACUGCUAUUCUCCAGCAAGUGUCGUGUUGUGCCCAUCGCAUCUCGAUCAGCAGCAUCAUCCCAAAUCAUGAUGACAGAGAUCAAAUCACACCAUCAACGCACGUAACUAAUCCAUUCGAGGAUGCUGCUGCUUUCCCCGGCACCCGGUCCUAACCACGCCGUCGAUCGUCGACUCACCUCACGGUGCGUGUGGCGUGGCAGCCACGAUCGGGAGGGAGGGAGAUGCAUGAACUUGCCAGGUGUCAGAAGCUCACGAUGGGUCAAGUUAGUGGCUGUCUGGCUGCUGCUGAUGCGUCGGUCAACGCAUACGUGCAUGGGUCAACGCCAGCCAAUGCCGUUGUUCAUAAAGGAACACAGGAGGAGAUAGUGGCGGUCACAUUAGUUAGCACCACCACUAGUUGCCUUUGCAUGACUGUCUUUUUUUUCUUUAAUAAACCAUGUCUGUCUUCUCUCGUCUCUUUUUUCCCCUUCUUUUGAGGGAAAAUCGGCUCCUAGACAUCAUUCGAUCUUGGCUUUUACCGCAGGUAAAAAAAAUGACUUUGCCAUAGGACAUUACACAAUCGUGGUAAUUUGCUGAGGGACACUACACCCAUUAUAAUAUUCGGUUUUAAUAGAAAGCCAUGGGACUUGACAUAUUUAUCCCUGCGAGAUUAGCAGAAACGCAUCGCUAGCACCUGAACGGAUGGCCUCGCCGGUCGCCGCACGGGCGUCACCCUCCCGUCGGACACGCCCCUUCCGCCCGCGUCCUCCUCUCAUGUUCGCGGCAGCAGCCCCGCUCCCGCCGCCCGCGGCAGCAGUGCCCGCUCCUAGGGUCCGCGGAACCCAUCUGCGACGGUGGCGCCCGCUCCCAGCGUCCGCGGAGCCUGCCCGCGGCGGCACCGCCCGCCAGCGGCUGCGGCACCCGCGGAACCCGUCCACGGCAAUGGCGCCCACUCGCGGCUGCGGCGAUGGCUUCCGGCGUCCGCGGAGCUCGUCCACGGCAGCGGUUGCGGCGCUUGCUCGAGCCCCAACCGGACGGCGGCGGCGACGACAGGGUGGAGGGGGUCGUAGGACUGGUGGGCAUCUCCAGUGGUGUUGUGCUGGGUGUCGUGGCCACGGGCAUCGAGCCGUUGACGGGAUCUCCGGCGCCGGAGGCGACAGGGAAGACGGCGGUGGAGAUGCAAUGGUCCCAUCCCAUGGUUGUCAGGCUGCUGCUCAAGUAGCAGUUGAGGGCAAUAUAGUCAAGUCUCGUUACUUUCCAUUAAAACCGAAUAUUAUAAUGGGUACGGUGCAAAUUCGACAAAGCCAUCUUCUUUUUAUGGCUUUCCCUUCAUUUGAAGACAUCUUUCCUGCGCUGUGGUCGUGAGCUAUGUUGUGAGCCCAUCUCUCUCUACAGCCCAUGCAUGAGCCCAUGUAGCGCUUCCGUAGCCCAUCUACCCAUAGCUAGGAUAAUUAAUGCCAACAGUACCGGCCGGCGGCGGGUUGGUGACGCCGUGCGAGGGCGACGAAUCGUCCAUCGGAGCCUCAGACUCGGGCGGCAGCCACGUGAAGCGAAGCGACGAGCCGCCGCAACUCGCGAGGCAACGGCACCGACCGUCGAGUUGCCGAGGCACAAACAACCGCGCGGAGUCUUCAUCUCUCAAGCCGUUGCUUCAUCAGGUAAGUAAGGGCAUUCGGUCAGUUGAGCAUCAAUUCGCCUAAAGCAAAAGUUGAGCAUCAUCCACCCCAAUUGGUUCGGAUUCAAUUUUUUUCCCAAACAAGUGAGAAAAUCUUCGAUUUUCUUUGAAGCCUGGUUUCAUGCGGUUCCUAAUUUUCAGUUGCAACUGAUCAAAUGGGUUUUUAACUCAGUAUUGUGUCCAUAACUAUAUAGAUGUAGGUCCUGUUUGGUUAAACAUUAGUCCCUCCUUUUUUUCCUCUUUAGUCCUUAUUAAACUACCAAACAUAGGGAUUAAAACGAGGACACUUGUUUAAAGUGAACUAAAAGCUCAGGAGGACACCCCUGCCUCUCAUUUAUUAUCCAUUCCCACCCGUCUCGAACCCUCCCUUCAGGUCGUCCUCGCUCGCUCCCCUUCCCGCCACCACCGCCCCCUCUCCUCCCCACACCGCCGCCACCGCUCCUGCUACUCCCCGUGCCGCCGCACCCGCUCCUCAAAAAUUCGCUCCACCCGCACCCGACGAAGAGGAAGACGGGCGGCGGCGGGGCUCCGGCGGCCCCGAGGGUCCCGCCAACGAUGUACUCGAUGGUUGAGCACUGCGAGAAGAGCUCGGCCAGGGCGUUGGACUCGGAGAUGGCAACGUAGUGCGGCGGGAAGUGGUUCCGGGAGAAGCAAAGCGGGCAGAUCCAGAUCUUGGCGGCGAAGUCGGCGCGCGCGAAGGGAUUGAAGAGGGCGGAGUAGGGCGACCUGCAUAAUUAGGCCUCGGGAUGGUGCUACAUGUUGCAUAGUUGGUUUAUAAUGACUUGUUUCCUUGGAACGAAUAUACACGGAUAUUGCACUAAUCUGAAAUGUUUUCCAUAUGCCAUGCAUAUCCAUUAAUACGCACUUCAGGAACAGACGACCUCGUCCGUGAGGAUAUUGUCUCUACAGAACUUAGUUUUCCAAAAGUUGCUCAUUCAUUCGUGUAUCAAAACCAGAUUCUGUUUAUAUUACAAUUUGCCAGUUGUUGCUUUCCUUGCAUCUCAGCACGGUAAGUCUGCUGGAUUUUUGUCCUUUCAUAUAUUAGGAUGGAUGAAGUCACGCAAGCUGUUGAGAAUCUGAAGAAAGAAUGGAACCAAGCGGUUUCACAGCUUGAGGAGAGCAUUGCUGCAAUCAAAUCAUGUGGAAAAACAGGGAAAUGGAUAGAGGAAGCAAAUUCUCUUCCAAGGUUGAAUGGUUCUGCACAGGAUGCUCUGCAAUUGCUCAAGUCACUGCAGUUUCGUCUUGAUCUUCUAGCAUAGCAGCUUCCCACUUUUCAAGAAGUGCAGUCUGGCCAAGCAACCUUAGAGUCAUGGAAUGAACAAUACAAGAAGUAAGAUAGUCUUGGUAUCUUUCCUUUUGUUCUCCUUUUUAACCUGCUUUGAUUUCUAACAAUUUUGAUUGUGUUGGCAGGCUGCGUGCUAGCCUGAGGAAUGCUAACUUACAUUAGAAAAGCUGCUCAAGAGGAGGUGUGUGAUUUUGCCUCAAUUUCAUGAUAUUAAUCUGAUUGAUUUGCUGUCUGAGAACUAAUACUUCUUAGAGCAUCACCAAUGCAAGGGAAUUACAAGUGAAAGGUUAUGCCGCAUAAUAAAGAAAUUAUUUUAUGAACCUAUUCUUUAUAUGCAAGUAUCUCUUCUCGUAGGUGUUUAUGGACUCACUUAAGUUCAGAAGCACCAUUGAAUAGUUGCUUUAGUUUUUGCAACUUCUUUUGCAAAAUUGGCAAGAAAACUACCUGUAGGCACCAUGCACCUUUUUAGAGCAUUGUAGGUGCCCUUAUAACUUACGGCUAUCAGUUUCUAAUUGUCUUUUCUCUAGAGGGAGCUUCUUCUUGCGGGUGGAGAAGAGUCUACCAUCCGCAGGCGUAAUCUCCAGUAAGUUGAUUUUCAUGAGGUCAUAUUUCCUUUAAGCCAAUAUAUGGGAUAUUUAAGGAGUUUUCAUAAUUUAGUCAGUUACAUGGGUAUCCCUUCCAUCUGGUUUCAUCAAAUCUGGGUCACUUGAAAUUUUAAGAACCAGAUAAGGGCUAUGACUUUUGAAUUCUAGUUUGUUCUUAUUUCAAACUAAGAAUUAUGGAAUAAUUUGCUGUGUUAAUGCAUUGCACUAAUGAAUGAAACGCCCUUCUACAUUUGUAGUCCAAGUAACAUCCAGUUUUGUCGUAUAAUGUGAUUUGUGACCUGUUGAAUGGUGCAGGACAAAGACUAGGAUGACAUCUGCUGCAGAAAGUAUCACUGAGAGCCUCCGACGGUCUCGCCAGAUGAUGGUUCAGGUUAGCAUGUCCACGUCUUCAAUUGAUAGCUAUUAUGCUGAUGGCUUAUUGCUCGUUAAUUUGAAGCCAAUUAAUAUAAAUGUUUACAGGAAGUGGAAAGAAGUGCAAGUACCUUGGCAACAUUUGGUAUGCAUUCUUAUUUAAGCCUUUAGUCUGUUUAGAAUAUCUUAUUUCACAAUUGUUAUCAUUCCAGAAUGAUUGAGUUUUGUUGGUUGGUUUCCUGAAUCUCCUGUACAAUGGCUUGAUCUUAUUGUAAUUUAUUCAUGUGAUGGGUUGGAGAAAAUAAAACUGCUUGGUGGUACACAUGUAGUGUAUUUAUGUUUUAGGUUUUGUCACGUUAUUCUUUGUAACUUUACUAUAGCAUGUUCUUCUGUUAUGGUUGAAAAAUUAUAGCGCGUUCAUGUACUUCAUGGUGUAUGAAUUAAAACAUUUUCCUUUUUGCCUGCAUUUUUAGGAUCGUCAUAGUAAGAUUGCAACAUGCAAACUAAUUUAUUAAAUUAUGCAGAUGAAUCAACAAGUGUUCUUCGGAAGGCUGAAGGUGAAUAUCAAGGACACCGCUCUUUGCUGUCGCGGACCCGUGGUUUGCUCUCCACGAUGCAACGGCAAGAUGUUCUUGAUAGGUAGGUACCCUCUGGCGUAACUGGUCGUAUAGCCUGCAUUCUUGUUUUACAGUCAAGCCAUUUAACAGAAAGACAUAUCUUUAUAUAAUGUGUACACCUACUAGCAGCUCUAGUCACGUUUUGCACAAUGAAUAUCUACAAAUUGAAACACAUCCAUGGCUCCUUUUGUAGAACUGGCAACGAAUGCUAUAACUGACAGUACUCAACUAUCAUUUGUCAGGAUCCUUCGAGCCAGUGCAUUUUUCAUAUUAAACACAGAACAACUUGCCAGGCUAUCUUCAUAGAGAAGUAGGAAAUACAUGAUUCAUUAUAGCUCAUCAGGCGAAAAAAAAGAGAAGAAAAAAAAAUACUUGCAGGAAACAUGCUAGCAUUUGAUUUGCAUAUUAUCACAAGUUUGAAAUUGAACAAAAGUUGUGUGAAUUUAUAAGUUAUUCAAAAGCCUUUAUAAAAAAACAAGUAGUAUGAGUAACACCAAAGGGCACCAUAAUCAUCAGAUUGUCAUCUAAUAAAUAUUGCUACCUUCCUCUAUGAGCUGCUCACGAGGAGGUGUGUGAUUUUGCCUCAAUUUCAUGAUAUUAAUCUGAUUGAUGCUGUCUGAGAACUACAUACUUCUUAGAGCAUCACCAAUGCAAGGGAAUUACAAGUGAAAGGUUAUGCCGCAUAAUAAAGAAAUUAUUUUAUGAACCUAUUCUUUAUAUGCAAGUAUCUCUUCUCGUAGGUUUUUAUGGACUCACGUAAGCUCAGAAGCACCAUUGAAUAGUUGCUUUAGUUUUUGCAACUUCUUUUGCAAAAUUGGCAAGAAAACUACCUGUAGGCACCAUGCACCUUUUAGAGCAUUCUAGAUGCCCUUAUAACUUAAGGUUAUCAUUUUCUAAUUACCUUUUCUCUAGAGGGAGCUUCUUCUCGGGGGUGGAGAAGAGUAUACCAUCCGCAGGCGUAAUCUCUAGUAAGUUGAUUUUCAUGAGGUCAUCUUUCCUUUAAGCCAAUAUAUGGGAUAUUUAAGGAGUUUUCAUAAUUUAGUCAAUUAUAUGGGUAUCCCUUCCAUCUGGUUUCAUCAAAUUUGGGUCACUUGAAAUUUUGAGAACCAAAUAAGGGCUAUUACUUUUGAAUUCUAGUUUGUUCUAAUUUCAAACUAAGAAUUAUGGAAUAAUUUGCUAUGUUAAUGCAUUGCACUAAUGAAUGAAACGCCCUUCUACAUUUGUAGUCCAGGUAACAUCCAGUUUUGUUAUAUAAUGGCUUGAUCUUAUUGUAAUUUAUUCACGUGAUGAGUCAGAGAAAAUAAAACUGCUUGUUGGUACACAUGUAGUGUAUUUAUGUUUUAGGUUUUGUCACAUUAUUCUUUGUUACUUUACUAUAGGAUGUUCUUCUGUUAUGGUUGAAAAAUUAUAGCGUGUUCAUGUACUUCAUGGUGUUUGAAUUAAAACAUUUUCCUUUUUGCAUGCAUUUUUAGGAUCGUUGUAGUAAGAUUGCAACAUGCAAACUAAUUUAUUAAAUUAUGCAGAUGAAUCAACAAGUGUUCUUCGGAAGGCUGAAGGUGAAUAUCAAGAAAGGUGGUGAUGAUAGGAAGAAAACAUCACAAAGAAAAUGCUAUGAGUGCAAGGAAGUGGGUCACUACAUUGUCGAUUGUCCAUACAAGAAAAAUAAGGAGAAGGAAGAGAAGAGGUAGGACUACAAGAAGAAGUAUCAAGGUCAAGGUCAUGUUGGUCAAGAAUGGGAUUCAAGUGAUGAAGAAUCCAACAAGAAAUGUAUGGAAACUCUAGCCAUACUCAAGUCUUCUACACAAAAAAAAACUCUUGAACAACACUUCUGACAAUAAGGAUGACACUCCUUUUUGUCUCAUGGCAAGAGGAACCAAGGUAGAAGAAACAACCACCUCCUCUUCUCUCUCUACCUCCAUAUCUAGUAAUGUGCAAAAUGAUUUUGAAAGAUGAAGAAGAAAAAUAUAAAGCUAACAUGAUAAAAUAAUUUGGAAAGAAAGGUUAUAAAGAAAUUAAAAAGCUUAUGGAGAAAUUGGAGAAAAAGAAAGAGUCACUUGAUAGGCAAGAAGAUUUGCUCAUCCUUGAAAAGGAGAGAAACCUUGCCUUAGAGAAGGCCCUUGCCGAAGAAAAGGUGAAGGUUGAAAAUUUGGCUAUUGACUUGUCUCUAUCUAAUGAUUCAAAUGAGAGGAUGUCAAAGGAGCACACUUUGACAAAUGAAUCUCUAGCUUCUCUAAAGGCCACUCAUAAUGAACUUUAAGAAAUCUUCUCAUUCUCAAUGGUCAAAUACAAAAACCUUGAAGUUAACUAUAAUGCUCUUUGGGAAAGCACCAAAACCAAUUCUAAGGCAAAUCUUGACUCCAGUGCCUCCACAAGUGAAGGUUGCUCAGGAUGUUAUAAAAUUGAUAUAAAUGUUUGUGUUGCUAACAUUGCUAAGCUAGAAGAGUCAAUCCAAGCAAGGGAUAUUCAGAUCAAAAGAUUGAACAUGCUAGUGGCACAAGGUUAUGAAGGUAGUGUCAAACCCGAGUCUAAGAUCAAGUAUAAGGCUGGGAGGCAUCCUAUCCAUAUGGAUGGGCUUGGACACUACAAGGGAAGUAAGGUAAAUGACCGAAAGAUGGUUAAUGGUAAGAAGGUCCUCAUGUUCAACAAGGGUGCAAACCUUUGUGACUUGAUGAACAUGACACAUGGUGUGACAAAGACCAAUACAACUCAAGCCAAGCCAAUGCUCAUAGCAACUACCAAGGUAAACGUUGUGGAAAAAUCCAUGACAAAGUUAAAGGACAACGUGGUCGCACAUGAGCCCUCACGAAACUACACCACCGACUACAUGGUUACAAUGGACCACAAUGGUAAAAUAGUGGUCAAGUAUGUUGGUUCCUACAUGAAAAAGGCUAUCUUUAGAAGUGUGUGGGUUCCAAAGAUAUAUCCCUCUAACCAAUAAGGACCCAAAUCUUUUUGGAUAUCUAAUUUCAAGCUUAACUUGUUUUGUAGGCCUACUCCUCCGGUGGUACCACAUGGUUGCUUGAUAUGGGAUGCUCAAAUCAUAUGACUGGGGAGAAAGAUAUAUUUUCAUCCCUGGAGCAUUAUCACACACCUAAAGAAAAUAUUGUCUAUGGAGACCAAUAGCAAAGAGGAUGUAAUCGGAAUGGAUAACAUUGCUAUCUCAAAUAACAACUCUCUCUCUAAUGUUUAUUUGGUUGAAUCCUUGGGAUACAAUUUGUUGUCCAUCUCACAACUUUGUGAGAAGGGCUACAAUUGUGUCUUUACUAAUGAGGAUAUGACCGUCUUUAAAAGAGAGGAUUCCUCUAUUGCUUUUAUAGGUCGCUUGAAUGGCAAGCUCUAUCUAGUUGAUUUCACAACGAAUAAAGUUGAGCUCGAGACUUGUUUAGUGGCAAAAACUAACUUGGGUUGGCUUUGGCAUCAUCGACUAGCCUAUGUUGGGAUGAAGAACUUGGCCAAACUUCAAAAGGGCGAUCACAUCCUAGGACUAACAAAUGUUGUCUUUGAGAAAGAUAGGAUGUGUAGCGCGUGUCAAGCCGGGAAGCAAAUUGGUGCUCCACACCCCACCAAGAAUAUCAUGACUACGUCAAGACCAUUGAAACUUCUACACAUGGAUUUAUUUGGAUCCAUUAAUUACGUUAGCAUUGGCGGUAAUAAAUAUGAUCUUGUUAUUGUUAAUGAUUUUUUCCCAUUUCACUUGGGUAUUUUUUUGCAUGAUUAAAGUGAAGCUCAAAGGAUAGUCAAGAAAUUUAUUAGAAAAACUCAAAAUGAAUAUGAGUUGAAGAUCAAGAGGAUAAGGAGUGACAAUGUCUCGGAGUUUCGAAACACUAAUGUUGAAGAAUUUCUUAAUGAAGAAGGGAUCAAGCAUGAGUUCUCCGCUCCAUACACUCCUCAACAAAAUGGCAUUGUGGAGAGGAAGAACCGAACCUUGAUUCAAGCCACAAGAACUAUGCUUGAUGAGUACAAGACCUCGGAUAUUUUUUCGGUGAAAGCAAUUAACACGGCUUGCCAUGCCAUCAACCAUCUCUACCUCCACAAAUAUUUGGGCAAGAAAUCCUAUGAGAUAAUCACCGGUAACAAACCCAAGGUGCACUACUUUAGAGUUUUUGGAAGUAAAUGUUUAUUCUAAACAAGAAACUCAAAAGCUCCAAGUUUGCACCAAAGGUUGAUGAAGGAUUUUCUACUUGGUUAUGGUACUAAUGAACACGCCUAUCGUGUUUUCAACAAAAUCACCGGUUGUGUUGAGAUCACGGUAGAUGUGACUUUUGAUAAAUCCAACGGCUCUCAAGUAGAGCAAGUUGAUAAAAAUCUUGGAGAUAAUGAGGAGCCACCAAGUCAAUCAAUCAUGAGAAUGGGCUUGGGUGAAAUGAGAUCACGUGAAGUUGAGGCUCAAAUACCGGUUGAAAAGGACAACAAUGAUCCAUCAUCAUCAACAAGAGUUGAACCACCAAGUUCUCAACAAAGCCAAGAUCAAAGUCAAGUUCAUGGUGACAACCAAGCUCAUGGCAUUGAUCAAGGGGGAGAACAAAGUGGUGAAGCUCAAGAAGAUGCUCCACAAGUUGAAAAUGAUGAUGAUGGACCAAUUCAACGUUAAUCACAAGUGCCUCAUCCAAGAGUUCAUCAAAGCAUUCAACACGAUCAUACUGUUGACAACAUUAUUGGAAGUAUUCAAAGAGGGGUAACUACUCGUUCACGUUUAGUAACCUUUUGUGGAUGUUACUCGUUUGUUUCUUUUUUGGAACCUCUCAAGGUAGAUGAAACACUUGAUGAUCCGGAUUAGGUGAUUGCUAUGCAAGAAUAAUUAAACAACUUUACAAGAAAUGAGCUAUGGGAGUUGGUUGAAAGAUCCAAAGCAAAAUGUGAUUAGCACCAAGUGGGUUUUCCGCAACAAACAAGAUUAACAUGGUGUGAUCGCAAGAAACAAGGCAAGGUUAGUUGCAUAAGGUUUCACUCAAAUUGAAGGUUUGGAUUUCAGUGAGACCUAUGCACCCGUAGCUAGACUUGAGUCAAUUCAUAUUUUAUUAGCCUAUGCUACUCACCAUGAUUUCAAGUUUUAUUAAAUGGAUGUGAAAAGUGCAUUCUUGAACGGCCCCCUAUCCGAGUUGGUGUAUGUGGAACAACUGCUGGGCUUUGAAGAUCCAAAAUUUCCCAAUCAUGUGUACAAGUUUCAUAAGGCGCUCUGUGGGCUUAAGCAAGCUCCUAGAGCAUGGUAUGAAUGCCUUAAAAAUUUUCUUCUCAAGAACGACUUUGUAAUGGGCAAAGCUGAUUCUACUCUUUUUACUCAUAAAGUUGAUAAGGAUAUAUUUAUUUGCCAAAUAUAUGUUGAUGACAUUAUAUUUGGUUCUACUAAUUAAAAAUUUUGUGAGGAAUUUAGUAGGAUCAUGACCAAAAGGUUUGAAAUGUACAUGAUAGGUGAAUUGAAGUUCUUUCUUGGAUUUCAAGUCAAGCAAAUGAAGGAAGGAAGUUUCAUAUGUCAAACCAAGUAUGUGAAAGAUAUGCUCAAAAAGUUUGACAUGAUUGAUGCAAAACCUAUCAAGACACCCAUGGCAUUGAAUGGGCAUCUCAAUCUCAAUGAAGAAGGAAAGUCGGUUGAUCAAAAGGUAUAUCGCUCCAUAAUUGGCUCUCUACUUUACCUUUGUGUAUCUAGGUCGGAUAUUAUGCUUAGUGUGUGCAUGUGUGCAAGAUUUCAAGCCAAUCCUAAGGAAUAUCAUUUGAUGGCUAUUAAGAAAAUUUUGAGAUAUUUAGUAUGAACUCCUAACCUUGGUUUAUGGUAUCCCAAUGGCUCCACUUUUGAUCUACUUGGCUAUUCCGAUUCGGAUUAUGCCGAUUGCGAAGUAGAUCGAAAAGUACAACGGGGACUUUCCAAUUCCUUGGUAGAUCCUUGGUGUCUUGGAGCUCUAAGAAGCAAAAUUUGGUUGCUUUAUCCACCGCCGAAGCCGAAUAUGUGGCAGCCGGUGCUUGUUAUGCCCAACUCUUAAGGAUGAAGCAAACGUUGAGUGACUUCGAUUGUGAGUUUAGCAAUGUUCCACUCUUGUGUGACAAUGAGAGUGCCAUCAAGUUAGCUAACAAUCCGAUGCAACACUCUCGAACAAAUCACAUAAAUAUUAAACAUCAGUUCUUAAGGGAUCAUGAGGCUAAGGGAGAUAUUGCUUUACGUCAUGUGAGCACCGAAAGGCAACUUGCCGAUAUCUUCACUAAGCCUCUAGAUGAGCAAAGGUUUUGUGCUUUGAGGAAUGAGCUAAAUAUCUUAGAUUCUCGUAACUUGGCUUGACUUAUUGCACAUACUUGAUUGUUGACUAGAUAGGAAAAAUGGAUUUCUUUGUGUUGAGUUUAUUUUAAAACUUGGAUUUUGAUCUUUGGAUCAAAACUUGACUCAAGUGAUCAUUGUUAUGUAAUGUUGCUUGUUGGCUGAUCACUAAGUGUCAAGUUGUCUUAUAUGUCCAGAAGCCAUAUAUCUCGAAAUCUCAAUCUUUAUCCAUCUCAAAAUCAAUCUUUUUGGAGCAAUCUCAAAUCUAUCGGAACUUUCGGCACAACACUGGAACUUGCGAUAGCCACCAGAAGUAUCAGUAAAGUGCCGACCGAGGGUUCCCAGGAGAAUUUUCAUUAUCAUCGGAACUUCCGACGCAUAGUCGGAACUUUCGAUAACCAUCGAAACUUUCAGGUUUUCUCCAACAAAGGGUGCUCAGGAGUUGGAUUUAUUUGCCAUCGAAACUUCCAUCGCUCCGUCGGAACUUCCGAUAGACUGUCUAUGAGUAUAUAUACCCGUUGGAUACCCCUUAAACCCUAGCUCUCACCUCACUUCAAACCGACACCCCCUCCUCUCCUCUUUCAAUCUCUCUAGGGAAUCUCUUGCAACCGUGGGUUUUCGUUGCUAGUGCUAUCUUUAGAUUCUCCACUCCUCGGAGGUUCCGAUCCCCAUCGGAAGUUUUUCGAUUCGCAUGGGAAAUCUUCGAGGUAACUCAUUCAAAAAUUCUGUCACCCGAUCUCUCAAUGUAGUAGGAGUUAAUCGUUUUCCUUUGGGGGAUAGACUCUAGAUUGUCUUAGAACUCAUGCCUAUGAUCUUGUCAAAUUUGGUGGGUGCAAUAUCUGAUUCCAUGAAUUCUUGGAUGAACUCGGGCUCUGUUGGAUGUUCCGACCCAUCGGAAGUUCCGACAAGUACCUGAAGUUUCUGUUUUGAUUCAUGUGCAUCAUCUCUUGACUCCAUCCUAAUCAUUUUGUAAAUCAUGUCAGAUGGGUCGUGACAAGAGAGGCAAAACAGGGUGAGGAGACCCCGAAGAUUGAAUAUAACUCAUCCAUUGAAUCGGAAGAUCAAAUGUCGAUUGCUCAAAGAAAGGGAAAGAGGAAGGCCUUUCCCAAGGUUCCUAUGCGAGCUAGAGGUAGGGAGAAGCCUAUUCCAGCUGGGGGGCCUAGACAAGGUGGUCGGCCUCGCAUAAAGAAUGCAUCCGCUCCGGGUGCUCAUAUGGAUGAGAAUGAGAGGAUCACUUUGGAUUUUUUUGAACAAGUGAUCCUUCGCAUGUCCAAACCCAUUCGAGAAGAGCGGCCAGGAUAUAAUGGAGUUCGGAUGGUGGAUUAUCAAAAGGGCAAGCAUGCUAUACGAGUUCUCCAGUAUGAUAGGCCAUCCCAAUAUCAAAAGGAAUUCUAUGGGGAUGUUCGUUUUUAGCUACGCUUCCACGCCAAUUGGUAUGAGUCAGUGAUCUUUUGCAAGACUCAUCCUACCACUGAGAUGAAGUCCAUUGAUUGGCCAUAUUUCAAUGCAAUUAAGCUGCCUAUCAUUGAUCAAGUUUGGGAAGCAUGCAGUAAUAUGAAUCUUACCCCUCUUAUGCAAUUCAAUUGUGAUUGGAAUGAGGAAGUCAUUGCUCAAUUUUAUGCCAAUCUUUAUAUUGACCAGGUCAAUAAAGUAAUGCGUUGAACUCUUCAAGGGAAGCCCCUCUCGGUGACAUAUGCAGAAUUUGCAAGCAUUCUUGGUUAUGGCGAAGAUGAUCUCACUAGAUAUAAGAUUCAUGAGAUGGAAAAUGUCAUUCAGGAUGGUGAGAUAUGAUUCAUGUAUGACAUUGCAUAUGGGACAAUUGAGCAUGGUACUACCAAGGGUAUGCUUCCUUUCUACAAAUUGCUCAACCAGCUCUUCCGCUAUACCCUUUGUCCUAAAGGUGGUGAUGCGGACAACAUUUCCAACGUGUUAAAGAACCUACUUGCAAGAAUGCAUCCUGACAAGGAUGAAUUUAGUGUUUUUAACUUUAUUUGGAAAGAGAUUAUUAUUUGCUCUUACUCACCCAAGAAGAGUUGUCACUAUGCUCCUUAUAUUUUUGUUGUGAUCAACAAAGUGACAUAAUUGGAAACCUUGAUGGACAAGGGUCAUCCAAUCUACAAGCCAAAGAAGGGUCAUAUUGAGCGGCUUUGCAAGAUUGGCUCCCAUAGUAUUCGUCCUCCACCUCCACAAUGACCUUCUCAGGGACCAUCUAUUGGAGCUUCACCUUCUCUAGGGUCAUCAUCCUCUCAUAGGCUAUCUAGCUCUAGAGGUCCUCCACCCUCCCGUGCUCCUAAGAAGAAAGGGAUCUUCAACUUCUUAUCACAAGGUCUCUUUGCUUGCUUCAAUGUCGGCCGUCACAAUGCGGAAGAAAAUGUAUGCUCACAAGAAGCAUGUGGAUGGGCAGCUCUUGAAGAUAGAAAAGAGGCAAAAGGAGCUCAUGGCUAAGAAUGAUAUCUCACACUCUCCCGUCCAUGCUCCUAUGGAGUUCUCUCCUCCACCGGUAUUCUACAACCCUUGGGAGCAAAUUAGACAACCCUCCAUGUUCUUUGGGGCUCCCCAAGAAGAAGAUGAUUAUGAUUUGGGUGGGCGCGAGGAGUCCAAGAAGGAAGAAGAAGAUAUCCCGCUGCUCAUACUUCAGAAGAUGAGGGUGAUGAUGAUGAUAUAGGGAUGAGGAUGAUGAUGAUGAGUGAUGGCUAUAGAAGGGCCUCCCCUUUUUGGAGCUUGAUGCCAAAUGGGGAGUGAGCUCACCAUGGACCAUGAUGUGGUGGCUGCUAUAUCUUUUAUGAGCUUGAGUUUGUGGGCUUGUGGACAUGUAAAACUUUAAUUUGGUGUGAUGUGUGGUGUUUCAAGUGAGACUUUUAAAUUUGUAAGACUUAUUUGUGCUUUAUUAUGUUAGUGUGGAUCUAGAACUUAAUGCUUAUGAUUAUGUGAUGAUCAUGGUUUAAUGUAUUGUUUAUUUCCACUUUGUUGAUGUGAUAUAUCUUGUCAUAUGCAUCACAUUGAUUUUAAUAUCACUCUUUGCACCCCACAAAUGCAUGGAUACAGGGAGCUAUCUUAAAAUGUGCAAAUGGUAUUUGUGGGCAUUUUUUGAUUUUAUCUUGAAAAAUGCACAUAUUAAGGGGGACAUUACCUAUAUGAUUGCAUUCAAAAUGUUUAUAUACUUCUCUUGUGAGCCUUAGUUGUGUUGUCAUCAAUCACCAAAAAGGGGGAGAUUGAAAGUGCAUUUGGCCCCCUAAGUGGGUUUUGAUGUUGGUGACAUGCAUAACUAAGGAACUAAUGAAUUUAUCGAGAAAUUAACAGGUUCAAAUGUUAAGAAAUGAAAAAGGGCAAGAAAGGACCCCAAAUUUGUUUGAAGGACGGUGUUGAAGCAUAAACGAAGAUCUUUUUAUACUUUCUAUUUUUGAAUUUGAGUAUAGGAACACCGUACUAUAAAGGGGGACGCGGAUGGAUAGCUUAAAGAUGUCAAAGUGCUUAUUUAAGAUGCUAACCACCUAUGAGAUACACCACUCACAUACUUGCACAUUAAUUUCUCACAAUUUCUGUGAGUGUCGGAAGUUAUGACACCUGACGAAAGUUCUCAAAAACUUCCGACAGGCCCGACAAGGGGUGCUCAGCGGGUUUAAUUGAACAAUGUCGGAAGUUCCGACCCUGUGUUGAAAGUUCCGAUAAUAGGCACCGGAAGUUUCCAGCAACUUUCGGCAGGGGGUUCCCAGCCAUUUUAUUUGAAUUGUGUCGGAAGUUCCGACACAGUGUCGGAAGUUCCAACAAACACUUAACAAACUGCAACGGCUAGUUUUUAGGGCUCGGGUAUUUAUACCCCCCUCAGGCCCACUUCUUUUGCUGCUGACCAACCACGAGAUAAACUCCUCCUCAAGCAUUCAAUACUCCUCCCCACUCCCUCUUUGAGCUAAAUCUUUAAGAGUUUUGAGCUAGAGCUUGGGUGAGAGAAGGAUUUGAGGUGUGUGACUCAAUCUUUGAGUGAGAGGUCAACCAAGUUCAUCUCAAGAGCACUUGAAGCAUCUUCGGCCUUCGAUUCACGUUUGUUACUCUUGAAACUUGCUUCUAGACGGUUCGGCAUCGCCCGUUUGAGUGCCCUCUCGUUGUGGUGCUCCCGGGAAGUUUGUAUUGCCCAUCCUCUUGGAGGAUUAAUAGUAAGUGACUCAAUCCUCCUUUGUGGUUGAUUGAGAGAGGUAAAGGGUUAGUGAGGACCCGGCUCUUUGUGAGCUCCUCAACGGAGACAUAGCUCCCUUUGUGGGAGUGAACUUCGGUAAACAAAUCUUUUGUCUUGUGUUCUUAUUGUGUUCUUCAAUUUCUUGUUGACCUUGAGCUUGAUUUGUGCCAAUCUACUUUUGGUGAAGUUUCUCUCAUAAAGAUCACCUGUAGUAGUUUUUAUAUAUCAUUGCUGAACUUUUGAUUCAAAUAGAAUCUACUGAAACUUGUUUGUUUUUGAAUUUUGUAGAGUAGUUUUUACUCUAUUGGAAGUUCUGACCUAUUUAAUACCGCUGCGAAGAAUUUUCAGAUCGAGACUAUUCACCCCCCUUUAGGCAUCACACGAUCCUUUCAAAGUAGUUGUGUUUUCUAUCUAGGUUUUCCAUGCAGUACUCAAGAAGUCAUAAUGAACAAAUUGUGCAUGUUUCUUCUAGCUCAAAUUGCAAGUUUGUCUAGGAAGUUGCAGCAAUGGACACCAGAGAAAAGCAUUGUUGCGCCGUGGGGAGAUCAAUAAACGUGCUAUUAUCACUCCCGAUAUUGACUACUUGCUGGGUUCUGUUGACAAGAUGGAAGAAUAACCCAUUCAUUUCUUUUGGGUAAAAAACCAUCAUGGCCAUAUGCCGCAUUGCAAGGGACUAUUUAGUUUUUUUCUUCAUAGAACAAUCCAGAAACUCGGGGGUCGGGGUGUUCUCAGCACAACAAUUUUGAGUUGCAAAAUAAAUAUGGCAAACAAUAAGGAGUCAGAGACAAGGUCUGAAACAAAGGAGGCAAUCACAAAUAGAUUACUGUCUUACGGGAAAACUAAUUAUGGAUCAAAUGUAUCUGCCCUGCUUUAUUGAAAACCACAUGGUCCGAGUUGGGGACACCUACUAACAAAAGCACUUACUAUCUAUGAGAUGUAGAGCUAAAAGGAUUUUUAAAAUAUUAUAUUUUUAUGAUUAUUGCACACUUUUUGCUAGUGAAGUGGAGAUUAAUUUAUUUGCAUUUUGCAAUAAUGCGUUUAACGUACAUUUUUGAGAUUUGGAACUGGAUGUUUGAUCCCAGUUUUCUUGUGACCAAAUGAUCUUGUUUUGCAAGUCUUUUCAUAAAAAAACUCUUAUUUUUUCAAAUUAUGAUAUAAAACCUACGAUAAAACGUGUCACCGUGUGAUUGCUGCUAGUUGAUUUGGUGCUGGCCCAAAAGAAGGCCCAAUAGGCUGGGCCUAGCAAGCCUAAAAUUGCAAUCACGGCCGAAUCAUUGAGUGUGUGUUCUAAUCCUAGAGGCGCAUCUUGAACCAGUUUUUUGAACUUUUUCCUUAAAAAAUAUGAUGUAGUUUCUAUUAAAACUUUCUUUUAAAGACAUGUUUUGUUUAAUCAAGAUAAUGAUUAGUCACAAGAGAUCUACAGCAUUUGGUGCACACAUGCACAAAUUUUUAGCUUUGUAAAUGAAACUAGUUUAAAUAAUUUUGAGAAAAAAUAAUGAAGUACUAGUUCUGGGACUAAAUUGACAUGCAAAUGAAAUUUUAAGCUCAAAAAUCAUUCAAUCCCUGCAAACGUGCACCAAAUUCUAUUUUGUGCCAAUCUAUGUGCAUAUGUGCAGCAAAAAUAUUGACCUGGAUGAUAGUAAUUAGUUUUCUCAAAAUUUUGGGAACUAUAUAUUACUCAUACACAUUUUCUUUUGUCCAAUUUUUGACAAUAGCUUCCUCACUUUUGUCAGUGCUCUUCACGCAAACCAUCCAUACAUGUACUUACUACAUCCGUUUUUAUUUAAAUGACGUCUGGACAAACAAGCUAAGAAUUGAAAUAAAUGUUGACAAUGCAGGUCAGCUACAAACCAUACAUACAUGUACUUACUACCUCCUUUUUUUUUAAAUGACGUCCGAACAAAAACUUUCACGUGUUACGAGUGCAAAUUCUGGUCGGGAGCAUCAGUUAUUCGUGAACGGAGGUAGUACAAUUUAGGAAUUCAAAAUCUAUCUUUUGAAAGAAUUUAAAAGGAGGCAUUAUUUUAUCCUUUAAUUAAUAUACAACAUGCGCCAAACAUGAACCUGCCCGGUUAAACCUUCCCAAUGAUUAAUUCUGCGUCGAUGCAACAGCAGGCAGACCAGCAUACUACAGGCCGAGUCUGAGAACAGAGGACAGGAAAACGAGCAAUCAAGAACCCUAGCCUAGCUUCACAACACGGCAGGCCCAGGACAGAACAGAAUUACCGAAGUGCCCCUCGCCAUUUAACCAUCUCAUCCCCUCACCUCCCCGACGGCGACUCCCCUCGAGCUCGCCCUCCUCCCCCCGACUCGCUACCGUCGCCCGCUCUUCCCCGGCCAGCGAUCCCGAUUCAACUGGUAAGCCCCCGAUUCCGUUGCGCCCUGCGGUUCCCUUACCCAGUUGCCCGCGGGCCGGCCGGUCGGCCUCCCGCGCGGCGCUGGGGUUUGCUGCUGAAUCGGCGAGUCGGAGGAGCCAGGGACAGGAUGGGAGGCGGCCGGCUGCCUUGCGUGGUGUACUGAUGCGGCUGUCACGGCGCUGGCUCGCGGUUUGUUCCUGGUUUAGGUUUUUUUGGGUCUGUAGAGGUGAUUGCUUUUGGCUGGGAGGCCCGGAUUGCAGUCCGGGCGUUGGGCGCACGGGGUGUGGGUAUCACAAAAUCGUUCCUUGACUCGAGGAGAGCUCCAUUUCGGUGCCGUCAAGCGGCCUGAUUGGCGAAAUUCGAGUGGAGUGGACUUUUGAGGUCAAUAGUGAAGAUUAUUUCUCUGGUAGGAGUAUAGGAUUGCAAAUAAUUUUAUUGUUUCAAAUGAUCGAGAGCUGCUGAGCAGGCAGAUUGGUAGAUGAUUGAUUUUAGCGUGCCAUAUUUUUUACGUUGUCCUUUAGUCUUUCUGACAUUUGCUUGUCACUAUUUUGUGGACACACUUGUUGCGCUCUGUUUCACCCUAUGCUUUUGUGUUUCUCUGGCAUGCAACUGCUGUGUAGUCCAAACAAAUACCACUCCACGCAUGAUGGCUGCCAGCUUAUAUGCAUAUUGUUUGUUCCGAUCAACAUGAGAAUAUGAGAUUGGAUUGAAUUGAGAUUUUGGAAUUGGUACUGCAUGAGAGCUCCCAGGAAUACUGUGUGCAGGAAGGUGAAUGUCUAGCUAAUUUUGACUUUUAAAAUCAGGAUGCUUUUGUUUUUAUGUUUCAAUGGGGUUCUAUUGCUUCAUAUUAGAGCCACUGAUUAGGGAAAGUAGCUUUCCAUGCGAUACACGCAUGUAAAUGCCACUAAUCUUUGACGGUGUUUUCAUGAUCAGUUGGGUCCCCUGUCAUUGGGUCGUUUGAUUUUCGUGCAAUGUCGCAAAUCACUAGCAGAAGGCUGGUAGUGAGGUAGGAUUGGAAGAGGGAAGGGAUGAGGAAGCUUAGUCUAGAUAGAAUUUUGGAAGGGAGUGUAGAUUAGGCUCACCCAUUUAUAGUGGUGCCAAGCAGGGCCAGGCCAACGCCGCCGCUGCCGCAUCGCCGUCUUCUCUCCACGCCCCUUUCCAUCAGGUAAUUCUCUCCGGCGGCAUGGGGCACCCAGAUGCCUGUUCUUCCUUGGAUCAAUCCUUCUUUUAAGUCAGUCUUGUGUCUUUGUUUUGGUGGUUAUGUCACCGGACUGAUUGCCUUGCUGCUGGAAUGCUUUACUCCCUCCUGUCCCAUCCUCAUCACGUGGAUACUGAAACUGCGGGGUAACUGAUAAUAAGUUCAUAAGCAAAUGGUUUUUGAGGUCACCUGUGCUCAUGAAUUAGAAAAGAGAUCAAUCCAGAUGGGGAAGGGAGGUAGCAGGGUUCUUGAUCGUGCCCCAGGCGUUUCAGCACUAAUCGCCCCUUUGGGCUCUGGCGCCGCUAGAAUCGGGAGUAUUUGCUUCGUCCUCUUCCUCUAACGCCCUUUUCUUUUGAAGUUUUGAUCAAGGGAAGCAAGUUUUCUGCUGCUAACAAUUGUCUGUUUAUCUUGGUCAAUGGAUUGGGAGCAUGGGCAUUGAUGUUUUUCACUGUGUUGUGGUUUAGAAUACUUCAAUCGAAGUUGAGAAGCAAUUUCGAGUUUCUACUUGCUGUGCAAAUUGUAGUCAACUUCAAUGUUGAAAAGUUGUAAGCGUAACACAUCAGCUCACAGCUUCACUCUUGUAGGUUUUCUGAUUUUAUUAUGGACGACAAGAGUAAAGUCCAGAAGGAAAUGGGUGCUCCUCGAAAGGUUAGUAUCUCUUUUCCUUGGCUGUUCACAAUGCCAGCUUCUUCCAGUUUAUUGCUUACCAUUGUUGUUUCUUGAUGUAAGGGAGGACUAAAAUUUGCACCCAAAGUACCUGUGAAGAAAGCUGCCAAAAUUGUUCCGAAAAAGUAGGUGAUUGGUCCGUGUUACUUUUCUAAAACUUGGAUAGCUUCCAUUUAAAAUUUGCUAGAUUAGCAAUUUCAGUGAUGUGUAAUUUGAUUUACUCUAACUUGACAGGGAACCAGUUGAGGAUAGCAAGGAUGAAACCGUCGAUAAGGAAUUGCUGAUGAAACUUAAGGCAUCACAGGUACUAAUCAUUAUAUUUGGUCCUUCAUUUGUUGUAUCUGCAAUCUUUUCACUUGAUGCUUGGUUGAUGUAUACAAUAAUUUGUUUCAUUUUGCAGAUUACAGAUCCCUUUGCUAGAAGAGUUAAAACUGAGGAUAAGCGUAAGAGUGCUUAUUUAUGUUCAUUCCGUGCUUUAUAGUCUAAACCUCAUCACCACCUAGUAAAUUUGUUACUCCUACCUCUAAAAGAAGUGUUAUCCCUGCAAGCUGAUGUGCUCGCAGCUACUCCUGUGAAUGGUUAUUGAUGUAUGUUGCAUCACGUUGGAUUGUCUUAAAUUUUACAUUGUGUUGUGCAUGCACCGAACUCUUUCUUUCCAAGUCUUGAAUUAGUGUACUAAAAUUUAGUGCAUGUAGUACAAGGUAACCAAGGAUUUGUUACAGAGAAGGUUUAUUCAGAAAAAAAAUCAUUAGUUUCUUUCUAAAUUGAUAGAUCCAAUUGUUAUAAUUAUCAAACUAGUAUCUCAUUGGUGUUUAUAAAUAUACAAUUUUUUUAAUAUUGGUGCGGAUUAUUUAUUUUAUUUCUGAUGCACAUCUAGCUAACGAUGUAUUGCUCUGUUUGCAUAGCAAAAAGCCGGACACAAGUUGCAUUUGGACAAGGAAAUUCUUCUUACGCAAGAUCAUUUUCUAUGCCAAAACGUUCUAAAGGUAUUGGUGGAAGAUAUUUAUCUUCAUUGCUUAUGACUCUAAACCGUUCACUAAGUGUCAUAAUUCUGAAAAAUUGGAUUAGUCUGCUGGCUGGGUUGCAAAUUUUGCUUUUCUCUUUUAAAAGAACAUAGAAUAUAUGUAAUGCUUGUUUGCACAUACAGAUUGCUGUAUUUGGACCUUAAUAACUAUCUUUGUUUCCAUUUCAUAUGCAGAUGAAGAGAAGUUAACAAAAGAAUAUGCAGAGCCAUGGGUGAGUAAAGAUCAGAUUACUAAUUCAGAUCGCUUCCUACUCGGACCUUAUCCAUUGAUUUCCUUUUUUAUUACAGGACUAUAACCAUACUGAUUAUCCUGUUACUCUCCCAUUGAGGAGGCCCUACUCUGGAAAUCCUGGUAUGCUGUUGUCUUUGUAGUGAAAUUGCAAGAAUUUUUCUUCAACCGACCUUUACACCCUUCCCACAUCCCUAAUGCAGAAAUUCUUGAUGAGGAAGAAUUUGGAGAAUCUUCUGCCAGCAGAGCUCAAGAUGCUAAAUUAACCGCAGCGGAAGAGCUUGGAUUAAUCGUAUGUCGCAGAUUCCAACACCAUUUUUUUUUCUGAUUAUAUGUAUUAAUUAUUAAAGCAAAAUCACUUUGUAAGCUCAAUUGUGUACACUAAGAAUCAACAUUGAACUGCUUAAAACUAAUAUAGUUGUACAGACCGUGGCCAUUGCUGCUCUUACACAUGUCCCGUGUUGACAGGAUCGAUCAGAUGAAUCACAAUUGCUCUUCAUCCAGUUGCCGUCUUCUCUUCCUUUACCAGUGCAGCCACAAUCAGUUGCUGAGCCUAAUAAAGGCUCCGAGGAGAGACGUCAGGGCAUGAAGCCAUCAUCGCACUGUGGCUCGAAACUCAAGGAUCUGCCUGGGGGUUAUAUGGGGAAGAUACUUGUAUAUAAGAGUGGUAAAGUGAAGAUGAAGGUCGGAGACACGCUAUUUGAUGUGAGUUUCAAAACUGGAAGUAGUUCUGUUUCCUAUCUAGGUUUUCCAUGCAGUACUCAAGAAGUCACAAUGAACAAAUUGUGCAGGUUUCUUCUGGCUCGAAUUGCAAGUUUGUCCAGGAAGUUGCAGCAAUGGACACCAGAGAAAAGCAUUGUUGCGCAGUGGGGGAGAUUAACAAACGUGCUGUUAUCACCCCCGAUAUUGACUACCUGCUGGGUUCUAUUGACAAGAUGGAAGAAUAGCCCAUUCAUUUCUUUUAGGUAAAACAACCAUCAUGGCCAUAUGCCACAUUGCAAGGGACUACUUAGUUUUGUUUCUUCAGAGAACAAUCUGGAGUUUACUCUUCCAGAAACUGGGGGGGGGGGGGGGGGGGGGGGGGGGGUCUCAGCACAACAAUUUUGAUCAAGAUAAUGAUUAGUCACAAGAGAUCUACAACAUUUGGUGCACACAUGCACAAAAUGGAAAUGAAAAUUUAAGCUCAAAAUUCAUUCAAUCCCUGCAAACGUGCACCAAAAACUAUUUUGUGCCAGUCUAUGUGGUUCUGUGCAUAUGUGCAGCAAAAAUAUUGAUCUGGAUGAUAGUAAGUAGUUUUCUCAAAAUUUUGGGAACUAUAUAUUACUCAUACACAUUCUCUCUUGUCCAAUUUUUGACAAUGGCUUCCUCACUUUUGUCGGUGCUCUUCACGCAAACCAUACAUACAUGUACUUAUUACAUCCGUUUUUAUUUAAAUGACGUCUGGACAAACAAGCUAAGAAUUGAAAUAAAUAUUGACGAUGCAGGUCAGCUAUACCUUUGUUUUUUGUUUAAAUGACGUCCGAACAAAAACUUUCACCUGUUACGAGUGCAAAUUCUGGUCGGGAGCAUCAAUUAUUCGUGAACGGAGGUAGUACAAUUUAGGAAUUCAAAGUCUAUAUCUAGAAAGAAUUUAAAAGGAGGUAUUAUUUUAUCCUUUAAUUAAUAUUCAACAUGUGCCAAACAUGAACCUGCUGGUUACACCUUCCCAAUGAUUAAUUCUGGGCCAAUGGAUUAAGCCUCGUGGAUCAAAAAUUGAAGCUGAAAUUUAGCUGGCGUCGAUGCAACAGCAGGCAGACCAGCAUACUACAGGCCGAGUCUGAGAACAGAGGACAGGAAAACGAGCAAGCAAGAACCCUAGCCUAGCUUCACAACACGGCAGCCCAGGACAGAACAGAAUUACCGAAGUGCCCCUCGCCAUUUAACCAUCUCACCCCCUCACCUCCCCGACGGCGACUCCCCUCGAGCUCGCCCUCCUCCCCCCGCCUCGCUACCGUCGCCCGCUCUUCCCCGGCCAGCGAUCCCGAUUCAACUGGUAAGCCCCCGAUUCCGUUGCGCCCCGCGGUUCCCUUACCCAGUUGCCCGCGGGCCGGCCGGUCGGCCGCCCGCGCGGCGCUGGGGUUUGCUGCUGAAUCGGCGAGUCGGAGGAGCCAGGGACAGGAUGGGAGGCGGCCGGCUGCCUUGCGUGGUGUACUGAUGCGACUGUCACGGCGCUGGCUCGCGGUUUGUUCCUGGUUUAGGUUUUUUGGGUCUGUAGAGGUGAUUGCUUUUGGCUGGGAGGCCCGGAUUGCAGCCCGGGCGUUGGGCGCACGGGGUGUGGGUAGCACAAAAUCGUUCCUUGACUCGAGGAGAGCUCCAUUUCGGUGCCGUCAAGCGGCCUGAUUGGCGAAAUUCGAGUGGAGUGGACUUUUGAGGUCAAUAGUGAAGAUUAUUUCUCUGAGAGGAGUAUAGGAUUGCAAAUAAUUUUAUUGUUUCCAAUGAUCGAGAGCUGCUGAGCAGGCAGAUUGGUAGAUGCUUGAUUUUAGCGUGCCUUAUUUUUUUACGUUGUCCUUUAGUCUUUCUGACAUUUGCUUGUCACUAUUUUGUGGACACACUUGUUGCGCUCUGUUUCACCCUAUGUUUUUGUGUUUCUCUGGCAUGCAACUGCUGUGUAGUCCAAACAAAUACCACUCCACGCAUGAUGGCUGCCAGCUUAUAUGCAUAUUGUUUGUUCCGAUCAACAUGAGAAUAUGAGAUUGGAUUGAAUUGAGAUUUUGGAAUUGGUACUGCAUGAGAGCUCCCAGGAAUACUGUGUGCAGGAAGGUGAAUGUCUAGCUAAUUUUGACUUUUAAAAUCAGGAUGCUUUUGUUUUUAUGUUUCAAUGGGGUUCUAUUGCUUCAUAUUAGAGCCACUGAUUAGGGAAAGUAGCUUUCCAUGCCGAUACACGCAUGUAAAUGCCACUAAUCUUUGACGGUGGUUUCAUGGUCAGUUGGGUCCCCUUAAGGAACAGACAACAUCGUCCGCGAGGAUAUUUUCUCUAUGGAACUUAGUUUCCAGAAGUUGCUCAUCCAUUCGUGUAUCAAAACCAGAUUCUGUUUAUAUUACAAUUUGCCAGUUGUUGCUUUCUUUGCAUCUCAGCAUGGUAAGUCUGCUGGAUUUUUGUCCUUUCAGAUAUUAGGAUGGACGAAGUCACGCAAGCUGUUGAGAAUCUGAAGAAAGAAUGGAACCAAGCGGUUUCACAGCUUGAGGAGAGCAUUGCUGCAAUCAGAUCAUGUGGAAAAACAGGGAAAGGGACAGAGGAAGCAAAUUCUCUUCCAAGGUUGAAUGGUUCUGCACAGGAUGCUCUGCAAUUGCUCAAGUCACUGCAGUUUCGUCUUGAUCUUCUAGCACAGCAGCUUCCCACUUUUGAAGAAGUGCAGUCUGGCCAAGCAACCUUAGAGUCAUGGGAUGAACAAUACAAGAAGUAAGAUAGUCUUGGAAUCUUUCCUUUUGUUCUCCUUUUUAACCUGCUUCGAUUUCUAACAAUUUUGAUUGUGUUGGCAGGCUGCGUGCUAGCCUGAGGAAUGCUAACUUACAAGCGAAAGAGAACAUUAGAAAAGCUGCUCAAGAGGAGGUGUGUGAUUUUGCCUCAAUUUCAUGAUAUUAAUCUGAUUGAUUUGCUGUCUGAGAACUAAUACUUCUUAGAGCAUCACCAAUGCAAGGGAAUUACAAGUGAAAGGUUAUGCCGCAUAAUAAAGAAAUUAUUUUAUGAACCUAUUCUUUAUAUGCAAGCAUCUCUUCUCGUAGGUGUUUAUGGACUCACUUAAGUUCAGAAGCACCAUUGAAUAGUUGCUUUAGUUUUUGCAACUUCUUUUGCAAAAUUGGCAAGAAAACUACCUGUAGGCACCAUGCACCUUUUUAGAGCAUUGUAGGUGCCCUUAUAACUUACGGCUAUCAGUUUCUAAUUGUCUUUUCUCUAGAGGGAGCUUCUUCUCGGGGGUGGAGAAGAGUCUACCAUCCGCAGGCGUAAUCUCCAGUAAGUUGAUUUUCAUGAGGUCAUCUUUCCUUUAAGCCAAUAUAUGGGAUAUUUAAGGAGUUUUCAUAAUUUAGUCAGUUACAUGGGUAUCCCUUCCAUCUGGUUUCAUCAAAUCUGGGUCACUUGAAAUUUUAAGAACCAGAUAAGGGCUAUGACUUUUGAAUUCUAGUUUGUUCUUAUUUCAAACUAAGAAUUAUGGAAUAAUUUGCUGUGUUAAUGCAUUGCACUAAUGAAUGAAACGCCCUUCUACAUUUGUAGUCCAAGUAACAUCCAGUUUUGUCGUAUAAUGUGAUUUGUGACCUGUUGAAUGGUGCAGGACAAAGACUGGGAUGACAUCUGCUGCUGAAAGUAUCACUGAGAGCCUCCGACGGUCUCGCCAGAUGAUGGUUCAGGUUAGCAUGUCCACGUCUUCAAUUGAUAGCUAUUAUGCUGAUGGCUUAUUGCUCGUUAAUUUGAAGCCAAUUAAUAUAAAUGUUUACAGGAAGUGGAAAGAAGUGCAAGUACCUUGGCAACAUUUGGUAUGCAUUCUUAUUUAAGCCUUUAGUCUGUUUAGAAUAUCUUAUUUCACAAUUGUUAUCAUUCCAGAAUGAUUGAGUUUUGUUGGUUGGUUUCCUGAAUCUCCUGUACAAUGGCUUGAUCUUAUUGUAAUUUAUUCAUGUGAUGGGUUGGAGAAAAUAAAACUGCUUGGUGGUACACAUGUAGUGUAUUUAUGUUUUAGGUUUUGUCACGUUAUUCUUUGUAACUUUACUAUAGGAUGUUCUUCUGUUAUGGUUGAAAAAUUAUAGCGCGUUCAUGUACUUCAUGGUGUAUGAAUUAAAACAUUUUCCUUUUUGCCUGCAUUUUUAGGAUCGUCAUAGUAAGAUUGCAACAUGCAAACUAAUUUAUUAAAUUAUGCAGAUGAAUCAACAAGUGUUCUUCGGAAGGCUGAAGGUGAAUAUCAAGGACACCGCUCUUUGCUGUCGCGGACCCGUGGUUUGCUCUCCACGAUGCAACGGCAAGAUGUUCUUGAUAGGUAGGUACCCUCUGGCGUAACUGGUCGUAUAGCCUGCAUUCUUGUUUUACAGUCAAGCCAUUUAACAGAAAGACAUAUCUUUAUAUAAUGUGUACACCUACUAGCAGCUCUAGUCACGUUUUGCACAAUGAAUAUCUACAAAUUGAAACACAUCCAUGGCUCCUUUUGUAGAACUGGCAACGAAUGCUAUAACUGACAGUACUCAACUAUCAUUUGUCAGGAUCCUUCGAGCCAGUGCAUUUUUCAUAUUAAACACAGAACAACUUGCCAGGCUAUCUUCAUAGAGAAGUAGGAAAUACAUGAUUCAUUAUAGCUCAUCAGGCGAAAAAAAAGAGAAGAAAAAAAAAUACUUGCAGGAAACAUGCUAGCAUUUGAUUUGCAUAUUAUCACAAGUUUGAAACUGAACAAAAGUUGUGUGAAUUUAUAAGUUAUUCAAAAGCCUUUAUAAAAAAACAAGUAGUAUGAGUAACACCAAAGGGCACCAUAAUCAUCAGAUUGUCAUCUAAUAAAUAUUGCUACCUUCCUCUAUGAGCUCUGGGGUCUUGUUGAGAUGAUUCCUUAGUCAAUGGUGCAGUCCUGCCAGUUAAAGGUUCAAAGGCACAUAACUUGUGGACUGCUUCAGUAGGGCCUUGCUUCAUACCACGAAUGGAUCAAACAACUCCUAUCCUCAAAGUCCUAUUACUUGUACGUUGCAUCUCCAAGACUCUGUACUAUGAAGCAAGGAUGCAUAUUAUCCUUGUUUGAAGGUGGAUUAGUGCAGUAACAUUCCUGACAUACUAUUUUGUUCCUAAUUCCCAGUGGUUCAGCUGUCAGCCCAAAAUGCUUAGGAAGAAAUUGUUUUGAAGUAUAAGUCUGGUGCUUCUGUGCUAUGCAAUCAGUUCUUUUUAUCCGCUAGACAAUGUCCUUCCUGUCUGGUAACAAUUCCGUGUUUCUGUGUCAAAUGUGCCAUGGCCAAAUGGCUAAUUGCUAAUUGCAUCUGUUUCCCAGGGUCAUCCUAACAGCCGGCUUUAUCAUUUUCUCCUUGGCGGUUCUCUACGUUGUCUCAAGACGCAUUGGUCUGCUGACUCUGCAAAGGAAACUGGCUGAUGCCAUCAGAUCAGGUUCGCUGUCAGCCGAGGACAUCGUAGCGAAAGCCCAGCAGCAUGGACCUGCCGCAGCUGAUGCUGCAGGCCCCGCUCCUCCCAUUUACGAUGAACUGUGACUCGCAUCUGCCCAUGAGUUUUUUUUUUUUUUUGAGAGGGCAUUUGCCCGUGGUUUCUUAUACAUGUGUACCCAGAUUCCCAGAAGCAAUUGUAAGGCAAUAGUUUCACGAAUAAGCUAUUGUUGAGAUAUAUAUCUACAGUGCAGUGAUCUGUGAUCAACUGAUCAUCAAAUCAUGCACCGACCUGUUCGAUUAAAAGUCCAUGAUCUCGGCUCAGCCCACGAGCCCUGGGCUCAAAAGGCCUGUCUUUUUUUUUUUUUGGAUAAGGGGCUCAAAAGGCCUUGGCAUGCGCCCAAUACACUAGUUGUCAGGCACCUAGCAGGAGCCGAGGGGCAUCCCCCGGCCGGCCUCGUCCUUGGAGCGCGGCCAGGCGUUCCAGGUGAGGCGGACGGCGUCGGGGCUGUCCGGGUCGGCAGCCGCCGCGGGCGGCGCCACGGAAGGAUUGGCAGCCGACAUCGGGGUGCGGCGAGUGGCGGUGCGGGCUGAUCGAGCGGUGGUGCGGGCAGAUCGGGCGAGGAGGUGGUGGUGAUGGUGGGAUGCGCUUGCACUCUGCGCGUCCGUGCGGUGGCUUGGCUCGGUUUCGUCGUUCGCCUGUUCGUUCCUCCUCGAUCUUUUUUGUUUUGUGCUUUGAUUAGGGGUAUUUUCAUCUUUUUUUCAUCUUUCUUCAUCUUCAUUAAUGGACUUUAGUCCCUGAAUACAAACGGGGUAGUCCAGGAACUAAAUGAACCAAACAGAGGCUAACACACACACACCAAGAGAGAUGGACUACAGCAUGCCAGGCUCGAAGCACUCGUACUCGCCACAAGGCAAGAUUGUGCUCCUCCGAUACGAUCACUCCAUGCAUGAAUGUUCUUGCAAACUGUUCUAGUUAGUAGUACUGUACUAGGCUUCUUGCAAGGAUCCCUUCAAUCCGCAGGUUCUUCUCUGUAACAUCGGGCAAUAGUUGCGAUGGCUCAAUCAGCUCGUUCCAUGCACCAUGCACGCCAUUCCCCCGGUCCUUCCCCUGCUUCAGCAGCUACUGCCUAUUCCGACGAUGGGCACUUGAUUUCCUCAGCUCGUUUCGUGUCAUGUUACUGAGUACCAGGACUACUCCGGCGGAGCGGAGCAGCCUCCUUACAGCUACGGCCGCUGUUGUGCCACUUUAUUUUUAUUUAUUAUUCCUUCAGUUACCUUUUUCCUUUUUCUUUCUUUAUUACCGUUUCUUUUUCUUUUAGGUAACAAAACUAACUUUUUUUCUUUUUGUGAUUAUUCCUUUUCUAUUACUUUAUUUUUAUUUAUUAUUCAUUUGUUUAUUUUCUUUUUUAAUUUUUUAUAUUCUAGUAUUAACAUUUCUUUUUCUGUAAUUAUUUAUUCCUGAUGUUCAAUUAUUUGCUCGCAGCUGAAAUUAAUUAUUUUGUAUUAAAAAUAUUUUUUAAAAAAAUAUCAUCGAAACAUAGUGAGAUCUUGUUUGAAGAUCUUGUUGUAAGCAAUUCAUUGGUGUGAUCGAAAUUAAAUUUGACUAUACGGUUUAAGAUUUAUAGAUUCUUUUUUGAAAAUUACAUGUUGAUGUUAUCAUCUAUUUCGUCACGUCUUGCAUGCAUGCAACGAAUCUCUAUUUUAUUUCCUAUGAGGUUAGCUGCCCAUAUAUUUCAUCCCUCUACACUACUAUUAACCCAUAAUAUUAAUUAUUAAUUGAUCAUACUGAAGGCGACAAGUGGAGAAUUUAUGAUCUUAAACCCAGGUGGUGCAGCAGGCGAGCGCGUCGCGGAGGAGCACGCGCCUCCCCGAGGUCGCUGUCGAUCCGGAACGUCUCGAGUGCCAGCUUACACCGCCGCAAGGCGAUGCUGCAGCCCGGGAUGGUGGCGUCCAGCAGCGUGCUCGCGCGCCGCCGCCGCUCGAAGCCAUCGUCCACCCGGGCGACAGCUUACGCCACCGCCAUCUCGAUCGGAGUGAGAGUGAGAUGCACGGAUGCCCUCGGGCUCUGGCGGGAUGGAGAUGUAUCUUGGUGCAAUGUGCCUGCCUUGGCAAUCGAUUUAAAGAGGAGGCCAAUCCAGUCGGAUUGCUGCAACGCUACACACAGCACGGCGCCGAGCUUCGAUUCCAAGACGGCGAUCAAUUCUGUUGCCGAAGCGUGCCCUGCGGCCGACUUUGUGUUCUGUGCCGUGUGUUUCCGAUCGCCACGACCGUUGCAAUGCAAACUUUCUCCGUUCUAAAAGAAUACAAUUUUAAUUUUGCCCUAACUUUCUAAGUUAAUAUUUUAGAUUAAUCACGACGUGAACACCACCCUAAUAGUAGCACUUUACUUAAUUCACGAUUUUAAUGGCAUGCUUUAGUUAAUGCAUGGUUGGAAACAUCUUUGUUUUGCCAUGUUUCCAAAGCAUGCAUUGUGCGCCUAGUCAAUAGUCAUACAACCAAAAAACUCAAUAUAGAAUAAACACUAGUGGCAUUGAACCAUACCGAAAGGAUCGAGAUGUCCAAGAAUUAGCUAGUCAUCCAAAAUAUUUUGAACGAAUAAAGUCUACACGUUUGGUCAAAUUCAUCUAUGUGCCUAAGGUUCUAAGGUUCAUUGUAUAGCUAUCUAACGGACAAAGAGUUUUACAACCUGGUUCCUAACAUGACAAUUCUAUAAAGGUAAAUGCGGAAAGUAAUUACAAGAAUUUAAAUGAUGAUUUGUAAAUUGCAUAAUAUAAAGAGAGGUGGGAGGCUCAAUUUUCCAUGAUCACCUUGGCACUCUUCACAGUCCUCAUUAAGCUAGUCUCAGUGAAAAUUUCAUGGAGAGUUUCAUGGGCAUUAAAUUUCAUGCUAUAUCAGCAAUUUUGCUGAUUUGGCAAGAUCUUUAUGAGGAGAGAGAAGGGGAAGUUUCAUCAUAUGUGAGAGGUGUUUCAUCCCCAUGACACUCAACAGGCAUGAUUACCUAGUUCCUAAUCUUAGUAGCAGUGCAAUGAAACUGUGCACUAGGACUGACCUUAGAGCACCCCAUCCAAGGGUAGCCCUCUUGGCACGUGCAAUGACUAAGUGUUCCCUAGUGCAGAGCAUCAAUGGUGUCCAUAGCGGUGGGGGGUGGGGGUAGCGAAGCAGGGUAGCACCGUUGGCCUCAUUAGGCGAAGGAAUGUCCUUUCAGUGGGUGCUAGAGCGACAAUAUCGCUGUGCUAGCUCUAUAAACUCAGGUUAGUGUGCUGAUAGGCUAUAAUGAAUCCGGUGGCUCCUAAUCACCACUAGAGGCGAGGAAGAAGGCGGGGGUGAGGUACAGGCAUGGUUGAGAUUGACUCUUAGAGUUCUUUAAAAAACAAUGAGAUAAUGAGCUCACGGGGGUGCCUCACACGCUUACUGGAGGCAAUGGUGGCAAGCAAUGAGCAGAAGGAUGUUAGGUGGCAGCGCUGUGUCGAAGCGGAGAUGAGUCACAAGCAGUGUUUUAAAUAGCAGGCUAAGGCAUUUAGCGUUCGACCUCCAAAAACAGCUAAUAGCUGGCUAGAUGAAGCUCUAGCGGCAAAUAGCGGCUAAAUUGUACAUAGGAGCAAAUAGCGGUACCCUCCUCAAUCAGCUAUAGCGGAAGAUAGUGGAGGCUAUAGCCGGCUCUUUAAAAUAUUGGUCACAAGAAAGAUAAGAGGGGCUAGGGUUACACGGGAAGUAAUGUGAGCCAUUAGAUCACCUUGAUAGACGACUCCAAAUUAGGUUGGAACUAAAGAUGAUGAGGUGAGAGAUCAACCCUAACUUUUUCUCAAUAGCAGAAUAAGUUUAUAUUUGGUCCAUGGACUCUUCAGACUAUCCAAUUUUAACCCUUAACUUCAUAAGUUUAUUUACGUUUAUUCUAGGUACCCCAAUUUUCAAUUCUGUCUAGUUUUGUCUCUGAGCCCAAUCAAAGCGGUUUAGGGCUUAGUGGCAGCAAUUUUUCUAAUUUUAGUGUGGAAGAUUAUUUAAAUAGGGGAAAAAUACUCAACCACUUCUAAAAGUUCCAGAAAACCUAGAGGUUGGGACACAUGAAAUCGACCAAAAUAACUAGGGCUCAUGAAAGAAGUUCUACAAGCUUAAAAGAUUCAGUACAUCUAAAAAUAAAGAGGGUUAUAAUUAAAAUUUCAAAUAAAAAUGUAUACUCCUUGCCAUCUGAUUGUUCAUUUCUCAAAGUUCCUGAAUCCAGUGCGGUGCAGCAAGUUGUGAUCUUUUUAUCCCGUGAAGGGCAUACAUCUGAUUGUUGCCAAAAUGUGAGUUUCGGCGUAUGGAUGAAUAGGCACAAGCGGUGCCGACGUAGCAAGAAUGGCGCCGCAUGGAGUCAUGGUCGUUGAUCCAAACACCAGCACCGAGAACCCACCCUAGCUUUCUCGUCUUCUUCCUGCAUCCAUCUGCCACAAUAAAGACACGUACACACAGCGGCCUUAGGAAAAUAUUAACACGCACACACCCAAGAGAGAGAUGGACUACAGCAUGCCAGGCUCGAAGGACUCGUACUCGCCACAAGGCAAGAUUGUGCUCCUCCUAUACGAUCACUCCAUGCAUGAAUGUUCUUGCAAACUGUUCUAGUUAGUAGUACUGUACUAGGCUUCUUGCAAGGAUCCCUUCAAUCCGCAGGUUCUUCUCUGUAAAAUCGGGCAAUAGUUGCGAUGGAUCAAUCAGCUCGUUCCAUGCACCAUGCACGCCAUUCCCCCGGUCCUUCCCCUGCUUCAGCAGCUACUGCCUGUUCCGACGAUGGGCACUUGAUUUCCUCAGCUCGUUUCGUGUCAUGUCACUGAAUUCCUUCUCUGAAGAUUAGCCGCCCAGCCUUGAGCCACCAGAAAGAACCUCUGUUGUUCGUUCCACAAAGGCCAAGGUGAUCAUUUGUUAAUUCCUUUUCAGUGCACAACUUGUACCCGCACGCGCAGCCAGGACUGUAUCCUCCUCCGCAGGCGCCGGCGGCGAACCCGCAGGGGGGCUACCAGUACCAGUACCAGGACUACUCCGGCGGAGCGGAGCAGCCUCCUUACAGCUACGGCCGCACCUGGCCGGGGCAGCCGGCUCCGUCCGACGCGGGGCCUUUCUACUACCAGGACGACGCCGACUGCAUCACCUUCCUCGGAGGAUGGUAUGUUCGUUUCUGCUACGCUAAAGUUUUUUCCUUAGAUGAUGGAUGUCUUUUGUUGCAGUAAAGCAUUCACUACCGUAAAACUGAGCAUUCGUUCUAAGGCUCAGUACCGGUUGCAUUUUGGCCCGGUACUAAUGUGAGCAUUAGAUCUUGUUUGGAUACCGGGGCUAAACUUUAGCCCCUAUCACAUCAGAUGUUUGGAUACUAAUUAGGCCUAUUAAUCAUAGGCUAAUUACAAAACUAAUUGCACAGAUGAAGGCUAAUUCGUGAGAUGAAUCUAUUAAGCCUAAUUAGUUCAUGAUUUGACAAUAUGGUGUUACAGUAACCAUUUGCUAAUGAUGGAUUAAUUAGGCUUAAUAGAUUCGUCUCGUGAAUUAGCCCAAGACUUCUGCAAUUAGUUUUAUAAUUAGCUCGUGUUUAGUCCUUCUAAUUAGCAUCCGAACAUUCAAUGUGACACGGGCUAAACUUUAGCCCAAUGAUCCAAACACGUCCUUAGUACCGGGCCUAACGGAUAGUCCCCGAGAUGGCCUGCGUGACCCCCUUUAGUAUUGGAUGGGGGUUCCACCCGGUACUAAUGUGCCUGAGAUUCUUCAGUACCGGGUGGAGGCUCCACCCGGUACUUAAGUGCUCCCGUCCGCCACCCCACCCCACCCCACCACAGCCCCCACCCCCCGCUGCCCGCUCCUUUCUUAUCUCUCUCUCCCCCAGCCCUUCCCCCCUCCUCUAUAUCUCUCUCUCUCACCCGGCUCUUCCCCCCCUCCUCUCUCUCUCACACUCACUUGGCUCUCACACUCCUCGAUUUGCCUCCCCUCCGCUCGCCUCUCACCGGCAGUGAGGAGCAACAGCGGAGCGAGGUGAGGCGGCGGAGGGCGGAGAGUGGCGGGCGGGCGGAGGACGGAGAGUGGUGGGCGGGUGGAGGGCGGAGGCAGGACGGAGGGCGGGUGGCAGGGCUGGGAGGGGACGGGGCAGCGGGCGGAGGCGGAGGGGCGGCGGGCGGAGGCGGAGGGGCGGAGGGACGGAAGGACGGAGGCGGAGGGCGGGGCGGAGGGCGGUGGGGCGGCGAGCAGCGGGGCGUGACGGGGGCGGGCGGUGGGGUCGGGAGGGGUAGGCGGAGGGCGGCAGGGCGGCGGGGGCCGAGGCCGGCAGCGGGGUGGGGACGGGGCCGGAGGAGGGAUUUUUUUUUUUUUAAUUUUUUAAUACACCUUAGGUGCACCAUUUAGUACCGAAUUAGUAGUACCGGUUUCUCAACCGGUAGUAACGGGUGAUUCCUGUUCCUCAGAGAGGUACGGUGAAAUGAAAGCUUGUUAAUGUGGGCUUUUGCCUCACACAGUGCUACUAGCUGUUGUUAGUUACUUGUGUGGUACUUGUCAUGUGAUAUGAACAUAACAUGGGCUGCAGAUGUGCUGUCUGACUGAUCAGUUUGCCAAGUGUGGUUGCAGCCUGGCCGGGCUGUGCUGCUGCUGGUUGCUGGAGCGCUGCUGCAUCUGACACGAGAAGGGAGAUGGGUCGGUUGGAGGAGAGAGCUGGCAAUGCCAUUGCCAAUUUGCCAUACCAAAUGAAGCAGCUUUGAUGGCGGUUUUUUUAUAUAAAAAAAAUGUAGUUCUGAGGUGCAGUUGUAGUGUAAGUCCCUCUGUGUAUGACCUGUACAUGUGCCGAAUAAGCUGUGGUGGUCGUGCGUGGAGCCAAGCCGAUCGAGGCGAUGGUUCUGCAUCGAUCGUGCGUUACCUACUCCACCGGUGGCCAUGUAAAAAGUAACACGGGGGCUCUUGCUCUUGCAUUGCCAUCAUGCAUGGUGUCUCGUCCGUCAGCGUGCAACUCGGAAGGUCCGUAGCUGUGUCUGGCAAAGCCAUCAUCAUCCAAGUCUGAUGGGCAAGGACGCCGCGCUGCUCCAUACAGCCCUUGCGAGCGCUCCAAAGCCAUAAAAAUGCUGCUCUCUCAAGCAAGACAGGCAUAGGAGAUCGACGAGAAGCCCGCACAAGGUGUGCAGGUUGGUUCAGUAGUAUUUCAGUACCGUGAUCGAAACGCCGAGCAUGGCAGCGGACGCAUGGGCCCCUGCACUGGGCUUCCCACUCGCCCAUGUGUCACGCACCAUCGUGCGGCGGUGGCGUCUCAAUCCGUCCACACGCGCGUACACUGACGGCGCUGCCUGUCUCUCAGUGCCAACCGCGGAGAAGAGGAGAAAAACGUGCGCCGCUUCUCCCUCCUGGUGAUCCUUUUCCUCAGACACAAUCACCGCGCUCGCGACGUGGCGAGGCGAGGCGUGCCUUAUCUAGACUUGGCCUUUUUUAUGAUCGCCUUUGCUCGACGAAAGCUAACAGCUUUAAGCUCAAAAAUUCAGACAGAGACUGCCCAUAUGAAAUGAACCCGUCUUGCACCAAAAAACCAUGCUUCAUCAUCCAAGUGAAUAAACCACGGGCACGUAGAAUGUCGGAAAGCUCGUCAGGUAAAAUCAUGAGGAAGGAGAUAAAGGCCCAAACCUAUGACGCACAACCGUUGGUUUCACGAACAAGCCUCGAGCCAAAAUGAAGAUUGGACGAUGACGGCCGCUUCGGCUCUCUAUUUUUAAGGCAGUAAGUAGCACGGUGCAGAAAAGGGAGGAGGGAAAGGGGUCGGCAGUUCCAACAUUGAACGGCACUUGACAAACAAAACUAAGGGCAAGCACAAACAAUUCAAAGCCAUAGAAUGAUAAACCGCGAAUUAUUCCACGCACUGCAUUCACAGGAGCAAGAAGCAAAUCGUCGUCCCCGGAAUGUCCCCAUAACAUAAUUCAGGCUACGAAACAAAACGCUACAGCAGCAGCAGCAGCAGCGGCAACACAACCCACUGUGCCAGUGUCAAAAGCAAAUGGGACACUACAGAUUACAGGGGGGUGAAAAGAAAAGGUUGGUCAGGUCCGGUCCGGCCCAGCCCUCUCUGAGUGAGAAUGCACAAGGAUGAUGAAGGGGGCCUCAGUGGCCAUAUGACCAGGCACUGAAAGUGGUACAGAGGAUGAUGAUGGAUCCCGGCCAUGUUUGCUCC